Molecule: long non-coding RNA, 249267 nt
Filed under: Lotus japonicus
Lineage: Eukaryota; Viridiplantae; Streptophyta; Magnoliopsida; Fabales; Fabaceae
Description: long non-coding RNA (LJAP_LNC002015)
Source: RNAcentral
CGCACUAAGAUUCACUCUCUUAGUCUUCUCUAGGAUCCGAUCAACCUUGAUCUCCUAAAGGAAUCACCACUAAGAUUCACUCUCUUAGUCUUCUUAAGGAUACUGACCUACCCGGUCCCUUAAGGAAAAUCAAACAACUGUUUGAGGUUGGUGUUUACAAGGGUUUGCUUCUGAAUAAGCUGAGUGUAAACUAAAUAAAUUACAAGAUGAAAGAAAGCUUAGAAUAUUUUGAAUAUGUCUUGCGCGUGUGUAUUUCUUUUUCUUAGCCGCUUCUUUCAAUCUUCAGCCUCUAUAUAUACUCCAAGGAUUAGGGUUGAGCGUUGCAUGGGAAAUGCUACCGUUGGAGGGCAGUUCUGGAAAAUCCAGCUUCUGCUGUGGCUGAGAACGUUAGGUAGGUCGUCAGGAAGGUACACUUGCUUUUGUACUUGGAUAGCGACUUGACCUUUUACCUAGGAGACUUCUGAUCAGGGGAAUACUUCAUAUUGGAACUUGUGAAGCCGGUUGAUCAGAGUCAGAGGGAAAGCACAGAUCCUCUGACCAUUGUAUCUUCUGAUUCUGAACUCAGAGGGAAGAACAUGGCCUUCAGAGUUUCUUGCUUCUGGACUUCAGAGUUUCCACUAUUCAGCUUCUGGAUCUUCAGAGUCUUCUACACCAUCAGAACAUCUGAACCUUCAGUGUUUCUUGGUUAUCAGAACUUCUGGAUCUUCAGAGCUUCUAGCGACUGAGUCCACAUCAGAGUUUGUAUAGCUUCAGAACUUCUGAAGCUUUUCCACUGUUCAUACUGAACAUGGUGAAUGCGAAAAGCGUUGCUUGGGUCACUCUUUAUACACAGUGCUUCUGAUUUGUGUGAGAUUGAGUUGAGGUCAGAGCCUGUAAAUAACACACUCAGAAAAACACGUUAGAGUACCACAAUUGUUCGUAUCAAACGGUUAACUUGUAAUCAUCAAAACAUAGAGUUGUACUACUAGAUCAAAACUUGAUCUUACAGAACUUACCUUUUUCGAGCUGAAUUAGUUGUUCCGCCACCACGGAAUCCACCAAAGAUAGAAUGAAUUCGCCCCUUUGCCGUUCCUUCUGCUUGUUUCCCCCGAUCUUCAUUCAUAAUCUCCUUUCCAUCUUCAGUUCGCUUUGUUGAAGUUCCUGCCUCAUUAGAAUCACUUCGCCCUUCUAAUUGCUUCAUGCAUCCGGCUUUCAGCAAUUUAUCAAUCUCUUUCUUUAGAGUAAAGCAAUCAUCAGUGGUAUGACCUGAGAUCCUGUGAUAUUCACACCACUUUGUUUUGUCCACGUUUCCCGUUGACUGCUUCGGUUGACGAGGAAAAUGAAUGACAUUCGCCUCCAAGCACGUGUGUAAAGCUUCAGUUAAAUUGACCGCCAAAGGAGUAACACGAUCCUUUUGAUUUCGAGUCCACGUCAUCGAGUGUCCCGAUCCACGUACACCAUACGGUUGAGCACGAUUUUUGAAAUGAGAACGGUUAUCAAAUCGACUAUCAUAACGGUUCCGAUUAUUAAAUCCUCUAUCUCCACGUUCAGUCCACCCCUUCGAAUACUGUUCAGCAACCGCUCCUCUCUUCGCCUCAAACUGCUGUUUUUGCCCUGUAACUGCUACAUUCGGGCGGUUAUUUUUGAUCCGAUCGCUUUGUUCCUCCCUGAUGAAUCCUUGUACUCUUUCACGUAAAUGCGCCAUUGUUUCCACCGGCUUCCAACUCAAAUUACUGUUUAAGCUCCCAGGCCGUAAACCCAAUUCAAAAGCUGCAACACAAAUCUCCAGCAUCUUAUCCUCCAAAUGAACAGACAAUUGAUUGAAUCGCCCCAUAUAAGACUGCAAAGUCUCAUUCAAUCCCUGGCGAACGUUGAAUAACAUCGCUGGAGUCACCUUUUGAGCACGACUAGUUGAGAUCUGAGACAAAAACUUUGCCGACAAUUCCAUGAAAUUCACAAUCGAUCCCGCCAUCGCCCUCUCGUAGCCCUUGAGUCUGAUUGAAAUCAGUUAGUUGAUUUUACAUGAUUCCUCUCCCCGUUCGCCCCGGAUCGAGUCACCAUUGCAGUGAAAAAUGAAGCCUAGGAAAGUAACCUUCGGCCCCACGGUGGGCGCCAAUGUUCCGGUAUGGAACCACAGAACGGGCUAAUCAAACUAGAGAGCGAAUACAAAGUAAACAAACAAGUAAAAUGCGUGAAAUGAUAGGUCCCCCUACCGCUUGGGUGGUGCCUGUUAUUUAUAACUUGGGUUUUGGUCCGAACGAACCAUGGGUUGCCCGACCCAUUAAGUAUACAAAGUGAUUAGCCCAAGUGUCUUAUGAAUUGGUACGCCCAUGUUAGACCAGAGGUGGUACAUUACUAGGAGAUAAGAGAUGGAAUGUUGAGUUCGUUUGCAAGUAGAUUCAUCAGAAGCAUCAGGAUCAUGUGCAGUAUCUUGUCAAGAGUCAGAAUCUGACAGUUGUCGCUGCGACAUGGGCUACUCCACCCCCCAAAGGGUGCUGCAAACUACAUGUUGAUAGAGCAUUUGGCGCUACUACUCAGUUCAUGGGCAUGGGAGGUUUGAUAUGUGAUAGCGGUGGUUCAUGGUUGCGAGGCUUCUAUGCAAGUUAAAAUGGUGGCAAUCGUGACUCUCUUUGUUUAGAUUUCGGUGCACUUAGGCAUGUUUUAUAGGAUAUGAAUGUUACAAAACCUGUUUAUGAAACAAGCUGCUUGGAGAUUGUUGAAGCUCUUUAUAUGAGAGGUUGAAAUUUCAUCUUUAUGCUCAAGACCUUGGAGAUUUGCUAGUUACUUGAGUGAAAUUGAGAAGUGCAGCUGCGUCAUGUUCCUAGAGAAGCUAAUUUCUCUACAUAUUAUUUAGCUGGUAUUGGAGCAAGUUUCCAAUGUGAUUUCACUUCUCUAGACUUGCCUUCGCAGAUGGUUGCACCAUUUUUUAUCUAGGGAUAUCCUAUACUUGUAGUUUCUUUUUUGUUUUUCGUAUCUCAUUCACCAAAAAUACUAAUUGUUGAAUUUAUAUAUAAUAAUUUUAACCUUUCAUGUUUUUUUUUGUUAGAAUAAAUUUAGGAGAGUGAAGCUAGUCUGAACACAAUGUGUUGAAGAAGUUUAUUUUCCUACUCGUGGUCCCCCUCCCACCCUAAAAGAAAUGUCUAUGAAAGCCCUAUAAGGUCACGUGUAGGGUUCAAUGCACUUACGGACCGUAAUAAUGUAAAAAUUCAUCAUUAGCAGUGCAGGGAUUGGUAUUAUGCGAAAUCAUUAUAAUGACCUCAGAGCAACAAAAAAAAAGAAGUAAUGGUAAGUAAGGAUAUAGAGUUGAACAACAACAAUGUUUGCACAUUGCAACAUUAAUUGAUGAAGUCAUGCCAUUUAUUUGGCUUUGGUCUGGUUGAAAUGUUCUUCCUUUCCACUAGUUUCAUCUAACUCAUUACCUUUGUUGUUGUGGGUCACAUUCAGAUCUUUCUCUUGCCAAUAGUAUCACACGCUCACCCAUGAUGAGCAGAUAUAACUAUAGGAUGAAAUUUCAAAGCCCUUCACGUGUGUUGGUCUUUGAUGCUCCACACAAAUCAGUUACUUUGCUUCUUCUCACUGGCUCAUGCAAUCAUCUCCUACACUCUUUUUCCCUUUUCAUUUUUUUGUUUUCCCUUUUGGUAAAAAUAAAGAUGGGUCAUUACCACUCUGCAUAAUUGUAAUUAUAGACCAAGGUAUAUGAUGAUGGGUAUUCAUGAGUGCCAGUUAUUUCUCNACUCUUUCCCUACUAAACACAUUUAUGAAGGAAAAUAUGUUCCAAAUUUCUCAAAUUGUGUCUCAAUUUCAUGUAGACUAAUAAAAUCUUGUUAUGUUUCAAUAUGAUACGAGUGAGGCAAUUAAAGAACAUGAGUGUUGAUCGCAAUGAUUAAAAUUGACUAUUUGAAUCCUUCGGGUUGAAACUUCGACUCUUAAAAAACAGAGAAACAUUUGACAUUUACCAGACUCAAAUCGAAUAUGAUGAUACUUAUAGUUAAACCAAAAAGUUAUAGAACAUGAUAUUUACUUUAUUCCUUAUUACUCCCUAAGAACCAAAUAAUUAUCUCACGUUUUGUUUUGUAAGAAAUGUGGUUAAUGUAGUUAGGAGUUUUAAAUUUGUUCAUAAUUUAUAUUGACUUUCCAAAAUUGCCCAUAACCACUAUUCUUAAUUUCUAUGUAUUAUUAAUGUUUGAGAUAGUGGAAAGAGAUUUACAAAUUCAAUCUAAUAAUGGUAUUCUUGUUAAAAAAAAUUAAUGAAUCAUAAAUUUCAUGUUGAUUCUUGAUCCUUACAAUAAGAAUUAAGAUGCACUUUUUUUUUUUUGGUAUAUAUGAAAGAUAAAUUACACCCUGCGAUUGUCGAUCCCUGAACCUUCCCCUCCCUAACUCAUGUGUUUCAUGACUCUUACCACAUGAGCUAUCAUUCAUGGACAAUCAAGAUGCACCUCUAAUUUAAUUACUAUAAAUAAAAACAGAGGUAGUAAUUUUUAAUUAACAUAUUUUAUUGUUGGAACAUAUACAUGAUUUUGGGGACAGAUAUCUCAAUCCCAUAACAUUAAACAACACAAACCUCCUUCAAAUCAUGAAAGCCCAAAUUUUUCUAUAAGUUUUUAAAUGGGGGUGAGUAAAGAUUGCAGGAAAAAGCAAAAUGGUUAUUUAAGAAGGGGGUUUGAAUGGAUUAUUACUAGGGGAGUAGGGGAAGAAAAGAAAACCAUUAUUGUUGGGCCUUUGCCAUCAUUGUUUGGUUCUGACGAGAUUUAUAACACCCUUUUAUUAGAUUCAUUCAAGCAUUUACGCCAAUUUACUGCCUAUUGUUUUGUGCUUAUGGCUCUGUUUGGGGAUAUACACACUUUUGCCUCCCUAUACUUCUUUGACUGUGCGCCUAUUGUUAUGAUCUGAAUUUGAAUGGCAUAUGGGUAAGUUGACCAAGCGCAAUAGCACAUGUUAGGGUAGUGAACAUGUCAUGAACAUGGGUGAGGAGAUAGGAACUCAUGAGGCUACAACUUUGGUUUAGUGAAGCUUGCCUUAGCUGCUCCGAAGAUAGUAGUAACAGCACCUCAUUGAUUAUACACUCAACAUCAUUUGGUUUGGCCAAACUUCUAAUAUCAUCCAAUUGAUCUAACAACGCAAUGCAGAGCACUAGCUAGAUUUGAACAAGCUUGAUUUUGAUGUCUAUACUUUUAAAUACUCAAAUUUAAUCUUUUUUCAAUUUUUAUAGUGAAUUGAACAAUAAUGAUUCAAAGAUUAAUUUGUCAUUUCAAUAAUUAGUGAAAAAUAUUUAUAUGGAUGACAAUUUUUUACAUGAAUAACAUGUUAAGAUCAUUUUACAUUUUCCACAUGCGAUAAUAUUAAUUUUUUCCGUUAGUUAUUAAAUGACAAUUCAACAUUACUACAUUUAUUCAAUUUUAAAAGUAGAUGAAUAUAAUUUGAACAAUUAAAAUUAUGCCCAUGGGAUCAAAAUCAGACACUACUGAAAUUACAGGGACCAAAAAUGAAUUGAAGUUGAAAUGCCAUGCUAUUGUUACUUAAUAUUUAUAACCAUAUUUAUAUGGCACUGACAUAGUCUUUGUUUUUUAUUUCUAAGAAAAAAAACCAUUGCCAGCAAGUACGAGAGAAUAAAUGGUAAUUUUCCGCCUGCCAUAAUAAAAGAUCUCAUUGAAGCGGCUAAUCUCAUGCAUAAAAGAUUUUUUAAAAUAUUUAUUUCAGCUUUUGAAAAAAAUCAUUAUUUAAAAAAAUGAAAAAAGAUUAUUUAGAAAAUCUACUUGGUUAACUUAUAAGAUAAAUAUAUUAUAAUAGAUGAGAGAGAAAAUAAAAAAGUUGACUUUAAUUAGUGUUGGGAAACACAAAUUAGGUUUUUCUUUUCUUAAAAUCUCUAAAACAUAAUAUAUUUUUUAAUCAAGUGAGAAACACUAUUAUUUUAAUCUAAAACAAACACAUUCAAUAUUCAUAAUAUGGGCUUUCUUGGAAAUUUAAGUACGAGAUUAGAGUUUUACAUUUGUUAAGUUACUACAAGAAUGUGCUCAUUUAGCAUCCAAACCUAGUGUUGGCCACGACAUUGACGCUAACUUUGGCUAAUUUGCAUUGGUUCCAACAACACAAUGUCAACGUAAAGAGAGAAAAAAACUACUUAAAGAUUGAAUCAGUCAAGCCAACACAACAUUGCAUCAACUUAAUGAUCAUUAGUGCCAGUUAACGUCGUUGCUAAGUUCACCGACCAACUUAGUAUUGACAUUUUGACACGGCGGCGAAUUAAAUGUGAGACUACUUUUGCAAGUGAAUUAUGCAUUGGCCGCGUAAGUGUACGGUUUCAUUGGACGAUGCUUGAGGUUUAGCUUCGGCUUUGACCAGCUUUAAUGUGACGUCGUGCUCUAAGCAACACAUCUUUAUGGUUACCGUCGGCUAGGCCGAGGCUACCUGCUAUUGGUUUCUCAACCGCCCCACCCCUAUUAUAAGCCUUCCUACUUCUUCUCUCCGCUAUCUCUCAAACCCUACUUUUAACUUUUGAGCUAUCUUCCUCCACGACCCAAACCUCGUGUUUUUUUCAUCGGCCGCAUCUUCAGCCCCACACCGCCCUCACCCUCUUCCAUCACCAUCAUGCUUUGCCCCUCCAUCCAUAUUUUCUCCCAUCCUAACCAUCUUCCCUCUAAUGUUGAUCCAUUUGCCGCCCUCACCCUCUUCUAUCACCCUCUGACGACCCCUCCAUCGUUUCCCCUCCGUCCUCCACCUCCCUGACUUUCAUCCACCACCUUCUCACUUCGCCUCUUUGUCAUUCACCAUCAGUUCCAUCAUCUCUCUGUUGCUUCUUUUAUCGCAACCGCUUUUUUACGCUACUUCCGCCCAUUGCUAUCGUCGCUGCUGUUGUUGCCACCCCAGUACCAUUAAUAUUUUUCAUUUAUGUAAGUCACUUAUAAUAUAAUAUUUGUUGUUGUUUUAGUUUAAAUGUGUAAUACUCACUGUAUAGUGUUAGAUGUUAUAAUAUGUUAAGAUUGUGAUUAUGUAUGAUAUAAUUAUUUGUUAUUAGUAACUUAGGCAUACGUUAUUAGAUUGUCCGCAGAGUAAUGGAAGGACCUAAUAGAGACAAUGUUUUUUGAGGACCUGAAAUUCAAUGAGCAGAAGAAACUUCCCAAACUGCCUUUACCCUUGAGAAACAGAUUGCAAAUUUGGAGAAAAUUAUUAAUAGGCUUAAAAGUGUUAGAGCUGCAAAAAACAAAAGAUGUGGGUAUUGGUACAAGAUAUCUUUAUAACACAUUUUCAUAAUUUUGUAUGGAUACAUAAAUAUUAUAUUAAGUUUUAGGCUUAAUUGCACUUUUGGUCCCCCACGAUUACAAAAUUCACGAUUCUAGUCCCCAACAAAAUUUUAUUGCAUGGAAGGUCCCACGUUAUGCUCCGUUAGCAUUGCCAUUAACUCAUGACAUGGAAAUUUUAAAACCCAGACAUCUAUCAUCUUCAUCUUCUCCCCAUGAUCUUCAUCUUCUUCUUCAUUGUAUUCAACCAAAAACCCUGGAAAAAAAUAAAAAUAAAAAACACACACACUCGGACAAGAAGAAAAGUUUUGUAAAUGAAAAUAAAUAAAUUUAAAAAGCACAAAUUCUACAAUUAAUGAAGCAAUCAUUACCAAAAAAAUUGAAACAACAAAAUUCAAUAACAAAUUUGGAUCUGGGCAUUGGGCCAGUAAAUCCAUGGGAAGCCAUCUCAACAUUCAAAAGUCAAAACCCCACUUACUCAAUUGCCUUGCCUUAAUUUCUCACAUUAGAACUAUCAAGAAACAACAUAUAUAGUAGCAAAGUAGCGAUACUGCUCAAAUGCAUGGGUCGCUGCUUCUGCGAAGCAGAUCGAAGCUUGCUGUGUUGGGUUCCCAUAGAUCGAAGCAGAUCGGAGCUUACUUGGUUGGGUUCCCAUAGAUCAAAGCAGAGCAACCUCUACCUCGAAGCAGAUCCCUUUGUUCCUUUGCAUCUUCUUCCCCAAAGCGCUAACCUUUCCCCCUUCCAGUCGCACCUAUUUGUUCCACUGUGUCUCUUUACCCUUCUUCUCUCAGAAAACCCCAAUGUUGAAGCUCGUCAUCGAAAUUGAAGCUCCAUCUCCCUCAAAGUUCCUUCCUUUUCUGUUGUGGGUUUUAUUUUUUUGGGUUUCUGAGUCUGUGUAGGGGUUUCUGAGUGUGAGUUCCGUGGUUGAAAGAGCGUGAGAGAGUUUGGGUUCUAGGUUUUUGGAUUUGGGGUUUUUGGGUUUGAGGUGUGAAUUCUUUAAUGGUGGAUAAAGAAGUGGAAAAAUCAGAGGCUGGAGGAAGUGACUCAUAGACAUCUGGAACACCUUUUGUUGCAUUUGUAAUGGUUCUUCGGGGCAACCAUGUGGCUGUUCUUUGGGAAACUUGAUGGCGCAGUGGAGGAAAUGAAUAAAGCCAUGAAUCAGAGAAAAGUCAAUAGUUGGAAAGGNNNNNNNNNNNNNNNNNNNNNNNNNNNNNNNNNNNNNNNNNNNNNNNNNNNNNNNNNNNNNNNNNNNNNNNNNNNNNNNNNNNNNNNNNNNNNNNNNNNNNNNNNNNNNNNNNNNNNNNNNNNNNNNNNNNNNNNNNNNNNNNNNNNNNNNNNNNNNNNNNNNNNNNNNNNNNNNNNNNNNNNNNNNNNNNNNNNNNNNNNNNNNNNNNNNNNNNNNNNNNNNNNNNNNNNNNNNNNNNNNNNNNNNNNNNNNNNNNNNNNNNNNNNNNNNNNNNNNNNNNNNNNNNNNNNNNNNNNNNNNNNNNNNNNNNNNNNNNNNNNNNNNNNNNNNNNNNNNNNNNNNNNNNNNNNNNNNNNNNNNNNNNNNNNNNNNNNNNNNNNNNNNNNNNNNNNNNNNNNAGAAGAUGAAGAUUAUAGAUUUCUGGGUUUUAAAAUUUCCAUGUCAUGAGUUAAUGGCCACUAGGAGAGAGAAACGUUAGAAAACUAAUGGAAUAGACGCUCCGGACUAAAGUUGCUAACGGAGCAUAACGUGGGGACCUUCCAAUGCAAUAAAAUUUUGUUGGGGACCAGAAUCGUGGCUUUUGUAAUCGUGGGGGACCAAAAGUACAAUUAAGCCUAAGUUUUAUGAAAUAGAAAAUAAAUUUAGAUUAUUUAAUAAUGCUCGGAUGUCGGAUGAAAUUCAUUUAAUAAUAAAAAUAUAUGAAAAAAGUUUUAAAUUUCCAACAAUUUUUUUAGACUCUAACCAACUCAAUCUAUUUACUUACAUUUUGUUUGGUUGAGGAGGAAAAAAAAAGAGAGAAAGACAGAAGAGUGAAAAUGAGUGGAGAGAAAGAUGUAAGACAUAAUAUAUUUUGUAAGUUGUUUAGUAUGAUAUCAAUGCAAAAGAAAGAGAGGAAAAAGAAUGAGGUAAAAUCUCUCUCAGUUUCCUUGGUUGAGUAGAGAGUGGAAUAAAAGUUUCUUUAUAUAUGAAAAAAUAAUUUUACCCUCAACUAAGUUAUUAAUAUUAUUACAGAAAUUACAAAGGGAAAAAAUGACAAAGGCAAAACAUAUUUUCAAGUCUUUCGAGUUUCUUCCUAACUUAGCUUUGAGCAGAUUAUUGAUUUUAUAGUGUAAGUGGUUUAGAUUUUAAUUCCAACCCAUAUUGGUUCUGUUGGUAAAAAUAAAUUACUUCACCUCAAAAUAUUAAGUGUCCAUUUUUUGCUAUUAAUGUUAGAGUUGUGUAAGUAAACUAUUUAUAUGCACCUCUGUAAUUAACUAGUAAUCAUGUAGGCAUGCUUUGACCUGUGAUCGUGACCGAAGCCGAAGCACCCAAACAUUGUAUUAAAAACAAAAAUUCAAAUUGUAAUUGGGUAGAUGAAUGUGUAUAGCCGUUAAGGAUGAAACAAUAAUUUCCCCAAUAGCUAGGCAAUCGAUUGUGUCCCCAUAAUUAGACAAAACAGAUUGAUGCAAGCAAAUUCCUACACAGGGGAUUGAAAUGGAGGAGCCCGGGGGGGACACUCAUGAACUGGUUGACAAUUUCACUCAGAGAAGCAAAUUAGACACAUCCAAAUUACCCUCUGUCAACCAUCAUGUUUCACGUUAUGCCACUUAUAAUCCAUGAGGGAAUUCAGAGUUUCGCUGGCCCCAACUCUCAUCCAACCCCUAUUCUCCCCCAACAAUUCGUCCAAACCUCAUCUCCUGAAUUUGGCAAGAAAAAGUCUUUUUUUAAGAAAAAUCAUAAUUUUGUGCAAACUGGAUAGAAUCGCUAAGAGCAAUGAAAAAAGUAUUUUUAAAAAUCAACACAUGCUUCUAGCUUAGGUGAAGAUUUGGAUUCACGAACGUGUGUUGUGAUAAAAAGGACGAUCAGCCAAUCGACCCAAAGAGGAAAAUAUUUUUCAUAGAAUAUUUAAAUGUUAUAUUUGUCUCUCGAACAUAUUUUAUAUAUUGUUUCCUUCUAUUAACAAAACAUUAAUUUUACUUAAUAGGUUAAAUUUUCGUCUUUCUCAAAUCAAUUUCCAUUGAUGGUUAAAAACAUGUUGAUCUUUAGUUAGCUCAUUAGUCACAAGCUAAAGGUGAGUACUGAGAUUAGUCACUUUGGAUAAAUGGAAACCCCCAUUAGGAGUAAAAGUAGAUUCCCAUAAGGAGCUUGUGCUAAUUGCUAAAACAAGCUUGCAUCAGUAUAAUGACAAUAAUGCAUAACACUCUCCACAUCUUUUUUUUCUUUUUUACCCUUUUUGUGGAACCCUUUUAAUGAUUUCCCAUUUGGUUUGUUAAAAAGCACUCUCCUUAGCAUAUGGAAAAACAAAGAUGAACAAGCUCUCCAGCUAAGAUAAAGCGACUUAUGGCAUCCAACGCAAUAACUCAUAUGAAUCAUAUAUCCUACUACUACACACAAGAACGAAAUUUCGUAUCAAUUAUCAUCACAAAAAUGCAAAAUGAGAGAUUAUUUAUUAGAGGAAACCAUGAUGAACACAAGUAAUUAAUAAANNNNNNNNNNNNNNNNNNNNNNNNNNNNNNNNNNNNNNNNNNNNNNNNNNNNNNNNNNNNNNNNNNNNNNNNNNNNNNNNNNNNNNNNNNNNNNNNNNNNNNNNNNNNNNNNNNNNNNNNNNNNNNNNNNNNNNNNNNNNNNNNNNNNNNNNNNNNNNNNNNNNNNNNNNNNNNNNNNNNNNNNNNNNNNNNNNNNNNNNNNNNNNNNNNNNNNNNNNNNNNNNNNNNNNNNNNNNNNNNNNNNNNNNNNNNNNNNNNNNNNNNNCGUGUAGUGGAGACAAGUAGUCCACAAACAAACACUCUCAAAACUCAGGUCUCAAUGCACAAAAGUUGCCAUCUUCAAUAUAACAUUACGGCAAGGAGAAUGAUUACAGCCAACACUUCCCAACACAUGAAAAUUACAAAAAACUGAAAGUGAGAAUUAUGGAGGCCUAAAAAUAGAAGAACCACCACCACAGCAUAAAUAAAAACAAAAGAGUAAUUGAUGAUAGAUGGGAGAGGGUAAGGAGAAGAUGGUGGUUUUGGACCCAAUCCAAACCAUCAUUGCAAAUCUUGGGACGGCCUAGCCCAUCAUCAUUUGAGAGAAAACCCUAACUGAAACCUCCAUUAUGCCCAUUUUAAUUAAUUCCCACUGUGCCCUCAUUUUUUCCGAUGAAUAAAAGUUUAAAUGAGUUCAGUUCCAGUCAUCAUCAUGCGAGACAAAGCAUGUUUUUAGUACCACAAGUAAGGUACUUACAUAUCUGCUAUCAACACAGUCUCACAUCCACAACGAAAAUCGAACACACGAUUUUCUCAUGGUCAGGAAGUGAUAAGUCAUUACCAACAAACCUAACAUGUAUUUAUCUAUUGUGUAGGCUAAAUUAAUACAUGUUGGCUCAAUGAGUAUCGACAAAUCCUCACCACACAAGAGAAGAACCACUAUUAACAUUUAUAUAUGAAAGUAACUUGUUUGAAACUUUAUGUACAUGCUUUUAGGUAUCAUCCCUCGACAAGUGAAGUCUUAAAACAGAGUAUAUGAGAAAAUGGAAAAAAAGAAAAGGUGAAGGAAGUAAGCAUCAUGAUUCACAUGACGCCAUAAGAGCCAUCAUGGAACCGAAACAUAAAAUCUUUUAGGCUACUAACCGGCCGCCUUCCAUGCUUACACAUGCAUGAUUGUUGUGUCAGAGAGGGGCACCCUCUUUUCAUCAUCCUUCAUUUGUGUCUCUCUUCUCUCUUUUCUUCUCCUGCUUCUUCUAUAAAUUCACACCUUCUUUGUUCCCUUUGAUCCUCACUUCUCUUCUCUAAUUCUCCUUCUUCUAUAUACAUUCCAGAGUACUUUGCUGCUCCAUUUCCACCAAAUUAAGUCUCUCUUCAAAAGGUGAUCUUUUUUUAAAAGUUCAAGAGUACCCCACCUCUCUUUUUCUUCAUCUUUAUAUAUCUCUUGUAUUGCUUGGUUUAAUUCCCCCCUUACAUUCACAUCGAAAUGUGGAUUAUGGUCAUUGUAUUGUAGUUGGUUUUAUCUUUAUUCCAGAUUCUCUAGCUUUCUUCUUCAUAAUGUUUACAUAGUUUCAUAUAUACCAACUUUUUCUGUUGGGAAUUUUGGGAUGUCCACUCUUUUUUCAUAAUGGAUUUUUUAUUUCCAAUUUUUUAUUAUAAUUUUAGAAAGACACCCGCUCAAUGGUUUCUUUGUCUUUCUCUAGCAAUAACCUUCCUUUCUUUAUGAGUCAUGGAUUUUAUGUUUAUUUAAUUUAUUUAUUCAUUUUCUCCAUUUUACUUUUGGCUCUACUAGUGGCAUAAAAAAUUGUUCUUAUUAUAUGCAUCUAGAACUGAGUUUAUACACAUAGACAUACAACAAACACAGAGAAGAUCUUUGGUACGAAGCUUGUUUGUCUCUUUUACUACCUAGGAAGGACCUUUAUCCUUUUCUUCCUUCUCGGGAUAGCCAAAAGAAAGAAACUUGUAUUUUUCUUCUUUCUUUUUUUUUUCUCUGCUUUCAAGUGAGUGCAACUGUUAUUCCCCCUCUGUUUCUUCCCCUUGUUUAGUUGUUGAGACAACCCCAUAUGCUCUAUUUAUUUGAUAGGGUGGUCCUAAUAACUCAAUUGUUCUGUUCUGCCCUCCACCCACCAUGCUUAUUGCCAUCUCAUCAUUAUAUCUACCAAAACAAUUCAUAAAGCAGGAAUAGUAUAAUUUUUUUUUCCCAUUUGGUUUUCACUCAUUUAUUAAGGUGGUUAUGUUUCUUCAUUUAUUUUCAUGGUCACAUUUUUUUUAUCAUAUGGUAUUUCAAUCAUAUAAUAUACAAUAUUGUUUUGUGGUUUCAGGGUUAAGAGUGAAAGUGAUCAUGGAAAGGUUGAACUCAAAGCUGUACUUGCAGAACUGUUACAUAAUGAAGGAAAAUGAGAGGCUGAGGAAGAAAGCACAGCUUCUGAACCAAGAGAAUCAAGCACUCUUGUCUGAGCUCAAACAGAAACUCUCUUCCAAGGGAAAUCAGAAACCCAAUAAUAAUAAUGCUCCAAAUACUAUGCUUGACCUCAGUCUCAGCUCAAGUGCCACUCAUCAAAACCCUUCCACUUCUAGCAAUUAAUCUGCUUAGUCAUGAAUGAUAUGAAGAAGCAUCUUGAUGACCCCACUAGCUAGUGACUGUGUUUCUUUUUUCCUUCUUUUGUGUAAAAUCAAUGUGGGAACCAGUAGUUGUAGGUUCUGUUCCAUAGGACAGAAAAUACUAGCAAUUAAUCCUCUCCUCUCUACUAUGACUUCUAUUUCCAUGUUUAAAUUAAUCAAUCUUCUUUUUUUUAUGGGUUUUAGUCUUUUAGAUAUCAAUUUCUGAACUACAAGGUUGUAUGGUGUAUCAGGCCUAUCUUCUAGAAAUGAAUAUAUAACUAGUUAUUAUAUGUUUAGUCUCAUUGCUAUCUCUCUCUGGUUGAUUAUGAAAUUUUAUAUACUAAUAUAACAUAAUUUCCUGUGGGGGUUAUGUAAAUCACCUAUGUGGGUAAUUUUCACGUCUAAUGGACCAAUAACAUUAUUUAUAAAAAAAAAAUUUAAAAUUUAAAAUUCACUUAUCUUAAAUAUCAUGAAUCUAUUAUGUUUGGAUAAAAGUACCCAUAUGAGUGAUUUAGACAAUCUCAUUUCUUGUUCAACUUAAUUUGAGCUCAAGAUUCGGAUGAUCUAAAAAAAUAAAUAUGUAAGUGGUGCAUGUUAUGAACCAAGCUGCUCAUGUUUUUUGUUUUUUGAUCACAUGAAGCAGAGCAAUGAUGAUCCCAACGAGUUGAUUAACAACAUUAAGUUCAUGAAACAAGCUGCUCAUGUUUUUUUUUAUAAUAGUUUGAACAUUUUAUAUGUAAUAGGACUCAUAAGUUGAAUGCCUUUAAGUUUUGGUGUCCAAUACGUGUUGUUUUUCAAUGGUUAUAUUUAUAAUUUUGAUUUGAUGAAAAACAAAAUUGAAUACGAAGGAUGACGGAGAGGGCUUAUCAUUGAGCUUCUGUUGGGACUUAGAAGAGAGAACCUAAUCAGAAUAAAAGUGAAGUCAAUGAGGAUUCAUUAGAGUUGGUGAAGAAGAGACAAAGAGGUAAAACUUUAUUUGAAUGUGUGUGUCUAACGUUUGCAGGAACGUGUGACACCGUUUAAGUAUUGGAACUUUGCUGCUUCUUUCUUUCAAUUAAAUUAAUUAAAUAGUGUCUAAUCAAAAUUUGAAUGGAAGUUCUAAAAAAUUUCUCUCUGUAACCCUGCAUCGAACUGAAACUGACUUCUUAAGGUCACCAAACCAAGUCAGAAGCUCAGAAUGUCAAUUUUGAUAUAGAAUUAAGACCAGGGUAUGAUGACUGAGAUUCCCUUUCAAGACCCACAAGUCAGUAAAAAUCUAAAAUUAAUAAUGGGACAAAUAAUGACCAAAGAUACCGAAUAAUUAUAUAUACCUCAUGUAUGUACAUAUAUAUAUAUGCAAAACAAUGAAUAAUUUAACAAAUAGUAAUGUGGAGUUGGAGUAUAACAUAACCAUAUGGGUGAACAAAGAGGUGCCUCACAUGAGGACCCAACAUGUCCCAGCAAUUUUACCACUGCUCCUCUUGGAUUUAACUCACUUGUAUUAAAUGUUUGUUGAAAAUAUAUUCUCUUUGUUACAGAGUAUCUGCACCCUGGAGAUUUGGCCAUCAUAACCAUAUCUAAUACUAAAUACUAUGAAGAAAAUUAGAAACAACGGCAAUGAAUAUAUAAGUGUUUCUAGAUAAAUAUUAAGUUUUUAUUGUCAAACAUUUUAUAAUAUGAUCUUAUAUGGAAAAUCACACCUACUUCAUUACCUUUUAUAGACAAAAUUACAUAACUUAAGUUAGAUGUGAUUGUCAAUUAUACAUCUUUUAGCUUUCCUUAAAAUAAUUGUUAGGCGCAAAGUUGGAAAUUACCUAAAAUGGAAUUUCAAGAACACAAAAAGUUGAAUUUUGGGUAUCUAAAAUGGAUAUGUCCUAGGUCACAAUGUGAUUAGUUUGACAUGAAUAAGGUUAACUCUAACCACCAAAGAAGAUUGAUGACAUGUGAUUCGAGGUUUGUUUUUAGAAGGUCAAAUUGUACUUAAGGGUCCUUAAAAAAAACAAUUGUACUUAAGGGAUCCACCAUGAUACGUAUUACGUGGAUUUGAAUAAUGUGAAGCGAUGAGUUAUUUUCGAUGCUUAUGCCAUCAGAGCCGUUAAUUAAAAAAUUAAACGUUAGCAUUGUGAUUAUAUAUUUUUAUAUGUAUGAUAAAUUAUGGUAAAUUAUAACUAUUAUAGGAUCCAUAAUAAAGUGGACUUAAUGUUGGGUAACCAACACGAUCGGAAGCGAGUUUCAUCUCGUCCAACUUACAGUUGGGCGGACUCAAGAUAACACAUUCAAAGAUUACUUACAGACAAUUUUUAUCUCGGAAGACUUAUACAACUUAAGCAGUGACGGAUUUAUGUGUAAGGGUAUGAGGGCAAAUGCCCUCACUUACUUUUAGAAAAAACAUUAGAAAAAAAAAAUUAGUGGUAAAAGUAUGUGAUUUUUUAUGACACCUUUGAUAAAAAAAAUGUCCUCACUUAUGUUUCACAUUGCUCACUUGUGUCCCACAUUGUUAAAUGUCCUCACUUGAGUAGUAAAAGUAUGUGGUUUUUGAUAGCUCAUUUGGUCAAAAAAGUCUUCACUUGUGUUCCAUUUGGUAAAAAAUGUAUUCACUCAUAAUAAUAUAUCUUAAUUCUUUUUGUUCGAAUUUAUAUGUAUAUAUUGCCCCCACUAAAUCAAAUUUCUGGAUCCGUCACUGAACUUAAGUAUCUUCGCAGGUACUUCUCCCCGUUGUGUCAAGGCAUCACCACCGUAUUGGAAGAUCUUCCAGGACCGUACACCCCUAUAAGAGAUCCAAAGCAUUUUGCGACUCAAAUUUUGGUAGAAUAUUUUGGUGCGUAUGUAGGAACUAAUUCAAUUCCAAUCGCAAAUGGAAAAGUCACAUUCCAAACAAUUUGCGUUUUUUGACAAUUACCAAAAGUUUGCUAGACAAUAUCUACACUCCAUUUUCAGAGGACAAUCGUACUUUGAAUCUUCCACCAAGCUUUUUGGAACAAAUGAACAAUUGAAUGUGGAGUCAUUUUUUGGGAAAACUGAUCCUACAUAACACUUACAUAAAUUUGCCAUGUAUAAGGGGCUCAUGGAUGCCUCAAGUAUCUUAGCUAGCAAAGUCUUCUUAUCAGCCUUAAAAAGGGAUGGUUUGUUCUGGUUCAAAUAUCUUAUUCAAAACUUUACCAUGCACCGACAUCCAAGUGGUAAUGAACAUUUGGAAAUUCAUGUAAUAGCAAGAAGACGAAUCACUGCAGGAUUUUCUUCCAAGAUUUCAUAAAGAGAUUAUAAAAAUUCCAAACUAGGAAAUAAAAGAGAUAAUAGAACUGAUGUGAUGUCGUGCUUCAUGGAACUUCAUUCCAUCGAUCAUUGUUGGAUUCACCACGAAUCAAUCUCCUCUGUUUUGGAGGCAAGUUAUUCAGCUAGAUUGAUUCGUGUUAUUCUUCAAGUUAUUCUUCACAUAACUUGACUAUACUAGUACAUGCUUUUACCAGUAGAAAUCUACCUAUUGAGAAGUAGUUAUUAUUAUUCUCAAGCAUGUUAAGAAUCCAUACUACAAUUGAUUAUAAGAGCUAAGAGCAUGUUUGUAAACUACAAUCAAUUCUAUAGAAUAUAAAUGAUAUUUGGAUGCACCACUAAAACAACAUAAUCAAUUCUACUUGACACAACAAAUAGUUAGUUUUGCGUUAAAAACAAUUGAGAUUUCCAACUAAAUUUCAUAACAUUACUAUACAAAACCACUUUUUUCAUAAUGGUAUCUAAGCAUAAACUACAUCAAUUUAACUCACUUUUACUCUACGCAAUUUUAGUAGAAUCAAUUUUGUCCAGAAAAAAUUCUGCUAACGCCAAGCCAAACACACUCAAUAACCAUAAUUAAGUUUGUGAAAAAAUUUACGUUAGUAGCUUAUGAGUUUCAAAAUUAAUUAUUAAAAAAAUAAAUUGAUCCAUAUAUGAUAUAAAUAACUUUCAUUUAUCAAUCAAAUCCUCAACUUAAAGUUCUUUAAUCAAGGAUAGCUCAAGUGGUAAGAGCUUGAGACAUAUGGGUUGGAAGGCGCUUCAGGGAUCAAUCCUUGGAGGAUGUAAUUUAUCUUUAAGAUGUACCAAAAAAAUGUGACUUCAAAUUUUAAUUUUUUUUAUCUAAUUCAUAAAAUAAUGUCAAGGUAACAUAUAAUAUACUUUCUAAAAUACACGUACAUUCGAUUAAAAUUACCUUCUUAAUAAUAUUCAAUUCUACAAAAUGUAAGAGCAGCUUAUGCAGUAGGUAGAUCUAGGAAUCUUGUAUUCUUUCUUUCCAUGAGCAGUACCCCUGCCAACAAUUGCAGUUAUCUAUUCUAUCAUUGUACAAAUCUGGGCCCGUCACCGGGUAAAGAAGCCACAAGAAGCCCAGGAAUCCCAUUAUGAAUCCUAUACUUACAAUCCCUGAAACACAAACAGAAACCAAUGAGUAUGAGUAAGUCCAAAAAGACAUUUACAUGGAAAUGAAUGCGAAAAUCCUAACUCCACAGCCACAGUUUCAUGACAAAAAAUGAGCAGACAGUGAGUACCAGCUAAUCAUACUAACUAGCAGUGUCCGCCCCUUCUCUCUCUCUCUCUCUCUCUCUCUCUCUCUCUCUCUCUCUCCUGGUUCUCACUCUUGUGGGAUAAAUGAUCCUAGGUUUGAAGAAGGGAAAAACUUAUGUUCACACUCCAAUCUCACUUACACCUAGAGAUAAAGGAAGAAAUGAGAGAUAUGAUAGGUGGUUGUAAUAGGAAGAGAAGAGAGAUGGGAAGAGAACGUGAGUGGAAAUGAGCUGGAAGAGAAAUAAGAGUGGGAAUGAAUCAAAAUCCUUGAUGGAGAGUCUGGGAUCUGAAGAGAAGACAUAUUUAGAUUUAAAACAAAACCAAAUAACGAUUUCAUAUGAUGCCACAUGUAAUCGUAUAGUUAAAUUUCAUUAAUUAUUGCAUGUGAUUUUUGCUUACUACAACGAUGGGGUACUACUCUUGUUUACAAUAGCAGUUUUACACUAGACUGAUCAAAGUUCUCAUUUCAGUACCACGCUAGUCUCAUAUAUCAUUUAAUUAAAUAGCCCCUAAGUUUAACACGCAGUUACUUUGUACUGCAAUGUUGACUGAUCUGGUGAAUGUAAUCUUUCCUAAUUCCUAUUCGUUGGGAGUUGAGCAGUGAAUGCAGUGCACUCAUUUUUUUCUAUUCUAUUGAGUUCUUACUUACUAGUUCUAUCAUAUUUUAACAAUUGAUGUGGACAACAAGUAGUAUUUUGAUUCAACUUGCUAGGAAAAUUGAGAGAAAAUAUUAUCUUUAUUGCAUAACAGAAGGAAUCACUCAGCUCUGACCCAAGGUAGGUGCAGACUGAGAUACAAAAAUGAUGAAAUUCCCAAAACACUUUGAGGGGCCUGGACUCUCCUAACAAGACCCCCAACUGAUACCAAUUGUACCUCAGUUAAUGCUACUAAUACUAACAACCCUUCAAGGGACCUAAGAACUUUCUGUGCUAACUUCAGCCAAAUCACAAGCUACCCCCAGUAUCUCUCUUCCUAACGUAUAGUCUUUUUAUUGUUAAUAUACUAUCAAAACUCCCCCUCAAAGCUUUCACCUUGUCUUCAAGGUGAAAACCAAGUAAACUCUCUGAAACUAAGUAAAUUGCCCCCAUGAAUUCUCUCAAGCUGGAAAUCCCCUUGCAAUUUGAUCAACAACUCAGCUUCUCCUCUGUCAUUGUACCCCAUGUCUAAAACACGUGGUGGUUUAGCUUGCAACUCCCGUUCUUUGGUCCACUACGGUGGUAAAGGUUGUGGUUGAAUGCACCUGAAACAGUCCUUUACAAGAGACAUUAAACAUAGGAUGCACUCUACUACGUAGGGUAGCGCUAAAUGACAAGCAUCCUAUCACAACCUUUCUACAAUAGGGUCCAUUUAAUUGUGGAGCCAACUUCUCUUUCCAUUUCUUAGCUAAUGAUUUCAAUCUAUUAGGUUGAAUCUUCAGAUACACCCAUUACCCAACUUUAUAUUCUAAAUCUCAACUUUUUGAGUUUCAUGUGUUGGUGGGCUCUUUCCAAUUUCAUUUUUAGCUGCUAAAGCAUACCACCCGGGUCAAUGGUCAACAGAUGUCCCAGUCCUUUGUCAACUGAUUUAUCUCCUCCACUUUAGAAGGAAAAGUUUCCACAUGAUAAAUACUAGGUGGAUCGUGGCCAUAUAGAGCCUGAAUGGGGUCAUCUUGAUUGAGCUGUUGAAAAUUGGUGUUAAACCAAAAUUCAGCCUAGAUUAACUAAAGGGGCACUGCUUAGGAUUAUGAUAAGCAUCAUACUAACUUACUCGGUUAGUUAGUUUGGGUGAGUUAGUUAGAGAGUGAGAGAAAAUAUUGUUUCUAAGAGAGGGCUAGAGAGAAUUAGCAUCUUUUGGAUCAUUUGUAAUUGAGAACUUGGCAGUGACCUAGAUCUUUAGAGUAUUCACGAGUUCUAUCCAAUAUUCAUCAAUUAACUCACUUUUCCUUUCUUCCUUAGUGCUGGUUCUCAUCAAAUGGUAUCAAAGCUGUAUCCAAGAGCUAUGGAUACCAAUUGAGAGCAGAUGGCUGGCGAGUGGCGAGAAAAAGGAAGGAUUCAUGAGCUUUACAUUGUCACCAGAAGUGAGGAAGGAAUUCGUACCUUCUUGGAGAAAUGAAGAAAGAGAAGACAGAUUGGAGGAAAGAUAUAGAGAAGAACAAAUGGAAGCAUAAAGUUUCAUUAGGCAGGGAAGCGAUCUAGUAGAAAUGAUCAAGGGGGGUGUAGAAAGUAAUGGGUCGAGUCUCAAAUAACCAACCACCAACACAAAACGUGAAGAUGGAAGGCCGACAUGGUGGAAAUGUUGGACAUCGCCAAGUUAGGUGGCCACGUGACUACGAGCAGAAGAUCUAAUAUAUCUCUAACAUCCAACUCAUUCUUGCAUUCCCUCUGCCCUCUCCAGCCUCUCUUCAUCGAUAAAAAGCCCUAAUUGCAGCCUUCUUCCACUCUGUUUUCUGCAUUUUGUUUCCGACUUGUGGUUCUUCCUUGCGGUAGAGUGUGCAAUAGAGAACCCUUUACCUCAUGCCACUUACCACCUGAAGCUACGUCCUCUUCAUUCUGUUCUUGUUCGAACAAGGCCUGAUAACAUCCAUUGUCACACUUGACCAAUUUCUCCAUCAUCUCCUUUAAUAGCUCUAUGUUCUGUUCCAUUGCAUCCAUUGGCGUUUCCAUGGACUACAUAUGCUCCUGUAUAUAUUCCAUGCGUGUUUCCAGCUCCGUGUUCAACACCAUCUUCGUAGCACAACCAAGUUCAGUAUUGCUCACCUUCAAGAAUUUCGCAAACCCACAGCUCAAAGACCAGAGCUCUGAUACCAAUUGAUACAACUGGUUCAGAAAAUAGAAGAGAAUCUAUUAUCUUCAUUGCAGAAAAGAAAAAAUCACUCAACUCUGAUCCCGGGCAGGUGCAGACUAAGAUGAUUACAAGAAUGAUGAAAUUGACACUUCACUAGGCCUGGACUCUCCUAACAAGCAAGCACUUUCUGUGGUAACUUGGGCCUUAUCACAAGCUAGCCCAGCAAAGAAACCUAACUGAUACCCAUUUCGCCUAAUAUAGUUACAGCUAAUUACUUAUAGUAACAGCCCUCCAACAAACCUAACUACGUUCUGUGCUAACUUGGGCCUUAUCACAAGCUGGCCCAGUGUCUCUCCUAUAAACUCUUUUAUCACUGGUCUACUAUCAUUUUUCACAUUUGGAAUUCAUUUCAUAGGAAACUUACCACUUCUCUCUGAAUACAAUACAGGCAGUCCCAUAAAAUUACAAUAUAUAUGAGCAACUAAUGGAGCGGCAAGAUGUCCUGCAAAGUACAAGCAGAAAAAAAAUAUAAGGGACAGAAAACAAAGACCAGGCCACCAAACACAGAGCGGACUACGCUGAAUUGACAUUAGAACUAAGCCAAUCCCCAAAAAUCACUUUUGAAAGUUAUCAAUUUGCUAACUACAGCCAUAUAGAUCAAAGAAAAAUAGGGUUAAAUGAAGAGUGAGGAGAACGAUACCAUGCCAUGAUAUCAUACUUACCCCUCUUUCCUAUCUUUUCAACCUAUGUAACAGAUAAACUUUCUGCACAUGCAUGGGAACUAUUUUGAUCCACCAAAUGAUAAAUUAAUAAUUUAGUUUUAUUAUAGUUUUUUUGUAAAAGUCACUUCAAAAGAGAAAGGGAAGUUAUACUAAUUUUUAUAUUUAAUACUUAUCUUCUUGAUUUCAACAUAGUUGGCAAGCAUAUAAGUGUAGAAAAACCAGUUGUCUUUAAUACUUAAGAUUAAAUUUACUUUCCGGCCUAAAGUCUAAAAUGCAGUGGCACUUUAACUUUCAACUUCUACUAUGUCAACAUAUGACACCAUUGUCCAAUCAUUAUUCUUAUGCAAUGUUGUAUGUAUCUUAAUUUGUAUUUAAGAAGCACAUUCCAUCAUUAUGAAUAGAAGUCAGACCAAAUACAUCAUAGCCAUGACCUAUAACAUAAAACAAGGAUUACACAUCACAUACCAGUUCGAAUGAAAAGAAAAGAGGCAUAUGACCCGAAGAUAACAGUGUAGCCAAGCUGGAGACCUGUAGACAUAAUUCAUUUUGUGGUGAGAUUAUUAUCCAACAAUACUAAGUUUAGAAUUUUUGAAAUACCAAAACUCUCACAUUCUCAGUAAAAGGGACAGCAACCUUGCAGUCAAAACUUUGACAAAACAAAAUCCAGGAACUUGAUAAAUAACGUUAGCAUUGACUAUACCUAUAAUCAUAACAGCCUUCUUUAUUCUGUAGUUUUGCUUGAUGUAAAUCUCCAUGAAAUGAUUUAGAUGUGCUGCAAACCAAUCAUGCGGUAAAACAUCUCAAUAAACCUUGCAUUUGAAAAGGAAAAUAAAAUUUGCUCAUUAUUUUCUUUAGUCUGCAGCCAAACAGAAGCUUAUUGAAUAUUUUAGGGGAUUUGGGGCCCGUUUGAAAGAGCUUAUUUGAGCUUAUCUUAAAGUAUAAACACUUAUGCAUGUGUUUGGGAGAGCUUAUGUAAAUAACUUAUGGCCUACCUAUAAGCUGCUUUGAGCUUAUUUUCAUAAACUAUUUAGAUUACGUUGUAAGCUUCUCCAUAACCUAUUUUCAGGUUAUUUCAAUAAGUUUCUGAAACUAGCUUAUGAAUAAGUGCUUAUGCGAUAAGCACUUAUUGCUAUAAGUUCUUAAUUAAGCUAUUUACGCAAAUUCACCCUUAGUUCACAAUCACAAAUAUUACCUUACAUAUUUUCUAUGCAAAACUACCAUGAUUAUCAAUCUCUAGUUAUACCUCGACUCGUAAUCUCGUCAGGUAGCAAAAUCGUGAUAUGUAGGGUGUGAUCUCAUUUUUUAUCAAUCUCGGAUGAUCUUGAGCAAUCUCCCUCAGUCUUACGAGAUUUUCAGAGAGAUGGCAAGAUUACAAGAUGUGGUCCGAUGAUAAAAAAAUGUUUGGCGCAGGGACAUUAUGGACAUUUUGCGCACCCUAUUAGGGUUUUCAAUUCACUCUUAUCACUUCACUUCUAUGAUUCUCUCUGUCAAAGACCACUAGCCCCCUCUUCUCACUCUCGAAGACCACCACCACAAGGUUGAUUCUUCGUGAGUCUCCGACGAGUCUCUGGCGUAGCGCUCCUGCUCUUCAUUUGAGGAAGAAGAACUUGAUGAUGAUUCUAGGGGUGAUGAACUUGAUAAUGUUGGUGGAAGGGAAAUUUGAAGAUUAUGACUUACUUGUUCUUGUGUUAAAUUUAGCAUAACUUGUGUUUGUCUCGUUAUGACUUAUGAACCUUAGAUUUGGAUAUUUGGUAAUUUUAUGCAUGCUUUUAAUUGUUAUUGUUGGAUGAUUUGGAUAAUUUUGAAUAUUAUUAGUGUGUCUUUAUCAUUAUUAUGGUUUUUUAAAUAUUAUUUUUGCAUGAGGUAAUCUCUUACAAGAUUACGAUACGAGAUUACCUACCCUCCACGAGAUUAGGUAAAUUCUCAAGAUUUACAACCUUCAAACGUACGAUAAAUUCAUCUACCCAAAAUAUGCAAUAAUUUUAUAUAAGUGUAUAGAACUACCAAACCCCACCUAAUUGGAAAAGGCUUUGUAGCUGUUGUAAGGAACUACGAAGCCGUGCAGCAGUUUACAAACUUUAUAUAAUUACAUCUUAAGACACACCAUUGAAAAGGAGUAUGUGUGUGGAGAUUUCUCUUGACUUUUUUCAUGAUGUACCGGUACCCUUACCAAUGAGUAGUUAAUAUUUAUUGAAUUCAUUGUCUCACUUGUUCAAAAUAUAAAUGCAGCAAGAUAUUUUUGUUCAUAAAUAUUUUAGCUCAAUUAGCCCAGUAUUAAAUGUUGGCAACCAAUCGCUCAUAUUACAGAUACACUCAUAUAUACUAAAGGUUCCAAAGUAGUCUCCUACAUCCUGUUGAAUGACAAGAAAAAGACGAGGAAUUUGGUGAAUUUGAUGAGAACCAAAAUACAGAAAUAGAGAACAAGGUAUGAGAAUAAGGAAACACUUUGAUUAAUACUGAAAUAGAAGAAACAGAAAUGCAAUAGCUACUGCUAUUGCCCCAGAGUAAGACUCCUGUAGAAGAAGAGACUCUCUUCACUCUACUCUUAACAACCUAUUUCUCAUCAUAGUCCUUCUCAUUCUAACAGAAAGCUUAUAUGAGAAUCUCCACUCAGCCUUACGCACCUCUCACACCCUUCCUACCCGCAAAGGCCGUAACUAACUUGUGCCAGCUCACCCUCCUAAGAUUCCCCUCUCUUAUUCUUUCUCACAUAUACUUUCCAUCCUUUGGGCCUGGUCUCAUUGGCUGUGGCCCCACCCUCACUAAGAGCUCUAUCAAUUCCACCGGCUUGAGGAACAACCUUGUCCUCAAGGUUGAAGGCGGGAAACUGAUUUAAAAUAGUCAACUCAUCUUCCCAAGUGGCUUCAUCUGCAGACUUGCCAUUCCACUGAACGAGAUAUUGCUUCACAGUUUCCCCUUGUUGUUGGAUGGUGCGGGCAGCGAGCACCGUGCUGGGUUCCACUGAUGGUGGCAAUUCUCCCGCAAGGCCCUCUGGAAGUUCUUUCUCAACCUGAUAAUUCCCGAUUGCUUUCUUUAGAAGAGACACAUGAAACACGGGAUGGAUGCGAGAUGUUUGGGGAAGGCGAAGCUUGUAAGCCACAGCUCCUAUGCGCUCAAGCACUUCAAAAGGGCCAUAAUACCGUGGGGAUAGCUUUGGGUUGAUGCGUUGUGCCACAGAUUGUUGGCGGUGGGGUCGAAGUUUCACAAAGACCCACUCACCCACGUCGAAGUGCUUCUCUGUGCGCUUCUUAUCAGCCUGAGAUUUCAUAUAUCCUUGAGCUCGAAGGAGGUGACUUUUCAAUUGACGCAGUGCCUCAUCUCUGUCCAACAGCUCUCGAGCUACAGCUUCCACUUUCGUUUCCCCAACAGUAAAACGGAGCAAGGUGGGAGGGGCACGACCAUAGACUACCUCGAAAGGAGUCACUCCCGUGGACGCAUGGUAGGUGGUAUUGUACCAAUACUCCGCCCAGGGUAGCCAGUAGAGCCAUGUGCGCGGUUGGUCCGCGAUGAAACAACGAAGAUACGUCUCUAAGCAACGAUUAAUGACUUCAGUUUGUCCAUCCGUCUCAGGAUGGUACGCGGUACUCAUAGUCAGAUGUGUCCCUUGUAACUUAGAAAGCUCAACCCAGAAGUUGCUGACAAAGAUGGGGUCCCGGUCGCUUACUAUGGAUCGAGGAACUCCAUGUAAAUGCACGACCUCUUUGGCAAAAGCUUCUGCCACACCUCUGGCAGAGAAAGGGUGGCGCAAAGGAAUGAAAUGUGCAUACUUGGACAGUCGAUCAACCACCACAAACACUGUAUCAGUUCCUCUGACCUUGGGCAAACCUGUUAUGAAAUCCAUGGAAAGCUCCUCCCAUAUCUUCUCCGGAAUUGGUAGCGGUUGGAGCAGACCCCCUGGUGAGGUAGCUAAGUAUUUUUGCCUUUGACACACAUCACAGGCCUUGACAAACUGUUGAACCCUCCCCUUCAUGCCAAUCCAAUACAUAUUUGCAGCAAUCCUGCGAUAUGUGCGGUAGAAACCCGAAUGCCCACCCUGCGGUGUGGCAUGAAAUUCGCUGAGGAGUUGAGGGAUCCAGCGAGAUGAAGCAGAGAUUACAAGGCGAUUUUCAUAAUACAAAACCCCCUGAUCAUAAGUAUAGCCAGGUUUACUGGAAGGAUCCAAUUGUAUCGCAGCAAUGAUCGAGGCCAACUUAGCAUCUUGAUGGGCCUCUUGAACCAAUUCUUUGCCUUCUGACCAUUGAGGAUAGGAGACAAUGGACUGGAAUUCACCGUCUUCAAAUCUACGAGACAAAGCAUCUGCUCCCUUAUUCGUUGGGCCGGGUUUGUACACAAUGUCAAAACGAUAUCCUAGGAGCUUGGCGGCCCAAUUCUGCUGGUCUACGGUUGUGAUUCUUUGGUGGAGCAAUUGGCGUAGACUCUUUUGAUCAGUAUAUACAGUAAACUGUCUCCCCAACAAAUGUGGUCGCCAAUGUUGCACUGCUAGAACGAUGGCCAUCAAUUCUUUCUCAUAAGCAGAUUUGGACAGAUUGCGAGCACUCAAGGCUUUACUAAAGUAGGCUAUGGGUCUGCCUUGCUGGAGAAGUAUGGCUCCUACCCCAUUCCCGGAAGCAUCACUCUCUAUAGUGAAAGGUUGAGAGAAAUUUGGUAAUGCAAGUACAGGUUCAGUCACCAUUCGUGCUUUGAGUGUGUCAAAUGCCUGCUGAGCUUGUGAAGUCCAUUUGAAACCUUUCUUUUUUUGUAAGUUCAGUCAGUGGCCUAGCGAUCUUACCAUAAUCUCGCACAAACUUGCGAUAGUAUCCAGUCAACCCGAGAAAACCACGUACCCCUUUUACAUUCUUAGGUACUGGCCAUGAGGUGAUGCUUUGCACCUUGCUAGGGUCCAUUGCCACUCCCUCCUGUGAAACCACAUGACCCAGAUACUCUACAGAAUUCUGGGCAAAAGUGCACUUUUUACGAUUCGCCACCAAACGCUGUGCACGUAGUCUCUCAAAUACCAUGGUCAAAUGUUGCAAGUGCAGAUCCCAAUCCGAGCUGUACACGAGGAUGUCAUCGAAGAAAACAAGUACACUCCGACGCAAAAGGUCACGGAAGACUUCAUUCAUCAACGCUUGAAAGGUGGAAGGGGCAUUCAUCAACCCGAAGGGCAUCACAAGGUAUUCAUAGUGCCCUUCGUGGGUACGGAAUGCAGUUUUGUGUACAUCUUCCUCUUUCACCAACACUUGGUGAUAACCCGACUUGAGGUCAAGCUUGGAGAAGUAGCGAGCCCCAUGAAGUUCAUCCAAUAACUCGUCUAUCACUGGAAUUGGGAAUUUGUCAGGGAUCGUUGCCUUGUUCAACUCGCGGUAGUCCACACACAUGCGCCAUGACCCAUCCUUUUUCUUCACUAAGAUGACGGGGCUGGAGAAGGCGCUUUGACUGUGUCUAAUGAUUCCUGAUUUCAACAUGUCCCUGACUUGUUUUUCUAUCUCGUCCUUAUGGUGAUGGGAGUACCUGUAUGGCCUCACAUUCACCGGCCCUUGUCCUGCUACAAGAUUAAUCUGGUGAUCUUUCUGCCGCCUUGGAGGUAAUCCCAUGGUCUCCAUAAAAAUGUCCUCGAAACGACUGAGGAGUGAUUCCAACUGAUGAAGCUGUUUCUCAGAGAGUCCUGAAACUUCUUUGGUGUUCUUAGUAGUAUGCGCUGCUUGCAGCUCUUUGCUCUCACCUUCGUGCUCCUCAUUUUGGCCAAAAAUGCUCUGCAAAGCCCACUGUUUAUGUUGUAUUCCCUUCUGUCCUUGCAAAAAGAACCACUUCCCAGCAAGCUGAAAUUUCAUGGUUUGUCUCCCCCAAUUGACUAGCAUGUCUCCAAGGGUAAUCAGCCACGUUACUCCCAAAACCAAGUCAAUACCAUCCAAAUCAAAUAGGAUUGUCUCUACCGUGGUUGUGUAAUCACCAAUUUCCACUCCCACAUGUUCAACCUUACCGCUGGCCAUCACCUUGCUUCCAUCUCCCAACAGAAUUCGCAUCUCUGGUGUGGCUUGAAUUUCCCACCCCAUCGCUGUUGCUACUCGUUUGGACAAGAAAUUGUGCGUUGCCCCGCUAUCAACCAAGAUGAGGAUUGGAACGCCCUAGACUGUUCCCUGCAGCUUCAUCGUGUGGGCUUGAAGUGGCUCGGCUCCCAAUUUCAUGAUGCUUAGCUCACCGUCCACAGCCGCCGCGUCGUCCUCUUCUGCUUCCAGCGACAUAUUCCCCUCUUCUCCUCCGUCGUCUCCUUCCUCUAUCAACAUGAUGCGGAGUUGCUUGUCGGGGCACUGAUGAAGUGGGUGGUACUUGCCGCCGCAUUUGAAGCAGAGCCCCUUCUGACGCCGGUCAAGGAGCUCUUGAUAUGGCAGAUGCCUUAUCCCUUUGUCGCGAUGGGUGGGACGCUUGUCUUCACGUCGAUCUCCUUUGUCAUCUCGGUUCUUCACCAUUACCCAACCUUGGGUUGAGUCACGACCCGCUAGAACUGGGCCUGAUGCUGUUUGGUGGGCCGGUCGGUUAUAUGACCCCGAUCCAUAUCCAUAUCGUGGGCCUCCGUUUUUUGACCCGGUUGAGCUGCGACCCGCUCCGUGGAGCUCUGUCUCUAUUGCCCGAGCUAGAGGAAUCAAUCGUGAACGAGGUAGCGUCGUCAGAGCCCGCAUACUGCGAACCCGUGCUCGAAUGUCCUCACGCAACCCAUGGAUGAAGUACCCAAAGUACUUUUCAUCGGGCAGAUUUGGCGUCUGCGAGAGCAAACGCUCGAAAUCAACCACAUAAUCGUCAACGGUCCCCUGUUGCUGGAGAUCCGAGAGCUGUUCGAAGACGUCACCCUUGUUGGCGGUGCCAUAGCGCUCCAACAACUCGUUGGUGAGUCGUUCCCAGGUUAAUCCGGGGUCCAAGUGCAGCAAAGAGUUGAAAUAAUGGAUCGUGGAUCCUUCCAUGCAUAAGUGAGCAAAGUUCACCUUGACUUCUGGGCUUGUACCCAUGACAUGGAAGUAGACCUCAGCACGGGCAAUCCAACCCGCCGGGUCUUCUCCAUUGAAAAGAGGAAGCUCUACCUUCUUGGCAGACUUGCGGAAUUCAUCCAACUGUCCUCAUCGAGCUUAGUCCAACCAGAUACACCAGAUGGACUUCCCUUCUCAGCUCCAGAUCUUGCUGGUGUGUCUAGAUUUCGCCACUCCCCGAAUCAUCUUGCUCCUGAGUCUGCUUGGAUAAUUUCUGGGUUAAAAGAUCAAUCAAGCGAGCCUGAUUGUUCUCCGCUUGCUCCUGCAUAGUGACAAGAGUUGAUCGGAGAUUUGCCACUUCAGUUUCCAGUGCUGCUACCUUCGCUUCCAUCAUCUUCUUCGCUGGUGGCAUUCGUUGUCAGAUUCAACGAAGAUGAACGCUGGCUUCCGUCUCGUAAAUGAUCCGGCAGGUCGGACCAAUUUGAUGAGAACCAGAAUACAGAAAUAGAGUACAAGGUAUGAGAAUAAGAAAAAAUACUUUGAUUAAUACUGAAAUAGAAGAAACAGAAAUACAAUAGCUACUGCUAUUGUCCCAGAGUAAGACUCCUGUAGAAGAAGAGACUCUCUUCACUCUACUCUUAACAACCUAUUUCUCAUCAUAAUCCUUCUCAUUCUAACAGAAAGCUUAUAUGAGAAUCUCCACUCAGCCUUACGCACCUCUCACACCCUUCCUACCCGCAAAGGCCGUAACUAACUUGUGCCAGCUCACCCUCCUAAGAUUCCCCUCUCUUAUUCUUUCUCACAUAUACUUUCCAUCCUUUGGGCCUGGUCUCAUUGGCUGUGGUCCCACCCUCACUAAGAGCUCUAUCACAAAAUACAAUCUUCCUCUACAUAAAAGAAAAUUACUCUAUAACUACCAGUAAAAAUCAUAACACCUGUUAAGAUAUAAAUUGCAUAGUGCAGAGCAGGAUCAAGUUCAGCUAAAAAAUAAAAUUCUCCUCUCUUCCCCUCUCUUUCUUACCACUCCAUCCUCAUCAAAAACAUAAUGCCAUGUUGUAAACUUUUUAAAGAGUACCAGAUGGCAUGUCAUGGUUUAGUAAAACAAUCUUGUGAGAUGAUGAUUGUUAGUUCAGAUAAAUGCAAAAAAGAAUGAGAAUUACAUAAAUAUGUCAAAAGAACUGUUUAAGGCCAUCAUAUUCUGAUUGCAGAGAAUAAGAUAUAUAUUCCACAAUUAGACACAAGUACAUCAAGAACAUAUAAAUUUGAGACCGAAGAAUAAAUAUAGGUCCUUGCCUGUGUUCAUCCUCGGUCCAAGCAAUACCCUUGCGUCGUUCCUGAUCUGAUCUAGAACCUUUACUUCCAUGAUUAGAUUCACUAUUACAAUGCCGUAUAUGGCCAGUCUUCUUGCCAACUCCUUCAUCACUAGCAUGGCUUGUUGAUCUCUCUGGAGUAGAAUUAUACAAUGGUAGAGGCACACGCCCAGAUUCGAUCUGGCUAAUAUCGUCAACCAAUACCUCGUAAUGCUGUUUAAUCUCUUUUAUAGACUUCCCCGGUACAUCAGCAGCAAUCUUCUCCCAUCGUUCUGAAGCAUCUUCGGGAUAAGUCGCCAACGCAUUUUCAAAUGCUUUUUCCUGCUCUCUGCUCCAGUCAGAGCUACUAUCCAGUUCAUCCGCCUUCAUCUAGUCUUGUUUAAACCAACUACAGACUUUUAUUAGAGGGAGAGGGUACGUUUUUAGUUUCUACCAAACUUCUCUAAGUCUAGGUUAAGGCUAUUUAUAUACCACAAGGGUUUGUCCUAUGAGAAUUAUGGAUCUAGAUUAUUUCUAUGGUGAGUAUCACUAAAAUUAGAGUGUAGGACUGUAAGAUCAAGUUUUGAUCUAGUAGUACAACUCUAUGUUUUGAUGAUUACAAGUUAACCUUUUGAUAUGAACAAUUGUGGUACUCUAACGUGUUUUUCUGAGUGUGCUAUUUACAGGCUCUGACCCUGACUCAAUUUCACACAAAUCAGAAGCACUGUGUAUAAAGGGUAACCCAAGCAACGCUUUCGCAUUCACCAUGUUCAGUAUGAACAGUGGAAAAGCUUCAGAAGAUCUGAAGCUAUACAAACUCUGAUGAGGACUCAGUCGCUAGAAGCUCUGAUGAUCCAGAAGUUCUGACAACCAAGAAACACUGAAGGUUCAGAUGUUCCGAUGGUGUAGAAGACUCUGAAGAUCCAGAAGCUGAAUAGUAGAAACUCUGAAGUCCAGAAGCAAGAAACUCUGAAGGCCAUGUUCUUCCCUCUGAGUUCAGAAUCAGAAGAUACAAUGGUCAGAGGAUCUGUGCUAUCCCUCUGACUCUGAUCAACCGGCUUCACAAGUUCCAAUACGAAGCAUUCCUCUGAUCAGAAGUCUCCUAGGUUAAAAGGUCAAGUCGCUAUCCAAGUACAAAAGCAAGUGUACCUUCCUGACGACUUACCUAACGUUCUCAGCCACAGCAGAAGCUGGAUUUUCCAGAACUGCCCUCCAACGGUAGCAUUUCCCAUGCAACGCUCAACCCUAAUCCUUGGAGUAUAUAUAGAGGCUGAAGAUUGAAAGAAGCGGCUAGAGAAGAGAAGUGAAUACAAGAAGCAACACACGCGCAAGAUAUUCAAAAUAUUCUAAGCUUUCUUUCAUCUUGUAAUUUAUUUAGUUUACACUCAGCUUAUUCAGAAGCAAACCCUUGUAAACACCAACCUCAAACAGUUGUUUGAUUUUCCUUUAGGAGAUCAAGGUUGAUCGGAUCCUAGAGAAGACUAAGAGAGUGAAUCUUAGUGUGAGCUAAGUCAGUGUAAUUGUUAGUCACUUGUAGGUUUCAAGUGCAGUUGUAACUCUUACCUGAUUAGUGGAUUGCCUUCAUUCUAAGAAGGAAGAAAUCACCUUAACGGGUGGACUGGAGUAGCUUGAGUGAUUUAUCAAGUGAACCAGGAUAAAAUCCUUGUGUGCUUUUCUAUCUCUAUCUUUUGCACUUAGUUCUCGAAAAGAUUUGUUAAAAUCUUUAAGGUGGUAGUUUUGUACUGAAAACGUUAUUCAAACCCCCCCUUUCUACCGUUUUUCAUACCUUCAAGGACUACAAAGUUGAAACUGAAGUAGAGCCACCAGAGGCAGAAAAUAGCAGGAAACUGAACACAGUUCAAUACCAAUGAAAUAUCUGAGAUGUGUGAAAUUUCAUUGAUUUGUUUCAGAAUUAAAAAAACUGGACACUUGUGAAUUAUUGACCUACUGAUGAAUGAAAAGGCAGAAAAGUAAGUUAAAACAUGAGAAAAACCUGAGACUGACAAACCAAAAAUCGUAGAUGCUGAAGGUAGGAAGUGAAAAUUUAGAAAGGCCAGUCAAUAUAAUGGUAAUUACUGGGCUAGGAUGAUUUCUAAUAAAAGAAAGAGCCCUUCAGAAACAAACAAAGAAGAUAAACUGAUAAAGUCACAAGGGAUAACACGAGCAUUCAAAUAGCUAUUUCUCAUUCAAUAAAAAAAACAAACUCCAGUUUACCAUAGGCACAGUUUUAACAGCACAGGCCCACAAAACUUUCACCCAUAAGUGUAACUACUGUAAAUCUCAUUCUCACCGUACAAAAAUUCAUACAGAAAGUACUUCAUAACUCAAAGUACAAAGCUAUGAAUCCAGAAGAGGAGAAGAAAGAAACUAGAAAAUAAGGCUCAGCACUAGUGAAACUUCCUAAGUUGAAAAUUUCACAAAAGUAAAUAGAACGUAUAUACACAUAGAGAUUAAGAAAUGGAUUCAAAGCCUCGUUUUCCCAGACCGGGUGUUAAUAAAAAUAACUAUCUUUAACUCAAAUACAAAAUGCAACCAACUAGUGGUGGUUGGUUCAACUGAUACAUACUUGAUUCCCUUUAAGCAAAUGCCUCGAGUUCAAGUCUUUUGGAUGGAAAAAUUUCACUAAAAGAGCUCGCUCCACCAUGACGUGAAUGUUCCCGCCUCAAACACCAUUGCUCCUGUCGAGAAUACCUGUAUUGGACCAAAAAAAAAAUAUAUAUAUUAAAAUACAAAUGCAAUAAUUAUAUAUCCCUAUUCUCAACAGUUUUGAUCCAACAACCAAGUUAAGAAAAGUAACCUCAUGAAAAUCCCAAUGAAUUACUAAGUUUCAUUGAGUUGGUGUUCAAAAAAUGUGUUACUUGAGCUCAGUAAGAUUAGCAAUUAAUCUCCAUCUUAAAACAUUGGAAGCAAAAUUUCAUUAGUAAAAUCACUGGAUGCAAAAUGUCAUAUGCACUGUCAAGCUUCUGACACAUUAACCAACGGUAUUUCUUUCAAGCCACCUAACAAGUGAAAGUGUAAAAGAGAAUUUUACCCACCAACAUUACUUUUAAAGUUAAGCCUGAAAAGUGAAAACACAAAUAAUUUCAGCCUAAUCCAUGAUUAGUUUGAUAAAGACAGGCAAAAACAAUCUAGAGAGUAAAAUUAACAUAAGAUAAAUUGAGAUUUAAGAAAAUGGCCAAACAUUGGGUGGAAAUUUCAAGGGUAGAACACAGAAAUCAUAAAAUGACAUUGAUGUUUAUCCUGAAACCCACAAAGAAAUACAUGACGGGUCAAUUUGGUCCCAUCCCAACAACAGCUUUACUACAAAUAGGGACAGCUGGGUUGAAAAAGCCACAACCCAACCCAAGUUGCAAACCAAAAGAAUCUACACAGCAGUCCUAGCACCCAUUAAUAUCUGACAAAAUGAUAUAGGACAACAUCAUCAAGAGAGAGAGAGAAGCUGAAGAAUAAUAAAUCAAAAGUGGGGGAAAUUGAAUUGAAUUUUUUUUUUCCAUUAUGAUUUCUAAAAAAUGAAAUAAUAGAUAUUGCACAAGAUGAUGAUUCAAGUUUAGUUCUUCUGAAGAAUGCACAUGAAUUUUGGGCAUGAAAUGAUGAAGUUAUCACCUUUCUGCAAUGCUUCAGGCUUCUUGGCUUCUUUCUUUCUGCUCUGACGAACUGUAGCAAAACACAAGAGUCAAAAUAGUUGUGCGUCAUCGUGAAUAUAUUCUGGAGUACUGGACUGUCAGGUGGUCCUAUUCCUAUUCAUGAGAUUAAGUUAAAAGUGUCCAAAAAUAUUAAAUUCACAAUAUUCUUUUACUAAUUUUAAUUUUAAUAACUAUACAUUUUAACCCUUUUUCUAUAUUGAAUUUAAGUUAUCAUUAUUGAGUGAUAUCAUUUGAUCUCUUUUUACAGAAAAGAGUUUUUGUUUACCGUGAUUGGAUUAGUCCUUAAAUUGGUCUCAGUGUUUGUCUUACCAUCUGAACUAGGUUCCUCAUCGGAAAUAUUUUGCAAAAUGUCAUAUAUUAUAUAAAACUUAUGGAGCAAGUGGUUGGGGGUUCGAAUUCCAACUCUUGCGAAUAGAAAAAACUCAUUGGUCAGCCCCCUACCGCUUAGAAAAAAAAAACCUAUGAAGCAAAUCCUUCCCGGAGCCCAGAGCUCCAGCGAGUGAUGAUUUGACCUGCCGACUGUGUUAAUGAUGCUUACGUGAAUUAAAAAAAUAAAAAUAAAAAUAAAUAAAAAACACAUAAGAAAUUUUUAUUUAAUUAAAAAAAUAAAAAUUAACAAAUUUAAUAAAAUUUAAUUAAUUAAAAAUCCAAACUAAAUUAAAUCAAAUUACAUAUCAUAAAAUUUCUUCUCUUUCCACAAACAUCUUCAUCUUCUUCAUUGAAACAUAACUAAUACCCUGUAAUAUCCAAACUUAUGAGUACAUGGUUCUAAAAAUACAACGCUACCCAGAAUUAACAACAACCUGAGCAACACUGAAAUGUAAAGAUAGAACACAAGAAGGGGGGUUUGAAUUGUGUUGUUCUAAAACUUUGAUUUUUCAAAUGAUUAUUAGUUUUAGAAAUAUUUUCGCAAGCGUUUAGUGCAACGGAUAAAUGAGUAAGAUAGUUGUUCCAACAAGGGUAUAUAGUCUUAUUUCAGUGUCUAGUCUUAUUUCAGUGUAUAGUCUUAUUUCAGUGUCUAUCAAAUGAUGUACAUAAGAAGGGGAAGCAUUCCUUUUAUAGCAGGUCGACCUCUGUAUUUCAUUGGUCUUUGCUUCUAUCCGUUGAUGAACAAAUAUGGCAACUUGAUGGUACAACGUUGUACUUCAGCUUUGGCCAUUGUGCUUUGUCAGAUCAUGCGCUCUUCUAGAAAGACUUCUUCUACAAGUUUGUCUGAGACAUUUAUGUAAAUCAAAGAUGGCGCUCAUUCUUUAGACGUUCCUCUUGCUUCAGAUGAUCUUCUUUCCGUAGACGGUCUUCUAUCUUCCAUUGGUCAUGUUGAGUGAGACGAUGGGCUUUGACUAGUAGAAUGUAACUUCUUCACAAGGGUUGAACUGUCUUUUGUGUCAGUAGAUUGACUUGGACAUAACAAGGUAAGCAUAGACGAUAAGUCAAAGUGUUCUUGAAAUAUAAAAUUUUUAGUGUUCCACUUAUGCCCAUCAAAAUUGUUAUCAUACAAAACAUGACAAACGAUAUGAGUAAAUGUUUGAACUUAACAAACACUACUUUAGAGGGUCAAACUGUGUCAAAAGACAAAGUCUAGUUUUAGGCAAAUAUCUUCCAACAUAAUAGGACCAACAUCCAUCUUCAACACAAUAGGCAAAUACUCAGUGCUAGUUCUCAGAUUUGGGCACCUCUGAAUUUCAUCAACCCCAACCCAACAAUAAACCCAACAACCCCAACCUCACCCUCCCACUAUCUUCUUCGUUAUCUUCCAAACCAAAAAACCCACCGAGAAACCCAAGCAAAAGCAAGAAAAUCCAAAGAAAGAAAGAUAGAUUCAAGAGAAAGAUAACCAUAACUGAGAUCGUACACAAGAACCCAAAUUGUAGGAGAACCCAAAUCGCGAAAAGAACCCAGAUCCUUAACAAACGUUGGUGCCUUUCUUGUGAAUCGUUGCCUCGACUCCUUCUCUCACCUUCUCCUUCUUGAAUCUCGCCAUCUUUUAUCUUGCGUCGUGGGUUAUGAUGGUGAUGGAGUGUUGUCCUAUCCAUAUCCAAGUUUCAAACGCAUCUCAGAAUGAGAGGUGCGAAAAUCCAAAAUGAGGUUUUUGUUGCAGGUGGUGGUGGGGUUGGGGUUCUAGUUGCAGGUGAGGGUUGAGAUUUUGGUUGGAGAAGAAGAAGAAAAUGAAGGAGGAGGGGAUGAUGUGAUGAAUUUCUGGGUUAGUUUUUGGGGGGUGGGGAAAUUGAUUUUGUUAAUUGAUUUAGGGUUUUUCUUUUUAAGGAAUUUAGGGUUAUAUUUGUUAAUUGAUUUUUUUUUUAAUUAAAUUAAAAUUUCUUAUAUGUUAUUUAUUUUUUAUUUUUAAAAUCCACGUAAGCAUCAUUAACACAGUCAGCAGGCCAAAUCAUCACUCGUUGGAGCUUUGGGCUUCGGUGAGGACUUGAUCUAGACAUUUUGCAUUAUAGAGGACCUUUUGCAAAAUAUUUUUCGGCGCGGGACGUAGUUUAGACGACCACAAAAUACAAGAACCAAUUUGAGGAUUAACCAUUUAUUUUAUUUGGUAAUUUAUGGGAUUUUAGUCAUGGCACUUCAAUCUUAGUCAUGUAUUUUUUAUUUUUUAGUUCAUUUUAGAAUUUUCUAGAUUUAUUGGAUAUUUUUUAAGACAUUGAUGCUAAUAAUUGAAUUUUUGUAUUUUAAAUUGAAAGGACAUACGAAAUUUUAGGUAUAUGCACCUCGCAGCCAUUGCUCUAGUUCACUAUUUAUGGUUGUUGAGCAUGGAAUUAGCUAAUACUAAAUUUUGUUCCAAAAUUUUAGCUCAAUAAACACCAAUAUUAGCAAAUUGACAAUUGAGUUUUCCAUGAAGCAGUAUGGUUGAAUUCAUUUUGUGUUUCUUUCAAAAUUGGCAGAUAAUGAUAACACAGUCUAUCUCCUCUUCAAUAACUUCACAAAAUUCCGUUCACUUUCAAUUCACACGCAGUGUUUAAUUUGUGUGGCAGAAACACAGAGAAACAGAAAAAAGAUCAACAAUGUCAACAUUGACUGUACCUCCAAUGUUGCAUUCGCCUCGUGAUGAUGCUCGCAAGCUGCAUAAAGCUUUCAAAGGUUAAUGUUUGAUGAAAGAACAUGAAAUCGGUGUGAUCACUUUCAAUAAUGGAUUUGUGAAUUUGAAGCACUUUUUUUUGUUUUCCUUAUGCAUUUCUCAUUACAGGUCUUGGCUGCGAUACAUCUAAGGUUAUUCAAAUCCUUGCUCAUAGGGAUUCCGUACAGCGCGACCUCAUCCAACAAGAGUAUGAAACUACCUUCUCUGAAUCCCUUUCCAAACGUUUAGCUUCAGAGCUUCGCGGGCAUACCAAGGUACACAGAAGAAUUUCUAUUUGGAUAUUUUUGUUUGCAUCAUUGAGAAUAUAUCUCAGAAAUAGUAGAGGAAUGAUUGCUUUUUUCUUUUCCCCUUGUUGAUUCUAAAUGGCUUCAGAAAGCACUGAAACUUUGGCUUUAUGAUCCUGCAACCCGGGAUGCUGUGAUAGCAAGGAAAGCCUUAACUACAACACCAGUUUUUGAUAAUCAAGCUAUAACAGAAAUAAUAUGUUCUCGUACCCCGUCGCAGCUAAGGCGAUUGAAAGAAGUUUAUCUGUCAACAUACCAUUCCUACAUUGAGCAUGACAUUGAAAACCAAACAAGUGGUGAUCACAAGAAGGUGCUUGAUUUUGUUUCUUUGUGCACUGUAUAUAUAGUUAGUUUGGAUUGGUUUCUCAUUCCUUAGAAUCAACUCUGAAGCCAAGAAACUACUUACAGAAGGUUCUUCCCAGAAAAUGAUUAAGUACCAUGAUUAUUAACUCAUAACAUAUUUAGGAACAGAUAUAGAAGCAGGUUCGUAUUCAUUCCCUCUGGAUUUGAAUUCUUUGCAGUUAAGGGAAUCUCACGUUCACACAUUUAAACAUAUUUAGCCAUCUCAUUAAAAUCGGUCGUAUUUUGAGUUACAAUGCUAAAUUACUUAUCACCACUUAAAAUCUAUAUCGUUCGAAUAAUAUCAAACAGCUAAAAAUGCUUGAAUGUGUAAACAUGAAAUAGAAUCACGACUUCGUAGCCAUCUGCUCGAAAUCAUACGGUUCAGAUUUACAAUUAGAUUUUAGAUCUAUUGUUAGUCUAUUUAAAUUUAAGUCAUCUGAUCUUUUAUCAAACGAUUAUGGGUCAUUAGAGAAUUUAGAAAAAUUUAAAUGCAGGAAAUGCAAAUGUGUUUUUCAAUGGGACUUUUUUGAAAUUCAAUCCUGCGAAAGAAAAAUUAGCAUUCCUCAUGUAACUUUCUACGGUCAAGGACAUUUAACAAAUUUAUCAAUGCAUAAGCACAUUUUUCUUGAUACUCUAGCCUUGUGAAAACAUCUAAAAUACCUAGACAUGUUGAUGUUGGAUCCUUUAACAGUUGUUGCUUGCAUAUCUAAGCACACCGCGUUAUGAAGGCCCAGAAUUGGACAAUACAAUAGUACAACAGGAUGCCACACAGCUCUAUAAAUCAGGGGAGAAGAGGAUAGGAACUGAUGAGAAAAUGUUCAUAAAGAUCUUCAGUGAAAGAAGCAGCACACAUUUGGCUGCUGUUGACUCUGCUUACAGAGCUCAACAUGGAAACACACUUGAAAAGGUAUUCUUACAAUCAAGAAUUGACCUUCCUUGAUUUUUUCCUCUUUGUUGUUUGUUCACAAUCCAACUCAUCUUUCUUAUGAAGGCACUAAAGAAAGAAACCUCUGGUAGUUUUUUGAGAGGCCUCUUGACCAUACUACGUUGUGCUACUAACCCUGCUAUGUACUUUGCUAAGGUAUUUUUUGUUCUUAGUUUUACAUCUUCAAAAUUUCUAAUUGGUUUCUCAUGCUCCUUCUAAUUAUUUCUUUGCCAUUGGUUGUUGUUCUUUUUGAAUAGUUUUCUACUGAAUGUCUAGGGAUGAUCAAGAUUUUAUGUUCUCAAUUGGUCCCAAUUUCCUGUCCUGCAAAUAAAAUUGUGUCAUGUUGAAUAAAAAACACAUGACUAAGGUAGUUAUAAACUUAUAUGAUAGUUUUUAAUUGGUGAGUAUACACUUUAUUGGUGGGACAGAGAAUGAAGUACAAUUUGGGGACAAAAGAUUUCAACCCGUCUAUGAAGUGAAAAGUUAUAUACUCUAACCUUUUUGGGUCGAGUUUGGAAAAGUUUAUUUAAACUUAUCUUAUAACAUACUUAUAAAAAUAGAUUAUGACCUACCUACAAGAUGUUUUGAGCUUGUUUUCAUAAACUAUUUGAUUAGCUGAAAAAUAGGGCCUAUAAGAUGUUUUGAGUUCACUUCAAUAAGCUUCUUAAAUUGACUUAUGAAUAAGUAUUCAUGUGAUAAACGUUUAUUGCUCUAAUUUGAGUUUAUUUCAAUAAGUUUCUUAAAUUAGCUUAUGAAUAAGUAUUAAUGUGAUAAAUGUUUAUUUCUAUAAGUUCUUACUUAAUUUUUUUUCCCAAGCACACCCUUAGUCUUACUAGAAAAAUACAAUCUUGUCCUUUGAAUAUUUUCAUGAUGAACACCACAAUUGAAGAUUUCUCGGAUGUUCUGUUUUCCCUUUCCCUCUGUUAUUUACUGGUACAUUAUACAACUUUCAUUUUCAUUAGUCAUAUACCUCUUGUAAUAUUGUUACAUUUUUUAAGAAAAAAUUAAAAGUUAUGAACUUAUGAUAUGUUUUAUCUACUUAUGUCUAUGACAUAAGGCUUGACGCUUAUAUCCUUAUCUUUUGCAGAUUUUGCACAAGUCAAUGAAGGGUAUGGGAACUGAUGAUAGUAGACUAAUAAGGGUAAUUGUGACCAGGACUGAGAUUGACAUGCAACACAUAAAAGCAGCAUAUUAUAGUAAAUAUGGAAAACCACUAACUCAUGCUGUUCGUUCAGACACAUCAGGCAGUUAUAAAGACUUUCUAUUACAUCUUUUAGGCACUGAUUAUUAGUAUCUUGAAGUAGCUUUUGUAUUCGUAUAUAUGGACCUGCGUUUGUUAUGUUUAUUAUUUCAAUUUUACUGUUUUGAAUCACAUAUUUUUUCAUGUCACUAUUUAGGAUGUGGAUGGUUGCAAAACUAACUUCUUAUGAUUGUUUGAGUAAAAUUCUAGUAACAAAAAAGUGAUAUGCAACACUUAAUUUCUUAAAUUAAACAUUAUAUAUAGCUAGAUGUUGACCCGCACUUUACAAGAGCGAUCAUUAUUGUUGCAGUAAUAUUUUCCAAUUUUUGCUUUCAACUAUGAAACUAAAAAAUUAUUACAGUAGAAACCAUGAUGUUAGUCAUAUAUUUUGGAAACAAUGGGAAUUAGAUUGCAUACUAAUGUGACAUCACAAAAUUACAGUAUCAUGAAGCUAACUCUAUAUAAGCACACUCAAUUUGGCUGUUGUCGACUCGUUCAAUUUCCAGUUUCUUGAUUUCACCUCUAACUUCCGGAUGUCAAAGAUCCAACAAGUCGUUUGUCAAACGUUAUAGUUGUUAGAGUCUCACAUUGACUAGAGAUGUGGCCAAGCAAUUGUUUUUAUAUGGUUGUGCAAACUUUUUCUUCUUGUUAAAAUAUAUUAGAAUAUUAGAUUAGAAUAUUCUUUAUUUAUUUACCAAUGUAAUUACGCAUAUAAUCAGAUUUAGAUUUGUUUAGCUUUUAUUAUUAGUUAACUAUGUAAUUGUAUAAAUAGAGUGUUUGCUCAUCAAUAAUAUUCACGGAAUACAAUUCCUUCAUGGUAUCAGAGCCAAUGGUUGUUUGACCAUGGGCCUGGGCCCCUAUCCUAGAUCCAUUUGUUGUGGAAACCUCCCAUAUUUGGGCCACCCGUUUCAUUCCACGCUCCAGAUGUUCUACACUGGGCGUGAGGGGGUGUGUUAGAGUCCCACAUUGACUAGAGAUGUGGUCAAGCAAUUGCUUAUAUAUGGUUGUGCAAACCUUAACUCUUGAGCUAGCUUUUGAAUUGAGUUAGGCCUCCUUCAUGGUAUCUGUUGGUCAAUCUGCAAGUGCACAGAUAUCUCCGGGUUUUAAAUAUCGAAUCCACAGGGAAUUGUAAUGUGAAUUCAGUUUAAGAGUCAAGUUCAAGGUUAAAAAGCGAAUAAAAUUCAGUUUUUAAGAUUGGUUGUUUCUUUGAUUAUGUAAUAGAUAAAUGAACAAGUAGUAAAGUGAUCGAAAUUCAGAAAUGAGAUUGCCUUGGGUUCUUGUUCAACUAAUUCAGUUUUAGCAAACCUUCCUAUCCAAUAAAUCCUGAGUCUCUCCUUGAAGUUCUAGCCUAGAUAGUCAUCUAUCGAUGCCUCGUAAAGAAAACCCUUUCUAACCAAAAGAUAGGUUCAAUUCCUUGCUAACCUAAGCAUUUGAUAGAAGCAAUAAGCAUACAAUUCAGGCCAACCAACCCCAACCUCAACUCUUCCUCUAUUCCUAGCAGCAAGUAUAGAAGGAGUAAUCUCACAACAAGUCCCAAUUCUAUAAUAAACUAUCGUUAUGAUUAUAGAAAAGUAAGAAGCUAGCAUGCAUUCAAGCUUGAAAGAUUAAGCAUAGAAGUGAGAUUCAAGGGUUUACUCAGAAUAUUAUGAAUAGGAAAGGAAUUAAAAGCUAAAACAUCCAAAGUCUUACAAAGAACCCAAAACAAAGGGGUUUUUAGCCAAGCAUGGCUAUGGAAUCCAUACAAGAAGAUGAAGAUAAAACCUGGAACAUAAGGCCUAGAAGAAGUUCCUCAAGCUCCAGAACUCAAACCCUCUCUUUUAACUUAUUGAAAUAUGGUAAAAUGACAAAAGGUUUCAAGAGAAAUGACAAAAAUCCUAUUUAUAGGCAAAAUUGACGAGUUUACUGGUGUGUCGGGCGCUCAAGCGCCAGCACCAAAUCCUGGCACAAAAAGUAUCUGCCAACCUGGCGCUCAGGCGCCCAUGUGGAGCGCUUGAGCGCCCCAGCUCGCCUGAAAACCUCUUAAACUUCAACUUUAACACACUUUAAUGCCUCCAUCAAGCCUUUAAACCCCUUGGCCUUCUUCCUUCAGCUGUUACAACCUGAUUGCUUGCAUAGAAAGACUAGGAACAAANNNNNNNNNNNNNNNNNNNNNNNNNNNNNNNNNNNNNNNNNNNNNNNNNNNNNNNNNNNNNNNNNNNNNNNNNNNNNNNNNNNNNNNNNNNNNNNNNNNNNNNNNNNNNNNNNNNNNNNNNNNNNNNNNNNNNNNNNNNNNNNNNNNNNNNNNNNNNNNNNNNNNNNNNNNNNNNNNNNNNNNNNNNNNNNNNNNNNNNNNNNNNNNNNNNNNNNNNNNNNNNNNNNNNNNNNNNNNNNNNNNNNNNNNNNNNNNNNNNNNNNNNNNNNNNNNNNNNNNNNNNNNNNNNNNNNNNNNNNNNNNNNNNNNNNNNNNNNNNNNNNNNNNNNNNNNNNNNNNNNNNNNNNNNNNNNNNNNNNNNNNNNNNNNNNNNNNNNNNNNNNNNNNNNNNNNNNNNNNNNNNNNNNNNNNNNNNNNNNNNNNNNNNNNNNNNNNNNNNNNNNNNNNNNNNNNNNNNNNNNNNNNNNNNNNNNNNNNNNNNNNNNNNNNNNNNNNNNNNNNNNNNNNNNNNNNNNNNNNNNNNNNNNNNNNNNNNNNNNNNNNNNNNNNNNNNNNNNNNNNNNNNNNNNNNNNNNNNNNNNNNNNNNNNNNNNNNNNNNNNNNNNNNNNNNNNNNNNNNNNNNNNNNNNNNNNNNNNNNNNNNNNNNNNNNNNNNNNNNNNNNNNNNNNNNNNNNNNNNNNNNNNNNNNNNNNNNNNNNNNNNNNNNNNNNNNNNNNNNNNNNNNNNNNNNNNNNNNNNNNNNNNNNNNNNNNNNNNNNNNNNNNNNNNNNNNNNNNNNNNNNNNNNNNNNNNNNNNNNNNNNNNNNNNNNNNNNNNNNNNNNNNNNNNNNNNNNNNNNNNNNNNNNNNNNNNNNNNNNNNNNNNNNNNNNNNNNNNNNNNNNNNNNNNNNNNNNNNNNNNNNNNNNNNNNNNNNNNNNNNNNNNNNNNNNNNNNNNNNNNNNNNNNNNNNNNNNNNNNNNNNNNNNNNNNNNNNNNNNNNNNNNNNNNNNNNNNNNNNNAAGCUUUUCAGAAGCAAUCUCAUUGUAAACAAUACUUUUUAAACAGUUGUUUAUUUUUACCUUUAGGAGAUCAAGGUUGAUCGGAUCCUAGAGAAGACUAAGAGAGUGAAUCUUAGUGUGAGCUAAGUCAGUGUAUUGUUAGUCACUUGUAGGUCUCAAGUGCAGUUGUAACAAAUCUCUGAUUAGUGUAUUGCCUUCAUUCUAAGAAGGAAGAAAUCACCUUCACAGGUGGACUGGACUAGCUUGAGUGAUUCAUCAAGUGAACCAGGAUAAAAUUCUUGUGUGCUUUUCUCAUCUCUUAUCUUAAGCCCUUUACUUGUGUUUCGAAAGAUUUGCUAAAAUCUUAAGUGGGAAGUUUUAUUCUGAAAAUGCUAUUCAAACCCCCCUUCUAUCGUUUUUCAUACCUUCAAUCUUGUCUUGGUAUGCAGAUUCUCCUUCUUUCCUUCCUUCUUAUCCAGUACAGCAGCAACAUCCUUGUUGGUCCUGGGAAAAUGACUAGAAGCCUUCACAAUCUUUUUCUCUUUAAACCCUCUUGGUUUCCACUCUUUCCUUGCUUGAACAACAUGUGAAUUGAUCCUUGGUUGAUCAUGUUGCUGAGGAAAUCCAUACAAUCUGUAACAGUAGGGCCUUAUAUGUCCAUAUCUUCCACAAUGAUGGCAUCUCCAACUCAAGUUCUUUGCCUUCUUGCCUUGUGGGUAAGUAUACGGUAUUUGUUGAUACACAUGUUCGACACAAUGUUGUGGCAUCUGGCUUGACAUCUUGAAUUCAGUUUUUCUUUCUGCAGGAACAAACUUACGAGUGAUCUUUUUGGAUUCUUCUGGUGCAGAGUCACUCUCAUAUCCCAAACCUUUCAUAUCCUUGGUUGUCUUUCCUGUUUCUAACAUCAGAUCAAACAUAUCAGUACCAUUAUUCAACAUACGUACAGAUUUUAUCAUACCUUCAAGUUUAGAUUUCAGCACAAAUACUUCCUCUUGAAGAUUGUUAUUGAUAUCCAGCAUAUUAUGUUUUUCAUUUUCAAGACCUUUGACAGUUCUCUCCAGCUUCUUACCAUAGUCACACGCUUCUUGUCAAUUUUUGAAUUACAACUUGUAUGUUUCAGCAAGUUCUUCUUCUGAAAUUUCUCCAUCACUGGACUCAGUCUCAGAAUUGUAUUUCACAGUAAGUCCCAAGACUUGAUUUCUAGUUUUAUCUCCUUCAGAAUCUUCAUCAGACCAAGUGACCAUCAUCCCUUUUCCUUGUUUCUUCAAAAACGUUGGACAUUCUGCUUUGAUAUGACCAUACCCUUCACAUUCAAUACACUGAACCCCUCUGUCUUUGCUGGAUUUCUCUUCAUCCUUGCCUCUGCAUUGAAAAUCAAAAUUCCUGGUAAUGUCGGGCGACUUGUCCUGAACAUUUGUCAUUGACAUUUCGUUAAUUCUCUUCAAAACUUUGUUAAAAUUUCUACCAAGAACUGCUAUAGCUUCUGAAAUACUUUCACCAGUAUCCUUCUCAGACAUAUCAUCAUCUAAAUCUGUGCUUGAGACAAGGGCAAUGCUUUUAUUUCUCUUUUCAGGUCUAUCAUUCUGAGUCAUUUCAAAAGUCAUCAAGGAUCCAAUAAGCUCAUCCACCUUGAUACUGCUUAUGUCUUGAGCUUCUUCAAUAGCAGUUACUUUCAUGUCAAACCUCUUAGGAAGAGAUCUGAGAAUCUUUCUCACAAGCUUCUCUUCUGAUAUUUGUUCUCCCAAGGCGAAUGAGGAGUUUGCCAUAUCACGCAGUCUCAUAUGAAAAUCAGAAAUGAUCUCAUCCUCCUUCAUCUUUAAGUUCUCAAAUUGAGUUGUUAGAAUCUGAAGCCUUGACAUUCUAACUCUGGAAGUCCCCUCAUGAGCAGUCUUGAGAAUCUCCCAAGCAUCCUUUGCCACAGUGCAAGUGUUGAUCAAUCGGAACAUAUUUUUAUCCACUCCAUUGAAUAUAACAUUUAAGGCUUUGGAGUUUCCAAGAGCUUCUACAUCUUCUUCUUUCGACCACUCUUCUUCGGGCUUCAAUUCUUCUGUUGAAGUUCCUUCUUUAGAUACUACCACUGGAUGUUUCCAACCUUUGCCAAUUGCUUUCCAUGUUUUGUUGUCCAUAGAUUUAAGAAAAGCAACCAUAUGAGCCUUCCAAUAAUCAUAGUUGGUACCAUCCAAUAAAGGUGGCCUAAGGAGUGAUCCUCCUUCUUUAAUGUUGUCCAUGAAACCAGAAUACAUAUUCCCUAGAACUCACCCAAACAGAAUAGGGUGUCUGCUCUGAUGCCAAUUGAAAUUCGUAUUCACCUAGGGCAGAUGUGAUACACAAUGUUGCAACAAUGUGUAUAACAAUCAGAGUACCAAAAUUUAAAUAAACAGUUAAACAAAAGCACGCAACGAGUUGUUAACCCAGUUCGAUGAACAUCACCUACGUCUGGAGGGCUUCAGCCCGAGAAAGAUAAUCCACUAUAAUAGUCAAGCACGUACAAAAGGUUCACCAAGAACAGAAACAGUUCUAAACCUUUCUACCUAUUGCUACCAGUGGCUUAAUACUUAAGUCUCCCUCUAAGUAUGAGAACCCCUUCUCUCUUUCUCUCAAUCACUGCCUCAGUGAUCUCACUUGUCAAAAGCAAUAACAAGUUUUGCUGAGACUAGCACUCAACUAAACAUAUCAACUUAGUAUUUGCAAUAGCACAGGAAGCACUAAGUUGUUACAAUACUCACAACAGGACUCAAAUAAUAAACCCCAAGAUCAAUAUCUCACGCUCAGAAUCCCUGUAUAGCUAGGGUUUAUAAGCUCCUUUAUAUAGACGUUCAAACGAGGCUUGGAUCUUCAAUGGGCCGCACGUCAAAGAGUCCACAAAAGCACUUCUGGACAGAAUCUUCAAGGAAUCAAAUUGUGAGACCCAAGUUUUUAGCUUAGAAUAAAUUAGUAAAAUUUCUUAUUCACGAAUAAUUUCGAUGUGACGUGAAGUAAGGAAACUGGAUAAACGCUUAUUAAAUGGAAUAAAUGUAUGGAGAAGAUAUUUCACGAGAAGGUUAAGGACAAGAUUCGAAUCGACGGAACUUAUGACGCAAGUAUUAUUCGUUUACGCCUAGGACAAAAACCUUAGGAAAAUAUUAAUUUAACCCUUGGAACACUAUAGGAAAAUAUUCCAAAAAUCUUCAAGAGGAAUAUAAGAAUUUCUCUUAUUCCUUUCCAUAACGAGCGUUUCGAUACGAAACCCUGGAAUGUACGAAGGUCAAAUUCCAAUACUCGGAAGUUUGCCGAAACUAAAUCACGGAUAGUUCAAGAAACCUAAAAUCAACGGACUAUGAAGACUUUUUCUAUUCGGAGCUUCAAACGAAGAUUCCACACGCGUACCUAUUUCUCUCGAUGUUUCUAAUCUUUCUUCAGAACGAAGUUUUCUCAUCCGACAUCAACUGCAAAAAGUAACUUUUCGGGUAAAAUCGAUUUACACCGACUUUGGAUCGUUUGAUUUAAUUCCAAGAAACCUGUUUUGAGUUCUGGAAUUCUGUCGCCAGAACCUAUCUUAGAAUUCACGGAGGAAUGUGCAGGAAAAAUCGAAAUCGCGAAAUAAUCAUUUUCCCGCGUUUUCCAUUUUCUUUAAAUAGCUUGAAAAAUGAAAAAAAAUCAAAGAAAACAUCACAACACACACACACGGUCGUGGGGUUGCAAGGAGGAAGGAGGAGAUUUGAUUUUCGCCGAUUCUUGUCUGAUCGUCGCAUAGUUCAUUGCUACGCGUAGGCCUCGAGGUACUGAUGUUUUUCCUUACCUCUGAUCGUAAAUUCUGUCGCUUUUCUCUAUGUUUUUCUGUGCUCAAAGUUUUGAGCUUUUUGUAAAACUGUCCAAAUAACUUGAUUUCUCUGUCUAAACUUAUUCCCUACGUGCCCCUGAGCAUGUUUAGCGGAUUACAUUUCGCCGAAUCUCGCCGAAAUGCCGCCGAACUUCAAUUCUGCUCAUAAUACCCAUUUUUGGCUAAAGUUCCGUCCUUUGGGCUUAAAACUCUCGACUAAGCUUAGCGUUAGUAGGAUUAGUCGUCAUAAUCGUCGUUGGUAUCGACCCCAUCUAAUUUGUUUUUCGAAAUUCUGAUUUUGAGUUUCCGAGCUAAAAAUAUUGACCAAAAUACCCCUGCGACAGUUUUCGACCUGAUAAUUUUUCUGAGAGUUUCUCUGGCCUAGAUAUCGCCUAAGAAUACCUAGGAAUUGAUUUAGAUCGAAGAAAAAGUUCGGAAACCCUAUUUUUGAGAGUGGCCGAAACCUAUUUGUUAGGGUACCGUGUCCAAAAAUAAUUUUUGGGUCUCUAUGACCUAAGCCAUUGCGUAGCUCUUUCAAUUGUCGAAAUUUUGGCUCCAGUUUCGUGUCAUUCCGAGUUCUGUAGCUCGAGUUAUGCGCAUUUUAGCGAAAACCUGUCUUAUUGUCCAUUCGUGCCUAAAUGUCGAACUCUAGAGUUUCAAAAACUUCUUUUCGGGUUUUGAUAGUGUUAUUAGUUGUUUUGUUUCUUAGCGACUAAGCAAUGAUACUUUGCUUAAGGUUUGGAACGAGUUGAGCUGAGGAAAGAGAUUUUGGAGCAAUUGGUGAGGUUUCACAACUGAGGAGGACGCCCGGGGAACUUGCUGGGUUCGGGAGCUUUAUUUUGGAUUGGACUGGGAUGUUGAGCUUGGAUGGAGAAAUUGGCUAAGGUAAGGGUAACUCAGUUUUAGAGCGUCUUUGAGUCUUGCAUGCUUUAAUCGCACUGCUUGCGUUUGAGAUGAAGUUGUUUAAACUUGAUUGGUAAUUGAUUAAAAUGUUGGUAUGCUUGCAAUGUUGUAUGCUCGCUUAUAUUGACUGUUUCUGAGGUUUGUGCCAAAAGUUUUCUGAAGGCUUCGGCCGAGUAAACUUAUGGAGACGUGUGUCUCCGAUUUCCGAGAGGCUUCGGCCGUUUACUGGUUUCUGUCAUUGAGUUGAGUUGACGUAUGCUUGUUGAUAUUAAGAGUAACAUAGGGUUAUUCUGUCUUGAUUAUUGGAUUUGAAAUUAUUGAUAUAUAUUUGUGCAUAUGCGUUGUUGGAUUGUACUGUGUGGCCUUCGUGGCGUUAAGUGGCGAUGAGGAGGUGUAGUCCUAUCAUUGUCCCGUCUUGUGAGACGCUAAGUGGCGAUGAGGAGGUGUGGUCCUAUCAUUGUCCCGUCUUGUGAGACGCUAAGUGGCGAUCAGGAGGUGUGGUCCUAUGAUUGUCCUGUCUUGUGAGACGUUAUAAGUUGCGAUCAGGAGGUGUGGUCCUAUGAUUGUCCCGUCUUGUGAGACGUUAUAAGUGGCGAUGAGGAGGUGUGGUCCUAUCAUCAUCCCGUCUUUUGAGACGUUAUUGAUUGACUCAUAUUGUUGGUUUUAUUGUUAUCUGAUAUGUUAAGUGGUUGAUAUCUGAUUUGUUGUUAUAUUGUUGAGGAUUAUUGAUAUCUGAUUUGUUGUUAUAUUAUUGAGGAUUAUUGAUAUCUGAUUUGUUGUUAUAUUGUUGAGGAUUAUUGAUAUCUGAUUUGUCGUGAUAUUGUUGAAGUUGUUGAUAUCUGAAUUAAUGUUGUAUUGUUGAGGAUUGUUUAUAUCUGAUUUGAUUUAUAUUGUUGAGGUUGUGGAUAUCUGGUUUGAUUUUAUGUUGUUGAUUUUGCUGAUAUCUGAUUUAAAUCUAUGUUGUUGAUAUCUGAAUUAAAUUUAGGUUGUUGGAUAUAUGUCGUUAUCUAUCUUGAAUUAAGUUGCUAGCUUAUGUGCCAUGUUACACACUUAAACUUUGAUAGCAUGCUUUUCCCUUUUAUACGUGGUAAUUGCAUGGAGUUAACCCUUUCUAAUUGCUAUUUGUUGUUUGGGCGCUUAACGCUAUUAGGCGUUGGAGAACCCUCGAUGAAGCUUGACCUUUGUACGAGUCGGAGCUGAAGACUUGAAGAUUAGUGGAAGACAUGAAGAGUAGAGUCGGGUUUAAGGCUAGAGCCUUGGGUUAGAGAGCUUACCGUUAUUGGUUUAAGCUUGCAUAAAGAUUUUAGGAAUUUAUAUUUGAGGUUUCGGGUAGGUUCUGAUUCAUUGCUUUCCUGCGGUUCCCCGAUGUGGAGAUCGUAGGGAGUAUGUCGGAUUCAUGGUGUCAUUGCAUCAUAGGUUUUUGUUGAGUUGUUUCUAUUGGUUAGGUUUUGUAGUUGGGAGUAUGCAUGACAUGUUUUGGAAAUACACUUCGAAAAGAAAAAAAAAAUAAUACUCGUGUUUAUAUAUUCGUUUGGAAAAUAUUGCAUAUUUACUUUGAUAGGUUACUAAAGUGACACCUGAAAAUCGGGGCGUUACACAAAUCUUACCAGAAUAAAAUAACAGAACCAAGUAAAUUGAAGUUCAAACUUUGAGAUAGACUUGGUUCACACGUUAUCAAUCUUGUUACUUCAGCCAAGAUUAAAACAAACACGCCUUCAGAAGAUAAAACGCACAGCAUAGAAUAAAUCUUCUGAAUUUCCAUACAGUCAGCAGCCCAACAAACAACUUGAUUUCAGCGAUUGAACUACCAACAUACGUAAACGCAACAUGUUGCUCCAGAUGUCGGAACAUAUGGUUGCACAUCGUGUUUUGUGCAAAAUGCAGCCAAUCAAAAAAACUACACUUUCUACCUACAAGGGGAAUGUCCUCAUGGCCCAUGAUGUUCACAAAAGCAUUAAAUUCAGAAAUCUCCCCCAAACCGCUUCUGCCUUCUGAAGAGGACUGUUUCCUUUCCUCAGGACAUCUAACAACGUUAAAAUCUCCUGCUACGCACCAAAUAGUCUCCUCCAUUGACUCUUUCAGGCUGAUAAUAUCACCCCACAGUUGUCUUUUCCCCCCUAAGUUACAGGGGGAAUAGACAUUUACCAGUAAACAGUCAAUAACCUUCCAUUUGCCUUUAAGACCAAGGAAACCAGAACCAACAAAACUCUGCUCAAGAGAGAAGGCAUCUUUAUUCCAAACGCACAGUAGGCCUCCUGCACUAUUGACAGCCGGAGAAGCCACCCAAUCCAGAUUGCCAUCUCCCCAGAUCGAGUUGCAGAGAGGUUUAUCCACCAAGGCAAUUUUUGUCUCUUACAGGAGAAGCAUUUCAACUGCUUCAGACGCUACCAUACUUCUAAUAAAUUUCUGUUUCACCCUACCACCCAUCCCCCGCACAUUAAAGCAAAGCAGCUUCAUCAGGCAACCGAUGGCAAUCCUCCCCGCACUACAAUUAUCUUAUUGGCAUACUGUGCUUCAUCACGUGCCUCCAACUCCCUUAAUUUUGCAAUCAAGUCUUCAUCACAACCCUUGUAAUUUACACCAAGUGACUUUCCAAGGCUCCAAAGCUUUUCUGCCUCCUUUGUCUCAUCAGCCAGUAAAGAUUAUUGCAAUUCCGUAUCCCAUCAUCAGAAAUUGAGUUACUAAAAGAAUGAGUAAAGUGACGAACCUCCUUCCUCUUUGUUGCGUUUAAAUUAUCACCAAGAAAAGGUUUGUUCGUCCUUUGUGAGCCCUCUAAUUGGUACUCCUCCAGUGUCCUCUUUGCAACAGGACUUACUUCCUCAAUGGAGUCUGAUGCGGAAGAUGGAAGUGGGUCGCCAGCAGAUGCAUUCGCUGCAGAUCGAGAUCAAUCUUCCCUCAAGCACACUGCGCCCUCGAGAGGGUCAAGACCAGCUUCAACCUCGGAAGUUCCACCAAAAGCGAACCUCAGGAUGAUCGGGCUCUCCACUGCACCCUUAUCGGGGGCAAGGCUGCUACUCAAAGAGCAAGGCUUAACAGGGGAAGGGACGUUGUUCGCGAUGGACCCAAGGCAGAAGGGAUUACCCGGUCCAGCCAAACACAACCCAGGAGAACAAACAGGACCCUCCCUUACUAGUGGCACGUGUGAAGGGCCAGCCGGAGCAGGGGCCUCACGUGCUCUAAGGGGCCCACGAGUAUCACUACUUCCCUCCACAGGUAAAGGAACUCCCACCCCUUUUCCAAUGGGAGCCAAGUCAACUCUCAAAAUUUCUGAUCCAAGAGAGAUGUUUGAAACCUGCCCUACAACCAGCCCUUGUGUCUCCCUUACAAACUGACAGGUUGGUAAACAAUCAGCGUUUGUCCCCGAGGCCACUGGGGAAGCAUUAACAUUUUUUGUCCUCGUACCACCCGAUUGGUCCCUCUGAUCCCCUUGGUUUGUGGGCCCUCACAUCACCAACUUAGGGUUUAGCAGGGCACCCGAAGAGUCGUCGCCGUCCUCUGAAUCGUCGGAGCCUCAUGAAGCUGGGUCUACCUCCGUGUUGAACCACCCACUAGACACUGAAUCUUUCUCAGAGGCAGGUCCCUGAAAGCAGCAGCAAUUAGAGAAACACGUUUCUUCAAAGAGACAAACGUCAAAGACAUUGUCUUUCCAUUUCAGCUUGGUUGAAAAAGGACCUAACUUGGUGAAGUGGGUUCGGACUUGAAUCCUUGCCCACUCCACCCGAUUGAACUCUUUGGUUUCAGGAUCGAUUGAGACCAAUGAACCGAAAGAGGAGACGAGCUGGCUAAAGCAACCCCAGUUCCAGAGGUGCAGGGGAACGCCUUCACAUCUAAACCACCUAAUUCGGUGGCUUAACCCAAAAGAGGGACUCCCAGGUUUCACUUCUUCGAAAGUGUCCUCCAUCCAAGUGCUCAUCCCCUGCAGUGAGACCUGAAGGUCAUCGUCCUCGUCUCCAGUGAGGAGGACAAGGUUAUCACCCAAAGACCUUACCUUCACAGCCUUAAAGCCUUCUAGAAGAAAACUAUCCUAAAGAGUUUCCACUUUCUGAAGGUCCUUCAGCUUGCCAAUCAGACUCCUUCCCAACCAGUUAUCAAUAGUACCUUCCUGCUGGAGAGCCACGAGAUUCUCCUUGGCCUCCACUGUAAAUUAAUCGCAUCCUGGGUAGGAGAACCAACAUGGCCAGCAAGAGCCUGCUUGUAGGACAAAGGCCCACAAGUCCCUUCUCUCCUUGGUCCAAGAGCAGGGUAGGUAGGAGCCUGAUGACGGAGGGGUUUUUUGUGCUCCGAAUUCCUUCCAGAGAGGCGCAUACCUGCAAGACCUGGUUUGCCGCCCCCACCCCCAUGGUUGCUGAACCUUGGCAGGUUAACAAAGAGCUUUUUACCGCAGAGGAAAGCUUGGUCAAGCUGUCGUUCGAGAAGCAUAGGGUCCCUGACGUUCUUAAACCUGACGAAGCCAAACCGCAUCCCUGCCUUGGUCCUCUUAUUAGGGAUGAACACCUCCCACACUUGCCCCCAGCCAUGGAAAAAGGACCACAUUUCCUUCUCCCCAUGGUCAUCCGGAAAGUGGGAGAAGAAAAACGAAGUGAUUCCUCCAUUGUCCCUCUGUUUCCGACGCCCCACCACCUUUUCCCAUCCGUCAUCCUCUCCCCCUCUCUCUCUACCUUUCUCUCUCAUAUUUUUUCUUCUUCAUGUUAAUACUAAUUUUAGACACUAAAACAACCUAGUCUUAAUGAUCAUAUUGUUGGGCUAAAUUAAAGGAGAUGAUUUAAAACUCGGGGGAUAAAACUCUAUAUUGGGCUAAAGAGCAAACCACAAGUGAGUUGGACACCACAUCUUUCACCAGGGCCUUUAGGCCAAAAAGGCAACUGCCUAAGGCCUCCAACAAAACAAAACAAAAAUUAGGCCCAAAUUUUGUUUUAGUUAUAAAUGAAACGGCCAAACAGUGAGCUUAUGUGUUGGCUAAAUUUUCCAAUGUUGUCACGUUGGAAAUUGCAAAUAUAAUUGAAUGCUUGAUUGAUAUACAAUAUAUAUAGGAUUUAUUAGAAAUACCUACUAGAAAUAAAGACUCAUAGUUGAUCAAAAUAAAAUAAAUAAAAAUCAUUCAUCUUCCCUAAAAUUAGCCAGGUACAAAGGGAAGUUACAUAAUAUUCUUUUUUAAAAUAAGUUAUAUCAAUAUCAUCUCUUUUAAAACUAUUCAAUAUCAUCAUUAGUAUAAUUUAAAAUAUUUAUUUAUCCUAAAAAAUUAAAUUCCUUUUAUUCCUUAAUUUAUUCCAAUUCUCUCUCAAUCUUUUACUCUCUCCCUGGUUUAGACUACAGACGUUUAGGCAUGAUGUGGUAUAUAUGAAUAAACUUGCAUCUCCUAAUACUAUGAUGAGAUAAUAUGCAAAUGGAGUUGCUGGGUUUGGAUUUGUCAAACUUUAUGAUUAUGCGAACAAACGGAAAUUAACACCCAGUGAACAAACCUCUGUUGAAGAUGGAAACAAGAUGCAAAAUAUUGGUUUUGAGGGUCGUGGAAAUAAGCAUUGAUUAGCUGGGGUUUGCUGUAAUUUUGAUAUGCUCUCAUGCUGUUGUCAUCAAAAGAUGUUGCUAUGGUUGCUGCAAUCAUGUCAAUGGAGAUGUUUUUCGAACCUGAAGUACUGUGGCAGUUAAAUUUGUUGGCUUUUGAAUUUGAAAUCCGUACCUUAUAAUUAGACUAGUUGUCUCGACUUUGGUGCUAUGUUAGCAGUUUUAAUCAUUUCAUUCUGCAUAUGUUAUUUAUUUGCUUUUGGUAAUUACAAUAUCUAUGGAUGUCGAUAUUUUGAUUUAAAAAAAAUUGAUUGUGAAGAUUUAUCUUGCUAAUAGGAAAUAUGGUGGUGUGCCCAUAAAGAAAUCAGACAUCAAAUGGCAUAGACUGCAGAUGUUAUGUAUUGAGAUUUAUGAGACUUGAUCCUUUCCGAAUCCUCACAAUCUCCAUAUAAGGUAUGUGGAUGUUUACUAAAUUUAUUGUCAUGAUUUUUUUACUCUCUGCUAGUAUCUUUUUAAGGAUAUAUAGAAUGAUAUUUUUGUUUUGAAUUGUUAUCUUAUUUUUGCAGGAGGUCAAAAAUUGGAUGUGAAAUGUUCAAAUAGAUAUGAAGAGUUUUUGCAGGAUGUGAGAUGUCCAAAUGAAAUCUGACGACCAACCAAGUGUGUAAUAUGUUGCAGCAUUGGUGUUAGUUGUAUUUUGUUUAAGCUAUGUUCUAUUAGCUUUGUAAUGCAACACAGUCAGUGGCUUUUACUGGAACAAUGUAUGAAUUUAAUUAAGUAUUAUUUCCAUAUAAAUUAAGUUUAUUAUUUGAAGAAUUUGGUGUAUUGAGAUUUUUCUGCUGCAACAUUUAGCGUAAUGCAACACUGUAAAAUUUAAUUAUUGUUGAUAUGUGUAUAGAUAUCUCCCCAAUUGACCGUGGCAAUAGAAGAUAAGUAUUGCCACGGUUCCCCACUUGACUGUGGCAAUAGAUGUAACUUAUUGCCACGGUUCCCCACCUGGUCGUGGCCAUAGAUGCAACAUAUUGCCACGGUCCACGCUUAACCGUGACAAUAGAGGCCACAUAUUGCCACGGUUGUCCUUUUCUCACUGUGGCAACAGGUGAAGCAAUUGCCACGGUUCGCCCUUCAACCGUGACAAUUGAGCAAUUGCCACGGUGGCUAUCGCCACGGUUUAACCGUGGCAAAAAGGCGUGCGACCGUGGCGAAAAGCCUUUUCUGUAGUAGUGGUGAAUCGAAAUUGAGUUUAAUGAUAUCCAAACAUACUCAUUCAGUCAUACAGAAUUGAAGAUGUAACAUGUCAUUCCAUUAAUUCCUAAUGGAGUAAUCUCCAAAGUUAACUAAAUCAAAUCUUACAUAAAAUUGAUAAGGAGUUCCCACUUUUUCCAUGUCUGAAGUGUCAGCAGAAGACUCACCCUAAACAACUAAAGGAUACAUAAGUGAAACUAAACCCUGAGUUACAAAGAGAAAAAACAUGGACUUAACACACCCACAGAACAGUUAAAGUUACUUUUUGACCAACCUAAUUAGUAGCAACACCAAGAGUUAUAAUUUCACUAAACAAGAAAACUCAAGAGAAUAAAUAUAAACUAUGAUUAGAUUCCAGCAAGUUGUUUGAUUUGAACACACAUGAGGUUGAAGCUAGCUAGCACUGAAACUCCUCAUCAUCAUAUAGAGACUAGAGUCCCCCUAGAGCUAACCCUAGCGCCUCUUUGGAGCAGUUUCCUUCCGUGCAUUGAAGUAGACAGCAGCAACAGGGAGGCCAAGAUCAUUCUCAGCAGAGAAAUCGCGAGUGUUGAAGUGAUCCCUACUUGAAGUUGAAGCUGAUGGUGGGGUAACACUAACAACACCCUUGUUCUUGCGAUUUUGCUUGAAAAGGACAAACACAUACCUGUGGAUCCCUAUAAUAGGCAUUGGGAUCUCAUAGCUUGUCAACUCCUUUCCUGAUAUGUGUAUAAACAUCCCCACCCCAAAUCAAGGGGGGGCAAAAAAGAAAACGGAGAUUGGGGUCAGUUUGUUUCAGUGAGUAGUGAUCUCUUUAUUCUAUGUCCAUGUGCAUUUUUUGAGUACUUUAAAGAAAUAAUGGUAACCUACCAAAUGUGGCAUCUGUUGAGCCUGGAAUGUCAGUCACCAUCCUGCACAAAUGCAAAUAGUUUCAUUGUUAUUUGGGGACCUCCCUAAUAGGAAUGAUUGUAAGUUCCAGAGUUUUUUUUUUUUUACCAUCUCUGUUAGUUCUAAGGUGAUGGACGAAGUUAAAAAUUAAUUCACAUGAACAUAUAUAUUUUACAUUCAGUACAUUAUAUUUAUAAUGUGUUAUAAUAUGCUGAAAUUAAUUGGCACAAAAGCAUUUUAACAGGCGCCAUGUUUUUCUUUCCACGUCACUUCAAUUGGGUUUGUUUCUAUACCAAAAUUUACAUGAGAGAUAGCGAAAUAAGAGAGUGAGAGUAAUAGAGGUCAUAUAGGAAAAGUUAUUAGUACAAAUAUAAAUAUUGCAGACGUCCAGAAAGCCAAGAGAUAGAAGAAAUGGACAUGUAUAUCAUAGAUGUGAAAACUAGAGUGAUAGAUAGAAGAAAUGAAGUAUUUAAAUGUUUGUGGGAUAUUUGCACUAUUUGUAUGUCUAAAUAUAUCAUUAAUGAUACUUAGAUAUUAAACUAGUAUAACUAUAAACACCAGCAAAUAUCUUUUUUUUUCUUAUCACAUCACAUUAUAUAUCACAUACUUUACUUAUUUUAUUUUUUUUCUCUUCUCACCGUGCGUAUGAGGUAUCCAGAUAUUUCUGUCCCUGAAUAUUUACAAGCCCUUUCUUCACAUGAUAUUUCCUCUCAAGUUUAAUAAUUAAGUUUUGUUAACACUUCCAUGUGUGCACUUAUAAAGAGGUAUAAAAAUGAAGACAAAAAAAGAGUGAUAUGAUAUGUAAUUUAAUAAAAAAAUAUAGUAAAGAAAGAUUAAAAUAAAAAACAGGAUGAAAAUUAAUUGUAAAAGAAAAUGAAGUGUGAAGAUACAAUAGCAUCAAUCAACUAACCACUUCAAUAACUUAGACAACGUGUGUGUGUGAUUUAUAUGGACUAUAAUAAACCUUAUUUAGUGAGGCAAUCAAGCAAAAUAACUGGUUUCAAGGUCUUAUUUACUAAGUACCAGUGCAAGUGCUCUCUAAGAUAAGGAUCACUAGGGCCAGGAACAUCUGGGUCUAUCAUGAUCUGCAGGGAAAAGAAGACACUGUAUGAUUAUAGGGUUUCUAUAUCCCUUUAUUUUCUGUUAAUUAAAGAAAGGGAAAGAGAUAAUAAGGGGUUUUCCAGUAUAUAUAUACCAGUGUAAAGAGGGACCUCAUGUCACCUCCAAUCUCAAUCCUGGGCCUGGUGGUCACUGUGGAAGGGAAGAGCUCAUAUCCGUUGAAGAUUUCUUUCUUAUUGUAAAAUACAGACAUUUUUAUGGUUGGGAUGAAAGGAUCAAGAACAUCUCCAAUCACCGUCCCAACUUUUAGAGGAUCUGACAACACCCUAGCCAUCUAGGAAUAAGGAAAAGGAGAGAAAGAAGACAAGUGAAGAAUGCAACUAUUGGGAGCACGAACUGCAUAUUUAUAGUCUCUUAAAGGCAACUAUUGAGAUAGUAUUGCUAAUUCAUUUCUUAUCUUAAAACUAAAAUGCAAGAAAGUGUACGUUUUACCUAUCGAGAAAUUUUAACAAAGAAAAUAAUUAAAGGCUAGAACUGAGAAGAAAAAUGAACAUGUACACAACUUGGGCACGUUGAAAAUGAGAGGAUAUAUGGUCUAAUAUGUUAUAUAUAGGUGGAGAGAAAAUAAGGCAAAUAUACAUUUUGAGGAGUUUUUAACUUAUUCCAUUAGUGUUUCAAAAAAAACUUAUUCCAUUUGAUUAAAUAUUAUCUUAGAUGGAUCAAUGUUCGAGAUAUAAUAAUAAUCUUCCUACUCUUAUAUAUCGUUUGUCAGUUAUACAACCGACGCGUGUAAUUUAUAACAAGUUUUUAAUGCCACAAACAACAAUUUCUUUUCAACUUCGCAAUUUUACACCAUAGGCGAACAAAGCAUUCAUAAUUUGUCUUGGUUCACCUUAAGUCCGAGAGCCAUAGAAAAAUCAUGAAGAACAUAAAUUUUAUAUUUGGUCAUUAGAUGCGUAGCUAAAGAGUAAAAUGUCAUCCACAAAUAGGAGAAGAAUAUGAUAGUUACUAACAAGAUCAAGCAGCUUUUGCAUAUCCUAAUCUACCUUCUAUUGAACCAAAAGAGGAAAAGAAUUAUUACAUACCGAGAAGGAACACAUAAGGAGACAUGGGGAUUCCUUGUCGCAAUCCCCUAGUGGGAGUAAAACCAUGAAGCUUGGAGUCAUUUCGAAGCAAACAUAGUUAAGCAGGUCGUACACACCACAUGAGGAGUGAGUGACACAAUAGUAGCAGGAAACCCGAAUUCUUGAAGAGUUAGUUGAAGUUAGUCUCAUCUAACAUUAUCGUAGGUUUUCUCUGACUUUUAGAUUGCUUUAUAGAGUGCAACGUCUCUUGGGAAAUGAUUGCAUGAAUAGAGGUACCACGAACAAGCAGGAAGCUUCCUUGAAGGGGGAAAUGUGGUCUGAGAGAAAGGUCUCAUUCGAUUAACCAAGACUUCCGUGAUGGUCUUAUAUACAACAUUGCAAAGCUUAUCGGUCUAAAAUCAUUCACACACCCAGGCUAAGUGACUUAGGGAUAACAACAACAAGAGUUUCCGACAAGGAUUAAUCAAAGAUACCUAAUCGGAAAGCAUCCUUCACCAAACGCCAAACCUCAUGGCCAACAAAGGACAAUACUACUUAAAUAAGAAAAGUUGAAAGCCACUCAACCUAGGGGAUUUAAAUGACUUAAUACAAAUAUUGGCUAGUCGAACUUCAUCCAAAGAGACAAUAGAUAGCCAAGAGGGAAUUUUGUUCCUCCACCCCAAGCAGAGAGAGAGAGAGAGAGAGAGAGAGAGAGAGAGAGAGAGAGAGAGAGAGAGAGAGAGAGAGAGAGAGAGAGAGAGAGAGAGAGAGAGAGAGAGUUUCACAUAACCAUUCACUUAAGUCUUUUAUAAAUAAUUGUAUUUGUCCACCUAGAACGAGGUUACAGCUUCAUUACAAAAAUUGGCAACCUUUUACAUAAAUAUGAUAACUAGACCGUGUACGGUAGAGACACCUUUUAAACACCCAUUUUAAAAUUUUGCUUUGCUUAACUUAUGAUGGUUAGAAACUGCCACAUUUUUUUUCCUGCAAAUGUUCCCGCAAAUUCUCAGCGAGAAUUUUUCUUACAAAAAAAUUAUAUAAUUAAUAUACAAACAAUUGCGAAAAUAUUCGUAGGUAAAUCUACACAAACACGGGUGUUCAACAUUUCUCGUCAUCAUAUUUAGACUCUCCUUACAUAAAUAAUGUAACGAUAAUUUGUGUAUCCUGUUUUUUUUUAACAACACAUUCAAUUUUUGACGGUGAGAAACUGCCACAAGUUACGAUGCUGGUGCCACUAAAAAACGAUGUACAAAAAUCAUUUUUGUAAAUGGGUUUACAUUAUUUUAUUUUAUUAAGAAUAAAGCAAAUAUUGCACCAAUUAUCCAUUAUUUCCUUUUCAGUUUUUGAACCAACCUAAUAAUUGGAAAGAAAAUUAAUCUUUUCUUUUGCUUAAUUCUUUUUAUUUUCCAUUCAAAUAUUUAAAAAGUCACUAAAUUUCUAUUUAAUUCUUCUUAUUUCCAUUUAUUUUAUUUUCUUCUUAAUUUUUCAUGCAUCCAAAUAGUGUUGCUUUAUUUUAUGGUGAAGAGAAAAUAACAUACAAGACCAAGAUGUAAGUCUCACAGAAAAAGUCUUUUCUUCUUUAUUUUAGAGAGAAAAUUACUUAAUUAUUUACUAGAAUAUCUUCAUUACUUUCGUGCAUUAGUUUUUUUACUUUACACACAUUGUUGAGAUUAAUGGAUAUGCUUUUAAAGUGUCAAUAAGUUUUACACUAACAUUUAACUAUAUCAUAUUACAUAAGAUUAAGUGAUUACAUUUCUAUUUAAUUUUAGUUAAAUUAAAAUAAAAAUUUGAUGUGAUGGAAAUCAAUUAUGCGCAUAUAUAAAAAACUUCACAUUUUUUAUAAAUAAAUAUUAGUUGUUAGUAAUGUUAAUAAAAAAAACUUCAGUGUUUCUCAAGUUUCAAGGAAAAACACCAUUUUCUCUACAUUAUUUUUACUUUUCAUUUUUCUAAUUGGUUGUUUAAAAAUUUAGCACUCUAAAUUUUUCUUUAAAAAAAUAUAUAAGUAUACAAUUUUCUUAUUUUUUUCAUAAUCUGAAUAAUUUUAUAAGAAAAAAAUUAAAGCCUCCUUAUUAAUCAGUAGUACUAAUAAGUAAAAACAGAAGUACAGAAACCAGAACCUGCUGGUACGUUUACUACAAUUGAAAUUUCUUAAUUUGUACAUGUACAUUGAUAUCAAGACAACAAGUUGCCAUUUUUUGAAAUCCAUUUUUUGAAAUAAACAAAGUUAUAUUGUAAAAAUAAUAUAAUAUAACAACUCUGCAGAAGUUUAUUCGAUUUCAUCAUUCUGAGUAUCUAUCUAUAUACUAUAGAAAAGAAGAACUCUGUGAGACCCACUUAGAUGAGUUGGCACUCCCAGGUUCACUCUUAUCCAUCCUCCCUCAUUAGCGGACAAGUGUCAAGCUCUAAAUCAUUCUGACAAAUUUAUGGCGAGACAAUUUCUCCUUAAUUUUAGUUUUGUGGCCCAUCAUUGACAAUCUAUUGAAUAAUCAUAAAAAAUCUCAUUAAUUGUUGAUUAAUUUUUUUUAACUGUCCAUUUAUGCUGAAUCAAAAGUCAUCACCCAUCAAUGACUACUUAUGGAAUAGUCAUUCAAAAUAUUAUUAAUUGUUGUUUAAUUUUUUUUAAACUCUUCAUUAAUGCUAUAACAAAAGUCAUCACCCAUCAUUGACUACCUAUGGAAUAAUCAUUCAAAAUCACAUUAAUUGAUGUUUAGUAUUCUUAUUCAUACAUAAGGCUUAAAAACGAAAACUUUCUCACUUUUGUUAUACGUAUCUUGCUUUUUUUUAUGUGAUUAAAACCGAUUUUGCUAACCUUUCAAAAUCUACGUUUUUGAAAUCAAGAUUCAAAUUCAAAUUUUAAAAUUUUGACAACCUAUAAAUUUAAAUUUUGAAUAUUCUUUUUGGAACAAUAUUCUCCUUUCAUUUUUCACAUGCAAACAACAUAAACCCUAAUUAUUUUCAUCUAUAUAAACUCCCUUAUGUAAUUCUUCUCCUCUAUCAUUUCAUCCCUUAACCAUCAUCUAAGAACUUUGAAAUAACUGUUGUUGUGAUGACUGGGAAAUUGAGAAGCAAAUGUUAAAAAAGCAAAAAAAGUUCAGGUAUUGCUUUUGAUUCAACCAAUUUCUUGCCAUAUCAUAAGGGUAUAGUUACACCUCUAUGAACAUUAUGAAAUGAUCUGCAACGUGUGUGAUUUAUUGAAAUGAUUUUGAUUGGAGUGAUGCUCUUUUACUUUUCCUUCUGUAAUUCCAUAUGCCUCAUCACCAUGGGACUUUUAUUGUGAAUUGGAAUUGGGAAUGGUGAGCUUAUAUGGAAGAUUCUUGAAGAGUGAAUACAACAUGUGAGGUUUUUGCCCUCUUCCUACUUUCUGUUAGAUUUUGCUGAAUUUUUUGUUUGUUUUUCCAGAGUGGCUUGGUUGAGUUUUGUUCUACAAUUAAAAACCAAAGAAGAAAUAGAAGGAAGGAGAGGUAAGCCUUGUGAAUUUUUUGAUUCACAUUUAUUUUGAGCAAAGCAUAUUGAAACAUAUAACUCAGGAAAACAUAUACAUCUUUAGAUUUUAGGCAUGAAUCUUCAUCUACUGACCUUGCUGCAUGAUUUAAUGUUCAGCAUGUUACAAUUUGGUUAUACUCUUUUUCUUUUGGUGUUCACAGAUUUUGGUUGAGGAUGACAGUGUUGAACAGUUGCGGCUUACAUAAUUAGUAUUAAGUGAUGUAAGUUAAAAUAAAAUUAAAUGCUAUUAUAUAUGCACAUGCUAUCACUAUAGAAUAGUUACGUAUUGUGAAUUUCAAUUUUUACUCUAAUUUCAGGAUGAUUCAGAUCCGUUCAUGACAACUACUUUUGGAUUAAAGGCUGAUGCAUUAUCUUCUUCCAACUUAGCAAAAAUUGUCGUUUUAUUUUGUAAUUUAUUUAUUUAUUCGUGCAUGUUGAGUUAUUUACUGUUUUGCGUUUAGAUUAUGGUGUGACUAUUAUUUUUAAGUGAAUGCAUUUUCUUUUUUAUAAAAUGUAAAAAAAAAAUGAGAUUUGAGUUUGAAAUUUUAAUUGAGUACUAAAUAAUAGUAAUUAGAGCCUAAUUUUCAGUCAGAUUUUAAAAUACUUGAUACUUUUUUUUAACAAAAUAAGCAAAUCAAUAAUAAAUAUUAUGGGUAGAUAUUCAACUUUCUUAUGCAAAAUCAGAUUUAGUUUGUGAUCAGUAUAAAUAAGAGAAAUUUGUUUAUUUAAUGAAAAGGAAAUGAAUAAUCAAUUUUAAAAAAAUCAUUUUGAUUGGGAUACAUUUACUUUCAAGGUAAAAUGAAUUAAAAAAAUGUCAAUUCUGUUGAAUAAAUUUUGAUUUCUCCUUUAAUAAUAAUUAAUGGGGUUUCUUUAACUUUUUAUGUAAUAAAUAUAAAAAUUAGAAUAAUCCCAUAGAUUGUGGUGUGAAUAUUCAAUUUAAUAUUGAAAUUUGAGUUUGAAAUUUGAAAUUGAAAAUUGGUUGUGAAUAAUAAUACUUGCGUCAAAAUUUAUGGUGUGAUAUUAAAAAAAAUGUAAACACUUAAUCCUUUAGUUUUAACGAAAAAAGAAAAUAAAUAUUGAAUUUAAUGAGUACAUAAUCAACUUUCUUAAGCAAAAUCAGAUUUAGUUAGUUAUGAGUAUAAAUAAGGCAAAUCCGUUUUUUAAGUAAAAUGGAAAUGAAUAAUCAAUUUAAAAAAAAAAACAUUCUAAUUGGGCGACAUGAAAUUUCGGAGUGGAAUGAUGAAAAAAAGAGUCAAUUUCGUUUUAAUUAGUAGAUUUUGAUUUUUCCUUUCAUAAUAAUUAUUGGGGUUUCUUUUACCUUUUUUUAGAAAAAAUUUAAAUAAUGGAAUGAUCUCAUAGAUUAAAUUAAGGAGUGAAUAUUUAAUUUUAUUUAAUUAAUUUAUUAUUUUUAAAAUUGUAAAAAAUAAUUUUGCGAUUUGAUUUUGAAAUUUAAAAUGGGUACUAAAUAAUAGUAAUUUGAUCCAAUUUUUCACUCGGAUUUUAAAUUAUUUUUCUUAGACACAUAAUACGUUUUUUAUUCACCCUAAAUCAGUUGUAAAUUUAUUCAUAAUAAUUAAUUACGUUUAUUUUAAUUUUUUUAAGAAAUAAAUAUAAUUUAUUGAAUCAUCUCAUAGAUUAAGGAGUCAAUAUUCAAUUUAAGUUAAUGCAUUUCCUUUUUUAAAAAUUGUAAAAAAAAAUUGAGAUUUGAGUUGGAAAUUUAAAAUGAGCACUAAAUAAAAGUAAUUGAGACCAAAUUUUAAAACAUUUUUCUUAAAUGAGUACUAUAUACUUAUGAUUAGAUCACAUGGCAAAAAAGUUUCACGGGGAAAAACAUUUUACACAAGAAAUAGUUCAUGUAAAAACUAAUAAUUUUUGCUAUCUUUUCAUUCUCAUCCUUCCCUUAUGUCUCAUAGCUUUUACCACUUUUGCUAACUCUCGGGAAUAAUUUUUAAUCUAAUUUAAGUAUAUUUUUCAUAAUUUUAAAAAUAUUUAGGAUUAAAUGUAUAUGAAGUUUUUGUCAAAUUUUGCAAGUUAUUACUCAUUGUGAUUUUAUUUGGUUGAAUGCUCAUUUUUCAAUUUUUCAUAUCUUAAUUCAUUAAUCGUGCUUAAAUAAUGAGAUCAAUAUUCACCGUGCAACGCACGGGGUAAAAACGCUAGUACUGUUACUUUGACUAACUUGACAAGUGUCCCUGUCAAAAAAAUAAAAACUUGACAAGUGUCGGACGAGAUGGGAUGGAAGAACACGUGUUUGUUGAUAAAUGAAAGGAAAAGACGGGACGCUCAAUUACAUCCAAUUGUGUAAAAUGGAUUUAAAGAAAAUGGAGAGAUAAACGCUCAUAAAUCACUGUCACGUGCUCUGAUUCCAUUUUGAAAAAAGGUAUACGUACGAACAAAACUGAUAGAAAUAAAAUAGUAAAAAAACAAAAAAAUCUAUAAGAUGAGUGAGAGGAAUAAUAAACACUCCAUUGUCUAUUUUAUUUUUAACCGGCCGGCUAGUUGAAGCGGUUAAUAGUGAAAUUAGUCUCUAAUUUUAUAAAGGCUUAUGUUGGAGGUCCCUUUAAAAUAUGGGUUAUUUGGUUAAGGCCCCUGCAAAAUUUUUUGGGUGGAAUAAGUCUCUAAUGUUUUUUUUUGACAAGCCAAAGAAAAGAUGCAAUAAAUCAGCACAAGGUGUGCAAGAAGAAAGUUUACAUUGUUCAUGACCCCCAUGUUCUAAUAGCAUUAAGAACCACAGGCAGCCAAGGAAAAAACCAAAAUCAUAACAGACAUAGCAUGCAGAAGGUUUCCAAAAUAAGUCUCUAAUAUGAAAAUAAAAUAUAGUGAUAAACCUCUCUCGUGAGGUUCCGUUUAAUUUCUGAUGAUUCUACAAACGGCGCUGACAUGGAUUAUAUUUUGUGAAAAUUAUUAGGGUGUCACGUAAGUAAAUUAGGGUUGAAAAAAAAAAUCCAAAGUAAAAAACUCAAGUAAAAUCCCCAAACGUACUUGGGGUUUUAUUUAAUUUUUAUUUUUUCAACCCUAAUUUACUUAUGUGGCACCCUCUUUAAUUGAAUAAUUGUCACAAAAUAUAAUCCACGUCAGCGUCGUUUGCAGAAUCAUCAGAAAUUAAACAGAACCUCACGGCAGAGGAUUAUCACUGUAUGUUAUUUUCACAUUAGGGGCUUAUUCCACCGAAAAAAAUUUGUAGGGGCCUUAACCAAAGGACCCCCUAUUUUAGAGCGACCUCAAACAUAUUUAAGCCUUUUAUAAAUGAUUUUAAUUUUAGUCUCUUGAUUGAAAAAUAAUAUUUAGUAGUAUUUAUUUUUAUAAUUAUUGAUUGCUUUUUACCGUCGAAUAACUAAAAUUAAAUUCGCUUAGAAAAUUAGGAAUUAAUUUAACCAUUAAACCUAUAUGAUAUUAUCCUUAAGUAAGGUAUUGAGUUUGAGUCUCAUGGGGAAAAAAAUAUCGUUGGAAGACUUUAACUUCACCAUGAUGUUGAUGUUCCCGACUCAUAUGAUUCCUAUUAUGGAGGAUGCGGGCCAGAAAAGAAAAUAAACACUAUUUUUGUAAAAAAAAAAUGUAAAGUUCAAACGCUAGAUACAUCGUUUAUCAUAUUUUGAAUGAUAACAAUUUUCAAGAGUAUAAGUGUAAUGGUUAAAAAAUUUCAUGUGAAUUAUAUUUUAGGAAAUAACACUUAUGACUUACCUCCCUCACUGUCUGAUGAUUAAGUGCAAGACAAUGCUAGAAGACAGUCUACACAAGAGAAGUAAGGUCAAAGCUACAAGACAGUCUGCACAAACGAAGAAAGUCAAAUCUGUUAGACCGUCUUCUCAAGAAAAGAAUGCACUCAAUGAAGAUUUUUAUCGUCUGUCUCAAAGCUUACCAAUGAAGACAAUGUCUAGAGAAAGAGUGUCAUGUUCAAAUUGAAGAAAACUCUCUGGCAUUCUUGAGGAGAAAGUCAAGUCCUAAGAAUUACGUGAUAAUGUUUGAAGCACUAUGAUCAAGGAAACAAGUACAAUGUUGUCAAAAUCAAGUUUCCUCUUUCUCUCACAAAAGGGCUGGAACAAAGUUCAAUGUGCUACCAACCGUUUGACAAGAUACAUUUUGUAGCAACAAGCCUCAUUCAUAGGACCCAACACAUUUAAUGCACCUGACGAGAAGACCGUUUGAUCUAACGACUAGAACUUGAAACGCUCCAUACGCUCCAACGACUAUCAAUAAACUCUAGAAGUAGAACAAGAAUUUCAACGACAAUCAACUUUCAUCUGAAUCAAAAAUCUUCAUCAAGCAAGAAAGAAAUAAAAGUCAUCACAUCGUCUGAGAGAAAUACCUUAGAGUCAAAUCUUUAUACCCAACUCUCUCUAGAUCUAGAACCUAAAGUACAUCACAGAGUCAAAUCUUAUCCAAUACUUUGUAGGAGAAUGGUCAUUCCAUUAUUUAAUGGUGGACAUUCCCGUCGAAUUGAACCGAUCACGAAGCUCUCCAUUGAGUUGUUUAGGUUAUGGAAUUCCACCUCCAAUUGGGGGUUUUGGUUCGAAGGUUAUCAAAUGUGUACGGAACAAAACAUAGAAAAUUACUUAUUUGAAGAGUAAAUGGAAUGAUAGUGUCAAAACUUCAAAAUAUUAAUGACACUUAUAUUUUUUUUUGGGAGUGAAUGAAAUUUACACAAUAAAGUGUUUUUUGAAAUACAUUAAUAUAAUACGAGAAAUGAGGUUUGAAUUGUUGAUGACCCUAUUUUAGUAGUGUUUUUAGGGCCAUUUCUUUGUUUGUUUUGAGUCUUUUUGUUGAGUCUCAUGUAGUGUUUCAUGCAUUCUCAUGCAUUUUUAUCUUUUCUUGAGUCUUUGCUUUGUUUUGGUAAUUUUGUAGUUUUAUAGGGAGUUUUCUUGCAUUCUAAGUAAGUUUAGGACUUGCAUGGUUUUGUUGUGUUAAAUGAAGGACCUCUUGUGCUAAUGAGCUCUUUGAGCUUCUAGAUUCUUCCUUGACUUGUUGGUUAGGUUUGGAGAGCAGAAACUGAAGGUAAUAGAAGGCCGAGAAGCAUGGAAUUGAAAGAGGACUUAAAGAGGGCUGAAGAGGAGUUACAAGAAGCUGAAAAGUUCAUUCCAGCGAGGCUUGAGCGCCUAGGCGCUGGGAAUUGGCGCCUAGGCGCUAGUACAAGUUUCAGAGGGUUUUUGAAUUGGUGCCCAGGCGCUGGUGAAUUGGCGCCUAGGCGCCAAUUAGCUCCAGAGAGCAUGUUUUGGGCAUGCAAUUGGCGCUCAGGCGCUCUGAAUUGGCGCUUGAGCGCCUAGACUCGUAUUUUGUGGCUAUAAAUAAGGCUUAGGCCAAAUUCUUUAGGGGACUUAGACAUUUUACUCAUUUUGGAUCAAGUUUGAGAGCUGAGGAGAACCUUGGGCUGUAGGAAGGCUUCCAACUUGUAUUUUUCUCAGGUUCUUAUUACAUUUCUUGUAUGAAUUCACUAGCCAUGAGUGGCUAGUUCCCUUUUUGCUUUGGGUUAAGAGAUUCUAUGAAGUUUUAGUUUGUUAAAUCCUAUCUCUAUGCAUGAAUUCUUGAUUUAAUCUUGUAUUUCAAUUCCAUUAUGCAUGUUUAGCUUUGGUGCACCCUUGCUAUAGGCUAGAUUAUAAUCAAAUGGAAGUUUGUUAUGAUUUAGGGACAUGAAUUGAAAUAGAUCCUUCUAUGCUUGCUUCUAGGCAUAGAGUGAGGGUAGGGUUUUGUUGGCCUGAAUAUACAUGCUUAUGAACCUCUUAUGAAUGAUUAAGUACACAAGGAAUUGAGCUUAACUUUCAAUUUGAGAGAAUUACUUUUGUGAGGAAUCAAUUAGUAAGUACAUAGGCUAAAGCAACAAGGGAUAAAUCAAGGUUUCACAUGCAUAGGAUAGGUAAACUAAAGUGGAUUAGAUGAUCAACAACCCAAGGCAAUUUUCCAUCAAUUGUUAAUUUCAACAUUUUCAACAUUGCUCUUUUGCAAAACUUUUGUCACAAACAACCAAAACCAAUUUCUGAGUUUUACUCCUUUUAAGAACUUGCAAACUUUAGACUUAAAUCAACAAUUCUCACUCUCAAUCCCUGUGGUUCGAUAUUUUAAAACCCGGAGAUAUAUGUGCACUUGCAGAUUGACCAACAAGUUUUUGGCGCCGUUGUCGGGGAUUGUUUGUGGUUUUCGAUUUAAGUUAAAGAGUUUGUUUGUUUGUAUUAUUUACAUUGCAUUGAAUAUGUGCUACUAACCUUUUCUUUGUUUGUGUGAUUUCAGUUUAUGCAAGGUAGACUUGGCACGGAUCUAUUGGUGUUUGAUCCGGAGCCAGAGCGUACUAUCCAUCGUCGUCGAGCUCAGCAAAGAGCUGCUGAGAUAGCCGCCAUGGCUGUCCAUAUGACGGAGGAGGAAUUGCAAGCCCACAUUGAAGAGAGAGUGAAUGAGGCUAUUGCUCAAAGACUUCAAGAGCAAGAAGCGGAGAAUGCCAAUCGUUCUCUUAGAGGCCUCACCUCGGCUGCCAUGAGCUACGAUUAUCUGGGCAGCAUAGUUUCCCCCGAUGGCACGGGAAACUUUGAGCUGAGGCCGACAUUCAUCAACUUGGUGAGCCAAAAUCAGUAUGGUGGAGGUUCUCUUGAAGAUCCUCAUGCACACAUGGAGCGGUUCGUCCGCAAUUGCAACACCUAUAGGGUUCAAAAUGUUUCAGCGGACACCAUCCGCUUGAGUUUGUUUCCUUUCUCUUUGAGAGACACUGCUGAAGAGUGGUUGAAUUCACAACCCCAAGGUAGCAUUACAUCUUGGGAAGAUCUAGCCGAGAAAUUCACCACAAGAUUUGUUCCAAGAGCCCUCUUGAGAAAGCUUAAGAAUGACAUCAUGACUUUUGCUCAAUCCACCGAUGAAAAUCUCUAUGAAGCUUGGGAGAGGUUCAAAAAGCUCUUGAAGAGGUGUCCUCAACACAACCUCACCCAAGCUAAACAAGUGGCGAAGUUCUAUGAUGGUCUCCAAUAUUCUUCGAGGUUUGGCUUGGAUGCGGCCUCAAAUGGAGAGUUCGAUGCCCUACUUCCACAAGUUGGGUACGAGUUGAUUGAAAAAAUGGCUAUAAGAGCCAUGAACUCUAGUAAUGAGCGCCAAGCCCGAAGAGGAGUCCUUGAGGUUGAAGCAUAUGAUCAACUAAUGGCCUCCAACAAGCAACUCUCCAAGCAAAUGAAUGAAAUUCAGAAUCAGAUGAAGACGACCAAGGUGAUUGGUGGUCGAGUUGCCAAAGUGGAGUGUGUGACUUGUGGAGGGCCACAUGACAGUGAAGAAUGCACCGAGACUAGACCAGAGGAGGAAGUGAAAGCCAUGGGUCAAGCUCGGAAUGACCCGUUUUCAAACACUUAUAAUCCAGGAUUGAGGAACCACCCUAAUUUUUCUUGGAGGCAAGGGAAUAAUGGGCAAGGAAGUGGCUUUCAAAGGAAAUUUCCUAGCCAAGGAUUCCAAGGCCAAAGCUCAAGACAACCUCAAGAGCGAGGAGAAGGUGAAGGUGGUGGUUCCAAGAAAAGCUUAGAAGAGAUGGUUGAGACUUUCAUCAACCGAACGGAGAAUAAUUACAAAAAUCAAGAGGCGGCUAUCAAGAAUCUUGAGAAUCAAUUUGGCCAGCUGGCCAAGCAAAUAGCCGAGAGACCUCAAGGUAAGUUUCCUUCCGACAUUAUCCCCAAUCCUAAGCAAGAAAAUGCCUCUGUUGUGUCCACUAGAAGUGGGAGAGUUAUGAGUGAAUUGAAGAAAAAAACAGAGGGAGAAAAGAGAGAGGAGAUAGUGGAGGGAGAAGUUGUUGUGCCUAUUAAGGUGAGAGAGUUAGUUUAUCUUACUCCUGAAACUAGCAAGGCUCCGUUUCCUAAAGCAUUGGCUAAGAAGAGCUUAGAUAAAAAGUUUUCAAAAUUUGUUGAUGUUUUCAAAAAGCUCCACAUUAGUAUUCCUUUUGCCGAUGCUUUGGAACAAAUGCCUAUAUAUGCUAAGUUUAUGAAGGAUAUUUUGCAUAAGAGAAGAAGGUUGAAGGGAGUAGAUGAGACGGUGUUGAUGACGGAGGAAUGUAGCACCAUUUUGCAGCGGAAGAUGCCAAAGAAAAGAAGGGACCCCGGAAGUUUCACUAUUCCGGUGGAAAUUGAGGCCAUGGCGGAUGUGGAAGCCUUGUGUGACCUAGGAGCGAGCAUCAAUUUGAUGCCGCUCACCAUGUUUGAGAGGCUGAACCUAGGAGAGGUUACCCCAACAUGCAAUCCUUGCAAAUGGCAGAUCGAUCCCUCAAGACUCCAUAUGGGAUUGUGGAGGAUGUCAUGGUGAGGGUAGACAAGUAUGUGUUCCCCGUGGAUUUUGUUGUGCUUGAUAUGGAGGACGAUGAGAAGAUUCCUCUCAUUCUUGGUCGACCUUUCUUAGCUACUGGUAGAGCUAAGAUUGACGUUGACAAGGGUCACCUCAUUCUCCGUGUUGGUAAGGAAAAUGUACGGUUUUCUGUUUUUAAUCCUAUGAUUAAGACUAACCAUGAUAACAAUUUUGUUUGUGAUGUGAUUAGAAGCAAAUCGAAAGUUCCGAAAGAGACCCCCAAGGCUAAUGAAACAUUUGAUGAGUUCCAUCCGGCUCUCAUCAAGCUUGUUAGUGGUAACAAGUAUGGGGGGUCUAAUUACGAGAACUUACAUGCUCACAUGGUGAAGUUUACCCAAGCUAGCUCCCUUGCUAAGAUUGAGGGUGUUUCAAGUGAUGAAGUGAAGAUUAAACUCUUCCCUCACUCUUUAACAAGGGAAGCUAGGGCUUGGUUUGAUAAGCAAGAGGACAUUGCCUCAUGGGAGGAUUUACUCUAGAGGUUUUGUGCAAGGUAAAAGUUUUUACCUUGCACUCUUUUACCUUGCACUCAUGGAGAAUUGAUCAAUGGUAAGGAAUUUCCUUCCUAACACCAUCGGAAGGAGAGUCCACCUAGGACUAUAACCUAGGGCUAAAUGGGAGACAACCUAUUAUUUUUAUUUUGCUCUUUUCUAUCUUUUAAUUUUGUAGCAUUUUAGUUGUUUUAUUUCAAAAAAAAAAAAAAAUAGUAAAAAAUUUUGAAAAACACUGGGCUGAGCGCCUAGGCGCCAAUUAGUGGCAGAUGCACUGCCUCUGGAACUGGCUUAAGCGCCUGAGCGCUCCCCUCGAGCGCUCCUGGUGCGUUUUUUGCCCAGAUUUUGGGUUUUAAAACCCCAACCUUUCAUUUUCCCCUCUUAACUCUCAUUUCUUCAUAAAACCGCACCCCACACUCUCCAUACCCCAUUUCUAUUUCUCAUUUCUCACUUGCACACACUUUGGCUCUUCCAAUUGCUUCCAAGUGUUGCAUUGCUUCAUGUUCCUUUCAAUUGCACCCACUCACUCUCAAGUCAAGGUAAGUUCCAUUUUUCACUUCCCUUGAUCUUAGUGCAUGAGUUUUGCAAUGCAUGCUUCUUUUGGGUUUGGGUGAGUGAUUUGUUGUUUAUGCAAGUUGGGUGUGGGUUGUUUAUGAUCAUAGUGGGUUGAUUUUGUGCUUAAUUAGAAAGGGGUUGUGAAUUUGUGAGAGUUGGGUAGUUAGGAUUUUGUGGUUUAGUGUAGGUUAGUUUUUGCUUACUAGGUGUUUGUUAGAAUGCCUCAAUGAGUUCUUUUAGUCGACUUUUGGCAAAUGCUUGUGUGGUUGUCUAAUUCUCUUUGCCAAAGUCACUAAGAGACUUGUUGGGUGCUCUUAGGUUGUUUUAUUUUUGUUUUUGUACAUAGUUUCUCCUUUUUAUUUCCUUUUUAUUUUGUACUAACGUUUCUAACGUUUGUGGCUUGUGUAUGUGCUAACAAUUGUGCAGAUGCCUGCAAAAAGAUCAAGGACCAACACAAGAGCUGCAGCUUUUUCCUCCACCUCCCGGAGCUUUGAUCGCUCCCGCUUCCUAUCAUUGAUUAAGGAGCAGCUUUACAGAUCUCACCUAGCACACAAGGAGUGUGUGAAGGAGCGGGGAGUUCUUUAUCGAGAGGGAAGGAGAGACCUCUUGGGCAUGCAAGAAGCCAUGGAAAUUAGGAGGUGGAAAAAUUGGGCCAACCCCAUUCCGUUUGCUUGGGAGGUCAUGGUUAGGGAGUUCUACGCGAACACCUACUGUGACAAUCAAGAGGACAGGUCCAGGCCACCGGUGAAUUCAUCUUGGUUUAGGGGAGAUGUGAUUGAUUACAAUCCAGCAGUCAUUCGCAGGCAUCUUGGUCUCCUCACGGAGGACCAAGAGAAGGAGCUUUUCCCCGAGAAGGCCACCUAUCAUGAGCUCUUAAAGGAGAAGUCACCGGAGAUCUUGGAAGACAUGAAGGCAGUGAUUGUUAGGCCUGGGCGGGACUGGGAAGCAGUUGAUGAUGAGAUUAUUUUUGUAAGGAGGAAGGAUAUGACGCCGCUGGCUAGAGUUUGGGCUGAAUUUUUGCAGGAUUCCCUCUUUCCUAGCUCUAACAAAUCUGAAGUUAGAGAGGUUACAAUGGUUGCCAUCUACUGCAUUGUGAGAGGUCAUCCUAUGGACGUGGCCACCAUCAUUGCUGGUCGGAUUUAUUUCCUAUACAAUGGGAGUAAAGACAAGCAUCGGCCCAUCUUUCCUCACUUGAUUUGCUCUUUGAUUCAUGCAGUGAGGGACAGAGCUAGGAGGCCAGUCCAUGUUAUUGAGAAGAGGUUGCCUGUUGCACCUCUGCUCAGUAAGGAGAGGAUCACUCAGCUUUAUCAAGAUUGGACAGCAAGAAUGCCUCAAGAGGAGGAAGAGGAAGAGGAUCCUGAGGAGCCAGCGGAAGAGAAAGAUGAAGAAAAGGAAGAAGAAGAGGAGGAAGAAGAAAAUGUUGAGGUGGUGAAUGAGAUGGUUACUCCACCACGUGCUGACCCUUCCUCGGCUUGGAUGGAGGCCGCUUUCGGGCGGAUGUUUUUGAGGCAAGAUCGCCUACACAGGGAUCUUGACCUCCAUUGGAGGGGAGGUAGCACAUCAGACCCCAGGUACAAAGGCCCCAUGGAUUUCAAUACCUUGGAGCAGGGGAUGAUCGAUUUGAGCUUGAUGCAUGAUGCCGGUGUUCAUCCGGGUUGUGGUGAUGGAAGGGGUGACCAUGACCCCAUGGAGUGACUAUGUUGAGGUAUUCCUACUCUUAGUUUAGGUCAUGCAUCUUUAGCAUAUUUUUCAAUUUAUAGAAUUUGUUUUUCUUUUUAUCAUGCAUUGUUUAAUUAGCUUUUUGUUUUUGGGUCUUUUACUUCCCUAUACUCACAUGCUUUUAGCUAUAGUUUUGCUUCCCUACUUGUGCUGUUUUUUAAAAUGCUUUUGUGAAUACUUGUGGUUGUUUGUGGGGAUGAGUGAUUGCAUGUUUGGGGAAGAGAGGAGGAGACUUCGGUCUUCCGAGUGUUUCUUGAGAAAGGAGUCGGUGUGAGUCCAUUAAGGGUCUAUCUUUGACCCUUCACCAUAAAAAUUGUCUGGAAGAUCCUGACUCACUUGCAAUUCUUGGUUCUGCAUUAAUUUCACUCAUAGCAUGCUUUGUGAUUCUUGCUUUAUUCUUGAGACUUGUAUGAUUUCUUGAGAUUCUGAAUUUGUUGGUUAAACAUUAUCCUUAGUUGUCUCAUUUGAGCUUUAUCGGAGAAUUUGUUGUAGCCAAGUGAUUGGGACGGAUGUUUGGUUGGAAUAUUGGGGAAUGAUGGUCCUUGAUAUAUUGGUAAGGAGCUGAAAAAAUUGUGAAAAGGUCUCUUGCCCCUAGGAAAAAAGUUAUUGAAGAAAAGAAAGAAAAGAACUCCUAACUAAAAGUUGGAGUUGAAAAAGAAAAAGAAAGUUUGAAAAAGGGGGUGUAAGAGACUUGUGAAAAAAGAGAAAAUUCAUUGUGAAAAGCUCCGGGGUUAUUAAUAGAGGAUCACACUCAAUGAGCUUGAAAGCCUAGAAUUCCCUUAGGGACCAACCACCAUCAUGUUUUCACCAAGCCAAUGUUUCAAUCCUUUUGAAAGUCUCAUGAAUAUUUGCAUGUUUAAUCUUUGUUGCUAGUGAGUGAAUGACAUUCAGGACCUAUGAACUUGUUUGUGUGCUCAGUGCACUAAAUUGACAUCUCAUCCUAGGAUUUUUAGAUCUAUAUGCUUCUCAUGAAUGGACUCUACACUCUUCUCUUUUCAAAAGUUGCAUGAAGUAGAUUGUUGGGUGUAAGACCCAGGAUUUUAGAAUUAAAUAAAUAAUUAAUUUCCAACUCACGCAUAGGAUUAUGUGUAAGCAUGAGAGGAACUUAACUCGUGUUUAAUGUUUGGAUUUAUAUUAUGAAGAAUAAAGUUUAGGAAAUGACUAAGAAUAGUACUAUAGUCGAUAUAAUUUAUAGCACAAGUAGUAUUCGUUUAUACCUAGGACGAGAGCGUCAGUAAACGACUAAUUUGCACUUAAACACGAUGGAAAUUAAUUCCAAAAAUCUUCAGAGAAAUGUUAGAACUUCUCUUAAUCCUUCCAUGACAAGCGUUUCGAUACGAAACCCUGGAAUGUACGAACGUCCGAUUCUAAUUCUCGGAGGUUUGCCGAAACCAAAACCCUGAUAGCUCAAGAAACCUAGAAUAAACGGUUGAUGAAGACUUUUUCUAUUCGGAGCUUCAAACGAAGAUUCCGCACGCGUACACCUAUUUCUUUCGAUGUUUCUAAUCUUUCUUCAGGAAGAAGUUUUCCCAUCCGACAUCAACUGCAAAAAGUAGUUUUUCGGGUAAAAUAGAUUUACACCGACUUUGGAUCGUUUGCUUUAAUUCUGAGAAACCUGUUUUGGGUUCUGGAAUUCUGUCGCCGGAACCUAUCUUAGAAUUCACGGAGGAAUGUGCAGGAAAAAUCGGAAUCGCGAAAUUUUCAUUUUUCCGCAUUUUCCAUUUUCUAUAAAUAGCUUGAAAAAUGAAAAAAAAUCAAAAAAACCUCACCAACACACACACACAACCCGCGGCUUGGAGAGGAGAAGGAGGAGGAGAGCUUUUCGCCGAUUCUUGUCUGAUCGUCGCACAGUUCGUUGCUACGCGUAGGCCUCGAGGUACUGAUGCUUUUCCUUACCUCUGAUCGUAAAUUCUGUCGCUUUUCUCUAUGUUUUUCUGUGCUCAAAGUUUUGAGCUUUUUGUAAAACUGUCCAAAUAACUUGAUUUCUCUGUCUAAACUUAUUCCCUGCGUGCCCCUGAGCAUGUUUAGCGGAUUACAUUUCGCCGAAUCUCGUCGAAUCGCCUCCGAACUUCAAUUAUGCUCAAAAUACCCAUUUCUGACAAAGGUUCCGCUUUUUGAGUAAAAAACUCUCGACUGAGCUUAGCGUUAGUAGGAUUAGUCGUCAUAAUCGUCGUUGGUGUCGACCCCAUCUAAUUUGUUUUUCGAAAUUCUGAUUUUGAGUUUCCGAGCUAAAAAUAUUGACCAAAAUACCCCUGCGACAGUUUUCGACCAGAUAAUUUUUCUGAGAGUUUCUCUGGCCUAGAUAUCGCCUAAGAAUACAUAGGAAUUGAUUUAGAUCGAAGAAAAAGUUCGGAAACCCUAUUUUUGAGAGUGGCCGAAACCUAUUUGUUAGGGUACCGUGUCCAAAAAUAAUUUUUGGGUCUCUAUGACCUGAGCCAUUACGUAGCUCUUUCAAUUGUUGAAAUUUUGGCUUUGGUUUCGUGUCAUUCCGAGUUCUGUAGCUCGAGUUAUGCUCGUUUUAGCGAACAAAGUCUCCGUUGUCAAUUUGUGCUUAAAUAGGAACUCUGAAGCUUUAAAAGCUUUCUUUACGAUUUCGAUUAGUGUUAUUAGAUAGUGUUGUUUCUAGUGAGACUUGUGUUGAUGAUUGUGUUUCCUUGUUCUAGGUUCGCAACUUCCAUGCACAACUUCUACUCACGAAGGUAAGGGUAACUCAGUUUUAGAGCGUCAUUUGAGUCUUGCAUGAUUUAUUCGUACUGCAUGCGCUUGAGAUGAAGAUGUUUAAUUUGAUUGGCGUUGAUUGAAAUAUUGUAUGCUUGCAAUGUUGUAUGCUUGCUUAUGUUGACUGUUUAUGAGGCUUGUGCUAAAUGUUUUCUGAAGGCUUCGACCGAGUGAACUUAUUGAGACGUGUGUCUCCGUUUUCUGAGAGGCUUCGGCCGUUUACUGGUUUCUGUCAUUACUGCUUUCUAGUGGAUAAGACAUGGUUAUUGUUGAUACCUUGAUUGUUGUUAUGUUGAAAUAGUGAGCUGAGUUAGUAUGCAUUUUGAUGAGACGUAUGUUUGCUGAUAAUAUGAAUAACAUGUGAUUAUGUUGAUUUGAUUAUUGAAUUUGAGAUUGUUGUUUGAGUGACCACUGAGUUGGAUGAGAUGUUUUGGUUUGCUUGAAGUGGCGAUGAGGUGAGUUUGUCCCGCGUGAUUGUCCCGUCUUUUGAGACGUUAAAGUGGCGAUGAGGUGGGUUUGUCCCGCGUGAUUGUCCCGUCUUUUGAGACGUUAAAGUGGCGAUGAGGUGGGUUUGUCCCACGUGAUUGUCCCGUCUUGCGAGACGUUAUAAAGUGGCGAUGAGGUGGGUUUGUCCCGCGUGAUUGUCCCGUCUUUUGAGACGCUAAAGUGGCGAUGAGGUGGGUUUGUCCCGCGUGAUUGUCCCGUCUUUUGAGACGCUAAAGUGGCGAUGAGGUGGGUUUGUCCCACGUGAUUUUCCCGUCUUGCGAGACGUUAUUGUUUGAUUGAUAUUGUUGAGGUUAUUGAUAUCCGAGUUGAUUAUAUUGUUGGUUCUAUUGAUAUCUGGGUUGGUUUAUAUUGUUGGCUUGACGAUAUCUGAUUUGAUUUAUAUUGUGGGUUUUGUUGAUAUAUGAGUUGAAUUGUAUUGUUGGUUUUGUUGAAAUUUGAUCUACAUCUAUACUGUUGAAGUUAUUGUUAUCUGAACUAAUCUAUACUGUUAAGUUGUUGAUUCCUGAGUUAAUCUAUGUUAAGUUGUUGAUAUAUGAGUUUAGUUAUAUUGCUGGUUUGUUGAUAUCUGGAUUAACUUAAGUUGCUAGUUUAUUUACCAUGCUAGGUAAUUAAAUUUGAAUAGCAUGAUUUUCUCUUUUAUACGUGGUAAUUGCAUGGAGUUAACCCUUUCUAUUUGCUACUUGUUAUUUGGGCGCUUAACGCUAUUAGGCGAUGAAGAGCCUUCUGGCGAUGCUUAGCCAUGCUGAGAUGGAGGAGGGAUAGUAACCGGCGGAGCAAGGAUAGAAGAAGCUGUAUAGUUUCCUCUUAGUAGUUUAUGCUUUGAGUCUUCUUCGUUAUCUGAAAACUCUGCUACUAAAACCCUGUUUUCGCCACUGUUUAAGUGUGCGUACUUAUUUUGGAAACUUGCUAUGCUAUUGUAAGACACUAUUAUUAUAUGUCGGGAACGGGUUGUUUAAUUAAGACUAGGUUAUGUAUUAAGCUGUGUUUAGUUGUUUCGAAAAGGAAAAAAAUUAUCGUGUUUUCUUAGGAUUACGAAAUAGUCCUUAGACUUUGUUAGGUGACUAAUGUGACUCCUCAGUUGAGAAAUUGGGGCGUUACAUUGGGUCUUUCUCUUGGAACUAGCUGUGAUUACUUUGUCCCCCUCUUUUGUUUGUGAAGUAUUUCUGGUUGAGAGCACUUGUUUGGGAGCAUUUCUUGCGCUUGAGGGCAAGCGAGUGUUUUUUACGCUCGAGGGCGAGCUGCUGUUGAGUAUAGUGGUGUGAUAACCCUAUUUUAGUAGUGUUUUUAGGGUCAUUUCUUUGUUUGUUUUGAGUCUUUUUGUUGAGUCUCAUGUAGUGUUUCAUGCAUUCUCAUGCAUUUUUAUCUUUUCUUGAGUCUUUGCUUUGUUUUGGUAAUUUUGUAGUUUUAUAGGGAGUUUUCUUGCAUUCUAAGUAAGUUUAGGACUUGCAUGGUUUUGUUGUGUUAAAUGAAGGACCUCUUGUGCUAAUGAGCUCUUUGAGCUUCUAGAUUCUUCCUUGACUUGUUGGUUAGGUUUGGAGAGCAGAAACUGAAGGUAAUAGAAGGCCGAGAAGCAUGGAAUUGAAAGAUGACUUAAAGAGGGCUGAAGAGGAGUUACAAGAAGCUGAAAAGUUCAUUUCAGCGAGGCUUGAGCGCCUAGGCGCUGGGAAUUGGCGUCUAGGCGCUAGUGCAAGUUUCAGAGGGUUUUUGAAUUGGCGCCCAGGCGCUGGUGAAUUGGCGCCUCGGCGCCAAUUAGCUCCAGAGAGCAUGUUUUGGGCAUGCAAUUGGCGCUCAGGCACUCUGAAUUGGCGCCUGAGCGCCCAGACUCGUAUUUUGUGGCUAUAAAUAAGGCUUAGGCCAAUUUCUUUAGGGGACUUAGACAUUUUACUCAUUUUGGAUCAAGUUUGAGAGCUGAGGAGAACCUUGGGGCUGUAGGAAGGCUUCCAACUUGUAUUUUUCUCAGGUUCUUAUUACAUUUCUUGUAUGAAUUCACUAGCCAUGAGUGGCUAGUUCCCUUUUUGCUUUGGGUUAAGAGAUUCUAUGAAGUUUUAGUUUGUUAAAACCUAUCUCUAUGCAUGAGUUCUUGAUUUAAUCUUGUAUUUCAAUUCCAUUAUGCAUGUUUAGCUUUGGUGCACCCUUGCUAUAGGCUAGAUUAUAAUCAAAUGGAAGUUUGUUAUGAUUUAGGGACAUGAAUUGAAAUAGAUCCUUCUAUGCUUGCUUCUAGGCAUAGAGUGAGGGUAGAGUUUUGUUGGCCUGAAUAUACAUGCUUAUGAACCUCUUAUGAAUGAUUAAGUACACAAGGAAUUGGACUUAACUUUCAAUUUGAGAGAAUUACUUUUGUGAUGAGGAAUCAAUUAGUAAGUACAUAGGCUAAAGCAACAAGGGAUAAAUAAGGGUUUCACAUGCAUAGGAUGGGUAAACUAAAGUGGAUUAGAUGAUCAACAACCCAAGGCAAUUUUCCAUCAAUUGUUAAUUUCAACAUUUUAAACAUUGCUCUUUUGCAAAACUUUUGUCACAAACAACCAAAGCCAAUUUCUGAGUUUUACUACUUUUAAGAACUUGCAAACUUUAGACUUAAAUCAACAAUUCUCACUCACAAUCCCUGUGGUUCGAUAUUUUAAAACCCGGAGAUAUCUGUGCACUUGCAGAUUGACCAACAAUUGUGUUCUUGUGAAACUCGAUUUUUCAAACGAUUGUAAUUUUUUAAAACGUUCUUGCAAUCGUUUGGUUAUGGAAACGAGUCCACCGCCAAACAGAAGAACCGCUGAACAGAAUGGAAGAAACGCUGAACCUUCCGUUCGCUCUUGCUCUGGUUCUCUUCAACCCAUUCCUCGCCUUCAAGCUCCGGGAGCUCUUCUUCUUCAACUACAGGCUCUUGUGGCUCAGCAUGCUCCACUGUAGGCUCCUCCUGUUCAACCUUCAUGUCUUCGGAAGGAUCCAACUCCGCCUCAGACGCUCGUACAGACGAUGUCUCAGACUCCAAGUCCUUCGGGGUCUGGAAACGAGGGGGUGCAAAUGGCAGCUUCACCCUCCCGUCUUCAAGCUGUUGGACCUCGAUGACCUCUCCCUCCUUGUCGCGUCCCGAAAGUGUGGCACCGCCGACGUAGAUGCGACGUACCUGGUGUGAGUCGGGCACCCAGGCCUUGUCCUUCUCCUCUUCAUGGAGUGUCAGCGUCUAGGAACGAACCGUGCUCGUGGUCAGAACCAUCUGCCCCCCCCCCCAGAAUAAACACAUAACAAAUAAAAGAGGGUCAAAUCUCAUACAAGACUCUUAAAUAUUCACAGUUCACAUAGAUCAUAUGAUAAGUAAAGAAUCAUAGCCUCACAUCUCAUGUUAGCAACCUAAAGUUAGUUAGGCUAACGUCCUCACCAUUCACACAACCACCUCAACACCUUGGCCAAUCUCGAUCAUCCGCAGAUGAACAUUCACGAGGGGACCACAUAGUCAAUCCUUAUCCCAUGACUCAAUCAUGGUUAUCACAUGGAGACCACACAGUCAAUCUAUAAAUUCACCCUCGCGUGCAAGUAACCGUUUGUCUCUAACGACACCAUCGUUCUCAUGGUCCAUAGCCUACGACUAGCACAAUAGCCAUACAAUCACUACUUGCAAGCGAACUCUCUUUCUCAAGGUGCAUUACCAAUUAUCAUAAGUUGAUGUAAAUUAAUAAGUCUUCAUGUACAGUACAUUCAUCAGAUCAUUUAGGGUUUUACCCCAUUUCCCACAAGGAUAUUAAUUUCAAACAACUCUCACAUGUAAUAAAACAUUGCCCACACCCUAGAGAGUAAUAGGGUUCGACCACACCACAUAUUAUGUCAAUUAAUUCAUGCUUUUCAUGGCUUCAGUAAUAAAAUCAGCAGCAAAUCAUCAACUCAACAAGUAGUCAAAAGAAAACAAGAAAAGUCGCUAAAACCCUCAAAACUAUGGUUCGACCGUGGCUCAUUUAUGGCCUAGGGUUUUCAAAUUUUUUUGAUCAUGCUUGAUCAAGUCUCAUAUGUCAAAUUCCAGCAAGGUUUCCAAUAUUAAACAUCAACAAUUAACCAGAUCUAACACAUGUUAAUGACCACUAUUCGGAUCUAGGCAUAUAUGGUGAAAAUAGCAAGGUUUUGACAUGAAACUAUCAUGGAUCAAGGCAUCAUGUAACAAAGCAUGGUAAAACAGAACCUUUUCAUUCUAAACUUGCAUGGAAAGAAUUCCCAAUCAUACAUACAAACCCCUCAUGUUGAAGAUCACCCAAAUUCACAACCUUUCACAUAAAACCAUGAAAUUUCAAGCAUGCAUUCUCCGAGACUCUACCUAAACUAGAUCAGCCCUCACCUUAGCCUUAGUAUUGUGAAGAAAAGAUGGAGAUUGAAGUGAGUGAUCCUUGCUUCCUUCUCCUUGCUCGAGUCCCUCUUUCUCUCUGGAUCUCCUUCACAAAAUUCCUCUUCUUCCCCUUGCUCUCUUUCUCCUUCAAGUUCACUCUCACUCUCUCUUUUCUACCAAAGGUUCUCUCUUCUCUCUUGCUGAAGUGAAAACAGAAGUAGGUUUGCCUUUCCAAUUAGUUUUUGUGAGAAUGAGAAAAAGAAAAAUCCUCCCUCACUCCCUUAACCAAAACCGGCGGCCACUCACACUAGAAUAGGGUUUUGUUUUUCAAAUUUUUCCUACCCAAGCCCAACUCAAUUUAAUUUAAUGCCUCUUAAUUACUGAUUAAUAAAAAUAAAUAGAAUAAAAGUGAACCCCCUUUUCCCCCUUACAUAGCCGGCGGCUACAAGCUAGCAACCUAGGGUUUUCACUUUUUUUUCUCUUCUAUCUCAUGUUUAUUUGGAAAUAAAAUUAAAUAUUCAGCUUUUAUGUAAAAAAAAACUGAAAUAAUAAAAUAAAUAAAAGGAAAAUCUCUCUCUUUCUUAAAUGAAAUUCAAUCUAUUUAAAUAAACUAGAUUUUCCUAACUAACUCAAAGCAAUUCAAAAAGAGAUCUUUUCUUAUCCCUUUUCUCACAAAGUCACGGCCAUCACUAGCUUGGCCUCCAAGCAACACACAAAUCACCUUAUUUUUGAGGUCCAAAACCCCACAAAAUAAUUACUUUCAAACACCCAACAUUUAUUUCAAAAAUAAUACAAAUUCAAAUAUUUCAUGAAAUCUUCACACACAUAAUCAACCAAAUAAACUCAUUCUUCACUAACAUUUCACACUUAUUACUCAUUUCAAAUAAUACUAAUAAUCAUAACAUCAGGGUCUUACAAUCUUGAUCUACUUAUACUCCUACAGGGGGACAAUGUAACUCCCGAGGCUCCAACCUUUCGAGAGCAUACCUCUUUUGUUUCUCAAGAAGGUUGGGAUUCAAUGGUCAACCAUCACCUUAAAUAUAUUCCACUAUAAGGCGAGACUUGCCAAAAAGGACCCUAAACCGUUUCCAUUUAAUCGAUGGGCUUCUCCGAAUGAUAAGAACUUUAGAUAUAAGAUUUGAGGAUUCUUUCUUGUUUUACCCAAAUGGGAUUCUUCUUUCUGAAACUACAAAAAACAUGUUGAGGAAGUAGUAUUUGCGGCGCACUGUAGCAUUCCAUAUUGGCGGAUUAUGAAGGCCUCUAUUAUUCGAAGCUGGUUUUACAAAAAGAAAUCAGACAAUAUGAUUUUUUAAAGACAAAAUCAUUUAAAAUAAAUCUUUUAAGAUAUAAUCUUUAUUUUUAUGACAAAUUGCACUAGCCUCCCUUCAUGUUUAUCAUCGUUGCACUAACAUUCAUCUAUUAUUUAGCAAAACACUAACCACUCUUAUUUUAUUGAAAACAUUGCAGUACUAAUUAUCAUUAUUGUACUGACCUCCCCUAAGAUUAUUUUUAAAACACUGAAGACCCAUUUGUUAUUCUAAAUGAAAUAUGUGGUUAAUGAAUUUUGUGAAAUAUAGGGGAGGUCAGUCUAAUAAUAAAAAAUCUUGAAGGAGGAUAGUGAAAUUUCCCUUUAUUUUUAAAACUCAAAAUAUUUUACUAUUUUUUCAAAGGCUUAAAUAUGUUGGAGGCCCCUCUAAAAUAGGGUUACUUUGGUUUAGGCCCCUACAAAAUAUUUUUUUGGGAAUACACCCCUAUUUGGAAAAUAAUAUGGAGGGAUAAGCCCUCACCGUUACAAGAAGUCGUUAGUUUUCUAACGGAGAACGACGUGACAGCCACAUCAUCAGGUCAUGUCAUCAAUGUUGUCAAGUAAGCACAUGAGAAAAUGUUUAAAAUAAAAAAAAUAUGUAACUAGGAUUUGAAUACAAGACCUGCAACUUAAAUUAAAGAUACCUUACCACAAGACCUGUGUUCGAAUCCUGGUUAAUUUUUUUGAUUUUAAACAUUUGCUCAUGUGCUUACUUGGCAACGUUGAUGAUGUGGCUACCACGUCAUCCUCUGUUAGAAAACUAACAAUUCUUGUAACGGGGGAUUUUAUCCCUCCAUAUUAUUUUCUAUAUAGGGGGUAUUCCCAACAAAAUAUUUUGUAGGGGCCUAAACCAAAGUACCCCUAUUUUAGAGGGACCUCCAACAUAUUUAAGCCUUUUUCAAAUUAUGAUAAUUACUUUUUUGUAAUAAAAUUAAAAUACUUUUCUUAUAAUUUUACAUUUUUAGAAUAUACUUAACAUAGGAAUUAUUAAGUAAAUUAAGUUUUUUUUUGGUAGAUGUUAAGUAAAUUAAGUAAUUACAGUAAACUACUUCAAUCUUUAUUUUUAUUUUCAAACUAGUCCUUUGACCCGUGCGAUGCACGGGGAAUAUUCAUAUUUUUUAUCGCGUGACAUUUUUUAAAAUCUGUAUUAUUUUUGUUAUGUUUAUUAAAAGAAAAUUUAUGAAUUAAAAGAUCAAAAUUAAUUUAGAUAUAUGAAAACAGACAUUUGAAAGUAUUUUUUUUAUAAAUGUGUUUGUUUUUAUUUUGUGGACGUGCAAAAUGAACUUUAUGUAAAGAAUUUUAAUUUUAUUUUAUAGCUUUUGUAUAAUAAUAAAGCACAUAUUUAUAUAAAUGGAAUUGUAGAAGUGAAAAAUGUUUUUUUCUCAUUUAUUAAAUACUUUAUUUUUUAUCGUCAUUAGGCACUUUGAAGUGGAUUUAUAUUUGAUCGGUAAAGUUUUAAAUUGUUUAACUUUUAUAUAACUCCUAAAUGAUAUUAGUUAAUAAUGUAACCACUAUUUUUAUUUUUUAUUUUAAAUUUCAAAUAAGUUAAUUAAUAGAGUAUAUAACUCAUAUGCAUCUUUAAGAUAUAUUUGAUUUAAUAAUAUCUUUAUCAACUUUUGCUCUUUUUAUGCUUAUUUCUAAAUACUAAUAAAUGCAUUUAAAAAUAAGGUUUAAUAGCUUUUUUGGUCCCUCACUUAUCACGAUUUUGCACUUUUAGUCCCUCUAGAAAAAAAUUAGCAAAAUUUGUCCCUCACAUUUACACACUUUUGUCGUUUUAGUUUUAUUAAACUAAUUAAUUUUAUUUUUGUUACAAUUAAAAGUUAGCUCAAAGCACAAAACAUGUUUUACCUAUUGAUGACCCUAGUUUAGUAGUGUUUUUAGGGUCAUUUCUUUGUUUGUUUUAAGUCUUUUUGUUGAGUCUCAUGUAGUGUUUCAUGCAUUCUCAUGCAUUUUUAUCUUUCUUUGAAUCUUUACUUUGUUUUGAAAAUUUUGUAGUUUUAUAGGGACUUUUCUUGCAUUUUAAGUAAGUUUAGGACUUGCAUGAUUUUCUUAUGUUAUUUGAGGGUCCUCUUUGCUAAUGAGCUCUUUGAGCUUCUGGAUAUUUUCCUUGGCUUGUUGGUUUUGUUUUCAGAUCAGAAACUGAAGGAGAAGGAAGGCCAAGAAGCAUGGAAUUGAAGGAGGGGUUAAAGAGGCUUGAAGAGGAGUUACAAAGAAGCUAAAAAGUCUUUCCAGCGAGCUUGGAGCGCCUAGGCGUUGGGAAUUGGCGCCUAGGCGCUAGUUAUAUUUUCUGAGCCUUCUGGAAUUGGCGCCUAGGCGCUGGGAAUUGGCGCCUAGGUGCUGGGAACCUUCCAGAGAGCAUGUUUUCAGCUGGAAUUGGCGCUCAGGCGCUCUGAAUUGGCGCCUGAGCGCCCAGACUCGAUUGUUUUGCCUAUAAAUUGGUUUUUAGACAUUUCUCUUGGAACCUUUUGUCAUUUUAUCAUAUUUUCAUAAGUUAGAAGAGAGGGUUGGAGUUCUGGAGCUUGAGGAGCUUUCUCUAAGCCCUAUGUUUCAGGUUUCAUCUUUAUCUUCUUGUAUGGAUUUCAUAGCCAUGUUUGGCUAAAACCCCUUUUGCUUUGGGUUCUUUGUAAGACUUAUGAUGUUUUAAUCUUAAUUCCUAUUUCUAUUCAUGAUUCCUCUGAGUAAACCCUUGAAUCCCAUAUCCAUGCUUUAUGUUUCAAGUUAGAACAUGUGCUAGCUUUAUGCUUUUCUAUAAUAGAACAGAAGUUUGUUAUAGAUUAGGGACUUGUUGUGGGAUUACCUCUUCUAUACUUGCUACUAGGAAUAGAGGAAGGGUUGGGGUUUGUUGACCUGAAUUGCAUGCUUAAUGCCUUUAGUAAAUGUUUAGGUUAUCAAGGAAUUGUGCCUAUCUUUUGGCUUGAGAGGAUUGUCUAUGCGAGGCAUCGAUAGAUGAUUGAUUAGGCUAGAACAUCAAGGAGAGAUUCAGAGUUUUGUGGAUAGAAUAGGUUGAUUAGAACUGAAUUAGUCAAGCAAGAACCCAAGGCAUGCUCACCAUUGUUCUCAUACACAUAUAUUUCAAUUGCUUGUUAAUUAGUCACCUAAACAAUCAACCUUCAAACUGAAUUUUACUCGCUUUCUUACCGUGAACUCGAGGCUUAAACUGAAUUCACAUUCCAAUUCCCUGUGGUUCGGUAAACUAAAACCGGGUAGAUUCUGUACACUUGCAGAAUGACCAACAAGUUUUUGGCACCGUUGCCGGGGAAUAUUUUGUGGUUUUUUGGAUUAAGUUUUUAGUUUGUGGUUUUAUUUUUGUCUAGAAUUGGUGCUACUAAUCUUUCUCUGUUUGAGUGUCACACUUUCAGGUUACUCUCACGAGAGACACCGUCAUGGGAGGCCGUAUGACGGAGGAGGAGAUUGAAGCCCACAUUGAGGCGAGAAUCCAAGAGGGGAUCACCCUCCGAUUAUGUGAACAAGAAGUUGAGAAUGCCAACCGGUCUCUUCGGGAACUCACUUCUUGUACCAUGAGUUAUGACUAUCCCGGGAGCAUUGUCUUUCCCGAGGGAGUGGGAAACUUUAAGUUGAGACCGGCAUUCAUCAACUUGGUGAGCCAAAACCAAUUUGGUGGAGGUACUUUGGAAGAUCCACAUGCUCACAUGGAGAGGUUCAUCCGGAAUUGCAACACUUACCGGGUGAACAAUGUUCCGGCGGAUGCAAUUCGGUUGAGCUUGUUUCCAUUUUCUUUGAAGGAUACCGCUGAGGAAUGGCUGAAUUCUCAACCUCAAGGGAGCUUCACUACUUGGGAAGACUUAGCGGAAAAGUUCACAACAAGGUUCUUCCCAAGAGCCCUUUUGAGGAAAUUGAAAAAAGACAUCAUGAAUUUUGUGCAACCCACUGAAGAAAAUCUCUAUGAAGCUUGGGAGCGUUUCAAGAAGCUCUUAAGGAAAUGUCCUCAACACAAUCUCACCCAAGCUGAAUUGGUUGCAACAUUUUAUGAUGGUCUACAGUACUCUUGGAGGUUUGGCCUAGAUGCGGCUUCAAAUGGCGAGUUCGAUGCUCUUUGAUAGCAAUUCCGCAAGUGUACGGAUUGAUCAAAGUAAUACAAAAGAUUGUCGAACCACAGGGAUAGUUGUUCAUCAAUUGCUUCUAAGAGUUUUGUGUUCAGAAUGUGAAAAAGAAAGCAAUAUAAGUUUGAGGGUUUGUUGUGUUUAACAAACUUGUGAUGAAGAGCAAGAAUUAUAAUUCAGAUAAAGAAGUACCCUGGGCAAAGCUCCACUUAGUCCAAUAAUGGUUCUCAAAUCAAAUUCUUAUAUGAAGUUCAGAAUCCUUAUCCAUGAUGUUAUAGCCUCUACCUCUACUUGUUAAUUCCUUAAUCAAGUAAAUCAUUCAAUUUCAUUUGCCAAACCUAAUGCCUUAGUGCCUAGUCAAUUCAAUUGAAGAAUGAAGUUUAUAAGUUCAGGCCAACACAAUAAGUUUCUACCCUUAUUCCUAAGUGAUAGCAAACAAAUCAAUCUGAUCCCAAGUCCCUUAAUCCUCACCAACUUCCGUUGUGCAAGAAGAAAGCAAAACACCUGUGUGCACUCAAGAGAAUAUUGAUUCAGAGAAAAGAUACAUGGAAAAGAAACUUUAUUCAUAUAAGAAAAUAAGAAGUUUAAACCAUAAUCAGAGCUAAGGUUCACUUCAUCCAAAGUAAAAGAGAAACUAGCCAAGCAUGGCUAGGGAAUUCAUAAUGCAAACUAAAGGAAUAAAAACCUGAAAGAAGAGGGCCAAGAAGCCUCCCACAAGCUCCAAGAACCUAAACCUCUAAGUUUUGUUAAAAAAGUUACAAGAUCCUAAAAGAAAUAACAAAAUCCCUAUUUAUAGAGUUUCCAGCGGUAAUCCACGCAUGUGCGUGGCCUCCUCCACGCACAUGCGUGGGCAAAACGCUCAAAACGCUAAAUUCGCAGCAUCAGAUUUUGCCACCACGCAUGUGCGUGGAUCAGACGACGCACAUGCGUGGGCAUCAGGUUUUUCCUGCAGUAGCUCCACGCAUGUACGUGGGAUACAUGGCGCACAUGCGUGGCUCAUCUGAUUUUUCUUUAAUUUUGUAACUCCCACUUCUCCUAUCAUCAUGGCUCUUAACUUAGCUUUCAACCAUCAUCAUUAGCCAUUAAAAACCUAUCAAACCUGAAAAGAAUCUCAAGAAACCAUCAAAACAACAAUGUAACUCAUUGGAACAUGUCAUUAAUCAUGAUAAUUCACCAUCCUUUCAUUCAAUUCAGCAAAUAAAACCCCCAAUGUGCAAUCAACACUCAUGAAUUCAAAUGACUUAAGCUAAAAACUGACCAUAGGAGUUACUCUCGAACUAAACUAAUAAAAAGACUAAAUAAAUUGAUUAAAAACACCUAAACUAAUGCAUAUGCAAUUAUGAAAUAAAAAGGGACUCAACUUGACUUAAAGCUCAAUAAAGAACUCAAAAAGGAAAAGAAAGAAACAAGAAGGACUCGAUAAAUAUAGAAUAAACCUCGGGUCAUCACACCACUAUACUCAACGACAGCUUGUCCUCAAGCGUAAACUCAAGGUAGCUUGUCCUCAAGCACAGAAUAAAUCACCCCUUCUUCAGCUGCUUAGGCUUUUCAAAACAAGAUACUUCACAAAACAAAAGAAAGGUCAAAUGCACACAUCUAAAGAUGAGUGGUCAGCAAGAGUAACCAAGACUUCCAAGCAAGAGCUCAUCAACUUCCUCACAUGUCAACCACUCUCCUCACAUUUUGGGUGCUCUAACAUACAAACUCAAUACUUCAGCCCUGAUAAUCAAUCAAUUCAAAGUUAAAUGCAACAAUAACAAGAACAAGAGAGACUUCGAAAGGUUGUAACUUUGGCUAAGGUAAAGUGUAGGUAGGGAUGCCAAGAAAAGGGAAACACAAGGGCUCAAAACAGAUUUUGUGGUGAGUGAUUCUUCUAUUCAACAAGACCUGAGCCGAAUUUUUAAGACUUUGGGACUCCUUCCUUCUUUUUUUUCUUUUCAACUUUUUUCUCUUUUUCAAUUGCCAAGGCACUUGCCUUUCUUUUGACAAUUCAGCAUGCUUUUUUUUUUUUACUUUUAGGAAAGAAGUCCUUUUGAUAUUUUCUCUGCUCAAUCACAACCACAAAUCACUCAUCAAAGCUCAAUUCACCAUAAUUCGGGGACCAAGAAAAAUAUUCAUUCUUAAGGCUCAACUUGGGAAACUAAGGGAAUAUGAUAACAAUCCAAAGUCUGACGCCAACAAAGAACUCCUACCAAGUCUCUUCAAAGAACAAGUAUUGUGCAACAACCAAUAUGCAUUUCAAAGCAGAGCUAAGCAUGUAUAAGCAUGUUAGGAAUAAACAUUGAGACUCUCAGCACUCAACAAAAACAUUGGGGUGUUGAAGUGAAACACCCUUUCUUAUGAACUCAAGCAAGUAAGAUCAAGCUACCUCACAUUCCAAUCACAAUAGCAUGUACAAAGACCACAAGAUAAAAACAUGGAAGUAUCAUCAACUAUCAAUAAGAAGCAGCUAAUCAAGGGUGAAACCACUUAAGCAAGUUCAGCAUUGCAGCAAGAAACCCAAGGAUAUUCAUACCGACUCAAACGUAAAAAGAAAAAACAUGCAAAAACCUCGAUGCACUAACUACCUAAAAAGAAAAAGAAAAUGUUUUUUUUAUAGAAGAACACUAAAUUAAAGCAAACUCAAAUUAAAGAAAAGCAAACCAAGACUUGGGUUGUCUCCCAAGAAGCUCAAUUUUUAAGUCUUUGAUAGACUUCCCCGGACUCAAAGUUCUAGUCAGGGUUUAUAGCAAAUUGCAUUAGAUACUUUAGAUCAUGCAAAUUUUGACACAACUGCAUCAUCAUAUUACCUGCAUUUCCAUAUAUCAUGGCAACAUAAAUCAAAUUAAGAGUAGAGGGUUUAAGAAAAUUCUCACUAAUUUUCUUCCAUGGUGUGUUGAGAAGAUUCCAUCCUCUUGUUUGUUCAUUGCCAUGCUUUCCAUUGAUCCACAUGUCCUUAAGAUUGAUGCUAAGAUUUGGAGUUUCCUCCUCAUCUUUCUGCAUUUUGUCUCCAAAGACAAAAUCCUCUAUGGAUAAAUCAUGAACAUCAUCACAUUCAAUCACAUUUUUCAUUUGUUCACCCAUUGUAUUUUCACUUUCUGUCUCAAGAACAUUGGUGAAGUCUCCUUUUGAGGAUUCUUCACUUCGUGGCUCCUCACUUUUAUCCACAAUGUCACUUUCAUGGAUAAUAAGUGAUUGUUCUCCUUCCUCCAAAGCUUGAGGGCAGAAAUAUUCUGGUGUCCCUUCAGCUAUGGUUUUGGCUAUAUGUUCCAACUGAGUCUCCAAAUUCUUGAUGGAGGCUUCUUGAUUCCUUAAGUUGGCCCUGGUUUCAUUCAUGAAACUCUGAUUGGUAAGUACCAAAUCAGCCACCAUCUCUUCUAAGCUCUUCUUUCCACUCCCAUGAUAUUGAUGAGGUUGUUCUUGAUCAAAUGGUUGAUGUUCAAAAUCUCCAUAAUAUUGAUGACUUGGUAGAUCCCAUGGAUUGAAAUUAUCAUCACAUUCCCAAAAGAUAUCGGGUUGUCCUUCCCAUCCUUGAUCAUAGUAAUGAUGUGGGUCAUAUCCACGGAAUCCACUCAAAUCAAAAGCAUCCAUUGAACCUUGUAAAAAUCACUUUCACAUACAGGUUAGUAGCACCGAUUCAAUGAAGCAAUGGUAAUAAAAUUUCCAAACAAUAAAAGUCAAGGAUCAAUCAACAAAACAAAACUAUCCCCGGCAACGGCGCCAAAAACUUGAUAGCAAUUCCGCAAGUGUACGGAUUGAUCGAAGUAAUACAAAAGAUUGUCGAACCACAGUGAUAGUUGUUCAUCAAUUGCUUCUAAGAGUUUUGUGUUCAGAAUGUGAAAAAGAAAGCAAUAUAAGUUUGAGGGUUUGUUGUGUUUAACAAACUUGUGAUGAAGAGCAAGAAUUAAAAUUCAGAUAAAGAAGUACCCUGGGCAAAGCUCCACUUAGUCCAAUUAUGGUUCUCAAAUCAAAUUCUUAUAUGAAGUUCAGAAUCCUUAUCCAUGAUAUUAUAGCCUCUACCUCUACUUGUUAAUUCCUUAAUCAAGUAAAUCAUUCAAUUUGAUUUGCCAAACCUAAUGCCUUAGUGCCUAGUCAAUUCAAUUGAAGAAUGAAGUUUAUAAGUUCAGGCCAACACAAUAAGUUUCUACCCUUAUUCCUAAGUGAUAGCAAACAAAUCAAUCUGAUCCCAAGUCCCUUAAUCCUCACCAACUUCCGUUGUGCAAGAAGAAAGCAAAACACUUGUGUGCACUCAAGAGAAUAUUGAUUCAGAGAAAAGAUACAUGGAAAAGAAACUUUAUUCAUAUAAGAAAAUAAGAAGUUUAAACCAUAAUCAGAGCUAAGGUUCACUUCACCCAAAGUAAAAGAGAAACUAGCCAAGCAUGGCUAGGGAAUUCAUAAUGCAAACUAAAGGAAUAAAAAACUGAAAGAAGAGGGCCAAGAAGCCUCCCACAAGCUCCAAGAACCUAAACCUCUAAGUUUUGUUAAAAAAGUUACAAGAUCCUAAAAGAAAUAACAAAAUCCCUAUUUAUAGAGUUUCCAGCGGUAAUCCACGCAUGUGCGUGGCCUCCUCCACGCACAUGCGUGGGCAAAACGCUCAAGACGCAAAAUUCGCAGCAUUAGAUUUUGCCACCACGCAUGUGCGUGGAUCAGACGGCGCACAUGCGUGGGCAUCAGGUUUUUCCUGCAAUAGCUCCACGCAUGUGCGUGGGAUACAUGGCGCACAGGCGUGGCUCAUCUGAUUUUUCUUCAAUUUUGUAACUCCCACUUCUCCUAUCAUCAUGGCUCUUAACUUAGCUUUCAACCAUCAUCAUUAGCCAUCAAAAACCUAUCAAACCUGAAAAGAAUCUCAAGAAACCAUCAAAACAACAAUGUAACUCAUUGGAACAUGUCAUUAAUCAUGAUAAUUCACCAUCCUUUCAUUCAAUUCAGCAAAUAAAACCCCCAAUGUGCAAUCAACACUUAUGAAUUCAAAUGACUUAAGCUAAAAACUGACCAUAAGAAUUACUCUCUAACUAAACUAAUAAAAAGACUAAAUAAAUUGAUUAAAAACACCUAAACUAAUGCAGAUGCAAUUAUGAAAUAAAAAGGGACUCAACUUGACUUAAAGCUCAAUAAAGAACUCAAAAAGGAAAAGAAAGAAACAAGAAGGACUCGAUAAACAUAGAAUAAACCUCGGGUCAUCACUCUUCCCCCACAAGCGGGGUAUGACUUAAUAGAAAAGAUGGCAGCGAGAGCCAUGAACUCUGAAAAUGAUCGCCAAAACCGAAGGAGUAAGCUUGAAGUGGAAGCUUACGACAAGCUCUUGGCCUCCAACAAGCAACUCUCCGAACGAAUUGCGGAGAUUCAAAAUCACAUAAAGGCGACCAAUUUGGUCGGUGCUACAACAGCCAGAGUGGAGUGUGUGGCUAUUGGAGGGCCCAAUGUUAGUGAAUUUUGCACCAUUACUAGUCAGGGUUUCCGAGGUCAAAGCUCUAGACUAUCUCAACAAGUCCAAGAGCAAGUUGGUGAAAAUGAUGAUGGCAAGAAGAGUUUGGAGGAGUUGGUUGAGACUUUCAUCCACCGCAUGAAGAACAACUACAUGAGCCAAGAUGUGGCUAUAAAGAACUUGGAAAGUCAAAUUGGCCAGUUGGUCAAGCAAAUGGCCGAGAUACCUCAAGGUAAGUUUUCUCCCGAUUCGUUAAUUUUUUCUAAACAAGAAAAUUCUGCUGUUGUUACCACUAGGAGUGGGAGAGUGUUACAUGAGUCAAAAAAACAAAGUGAGGAAAUAGUUGAGGAGGAAAGGAGUGUUCCUAUUAAAACUAGAGUGAUGAAUGAUCCUAUUCCUGAGCUUAGCAAAGUUCCAUUUCCUAAAGCAUUGGCUAAAAAGAAUUUGGAUAAAAAGUUUUCAAAAUUUAUGGAUGUUUUUAAGAAACUCCAUAUCGAUAUCCCUUUUUCCGAUGCUUUGGAACAAAUGCCUAUCUAUGCUAAGUUCAUGAAGGACAUUUUAAAUAAGAGAAGGAAGUUGAGUGAGGUUGAUGAAACUAUCAUGAUGACCGAGGAGUGUAGUACCAUUUUGCAAAGAAAAAUGCCUAAGAAGAGAAGGGAUCCCGGGAGUUUUACUAUCCCAGUGGAGAUUGAGGGGUUGACUGUUGUUGAAGCCUUGUGUGAUUUGGGAGAGAGCAUCAACUUGAUGCCGCUUAGCAUGUUUAGUAGGCUGAACUUAGGAGAGGUCACCCCGACCAUGCUCUCCUUACAAAUGGCGGACCGAUCCCUAAAAACACCUUAUGGGAUCAUUGAAGAUGUGAUGGUUAAUGUUGAUAAGUACGUGUUCCCAGUUGACUUUGUGGUGCUGGACAUGGAAGAGGAUGCAAAGAUUCCUCUCAUUCUAGGCCGACCCUUCUUAGCCACAGGUAGGGCUAAGAUUGAUGUUGAUAAGGGUCAGCUCAUCCUCCGAGUUGGUAAGGACAAGGUAAGAUUUUCAGUUUUCAAUCCUAGUUUACAAACUAACCUUAAUGAUAAUUUUGUUUGUGAUAUGAUCAAAAGCUUGUCCAGGUCUUCAAAGGAGACCCCCAAGGUAAGUGAAAAAGGUGUUGAGCUUAAUCAAGCUCUCAUCAAGCUUGUUAGAGAAAACAAGUAUGGGGGGGUCUAAAGAUGAGAAAUGGCCCGAUUCACACAAGCGAGUCAACUUGUGAAAAUGGAAGGUGUGACUAGCGAUGAGCUCAAGGUUAAGCUCUUCCCCCACUCCUUGAAGGGGGGAGCAAGGAUUUGGUACGAUGGUUUAGAUGAUACCCUCUCUUGGGAGGAGAUGUUGAAGAUAUGAAAAACGGUAGAAAGGGGGGGUUUGAAUAACGUUUUCAGUAUAAAACUUCCACCUUAAAGAUUUUGACAAAUCUUUCGAGAACUUUAAUUGCUAAAGAUAAGAGAUAGAAAAGCACACAAGGAUUUUAUCCUGGUUCACUUGAUAAAUCACUCAAGCUACUCCAGUCCACCCGUUAAGGUGAUUUCUUCCUUCUUAGAAUGAAGGCAAUCCACUAAUCAGGUAAGAGUUACAACUGCACUUGAAACCUACAAGUGACUAACAAUUACACUGACUUAGCUCACACUAAGAUUCACUCUCUUAGUCUUCUCUAGGAUCCGAUCAACCUUGAUCUCCUAAAGGAACUAAACAAACUGUUUAUCAAAGAAUUGUUUACAAGAGAUUUGCUUCUAAAAAGCUAAUAGUAAACUCAAUGAAUUUCAGAUGAAAGAAAACUUAGAAGAUUUUGAAUAUGUCUUGCGUAUGUGAAUGCUUCUUGCCGUUUCUUUCAGUCUUCAGCCUCUUUAUAUACUCCAAGGAUUAGGGUUGAGUGAUGCAUGGGAAAUGCUACCGUUGGAGGGCAGUUCUGGAAAAUCCAGCUUCUGCUGUGGCUGAGAACGUUAGGUAGGUCGUCAGGAAGGUACAGUAGCUUUUGUACUUGGAUAGCGACGCGACCUUUAAACCUAGGAGACUUCUGAUCAGGGGAAUGCUUCAUAUUGGAACUUGUGAAGCCGGUUGAUCAGAGUCAGAGGGAAAGCACAGAUCCUCUGACCAUUGUAUCUUCUGAUUCUGAACUCAGAGGGAAGAACAUGGCCUUCAGAGUUUCUUUCUUCUGGACUUCAGAGUUUCCACUAUUCAGCUUCUGGAUCUUCAGAGUCUUCUACACCAUCAGAACAUCUGAACCUUCAGUGUUUCUUGGUUAUCAGAACUUCUGGAUCUUCAGAGCUUCUAGUGACUGAGUCCUCAUCAGAGUUUGUAUAACUUCAGAACUUCUGAAGCUUUUCCACUGUUCAUACUGAACAUGGUGAAUGCGAAAGCGUUGCUUGGGUCACUCUUUAUACACAGUGCUUCUGAUUUGUGUGAGAUUGAGUAGAGGUCAGAACCUGCAAAUAGCACACUCAGAAAAACACGUUAGAGUACCACAAUUGUUCAUAUCAAAAGGUUAACUUGUAAUCAUCAAAACAUAGAGUUGUACUACUAGAUCAAAACUUGAUCUUACAAUCUCCCCCUUUUUGAUGAUGACAAAACUAAGAUUUUUGAUGAACAAUUCUUAAACAUUAAACUGAAUUCACUCAGAGUUUAGAGAUAUAGAAUAAGACUUAUCCUGAUGUGAAUAGUUUAUCUUGCUCAUUCUGAAUUCAAGUCACUGCUUGAUUCUGAGCUUAGCUCCCCCUGAAUCUAAUACUUGAUGAAAACGUUAGUAAAGUCUAGAUUCUAAGCUAAAUGAUAUAAGAGUUCAGAGGAAAAACUUAUGACAUAGAUGAAAAACGAGUAAUCAGAGCGCAUAAGUAAUCAGAGUCAUGGACAAGGUAUCAGAGUCUUGGGUAUCAGAGUCAACUUAUAAUCACUUCAGAAGAAGUGAAAUGUAUUCCUUGUAUUUGCCCAGUGACACAUCUAUGGUCAUGAAGGUGGAACUCUUAAAAUCUCCAAAAGAAAAAAUAAAUCACACUAACACAUCUUACACAUCAAAAACUGGGUUUACUCCCCCUUUUUGUCAUAAGCAAAAAGCUUGGGGUGUGAAAAACUUAGCUUGAAGUACAAGGUACUCCCCCUUAGAGAAGGUCUAAGUUUAAAGGAAAUGAAAACGAUGCAAGAAUCAGAGUUAGGCGAAAUAAAUAGAAGAGUUAAUGCAAGAGAAGAACGUUUACCACCGGUCACGUGAGUAAAGAGAAGGGUCAGUUACCAAGAACUUAACCUCGAGAAACCGUAGGAGCAUUAACUUUCAGAGAGAAAGUGAAGCCUAUAUAAAGCGUGGGAGAGAAAGGUAAGCUUCACACUUCGAACAAUUUUCAGUAAAGAAAAAAAAUGGCAUCAUACAUCGUAGCACUAGCAGAGCUGAGGAAGAAGGCCUUUGAGGAGGACUUGUUCCUGAACAUCCGACAUCCAGAGGGUACAACGACCAUCUCGGAGCUAACACGAACACUGCUGGAAGAGGACCUGCGUCCAGAGUUGGAGAGAGACUUGAAGGAAUUUCUUGCCUUCGUUGAGGAGGUGCAAGAACUCAGCCGGCUUGAACUCAAGCUGCUGGAAGAAAAAGAAAGUUUGGAAGAGAAGCUCAAGACUUCAGAAGAGAUUCUGGAGAGGGAUGAGCUAAAGAACAGGCUCAGCAACAUCCAGCAUGUACUGGAGCGUCUGGAGAAGGAUAGGUCAGAGCAGCGCCAGGAGUGCAGAAGAAUGAGGAGAGAUCCUCCAUUCUAGACUUAGGGAAGGAAUGGAUAAUGUAAACAUAAAGAAUGUAUGAUGUAAAUGAAAAAAAAAAUAUUAUGAAUAAAAGGAUUUUUGCAAACAUAUGUGACACAAAUAUAUAUAGAGAUGCAUAUAUAAUCACAAACGAAUAAAGUAGAAUAGAUAAAUAAAAAGAAACAGAGUUUAAAUAAAACAACGUUAAAGAAAAAGAAAGAAAAAAAGAAGAGAUCCUAAAACUAAGGUUUGUCAGAUCGUCUCAGAAGUUCCAUCAUCAUGUGCUUCAUCUCAAUCAGCAUGGAUUCAUGAAUGUCAAGACGUUGUUCCAUGAUGUCGAGUCUGGAUGAGCUGGACUGAGUAGAACUGGAAGGGACAUUCUGAGCAGCUUGAGAGUCUGGAAUGGAAGCAGAAGCAGCAGGAGUAAACACAACUGGUGCAAGUGCUUGGCAUCUAAGAGCUUCAGCCUCAGCUUCAAGUCGCUCUGCCUCUAGUCUGGCUUGUUCAGCUUGAGCUGCUGCUUGACGUGCAGCUUCUUCUGCUUGAGCUUUCUUUCUCUUGGCUUCUUCAAUAGCUUCAAGAAGCUUAUUUCUCUGUUCUUGUUCAUGAAGAGCCACCCUUCGAGCAAACCUUUGCUUGGCAGCCUCAAUCCUCUGACUGCCCUCUGCAUGCAGGAGCUGCAUCAUAAUUGGAACUUGAGCCACUAGCCAAGUGCCCAGAUUGUUCCACUCAUCAGCCACACGUUCAGCAUUCUCACUGAGGUCAGUCUGACCGUGCACAUUGCGGAGCCUCAAGGAGGCUUCAUGAUAGAAAAUAUUGAUGCACUCAGAGAGAGAUGUGGGUUGGAGGUGAGUAUAGGGAAUUAUGGAGAGGUUGGUUUCAGGAGAGGCUGGGUGGUUGCUGCUAUGAGCUUCAGAGGCACCUUGUGGAGAACCAAUGUUAAUCAUAUGAGCAUUGGGUUCAGAGGUUCCAAGGUGAGGGUCUGAAGUUUCAACCAGAGGAUGGGGUGAUCUAACCGAGGAUUGGUUAGACACUGAUUGUUCGGGUUCAGGUUCUGGUUGAAUAGGCUCUUGUUGGUCAGGGACAGGUUGAGCUUGUUGAGCCAAAGGGUCUGCCUCUUGUAAAGGAUUGGCCAAGAUAGGUUCAUCUGGGUCAACUAGACGUUCAGGUCUAGGGCCACGAUAUCUCCUAGGGCUUGGACAAGUGAGGUAGUAUUCCUCUAAGGUAGACACCUUUUCCUUUCUGACCUCCAUGAAUUUUCUAAUGGAUUCAGAGUUAUUGGAGGGAGAAGAAUCAGCAACAUUGGUUGGGAAGGAUACAGGUGUAAAGGCUGUGGAAGAAUCUGUAUCCGUGGUUCUGGCAGCAGGACGUGCUGAUGCUCUGGGAACAGAGUGAUCAGACGUUCUGGGUUGUGGUUCUGUUUGGUUGGGCUCUGGUUGUUCAUGGAUGACGGGUUCAGAAGAUAAUGGGUCGUACGGGAUGGUAAGGAGAGAGGUUGGUUCUUCUGACCUAGAGGGUUGGUUCUGAAGCAAAUUCCAGAGAGGUGCUUCAGUAGGGGAAGGUUGAAAGAAGGAAGAUCUUGGGGAAUGUGGUGGAGUGGUGGUUUGUGCGGCUGGUUGGGAUUCAUGAAUAGGAGUGAGGGGAUUUGAGGAGUGUUUGAGCAUGGCAGAAAUAGGGAGUGCAUCAAAUAAAUUCAAAUCAUCAUCAGAAGCAAGUGCAGGCUUACUUGAAUGUGCUGAUGAUCUAGUCACUCUGGCAGGAGGUUCAGUCCUUCUGACCACUUCAGCAGCUGGUUCCACCCGAGUAGGCUUCACCACGAUUCUGACCUGCUUCUUCUUCUUCUUCUUAGGAGGACCAUCCUCAUUGUCACUAUCAUCACCAUCAUCAGGCUUUCUCUUCUUCUUUGUGACCAGAGGGACAUCGGAUUCCUCAGAAGAUUCGUCCAGUAGCAUCUUCCUCUGAGCUUUCUUCUUUGGAGGAGAAGGAAACUCUGGAGCUGGCGGCAGUCUGCUGACGAAAUCAUCAAGAUCAAUUUCGAAUCCUUGAGCCCUGAGGUCUUCAACAUAGCACCUGAUGGCGUCAGGAUUGUCUGCCUGAGUCCACAGAGGGUAGUCAUUCAGAGGCAUCCUUCUGCUUCUGAUCUCAGAAGAUGUGUCUUCAUGAGCAGGAGCAAUCUUCUUCUGGACCAAACCCAUCUUCUUCAGAGAGUUUGCAGUGAAGACAUCACUGACCAUGGUGCUCAGAUCCUCUACACAUCCAGCAUUGACCAGAUCUUGCACCAAGUUGCUUUCAAUAAGAAAGUCUGAGAGCAGCCUCCCAAAGGGGAUAUAUUUGAUUGCAGACUUGAUGGAGGCAGUGGUGCGAGACUUCCGGAUGCAUUCCUUCAAGUAGGAGAACAGGAAGUAGGGAAGGCAGAUCUUCUUCUGAUCUUGGAUGAAGAACAACAUCACCUUCUGGUUGAAGUUGAUGUAGUCUGGAGAACUGCCCUUCGGUCUCUGGUUUAUGCAGUGGAGUAGGAUCUUGUGCCAGAUCCUGAGCUUGGGAUGAAGGUCCAUCACCUUGUAACUCGUCUUGCCCGGUUUGAAGGUGGUGUACAGGGCCUGGUUGAUUGUAUCCUUGGUGCUGGGUUUCAGCUUCGAUUCCGUCAGUUGGAAACGAUACCCAUAAGCAGUUUCUGCACCCAGCAAGUUCACGAAGGACUUCUCCGUGAUGAUGAUCUUUCUUCCAAGAAUAUGAGAUACCACCUAAGUAUCAUCGCAGUCGGCGUGCUUCCAGAAUUCCUUUACCAGUCUAUCAUACACCGGUCCUCGAAGUCUGUUGAAGUAAUUUCCCCAACCUUGAGCUUGGACUUCGGGACGAAGAUCAUACCCAUUUGUAGCCAGGUUGUCGAGGUUGAAUCUCCAUUUUGCCAGGACUUGGAGUUCCUCAGGAGGAUAUACGCAGUGAACGGCACAGCCCCGUUCUGCAAUUGGAACACUCUGUUCUUGAGCUUGAACUGGAUCUUGUGUCGGAUUCUCAGGGCCCCUUUGACCCGUUGCUAGACCCACUACCAUGUGAGGGAACUGGGGUGCAUCUGCAGUAGAUCUUCUGGUUUGUCUCACCAUUUUUGAAGUGGUUGAAGGUUUGAGGUAGAAGAUGAAGGUUGAAAGAUGAAGAGAGAUCGAGAGAGAGAUCGAGAAAAGGCGGUUUUGAAAAGCAGAGAGAGCGAGAGUAAAAAACGGAAGUGAACGAGAACGUGUGUGUAUAGUGGGUUUUAUCAAAUAACCGUUGUUGAUUCAAAAAGCACUUUAAGAUCAACGGUUGAAAAUUAAAGAUAGAUAGUAACAGUAAAUACACAAUCACACACAUGAGAGAAGCAUAUCUACACGCAAUCAUAACAGACUGUCACACGGGCACAAGGAACUAUGCAUCAGAAAAACUGACACACGUGUUGUUGUCUCAGCUUCAGAGUCAGUACCAGUGGGUACACACACUCUGAUUGAGUUACCUUCUGGACUAGACAUCUUCUGAUCAAGAAGUAUCAUAGUCAGAGGUUCUGAUCCAUCUUCACUCUGGACAAAAGUCCAUGUUUAGAUUUUUCAGAAUAAAAUUAAAUCUAUCCUCUGCUAAGGGCUUUGUAAAGAUAUCUGCCCAUUGAUGGUCAGUAUCAACAAACUUCAGAAGAAGUACGCCCUUCUGUACAUAAUCUCUAAUAAAGUGAUACUUUACCUCAAUGUGCUUUGCCCUUGAAUGCAAGAUAGGAUUCUUACUCAAUGAGAUUGCAGCAGUGUUAUCACAAUAGAUUGGGAUAUUGCUCUCAAGGAUCUGAUAAUCCUCCAGCUGAUGUUUCAUCCAGAGCAUCUGAGUGCUGCAUAUUGCUGCUGAGAUAUAUUCUGCCUCUGCAGUUGAUAGUGCAAUGGUUGAUUGCCUCUUGCUUGCCCAUGAGACUAGAUUGCUUCCCAGAAAUUGACAAUUUCCAGAAGUACUUUUUCUCUCUGUUCUAUCUCCAGCAUAAUCAGCAUCACAGUAACCUGAAAGCUUAUACUCUGAUGUUUUCUUAUACAUCAAGCCAAGGUUGGUGGUGCCUUUCAGAUACCUUAGGAUCCUCUUAACAGCAGUUAAGUGGGUUUCCCUUGGAUCUGAUUGGAAACGAGCACAUAAGUGAACACUAAAUAAUAUGUCUGGCCUAGAUGCAGUUAAGUAUAGAAGUGAACCUAUCAUGCCACGAUAGAGCUUCUGACAUACUUUACCACUUUUAUCUUCUUUCUCCAGAAUGCAUGUAGGAUGCAUUGGAGUCUUGGCCACUGUAGAUUCCAGCAUAUUGAACUUCUUCAGAAGUUCUUUAGUGUACUUGCUCUGAUGGAUAUAUGUUCCUUCUGGUGUUUGAUCAACUUGUAUUCCCAGAAAGUACUUUAAUUCUCCCAUCAUACUCAUCUCAAAUUCAGCCUGCAUCAUCUCAGAAAAUUCUUUGCAUAGAGAUUGAUUAGCAGAACCAAAUAUAAUAUCAUCAACAUAAAUUUGCACAAUUAAGAUAUCAUCUUUAUAAGUCUUGCAAAAAAGAGUUGUAUCUACUUUACCCCUUACAAACUCAUUCUCCAGAAGGAAUGAGCUAAGUCUCUCAUACCAUGCUCUGGGAGCUUGCUUCAGACCGUAGAGUGAUUUCUUCAAUUUGAACACAUGGUCUGGUUUCUUCUCAUCUUCAAAACCUGGGGGUUGAUGAACAUAGACUUCCUCUGAGAUAUAACCAUUUAGGAAGGCACUCUUUACGUCCAUCUGAUGUAGAACUAUGUUGUGAUUUACUGAGAAAGAGAUCAACAGUCUGAUUGCCUCCAGUCUUGCUACUGGAGCAAAUGUUUCAGUGUAGUCUAUUCCUUCCUGCUGGCUGUAGCCUUGAGCAACUAGCCUUGCCUUGUUUCUGACUACAUCUCCUUUCUCAUUCAGCUUGUUUCUGAAUACCCACUUCGUUCCAAUAACAUGGACACUCUCAGGCUUCUUCACUAAGCUCCAAACAUCGUUCUUGGAAAAUUGAUUCAGUUCUUCUUCCAUGGCCAGAAUCCAAUCCUUGUCCUGAAGAGCUUCAUCUAUGGACUUGGGUUCAAUUAAGGACACCAAUCCUUUCAGACUGAGCAAGGUCUCUUCAGAGGGUCUGAAGGCAGAUCUGGUUCUGACUGGUUCGUCUUUGUUGCCCAGAAUCAAUUCCUUAGGGUGAGCUGCAGUGAUUCUGCUCUUCUUCAGAGUUUGGGAGAUAGAGGGACCAGCAUCUUCCUCUGGUUCAUCUUCCUCUGGCUCAUCUUCCUCUGGAGCUUUGCCUUUGUCAGAAACAUUAAUGCUUAAAUCUGCAAACUUUUCAACUAGCUUUGACUGGUCAGAGUCAAGCUUAUCGUCAAAUCUAACAUGAAUAGAUUCUUCAAUAGUCUUAGCAUCAGUAUUAUAAAAUCUAAAACCUUUAGAUCUCUCAGAGUAACCGAGUAAUAGACACUUAGAAGACUUAGCAUCAAAUUUAUGCAAUUUAUCCUUAGUAUUGAGAACAUAACAAACACAGCCAAAAGGAUGAAAAUAAGAAAUGUUGGGUUUUAUGUUCUUCCACAAUUCAUAAGGAGUCUUAUUCAGAAUUGGUCUCACAGAGAUUCUGUUCUGAAUGUAACAUGCUGUAUUUACUGCCUCUGCCCAAAAGUGCUUAGCCAUGCCAGUUUCUUGGAGCAUGGUUCUAGCCAUCUCCUGAAGAGUUCUGUUCUUCCUCUCAACAACACCAUUUUGUUGAGGAGUUCUGGGACAAGAGAAAUCAUGUGCAAUUCCAUAGGAAUCAAACAGACUCUCAAACUUGUCAUUCUCAAACUCUCCACCAUGGUCACUUCUGACACGCACAAUCCUACAAGCCUUCUCGUUUUGCACUUGAGCAAUGAAGGUAGAGAACACAGCAUGAGACUCGUCCUUGCGGGUUAGAAACUUUACCCAUGUCCAGCGGCUAUAGUCAUCAACGAUAACCAUCCCAUAUCUCUUGCCACCUAUAGACUCAGUUUUCACUGGUCCAAAAAGGUCGAUAUGCAGAAGUUCCAACGGCCUUGAGGUUGAGACAACAUUCUUUGCCUUGAAAGGGACUUUUGUGAAUUUGCCUUUCUGACAUGCUUCACAAAGAGCGUCUGAAGCGAACUUCAGAUUGGGUAAGCCCCUGACAAGGUUUAGCUUGCUCAGCUGAGAAAUCUUUCUCAUACUGGCAUGCCCUAACCGUCUAUGCCAUACCCACUGCUCUUCAUUAACAGACAGAAGGCACUUCACAUUCUGAGCCUCCAACUCAGAUAAUCUGAUCUUAUAGAUGUUGUUCUUCCUCUUGCUGUUAAACAGAACAGAGCCAUCGAUCUGACUUACAGCCCGGCAGGACUUUUGAUUGAAUAUAACAUCAUAACCCUUGUCAGCUAAUUGACUUAUAGACAAUAAGUUAUGUGUUAAGCCGUCUACCAAUAACACAUUAGCAAUGCAUGGACUACUAUCUACACAAAUAGUACCAGUACCAACAAUUUUACCCUUUUCAUUUCCUCCAAAGCCAACUUCGCCUCCAGGCUUAAGUUUCAGCUCUUGGAACAUACGCCUUUCUCCCGUCAUGUGACGCGAGCAUCCACUGUCCAGAUACCAUGAUUGGUGUUUCAGUGGAGCUAUCAAGGAUAUCUCAUUUUCAUCGUCUGAGUUAGGAUCUCCUUCUGAUUCUGAGUCAGAGUCAACAGCUUCCUUUGACUCUGCUCCUUUGUCUUUGACAAUGGCCAUGAGUCCUUGGACUUCACCAUCAGAGUCAACAUCCUCUGACUCUGAUUCAUCAAAUGUCACCAUCAGACUCUUCUUGGUCUUGAAGUGCUUCUUUGGCUUCUUGUCCUUCUUCAAUCUUGGACAGUCACUUUUGUAGUGCCCUGAUUCUUUGCACUCAAAGCAUGUGACUUCCUUAAGCGAGGACUUCUUCUGACCUGAGGAUUCAGACUUUCCUCUUGCCUUUCCAGAGCCUUUGAAUUUGCUCUGCCUGUGCUUCCAGAUGCGAUUGAGUCUCUUGGAGAUCAGAGUCAGCUCAUCUUCAUCAGAAUCUUCUGAUGCUUCUUCAGAUUCCUCUUCUUCAGCUUGAAGAGCUUUUGACUUCUCAACCUUGGCCUUUUCAGAUUUGGAUUUCAAGGCUAUGGACUUUUUCCUCAGAUCUUGCAUCUCUGAGCGCUUCAGCUCAUGACAUUUCAAAAUGCUGAUGAGUUCUUCUAAACUCAUAUUCUCAACGUCUCUCGUGAGCUCUAUUGAAGUCACCAAAGGCAUCCAACUUUCAGGAAGACACCUGAUGACCCUUAUGACAUGAUCUUUUGUUGUGUAGCUCUUGUUGAGAGGUCGUAUGCCAGCUACAAGCAACUGAAAUCUGGAGAACAUUUCUUCAAUGGACUCAUUUGGCUCCAUGAUGAAGGAUUCAUACUUUUGGAUCAAAGACAAUGCCUUUGAUUCUUUGACUUUCUUGUUUCCUUCAUGAGACAUCUUCAGAGAUUCGAAAAUGCCUUUAGCAAACUCACGAUCUGUAAUCUUCUGGUACUCUUCAUAGGAAAUAGCACUUAGAAGAAUUGCUCUUGCUUUGUGAUGUUGUGAGUACAGCUUCUUUUGAUCUGCAGUCAUCUCUGACCUUGGGAUCUUCUUGCCAUCUGCAUCAACUGGACGCUCGUAGCCAUCCAUAAUAAUAUCCCAAAGAUCUGCAUCGAAACCCAGAAAGAAACUUUCCAGUCUAUCUUUCCAAUAUUCGAACCUUUGACCGUCGAACAUAGGAGGCUUUGCAUUGUAACCAUCUCUUUGAGUUUCACUGGUGGUGGCAGCCAUUGUUUUUCACACCGGCCCGGAUCACUGAACACUGUUAGGUGUGGUAAUCAGAACUUGCGCUCUGAUACCAUUUGAAGGUAUGAAAAACGGUAGAAAGGGGGGUUUGAAUAACGUUUUCAGUAUAAAACUUCCACCUUAAAGAUUUUGACAAAUCUUUCGAGAACUUUAAUUGCUAAAGAUAAGAGAUAGAAAAGCACACAAGGAUUUUAUCCUGGUUCACUUGAUAAAUCACUCAAGCUACUCCAGUCCACCCGUUAAGGUGAUUUCUUCCUUCUUAGAAUGAAGGCAAUCCACUAAUCAGGUAAGAGUUACAACUGCACUUGAAACCUACAAGUGACUAACAAUUACACUGACUUAGCUCACACUAAGAUUCACUCUCUUAGUCUUCUCUAGGAUCCGAUCAACCUUGAUCUCCUAAAGGAACUAAACAAACUGUUUAUCAAAGAAUUGUUUACAAGAGAUUUGCUUCUAAAAAGCUAAUAGUAAACUCAAUGAAUUUCAGAUGAAAGAAAACUUAGAAGAUUUUGAAUAUGUCUUGCGUAUGUGAAUGCUUCUUGCCGUUUCUUUCAGUCUUCAGCCUCUUUAUAUACUCCAAGGAUUAGGGUUGAGUGAUGCAUGGGAAAUGCUACCGUUGGAGGGCAGUUCUGGAAAAUCCAGCUUCUGCUGUGGCUGAGAACGUUAGGUAGGUCGUCAGGAAGGUACAGUAGCUUUUGUACUUGGAUAGCGACGCGACCUUUAAACCUAGGAGACUUCUGAUCAGGGGAAUGCUUCAUAUUGGAACUUGUGAAGCCGGUUGAUCAGAGUCAGAGGGAAAGCACAGAUCCUCUGACCAUUGUAUCUUCUGAUUCUGAACUCAGAGGGAAGAACAUGGCCUUCAGAGUUUCUUUCUUCUGGACUUCAGAGUUUCCACUAUUCAGCUUCUGGAUCUUCAGAGUCUUCUACACCAUCAGAACAUCUGAACCUUCAGUGUUUCUUGGUUAUCAGAACUUCUGGAUCUUCAGAGCUUCUAGUGACUGAGUCCUCAUCAGAGUUUGUAUAACUUCAGAACUUCUGAAGCUUUUCCACUGUUCAUACUGAACAUGGUGAAUGCGAAAGCGUUGCUUGGGUCACUCUUUAUACACAGUGCUUCUGAUUUGUGUGAGAUUGAGUAGAGGUCAGAACCUGCAAAUAGCACACUCAGAAAAACACGGUAGAGUACCACAAUUGUUCAUAUCAAAAGGUUAACUUGUAAUCAUCAAAACAUAGAGUUGUACUACUAGAUCAAAACUUGAUCUUACAGAUGUUCCAAAAGUUUUGUGCAAGGUUCCUACCUUGUACAUAUGGAAGAAAGAUUGAUGGUAAGGAAUUUCCUUCCUAACACCAAAGGAAGAAGAGUCCACCUAGGACUAUAACUUAGGGCUGCUUGGGAGACGACCCAAGUCUUGUUUUAUUUCGCUUGUUUGUUUGUUGCAUUUUGUAGGAGGAGAGAGCAUGCAACUCAAUAGUGGGAGGCGGUUCUAUAGCCUCCGUGCUUGACUUGGAGAGGAGGUGUAUCUCUUUCCUUUAAGUUAAUUCAUGCAUUUUUAGCAUAUUUUCUCUUUGUAGAACUUUCUUUUAUGUUUCAUCAUGCACAGUAAGUUAGAGUCGUUUUGGGGUCUUUACUUCCCUAUACUCACAUGUUGUUGCCCGCAAGUUUUGCUCUCUAACGUGUUGCUGGUUUUGAAAAUGUUUUUGUGAAUACUUGUGUUGUCUUUUGGGGAUGAAUGAUUGCAUGCUUUGGGGAAGAGAGGAGGAGACUUUGGUCUUCCGAGUGUUUCUUAAUGAUAGAGUUGAUGUGAGUCCAUAAGGGUCCAUCUUUGACCUUUCACCAUAUAAUUUCUCUGGAGGAUCCUGUCUCACUCGUACUUCUUGGUUCUGUAUUGAUUUCACUCUUUGCAUGCUUUGUGAUACUUGCACAAUUCUUGAGACUUGAACAUUUGUCCCUAGUUGUCCUUUUUGAGCUUAUAGAAUAUUUCUUUGUUAGCCAAGUGAUUGGGGCGGAUGUUUGGUUGGAAUAUUGGGGAGUGAUGGUCCUUGAUUAUAUUUGUAUGGAGCUGAAAAAUUGUGAAAUAGUCUCUUGCCCCGAAAAGAAAAAAUCAUUGAAAAAAAAAGAAAAAGAACUCCUGAACAAAAGCUGGAGUUGUAAAAAAAAAAAGAACUCCUGAACAAAAGCUGGAGUUGUAAAAGAAAAAAAAAAGAAAAAGUUGAAAAAAGGGGUCAAGAGACUUGUGCUUAAAAAGUUUGUUGUUAAAGCUCCGGGGUUACUAAUAGGACCACACUCAAGAUGCUUGAAGCUCUAGCCUUCCUUAGGGACCAACCACCUUGUACUUCACCAAGCCAACAUUUCAACCCUUUGAAGUCUCAUUGAAUUUGUGCAUGUUUGAUCUCUGUUGCUCUUGAGUGAAUGAUAUCCAGGACCUAUGGACUACUUGUGUGCUCAGUGCACUUAAUAUAUAUCUCAUCAUAGGAAUUUUAGAUCUAUAUGAUUCUCAUGAUGGACUCUACACUCUCCUUUGUCUAAAAGUUGCAUGAAGUGGAUUGUUGUGUCUUUCUUUUGGAACCAGCUGUAGUUGCUAAAUCCCCCGGUUUUCUUAAGUAUUCCUUGUUCAGCACUUGUGUUGGGAGCAUUUCUUGCGUUUGAGGGCAAGCGAGUGUUGUUUACGCUCGAGGGCGAGCUGUCGUUGAGUAUAGUGGUGUGAUGACCCUAGUUUAGUAGUGUUUUUAGGGUCAUUUCUUUGUUUGUUUUAAGUCUUUUUGUUUAGUCUCAUGUAGUGUUUCAUGCAUUCUCAUGCAUUUUUAUCUUUCUUUGAGUCUUUACUUUGUUUUGAUAAUUUUGUAGUUUUAUAGGGACUUUUCUUGCAUUUUAAGUAAGUUUAGGACUUGCAUGAUUUUCUUAUGUUAUUUGAGGGUCCUCUUUGCUAAUGAGCUCUUUGAGCUUCUGGAUAUUUUCCUUGGCUUGUUGGUUUUGUUUUCACAUCAGAAACUGAAGGAGAAGGAAGGCCAAGAAGCAUGGAAUUGAAGGAGGGGUUAAAGAGGCUUGAAGAGGAGUUACAAAGAAGCUAAAAAGUCUUUCCAGCGAGCUUGGAGCGCCUAGGCGCUGGGAAUUGACGCCUAGGCGCUAGUUAUAUUUUCUGAGCCUUCUGGAAUUGGCGCCUAGGCGCUGGGAAUUGGUGCCUAGGCGCUGGGAACCUUCCAGAGAGCAUGUUCUCAGCUAGAAUUGGCGCUCAGGCGCUCUGAAUUGGCGCCUGAGCGCCCAGACUCGAUUGUUUUGCCUAUAAAUUGGUUUUUAGACAUUUCUCUUGGAACCUUUUGUCAUUUUAUCAUAUUUUCAUAAGUUAGAAGAGAGGGUUUCAGUUCUGGAGCUUGAGGAGCUUUCUCUAAGCCCUAUGUUUCAGGUUUCAUCUUUAUCUUCUUGUAUGGAUUUCAUAGCCAUGUUUGGCUAAAACCCCUUUUGCUUUUGGUUCUUUGUAAGACUUAUGAUGUUUUAAUCUUAAUUCCUAUUUCUAUUCAUGAUUCCUCUGAGUAAACCCUUGAAUCCCAUAUCCAUGCUUUAUGUUUCAAGUUAGAACAUGUACUAGCUUUAUGCUUUUCUAUAAUAGAACGGAAGUUUGUUAUAGAUUAGGGUCUUGUUGUGGGAUUACCUCUUCUAUACUUGCUACUAGGAAUAGAGGAAGGGUUGGGGUUUGUUGGCCUGAAUUGCAUGCUUAAUGCCUUUAGCAAAUGUUUAGGUUAUCAAGGAAUUGUGCCUAUCUUUUGGCUUGAGAGGAUUGUCUAUGCGAGGCAUCGAUAGAUGAUUGAUUAGGCUAGAACAUCAAGGAGAGAUUCAGAGUUUUGUGGAUAGAAUAGGUUGAUUAGAACUGAAUUAGUCAAGCAAGAACCCAAGGCAUGCUCACCAUUGUUCUCACACACUUAUAUUUCAAUUGCUUGUUAAUUAGUCACCUAAACAAUCAACCUUAAAACUGAAUUUUACUCGCUUUCUUACCGUGAACUCGAGGCUUAAACUGAAUUCACAUUCCAAUUCCCUGUGGUUCGAUAAAUUAAAACCGGGUAGAUUCUGUACACCCUCAUAAUGACCAACACCUAUCAUUCCAUGGCAAUCCAUAUUAUUUUUUUUCGGCACAACGGAAAAACGGCAAUCCAUAUUCUAAAUUCGUAAAAGCAAUGGAUAAUGUUCUUGAAAUAACACUUUAAAGUGAAAUAAUCAUGUAUUUACUUAAUGCAACUAUUGUUAAAGAGAGUUUGUCCAAGUUUGCUUUUUGUAAUUAGCAACUAUUUAAAAGAAUUAAUUAAAAGUUAUUGUUUUUGUCUGAGGUUUAAAUUGUCUUGAAAUCUUAAGAGGUUAGUCUAGUCGUGCAUGACAAGGUCUUGUACUUGAGCAUCCUAUAAAUUUAUGUAACAAAAACAAAAAUUGCCUUUGAAAGGCAUGUUUUUAAUACAAUUUAUGACACUCAAUUGUAUGAAUGGUUUCACAGAUGAAAUGAUUGAGAUCUAAAAUAUCAUAUAAAUGGAGUUUUAGAAAGUAAUGACGAAUUUCAAUUUUACUAUCUAGGCGAGUUAUAAUAUGCCCAUUGUCUUUUAAAAAGUUUUUCUUGUUAAGUUUGCUGGACGUUUUGCAAUUGAGAGGGUAAGUUAAUAGAAAGACUUUUAAAGGUAUCAUGUAAAGAUCAUAAGUCAUAAUUAUAAAUUUGAAGGUGAUAUGAGAUGAAGUUCUUUUUAUCUAUAAACUAUUUUUAUGUCCCCACCUCAAAGUUCAUCGAUCAAUGAUCUGAUACAAAGAGCACACCCAUGAAAUUAUAUUAUUCAUGCAUCUGAAAUACAAAAGUCAACACUGACAAAUAUGUAGAUGACUAAUAAACAUGAUGUUGUUAAUUUAAUUAUUUAUCAUCAUUAACACUGCAGUCCUAUUUACUGAUCUCAUUACUAAUAAGCUCAAAGCCAUGCUGGGUUCUUCAAAGGAGUAAGAACUGUCUUCCUUUGCAAACUACUUUUCUUUUUCUCUGCCCUAACCAUUCAUCUUGUAUCCAACAAAUAUAAUUGCAGAAUUUAAGAACAAAGAAGCUGAGCAGAUAAAGGCAAGGAUGAAACUUGUCUUCCCCAUGGGAUGAGGUGAAUUUUAAUUCAAUAUGCAUUUUUUUCAAAUCGAAGUUGUUGAUAGAAGGCUCCAUAAAUCUCAAGUGACCUAUCUAAAAUUCAAACUUCAAUGUGUAAAGCUAGAUAAACCUACACUUGGAAGGAUGAAAAACCACAUCAUUUAUUUGCAUAAAUUAAGAGGCUUCCACCAGAAAAAAGAUGGAUGCAUUAGAAAUAAAGCAGUUUACUUGGUCACAUGGAGUAAUACAGUUUCACAACUCAAUCGCUGACAACUUCUGCAAGCACACAAAAGUAAAAUGAGGGAUAUUUCCAGAGACAUGCUCAAAUUCCAGGGGAGAGAUUCUUUCGCAAUUGAUAUAUCUUAUAAAUCAAGAGGGGAUAUGCUCAAUGAUAGAUGUUUCCAAGGACAUGCUCAAUUUCCCGGGGAGAGAUUCUUUCAUAGCUUAUAUGCCUUAGAGAAAGUCUCAGGAGGUGGAUAAGCUGAAACAAUAUAUCAAAAUAGAACGCAGUGAGCAAAGUAAAAGCAUUCUUAUUUGUCCUUCCACUGUACAAAAGCCCCAUUUAGCAACCUAACUUCUACAAUUUAAGUCAACAAACAAAAGAAGAUCAAUAUCGAGAAAUAAAAAGCAUAUGAAUAUCAAAUUAUAGUAAAAGACUGUAAGCGAUUGAUCGGAUGGAUACAUUUUCUUGUUAAAAUUAACUUAUGGCAUAACAGUACUAUGUUGUAUGAGCCUAAGAGAAAAGGAACCAUUCAAAAGAGCAAAGGAAUUAACAUAAAAUGGUAUGGUAAAGUGGUAGUAUACUUUUUUUUUUUAUAAGCAAAGUGGCAGUCUACUUAUCAACAUUACUCAAUUUAUGAUCUUUCUCAUGGGUCUAUCUACUUACUCUAUCUCUUGGCCUUUCUUUUAAUAGAUUUAUCUCCCUUUCCUUCUCUCUAGUUUUAUCUUUCCCCUCAUCCUUCUCCCCAUCUCUAUAGAACCUUUCGUAUUUUGCUUAGAAGAUAAGCCUUGCUAAAUGUUUCCCGGUGAAGCCAUAUUCAGAACGAUGCACAGAAUGUCGUCUCGACAACCUUCACCCAUUUAGCGACUCCAAACCUAGCAGAAUGGAAACGAAUCAACCCUAGCGGAGAACAGAGAAGACGUGUUCUGAAGCAUGACUACUCCCUAGGAUGCAUAAUUGAGCGGGCUGACAACACCAUGGCAAACCAUAUCAGCGGCUCAGGCGGCUGCUCAGCCGUCAUGGCGGAGAAUAUUGAUCGGUGAAAGCAAAAAUAGGUGUGUGGUGAGGGAAAAAAGUGAGGUUUGGGAGUUUAAGAGAGUGUAGCUUGAAACGGUUGGAACGUAAGAGGAGAGGAAGUGUCGCUUGAAAGUUUGAAAUGUAGGAGUGGAGAUGGGAAAGAAACAGACGGUUGUGAUUGCAUAUCUAGAAAAUAAUCAAUGGUUAAGAUUAAUUUAUUCUCAAAUUUACAUAUAUAUCCAUGGAAAAAUAUUCACUCAUGUGCAUUACUGUAUUGAAUGACUGAUUUGCCCUCAAGGCUGCAGAAACUCUACUUUUAUAUAUAUUACUAGUUUUUUUUACCCGAGCGAUGCACGGGGAUAUUCAUUUUUGUUUUUUUUUUUUUUGUAGUUUUUAAAAAUUUGUGCUAUUUUUUUUAAAGAUAUUUUUUAAUCAUAAAUUUGAAAGGUUAUAUUUAUUUGUAUCUUUUUUUUGUUUAUAUAAAUGUUACAUUAUUUAUUUAGCUUUUUAUAUAACGAUUUAAUAGUUUAUUGCAAAUAGUUGGAGUAGGUGAGUUACACAUAUGUGCUAAUGAAAUAUACUGGUUAAAUCCCUCAAAAAAAUUUCAACUAAAAUAAUUAUAUUGAAAAUAAAAUUGGAAAUUAUGAUUCUCUUAAGGAAUUUUCUGAAAUAAAUAGAAAAUAAAUUAGUUCAAUGGGCCAAUUUCAUUUUACUUUGUUUUAUAAUUUUUUUAAGCUUAUAAAAAUCACGGACUUAUAUAAUAACUACAUCGAUGACGAAACUUACAAUUGUUAUUAUCGUAACAUAUUUCCUCAAAAGAAAAACAUAAAAGAAUACUUAUGAGUAUAAUUUGAUUGAAUGGAUUUAUAUAGAUUUUGACUUAUAUAUAAUGAUCCAAAGAACUGAUAUGAUAUUGUAAAAAACUUCUUUAUAAACUACAUUUGAAUUAGUACGGAAGGGUGGAUAGACCGUCCACCCAUUGUCACUACCCACUUCUACUAAGGCUGAGCUUAAUAGGAGUGGUCAUCAUUAUUGUAAAUGAGCAUUUUUAAUCAUGUAGAAUUUAUAACUCCAAAAGAUGCUACAUAUGAUUGGUUAUGUUAAAAUGUCAAUUUCGAAAAAUAUAAACCAACAUAUUUCAACUUGAGGCGCAUCACUUUUUUUUUCAGAAUCUAACAUAUAUGGAGCAUCAUCACCCACAUAUCCACCAAGAUUCAAUGGAACUUUUCCGAAUUGAAGGAUGAGCUCAUAAUUUUUAGCUGGAAAGGGCUAUAAAAAUGUUGAUUGUAAACAUUGUUAAAAAUAAAUAUAAUUCUUCAAAUUGACCAUAAAAUAAAGACAUAGUGAACGAUGCUUACCAUCUAACUUAAGACUGACCAGUAGUUUUAGUGUCAUAACACAUGAAGGUAACUAAUUUUAGGAAAUUAUUUUUUGCACACCCCAUUGUUUUAUUUUACCCAUUCAUUUCUUUUGAAAUUGAAAUCUAAAAAUUAUGAGUUUAGGGUGUGUAAAUAAUAAAAAAUGGGUGUGUGAAAAGCAAUCCCCUUGAUUUUAUAGCACGGAAAACAGCUGUUUCACUUGCUUUUUCAGUAUGGGUUGACACAAAUAGUUAUCCAAAAUUUAUUAUAAUUAUUAAUCAUAAAUUGAAAUGUGAAGAGUUUAUAUUUAACUGUAUAUAUAUUUAUUCAAGGCACUUCACUUUUGUAACUUAUGUCCCUCAAGCUUCACUCAAAUAAUUUAUGAAUUCGUUAAUUAUAUUUAUGUCUUUGAAUGACUUACAUUCUGUAACUGUUAUAUAUUUAUUGGGGGAACUUUAUUUUUGUAACUUAUAUCGUUUUAUUAUCCACUUUCAAAGCUUCACUCAAUAGAUUUAUGAAAUCAUAUUAUCUAUUCCUAGGAGGUUUAAAUAUAUUUUUGGUUACUCUAAAAUUUGGGUUCUUUGAUUUAGACCCCUCUAAAAUUAUAAUUCUUUGGUUUAGGUCCCUUUAAAAUUAUGCCACGUCAGCGUCCGUUAGGUGAUUCAGUUGAUAAUGGAUGAAAGGUGACGACAGGGGCUGAAAAAAAUUACUUAGAAGAGCCUGAAUGUAACACCCCGAUUUCGGUGGCGUCACUUUAGUAACCAAAAGAAAAUAAAAGCGGAAAAACGUGAAUUUUUUUUUUUCGAUAUUUGUUUUCAGUAAAUAAAAGACUUGUCGAAUUUAAAGACGUAUCGACGAAAGAUAAACAAGACUAAUAUACAAUAUAUAUACACUCCCCACAGUAAACAGCAUGCCACGUCACGAGUAACCUCCAGUGAGGGGAAAGUAGUGCCUGUCGGCAAAUAUGUACAACACAAAAUAUAAGGUCAGUAUUCUGAAUACAGUCCUCCAAAAAGAAAGUAGGUCAGCUCAAAACAGCCCGAAGACCUCCUAAUCCGACCAACUCCCUGUGACUCCCGUAAAGAGAACCACACAAAAAGCUAAAGGUCGGGGACCUACCCUGCCCCAAAAUGAGAAAAACUGAAGAUCAGAGCCACGACGCUACUCCUACCCUAAUCCUGACUAGAGGAGUACUACACACCACUCCCAGCUACGCAUCACCAUGAUCGUCGUCUGAAUCUGAAUCCAAGACGAUCAGGUCAAUGACUGCAUCAGUCCUCACAGCGGGUCCCACGGGUACUGUACCCGAUCCCAAAACAGCAGCAGUCGCGACGGUGGGUGAGCUAGACUCAGAUGAAGCCCCUCCUACAGGCAACUCCUCUGAAGGGUCCUCCUCGUCCUCAGGCGAUGGCGGUGGUACUACAACCCCAGGGCCACAGUGCACGCCCGGUGGUAGGUUGAAGCUAACGGUGUGGCGUCUCAAGACUCCAUGCGUCAGGUUUCCCAUUCGGUCGACAUGGUCCUCCAUUAUUCGCCCCGUGUAAAUGGCUCGGUGACCGGCGGGGUCGACCACCCCAAGAGCCCGGGGUGUCCGUGUCCAGCAACUCAAACCUGGUCCCCCUCGAAGGGACGACCAUCUCGAACCAAUCGGCCAUCGACAUCUGACAAAAAGGGCAUACAUAGCCCCCCAUACACAGGUAGCACGCGCAAGGGUCAACUCAAAGAAUUACAUAAUAGUACAUCCAAUAGGCAAAGUUUAAAUAGUAGCCACAUAGGCUUAGUUAUGAAUGAAAACAUUAUAAAUUGUAUAUCCUGUCAACGAAAAUAAAUAACAUUUACUGGCAAUUAACAUAUCUCAAACAAUGUUAACAGGUAACAAAUACAUUCAGCAACUAAAUCAGCAUGAAUGGUGCAUGAAAUGCAAAUGCAAAGGAACAAGAUAAAUCCGGAGGGAUGAGCACCAACGAGUCAGCCCUAACACCAGCCACGGUGGGACCAUUUCUGCUCGGGCGUCUCUUAUACCAAACAAAGUGUAGUCAGAUCAGCAGCAAACCCGCAGGCCUGCCAUUUCCGUCUGCUACCAAGAAUCACCGCAGUGUUCUUAUGUGGAAAUCCGGGUCUUAUGACCAUUUUAGAAUCCACCGAUGUCCGGCAUCCCACCGUGUAUUAACCUCAAAAUGAGUGCAUGAAUGCAACGUGAUUAGCCAAACAACGUCUCCGACCUCACUCGUCACGUGUUCUAGCUAACUUAUUGUCUCUAAAAAGAAUACCCUAAGGUAAAUGUCGAUUCUGCGACAAAAGACAAUAAAUUAUAAAAAGUAACUCAUGAUAAUUUCUCGAAUCAUCCGACUCAUCUCCAUCCGAUGGUCAAAAACUGCUCAGCGAGCAAAAAGUACCAUUGUACUUGGAAACUACCCGUUUCCCGGCUUAUCUUUCAGAUAGCCCAACAACAAAUCAGCUCAUCGAGCGAAAGAGUAUCAACGUACUCGGAAACUUAUUAAUAUCCCCGACUUAUCUUUUAGAUAGUCCAACAACAAAUCAGCUCAUCGAGCGAAAGAGUAUCAACAUACUCGGAAACUCAUUAGUUUCCUCAAAACUUGGACUCGACGACACUUCUCAUUUUUCCAAAACUAAUAUUCAAGUCCUAAGCUCUUAUUUGCAAUUGUGAUCAUUAUUUAAAGAUUCAGAGGUUGUUUAAUGUCUUAUGAAUUUUUCUUGUAAAAUAGUUUCCAUUUAGUUUUGUCUCUAAACUUAUGAGUUCAAAAGAUCCCGUAAUCCCAAGUAAUUCCCAGAGAAGGUCUCGAUCCAUCAAAACAACAACAAGGCCCGAAUCUCUGUUCGUCCCGUCAAACUCUCACAAAAUCUCACGACAAAUUCUGGCAUAACUGCCCGUUAUCCUCACUCUGACGAACAACAUAUAUAUGUGUAUUUGCAUAUUCAAAACAGUACAAUCCAACAGUCAUGGCACAUAUAUCAACACAUUGAGGAAUAACCAUUUAGCACUUAGCAUAUAGGGCAAAUAUCACACAUCCUAGAUUAACCAGGUAGCACAUAGCAUGUGAAUCAACCUCACAACAAUCAAGCAAUAAAAGAUUAUCAAUUGUCAGCCGUAGCCUCAGAAAACGUUUUUCCCAGUCAAACACAAUCAAGUGCAUAAACAGUAAAUCAAGUCGAAAUCGUCGACAACUAAUUCAUUAUCUAGUAUUAAGUGUGUAGCCCUCACCUGUAGGUUUUCCAGCUUGUUCCUCAAUUCUUCCUUCACAAUCUUCCUCGUCGAAUCCACAAAGUUCCUCAAACGAACCUUAGAGCAAAUUCACAGAAAUCAAUCACAAUGAGUCAGAAACUCAGCAAACAAUACGUACUAAGGUUACACGAAACAUUAUAAACUCCGUAGUACGACAAUCUAACGCGUUAAGACAAGUUUUCGAAAAACGAAAUUUCCCCCCCCCCCUUAAUGAGGAGCUCUCGGCCACUUUUCACAAUUAGGUGGGCCGAUUUUUUCUUCGAUCAAACUUGGUUCCUAGGUUAUCAUUAGCCGUAACUAAGACAAAUCUAAGCUCAGAAAAAUUUUCAGAUCAAAAACUGUCGCAGGGGUAUUUUGGUCAUUAUUUUCAGCUCAGAAUUUCAAAACUGGAUUUUCGAAAAACAAAUUGGAUGGGGACGUCACCAACGACGUUUAUGACGACUAAUCCUACUAGCGCUAAGCUAAGUCGUGAAUUUUCAGCUUAAAGAACGAAACUUUGUCCAGAAAUGGGUUUUUCCAACAGAAAUGAAUUCCGGCGACAUUCGGCAAAAUGUAAUCCGCUAAACACGCUCAAGAGCAUGCAGGGAAUAAGUUUAGACACUAAAAUCAGUUUAUUUGGACAGUUUUACAAAAAGCUCAAAACUUUGAGCACAGAAAGACAUAGAGAAAGAUGACAGAAUUGACGAUCAGAAGUGAGAUAUGGUAUCUAUACCUCGAAGUCUUCGAUUAGCAACGAACGGUGCAGCAAUCGGGCAAGAAACGACGAAAAUCUUUUUCUUCCUUCUCCUCCUCCAAGCUCGCGGGUUCAAGAGAGAAAAUGGUGAAGUUUUUGAAUAUUUUUCAUUUUCUCGCUAUUUAUAGGUUUUGGAAAAUUUGGAAAAAUGAAAAUUUCGCGAUUCCGAUUUUUCCUGCGUAUUCCUCGGAGAAUUCUAAGAUAGGUUCUGGCGACAGAAUUCCAGAACUCAAAACAGGUUUCUUGAAAUUUAAUCAAACGAUCAAAAGUCGGUGUAAAUCGGUUUUACCCGAAAAGUUACUUUUUGCAGUUGAUGUCGGAUGAGAAAACUUCGUUCUGAAGAAAGAUUAGAAAUAUCAAGAGAAAUAGGCGAAUGCUUGUGGAAUCUUCGUUGAAGCUCCGAAUAGAAAAAGUCUUCAUCGUCCGUUGGUUUUAGGGUUUUUGAACUAUCAGUGUUUUGGUUUCGGCAAACUUUCGAGUAUUGGAAUUUGACGUUCGUACAUUCCAGGGUUACGUAUCGAAAUGCUUGUUUAUAGACGAAUAAGAGAAGUUCUAACAUUUCUCUGAAGAUUUUUGGAAUUAGCUUCCAUCGUGUCUUAAAGAGUAAAUUAGCUAUUUAUUAGCGUUCUUGACCUAGGUUUAAGCGAAUACUAAUCGUGGUAUAAUCUUUAUCGACUUUGAUACAAUCCUUAGCUUUUUCCUGAACUUUCUCCUUCACAAAUUUAUUCCAUCCACUAAACACUUGUUCAGGUUUUCCUCCACGUUACAUCUAAUUAAUCGUGAAAAGGAAUUUUAUUCGGUUUAUUCCAAACUUAAAAACUUGGGUCUCACACUGAACUAAAGAACCCUGAAUUUAGAUGGACCAAAAACAUAUUUAAGCCUGUCUAGAAAUACUAACAUUUUAGAAGAAUUUAGAGUAAAUUACACUCAAAAUAUUACACUCAGAAUAGGGUAGAUUGUAAUAUUUGAGUAAGUUUGGAGUUUAGUGUCAUAUAAGGAAACCUCAAGAUAGUGCAAUGUAGUUCAAAAAAAAAAGGUGGUGCAAUGUAAUUUAAUCAAGAAUUUAUUUGUUUAUUUGAAUCAUUUGAAACAAAAUAUGUUACUACAUUUUCUUCCAUAAUAAUUGUAACAAAAUAAAGUUCCAUAAUUUGAUAUUGGUUUUAAUUCAAAAUUUUAGUAUUGGAUGGUAAAAAAAAAAUCAAAGAAAAUCUUUUUAAAAUCAAAUAUUUGUGUUUAUUUUAAUUCGAGGAUUUGAUAUAGAUCUUAAAUCUAUAUCUCUAAUUUUUCUUCCUCAAAUAUUAAUUCAUUCUAUUAUUAUUUUUAAAAUUAGUAAUUAAAUUAUUUCAAACAUUUUCACAUUUCUCAUUUUUCUAUCAUUACCACUACAAUAAAAAUAAAGAUGUGAGCGUUAUAUAUUCGUAUUCAGAUUUUAUUAGAACUAUAAUUCAUAAUUCAUUAUAAUUAUUAAUCAUGAAUUGGAACUUCAAGAAUUCUCAUUCAAUAACUGCAGCUUUUUUUUUAUUGAAGGCACUUAAGUUUUGUAACUUAUGCCCCUUUACUAUCUACUUGAAAGCAUCACUCAAAUUCCAUGUGAAUGAUUUUGUAUCGAAUUCCAUGACUCAUAUUAGAUUUAUCAAUUUAUGAUUAGAUUUAUUCAUUCAUUAUUUAUAUUUAUAUGUUUUGAUCCACUAUUACAAUUUGUCAUAUUAACACUAUGCAACAAUUUAUUUGUUUAUUCUAUCCAUUUGAAGCAAAGUAUGUUUUAUUAUAUUUUCAUCUAUAACUGGAACAAAAUAGAGUUCACCUUUUUUUUUAGCUCAUGAGCAUCCCAAAAAAACUAUACAAUUUAAUCUUUAAAUGUCUCAACCCCAUAUCACAAUAAAUUUCACAGCCUUAAGACAAAAUAUCCAAUUUUUCAAUGUAAAAAGGUUCAUAGACCAAAGUAAACUUCAAUUUAUAAAGAACACCCUACCUAUACUCAAUUACCUAAGGACAUGUACAACUGAUUAGUUUUCAUAAACUUCUCUAUGAUAUUCUUCCAUGCAGGAGCACCAACAACAAAUCCUACCAAAACAUGACUUACCUUCUUCAGCAGCCAUACAAAGCUUUGAAUCUAAAGGAACCUUACCGAGAAAGGGUACCCUCAUUUCAUUGCACAUCUUCACUGAUCCACUGCCACUAUUGUCAAAUGCUUCAGUGCAAGCAAUCAAAAUUACCAUUUCUAGUGUUUUUUCUCUCAUGUAAUCCAAAAUCCACCGUGUAACAUCUUUCUCCACACUGUUUUCUGACAACUUCAGAGACUUGAAAUCUGUGAUUGGCUGGAAUAGCCCACUCAUAUUCUCAAUCUUCAUACUCUUUAGGGUCUUUGAGCUGGUACUGCCAGCAACACUUCCAUGAUCCUAUCUAAUUUUCCCUUAGAAGAAAUGAAAUUCACUUAUUCUAAUGCAACAUCCAAGAAUAAUUUAUCUGCAAGUUCAUCGUCUUCACCCUCUUAGCAGCAGAAAACUGAUUGUGGCCCAAAGAAUAUAACAGGAAUCCUAGUAAGUCCUCCACUGUUAUUCUUCAAGAUCUUCAAGUUAAAAAAGCUCCAAAAUCAAACUGGAACCCUUCCACAAAACCCCAUUUAACAGAGGUAUUGAUUCCAACAGAGGGACCAACCCAAUUGCUCAAACAUCCACCAUUCCACCCAACAGCAAAAUGAUAAGGAAAGGUUGAAGAAAUAUUCACAAUAAAAACUUAAUGACUGAAGGAGAGAUUUUAAAAAAGAAUCUUGUGCAUACCUCAUUACAAUCCUUAGGUUCCUCUAUGGUUUUCCGUUGGUGCAUGAUAAAAAAUCCUCCUCCAAUGUGUACAUAGUACGUUCAGUAGAUGUACAUACAUUCCAACUUCACUACAUGUUCCAACUUCACAUAAGCUCUUUUGUUCUCUUUGGUAAUAUUAUUGUGUCCAUGAUUUUCAAUGCAUAUACAGUUCUCGUGUCCUCCUUCUUUGCCCUUAAAACCUAUCAACAUAAUAAGUAAAAUAUUGGUCAACAAUUGUCCAGUAAAAAAGAAUAUGAAUCACAAUUAAAGAAUAAGAAUUUAACGAAUCACGGUAUCAUAUGAAAAGAAGAUAGAGAAGAAAUCACAAAGAGAAGUAACCCAGAGGAAAAUAAAUUAUUGAGAAAAUAUACCCAAGGUUAUGUACACAGGCAAAAUGUGUCUUGCAAUGUACUAAAAUGUAGCCUCACUGUUCUGGGAAUGAACAUUGAAGAUAGGGAUAGUACCUAGAGAGUGGAAGAAUGUGCUAGAGAGAGAAUGAGAAUGAGAGAGAGCGCUGAAUUUUGUAUACUCUUUAUUAAAUGAGCUAAAAGUCCCUUACAAUUGAUGUUCACCUCCUAUUUAUAGAACUUGGGUACUACCUAUUGGGCCAAUUGGGCCUCUGAAGUUGAGGCCCAACUAGAGGCCAGGCUCUCGCUCUUGGGCGGGACGAACCCUGGGCGUCGCCCCUCUAGGGGCUCGCCCAGUCCACUAGUCCACAAGACACCGAGCUCGAAGUAUGAGAGCUAAGUGUGUCUUUUAAAUGCUUUUACAUGCAUCCUAUGGUGUGCUGGAAUCUAAGCUGCCAACAUGGCUUAAGGACAAAAGAAGAAAACUACACCGCCGACAUGGCGUAAGCGAAAGGAAACAAGCAUCUUUAAUCGCCCAGUCCACUGGUCUUGGCGAGCAACCCAAACCGGCAAGUCCACAAGUUCACUGGCGGCGGGAACGAUUGCUUUGUACUGACGAUUAGUUGGAGUAGGCGAACGUCUUUCGUUCGGCGAGCCAGGUGACAGGUGUUAGUCAUGUACUGAUCAUCCAAGUGUUGGCUGGCGAUGCCCCUGGCGGGCGGCUAAACUUUACUGGCGACAUCGUUUGUUAGGCGAUGGCAUUUAGUCUUUAUGGCGGCGAGGCCUUUCGCGCUUUCCCUUGUUUCAAAAACCUUUCAAAUCUCUAACUGCCCCAUGUGAUACGUCAGUUACGUCAGUUUUCCCCUUUCUCCGCAACCGUCACCUCACUCCUCAUAACUGUCCAAUCAUGCGCAGUAACUCCCCAUCACACGCGACCCACUUCCCAAAAACCAUCAUGACCUCCAGCCUUCCACACGCGUCCACCACGCGUCACCUCUCCAACUUCCCCCCCUUGCCUAUAAAAACCCUUUUCCCCUACAAUCAUCCCUUUCCGAAACCUCUCUUUACCUCUCUUAUCGCUUACCAAGCUCCCUCUUCCAACUUCCGCUCUGGUGCCGUCGCCUUUCACCCUUUCCGCUACCCACUCUUCACGUCCUUACCCGGUGAGUCCUUGUUCCCUUAUCUCUGCAUCUUAUCUCUACUUAUCUUUCCUUUUCCCUUACUUAGUUGUCAAAAAUGGCUUCAAACCCUAACUCCCCUAAUCACACCACCUCUUCUUCUGAGAAUGACCCCGACUCUACCGCAGCCGGCGGCCUCCGUCUAGAGGUCCCGGAGAUUCCCCAGUACCGAACGAAAACCUUUGCAACCCUGCCCCUUCCAGUCCAGAUAGCACCCUCCCACGAAGCGAUAGACCAACCCUCCGUUUUCCAGGAUAGGGAGCCUAUCGUGGAAUUCGUGAGCAGCCUUGGUGGUUUAUCUGACGAUGAUGAAAUAAAUGACAAACUCAGGAUUUGGCCCUGCAGUGCUGAGGACCGCCCCUAGCUUCAUAGGGCCAACGACGAUGUGAAAAGAUCCCAUUUUUUCUUUGUUUAUGAGUAUAUGUUUGGCGAGCUUGGAGUCAGGCUUCCUUUCUCGCCCUUCGUUCAAACCGUCCUCCGCGAUAUUAAUGCGGCUCCUUGUCAACUCCAUCCCAACGCCUGGGCCUUCAUCCGGUGCUUCGAGAUCUUGUGCGCCGCUGUUGGCACCGCCCCAUCUCCCACCAGCUUCUUCUACCUCUACGAUGUUGACCCCAAGUCCAUCAAAAAUAAAGGAUGGAUCUCCCUAAAGGCCCGAGCCGGCCGUAAGUGCCUGAAACCUCAUAAGAGUAACGCGAAGUCCUCCUUCGCACGACGAUAUUUCCGCGUGGCGGUUCACCCCGCCUAUCCCGAGGCUUUCACCCUUAGGGACGGGACUGCCCUUUCUCUCAAUGACAAAGCCUUUUUGAAUCUCCUCGCCCCGCUUCCUAUCCUUGACUGCUCGACAAUCCUUGAUGGCGCUCGCCUCUCAAGGACACCCAAAUACUUAGGUCACAUAAUUUAUUUUCACCAUCGCCAUUUCUCUUCUCACCCCUUAUGUUGCUACUGACCCUCUUUUUUUUUGUUUAUUGUUGCAGAAGAUAUGAACUUCACCAACGCCGAGCUCUUGAAAGCCCGUGAGAGGAAAAUGGCCCGCUUUUCCCCGAAGUUCAACACUGAGGGCGACGGGAAAAAACGGGGCGGUGUUGAGAACCAAGCCGAGGGCGCUCAGGCCCCCAAGAGGAGGAGAUUAGUCAAAGGCUCCUCCGCCAGCUCUUCCAACCCCGACGCUCAACCCACCGCCGCCGCUGUGACCAAAGGCAAGAAAGCUGCCACCACCGCUGCCAUUGCAAGCUCCAAGUCUCCAACUGACGGGACGAGCCAACUCCCUGCCGCCGAAGCUUCCGCCGCCGCGGCCACUGAGCCUGUCACUGUCACAGCCCUCGAUUCUGCUGCCGCUGGUACAGCCACCGGUGCCGCCACCGGUGCCGCCUCCAAAUCUGCCAAUAUAGGCGGCACAACAACAACCGCUGACCAGUCGUCGACUGCUGGCAUAAGCGCAGCGGCUGCCGCCACAUGCUCCAAUGCUGCCGCCGGGGAGAAAGAAAGAGAAACAGAAAAAGAAAACCCAAAGUCUCCCCCGCGCCAAGUCACACCUCCUAGCCCGCCUCCCACGAACGAUGAGCGUUCCUUGUCUCCCCCGCCUCGCCAAGAAGAAAGACCCUCUCCCGAUGCCGCCACUACUUUCGAGGCAGCCCGGAUUGAGCAAGCCCCUGGUAACAGAGGUGGUUCUUCUGGCCACUUCAACAUGCUACCCAAUGCUAUUGAGCCCUCAGAGUUCUUGCUCACUGGCCUCAACCGCGACGUCAUAGAAAAAGAAGUGUUGAGCCGAGGCAUUAACGAGACCAAGGAGGAGACCCUUGCCUGUCUUCUACGCGCUGGGUGCAUCUUCGCCCACGCGUUUGACAACUUCAACUCCGCAGCUGCUGAAGCUGAACGGUUGAAGGCUGAGAGUGCUCAGCACCAAGAACCCGCUGCUGCUUGGGAAAAGCGCUUCGACAAACUGGUGGCGCAGGCGGGAAAGGAGAAAGUUCAUGCCGACAAGUUGAUUGGCGCGGCGGGAAACAGGAUCGGCGAGCUGGAAGACCAUCUGAAGCUGAUGAAGGAAGAGGCGGACGGCCUUGAUGCAAGCCUCCAAGCUUGUAAAAAAGAAAAAGAUCAAGUAGAGAAGGACUUGGCCGCCGAAGGCGAGGCGCUGGCUGCCAAGGAGUUAGAGCUUGAAACAUUGGGCGCUGAACUGGAGCUAGCAAAGAAGGCGCUGGCGGAGCAGGAGAAAAAGUCUGCUGAGUCUUUGGCUUUGGUGAAGGCAGAUCUGGAGGCGAUGCGGGCUACUUCUGAAGAGAUCAAGAAGGCGAACGAGGCUCAUGGGGCAACCCUCGUCACGAAAGAUGCUGAGAUUACUUCCCUUCUUGCGAGGAUCAAAGAGCUAGAGGGCGAGCUAUCAGCGGAGAAAGCCAAAGCCACUGAGGCGAGGGAACAAGCCGCCGACAUUGCCUAUGACAGUCGCGAACGGGGCUUUUACCUCGCCAAGGACCAGGCUCAACACUUGUUCCCGAAUCUUGAUUUUAGCGCCAUGGGAGUAAUGAAAGAAAUCACUGCUGAAGGAUUGGUUGGUCCUGAUGAUCCUCCUUUGAUUGACCAAAACCUCUGGGCCGCAACUGAAGAAGAAGAAGAAGAAGAAAUAGGAGAAGAAGAAAGAAAUGAUGAAUAGUGUAAUUUUAAUUUUUACCUAACCUUUACCGCCAUUGCUUUCACAUCGCCUUUAUAUUGAAUGAUUGUUAGGUUUAGGUGAUUGUUGAAUGAUUGUUCUCGCCGUAAACCCUUUUGUUCGUUACUUCGCGAAUCGCCGCAUUCUUAUUGUUAAAAAAUUUAAGAAUGAAUUUCAUAGUUAAACGCCCCGACGUACCGGAGUAAUAAAAUACCCAACAUCCUGAGUGACUAAGCACUUGUUUUCCGCCUUAUUCAUUCGCCGACCUUAUAUCUUGCGCUACUUUUCACGCGUCAUGUGAUUGAAUUACGCCUAACGAUUUCGUGCGUUAAUUUUAACUAGGGCUUGUUGCUUGGCAUUUCUCCGUCAAGACUUUAAACAUUUUCCACAAAGGGAUAAAUGGCCUCCAUUCUUGAGGGCUUCGCCCGGGGCUUUGCCCGCUCGGGGCUUACAAUGCUUGGGUCCCAAUGGCCAUUUGGGGGUCCCAAGACUUUUGCCUAGUUAACGGCGCUCGUCGUAUUCUGGCGAGACUUACCCAGCACAUCGUUUACGGGACCGGCGAUCACAUCAGAUUUUCCGGGGGGAGAUUCCCAGGCGUCCAAGGCCAUUUGUGGAAUCGCCGCCACCUUCAGGGUUCCAGCAAGCCCCUUUGGGGAUCAAGCCUGUCCCACCUAGUGAUCGCCGUAAUUCUUUACAUCGAUCGGCAAUUCCGAUCAUCAGGGGAUCCCUGGAAUCUUUGGACAUGAAUUUCAUGAAUUUUCGUUUUAUUUGAUGGAGCGCCUCGUUAAAAAACUCCUUUCGGAGAAAAAGAGCACGCUUUUAUCAUGGCAAUACAUUGGAGAGUUUGGAGAUAUUUUUUAGAGAAAUUAAAGACAUCUGACUUUGGAGAAUUCAUCUUGGUCAUCAGAAGUUCUUCCUUGGAGCUUUCCACCUUUCCAGCUUUCUCGUCCACGAUCAACUGUAAUAAUAGCGUAGGCUCAAACCAUUGAAUGACCUGGGUAGUGGCCUCCCAUCAAGCUCUUCCAAGUGAUAGGCCCCUGUACCCAAAACUUUGACAAUGCGGUAGGGACCUUCCCAAUUCGGAGUCAGCUUGUUUCUCGGGGCUCCUGAUCGCCACUUGAGGACCAGAUCGCCAACUUGCAUAUCUCGGACGCGAACCCUGCUAUUGUACUUGGCGGCCACGCGCUGCUUCAUCGCAGUUUCUCGAAUGUGCGCCUCGUCACGCGUUUCAGACAAAAGAUCCAACUCCAUCGCCAUAUUGGCUUGAUUCUCCCCUUCGAAAUCCGGCUGAGUCCGCCAUGUGAAAUUGUCAAUCUCCACCGGCAACAUGGCAUCUACCCCAUAGGUCAUUCUAAAGGGGGUUUCUCUUGUAGUAGAUUGCACAGUGGUGUUGUACGACCAUAGUACCACUGGGAGUUCAUCCAGCUAGGCACCCUUAGCUUCCUCAAGCCGUCGCCUUAAUCCACGCAGAAUUACCCUGUUUGCGGAUUCUACUUGCCCGUUCGUUUGCGGAUGCUCCACAGAUACGAACCUCAUCUGUAUACCCAUUUCCUUGCAAAAUUCCCUUGUUUGGUUGCUUGAAAACUGGGUCCCGUUGUCGGAUACGAUCGCCCUUGGGAUCUAGAAUCUGCAAACAAUACGCUUCCAGUAAAAGUUGACUAUUUUUGCAGAGGUUAUUUUGGCCAGGGGCUCGGCUUCAAUCCAUUUAGUGAAGUAGUCCACCGCUACUAAUAUAAACUUCAUUUGCGACCUGGCGGUCGGAAAAGGUCCUACUAAGUCCACACCCCACAUGGCGAAAGGCCAUGGGGCGCUCAUCGUUACCAGCUCUUUUGGCGGUGCCUUAGACAAAUCCGCAAACACUUGACAUUUUUUACACCGCUUCACAAAGUCCAUACAAUCCUUCCUGAGGGUGGGCCAGUAGAAGCCCGCCCUUAACACCUUGCAGGCCAAAGACCUCCCCCCGAUGUGGCUUGCACACACUCCUUCAUGCACCUCAGACAUUAUUGCCUCGUAUUUCUCUGGCGGUACGCAUUUUAACAAUGGCGUCGAAAAACCACGGCGAUACAAGUGUCCGUCAAUGAGAGUAUAGUGGCUCGCCUCUCGCCGUUGCUCCUUCGUGCAUUGCUCCACUUCCGCCGGGUCCCCCGCCAAGAUAGAUAAUAUGGGUCCCAUCCACGUCGCCCCUCUGUUCACACAUGCCAUGAGCUCGCCUUCAAUGCUGGGGCACGCUAGCGUUUCCUGAAUCACACUUUUGUUGUUGCCGGGCUUCCGUGUGCUCGCCAAUUUGGCCAACGCGUCCGCCCGCUGGUUUUCUGCCCGAGGAACAUACUCUACCACCACUUCUUGAAAAAGUGUCAUCAAAUAUCGCACUCGCUCAAGGUAUUUGAUAAGAUUGGGAUCCUUGACCUGGAAAGUUCCCUUCACUUGAUUCUCUACCAACUGCGAGUCUGUUCUUAUCAACAACCUUCCGAUCUUUACUUCACGCGCCAACUUCAAACCGGCGAUGAGAGCUUCAUAUUCUGCCUGGUUGUUUGUUGCCUUGAACUCGAAUUUCAGCGAUUGCUCCAAUACUAGAUCUCCUGGUCCUUCCAAUGUUACUCCCGCGCCACUGCCACUGCUAUUGGAGGAUCCAUCUACAAAGAGAGUCCACUGAGUGUCCACUCUUUCAAACCGGUCUGGGGUCAACUCCACCACAAAAUCAGCCAGUGACUGUGCGCCAACCGUGCCUCGCUUAUCAUAUUGCAACCCAUAUUCAGAUAAUUCAACCGACCAGGCGACCAAUCUACCUGACAAAUCCGGUUUUUGUAACACUUGUCUCAGAGGCAAAUCCGUCCGCACCUUCACUGGAAAACUCUGAAAAUAAGGUCUCAACCGCCGGGCGGUGACAAGGACCGCCAGUGCCGCCUUCUCAAUUUUCUGGUAUCUGACCUCUGCGCCCUGGAGUGUGUGGCUAACAAAAUAAACAAUUCGAUGCUCGCAAUCUAUUUCCUGCAGUAUCACAGAACUCAGAGCACUAUCACUCACAGCAAAAUACAAGUGCAGCGGGUGUCCCUGUAUUGGUUUUGACAAGAUUGGCGGUGACGACAUGAGUUCCUUGAGGCGAACAAAAGCUUCUUCACACUCCGCCGUCCACUCAAAUGCAACAUUUUUUCGAAGACACUUGAAAAAAGGGAAAGAUCUAUCACCAGACUUAGGAAGAAAUCGAGAUAAAGCUGCUAUUCGCCCUGUUAAACGUUGGACUUCUUUCACAUUAGAGGGGCUUUUCAUCUGCUGAAUUGCCUUGCAUUUGUCUGGGUUUAUCUCUAUUCCUCUGGAUGUGAUCAUGAAUCCUAAAAACUUGCCGCCCUGAACACCAAAAGAGCAUUUCUCCGGGUUGAGGCGCAUAUUGUGCUUCCGUAUCUCGCCAAAUGCUUCUUCCAGAUCUUGAUGAUGGUCCAAACCACGUACUGAUUUAACGAUCAUAUCAUCAACAUAAACUUCCAUGUUUCUUCCCACCUGUCCAGCAAAAACCCUAUCCAUCAAUCUUUGGUAGGUCGCCCCAGCAUUCUUUAAUCCAAACGGCAUGGUGCGAUAGCAAUAGUUGACUCUGGCGGUCAUGAAAGCCGUUUUGUCCUCGUCUGCCGGGUGCAUGCGGAUUUGAUGAUAACCAGAAUAAGCAUCCAUCAAACUAAGCAGUUCGUUGCCCGAUGCACCAUCAACGAGACCAUCAAUGCUGGGAAGGGGAUACGAAUCCUUUGGGCAUGCCUUGUUUAAGUCUGUGUAAUCCACGGACAUUCGCCAUUUUCCAUUCGCCUUCUUCACCAUCACGACGCUCGCCAACCACGUCGGAUAUUUCACUUCCCUGAUGAAUUCUGCCGCCAGCAACUUGUCAACUUCCUGUUGAACCGCUUUUCCCUUGUCUCCGCCCAAGCGCCGCCUGAGUUGUGAAACUGGCUUGACACUUGGAUUCAAUGCUAAUCGAUGGCAGAUGAAGUUUGGAUCUAUUCCGGGCAUGUCCUUGCAGCUCCAAGCAAACAAAUCUAAGUUCUCGCCUAGCAACUUUGUCAGGCGCGUCUCCUGCUCGUCCGUCAAUCUGGUCCCAAUCUUCAAAGUGCGAUCGCCAAACUUUAGCGCCUUUGUUUCCUCAAUUGGCGUGGGUCUGUUCACUCGCCCCUCGCCACGUGGGUCAAGAUUUUCAUCCGAAGUUUCAAUUUCAUAACAUCUGUGCCCAACCAACGCACUCUUCUUGCCAUACAGGUUGAGGCAAUUAUUAUAACAUUCCCUCGCCAAUUUCUGGUCAACCUUCAGUUUCCCAACCUUGUCGUUGCUUAGUGGAUACUUGACCGCCAAGUGGGAUGUUGAAAUUACAGCACAGAGGCGAUUCAAUGUAUUUCGCCCAAUGAUGACAUUAUAAGAUGCCACCACCUGGAGGACCAGAUACCUUACCUUCAAAACUUUUGCACACUCAUCUUCCCCAAAUAUUGUGCCCAGAUCAAUGAAUCCUCGCACCAUUACUUGCUCUCCUGCAAAACCCACCAAGGUUCCCGCAUAUGGAGUCAGAUCAUUGUCAGUCAAUCCCAACUUGUCAAAUGCGUCACCAUAGAUAAUAUCAGCCGAACUACCCUGAUCCAGGAGUACCCUUCUAACGUUGAAACUAUUCAACCUUAAUUGCACUACUAUUGGGUCAUCCUUGUGAGGCUUUAUCCCCUCAAAGUCUGCCAUCAAGAUUGUUAUGUCAGGGUGCACAAAUCCGAAAGCAACUUCAUGAACUGAAUUAACUGCACGAACAUGGCGUUUCCGCGCCGCAUGGGUGUCGCCACCACCGCCAAAUCCUCCAGCGAUGGUGUUUAUGGUCCCUACGGGCGGUCCUGAGUGUUGAGCGAACGUGUCAUCAGCCCCUUUUGUGGCGAUAGCCGCUGAUUCUUGCUUCUUCUUGCCCUUAUUGUCCGUUCGCUCCUCCUCUCGCUUAUCCGUUUUGUUGUGAUCGCCGUUGUUGCGCCACUGGCCUUGGCGAUUUCCUCGAUAUCCCGCCCGAAUCAACUUAUCAAUCUCCCGCAGCAAAGUCCAGCAGUCGUCCGUGUCGUGCCUGACGGACCGAUGGUAUUCACACCACUUCUUGGGAUUGGCGUCCCGUGGUUGAUACUUCGGGGCCUCUGGCUCAUCCACUAGAUUUGCGCCCCUCGCCUCGCGGAGCAUAUCCGUUAAAUCUGUGUUCAUCACCAUGUCCGCCUCCUCCCGCUGGCGAUGAGACUUAGAUUGCCAAGGCCGGCGUUGUUCAUAAUCAUCACGCCGUGGAUACAACUGCUCCUUGGUCGGCUUCAAUACCGCCUUCCCUUUAUCUUGCCUUUGCUGCUUGCCAUCCCCCUUAUCUUCGCCAUUCUUAUCUUUUUUCGCGCGCUUGGGUGACGUGUCGCGUUUUUCCAGUUUCGCGCGCUUUCUUUUGAAAGCAUCGUCCUCCUCGUCAAGAAUAUAAGUGCUAGCGCGAGCACGCAUCUCUUCCAUCGAACGUGCCGGCUUGCGUGUCAACUUGCUGUUCAACCCUCCCGGUAACAAACCAUUCUUGAAUGCUAGAGCACAGGCUCGAGGCUCCUCGUCCUCUACCUUGACCGAUGCAGCGCUGGACCUUGCCAUGUACUCCUUCAGUGACUCUCCUUCUUGCUGGCGAAUGUUGUAUAGGUCAUUGAUCGUCACCGGCUGAUUCUUAUUCGCCGAGAAUUGCACUAGAAACUUGGAUGAGAAGUCUCUGAAAUUCGAAAUCGAUCCGCGCGGCAAAGUUGUGAACCAUGCCAUCGCCGUCGAUUUGAACGUCGAUGGAAACAUCCUGCACUUCACCGCAUCUGAUGCCGCAAUUAUCACCAUCUUCGUGUUGAAAUACAGAAGAUGAUCCUUCGGAUCAAAAUCUCCACUGUAAGAAUCCAGAACUAACGUUUUCAUAUUAUCUGGAAUCGCCACACUCUCAACGUCCUCCGAGAACAGACGGAACUCAGCUACGGAAUCCGCUUCUCUGCCUCCAUCAUCUUGUUGCUCGCGGCGGUAGAAAUCCAACUGAGCUUGUAAAUGCUCAUUCCGCUGCUGGAUGUCACCAAUGCUGCGCAUCAUACGGCGCCAUUCCUCCUGCGUCACAGCCGGUUGUCGCUCCGGAGUAGGUGAAUUCUCCAGUGAGCGUUCCGGAGAUCCGAUCUGCGAAGGCGAUGGAGGAGGUGGUGGUGAUGGAGGAGGAGAAGGCGGCAAAGAAGUACGCGUAGCCUGUACUCCCGCUGUUCGCAUCGGAGAAUCUAAAACAACUCGCUGAGGCCGCCGAGGCGGCGAGGUUCGCCGUCGCACCGGCGAAUGAUGCUGCUUCCUGCGUCGAGUCUCCAUCUAAACCAGGAAUGACACAAACUCGAUCGUAAAACAAGCACCGAUCACAGAAUCAAACCAAGAAAAACUUUAGAAUCACCGAAUCGUAACCAGAAAUCGCCUCUUUGCACAAUCAGUCCACGUGAAUGGGAAUAGAAAGUUUAUCGUUCCCCACAUACGGCGCCAAAUGUUCUGGGAAUGAACAUUGAAGAUAGGGAUAGUACCUAGAGAGUGGAAGAAUGUGCUAGAGAGAGAAUGAGAAUGAGAGAGAGCGCUGAAUUUCGUAUACUCUUUAUUAAAUGAGCUAAAAGUCCCUUACAAUUGAUGUUCACCUCCUAUUUAUAGAACUUGGGUACUACCUAUUGGGCCAAUUGGGCCUCUGAAGUUGAGGCCCAGCUUGAGGCCAGGCUCUCGCCCUUGGGCGGGACGAACCCUGGGCGUCGCCCCUCUAGGGGCUCGCCCAGUCCACUCACAAUGCCAGAAUGAUCUAAAUGACUAAGACUAUGCAUUCCUCAACAAUUGUCCAGUAUAAAAAAAAGACAUGAAACAGUAAAAAUUACAAAAACAAUUUCCUUCAACGUCUUAAGUUUUUGUGCAUAGGCAGCCAAAGAAGUUGGGCGAAGAACGAAAACGAAUCAUAAAUCAAGCAAGACAGAACAGGGAAUGCAAGUGCAAGAGCUAGAGGGUCAUGAAUUCCAUAACACUGAAAAAAUAGGGAACUCUAUAUUCUGUACAGAAAGUAUGAGAGGCUGAAAAAUUAAUCACCAAGAAAGAAGGUUAUGAAUUGGGUUGCGACCUAACCUCUGGGUUGUCCUAUUCUUAAUGCUGUCAUAGGAGGCUCCGCUGAUACCUAUUCGAACCAAUUACACACAAAAGUACUAAAAUUAGCACAUAUAGAGAGGUCGAAGGAAGUGAAACAGGAGAGAGAUCCAAAUCCAAAGAGAGAUUGAAUUAUGUGAUUCAAGAUGUAAAUGAUCCAAAUCUGAAAUGAGCACAAAGAGGUAUUAGGGAAUGAAAUUGGGGAGUUUGAAGGGAACUAAAAUUGAAAUAAGAGAAAUUGAGAGAUUGAUGUUUCAGCACAGACACUAAAGUUACCAAAAAAAAACAAUGUAUUCAACCUGACCACCGCCAGAGUAGACGAAAUUUCAUCAAAGAAUCAUAUGCAAUGCAAUUUCACAUACCUAAGACCAAUUUGAUAUAAAUCUGGGAUUCAUCUUGUGAACAAAAACUCUAGCGAUUAAAGCAUGUAGUCUCCGGAAUUUGAGAAAAGACGCCGCAAUGUGGACUUCGAUUACAUGGCCAUCUUGGUGAAAAUUGAAAAACCUAGAAAUCUCACAAAGAGGUGCAGGAAGAGACACGUCCUUCCAAUGCUGCUCCAUUAUAGCAAAUACUCUCUCCAUUCCCAGGCUUACACCAACCGCUGGAACUUGAUCUGAACCUAAUACCCCAACAUGUGUUCUCAUAUCAGUCACCACCAACAAUUGAACCAACUUGUAUAAAAAUCAUAAAUCCAUGCUUUAUUGGUAUACAUAAAGCUUAAUUUUGCUAUUCAAAUACUUCAUCAUACUCACCCACAAAAGGGAAACCGGAAGAGGUGAAUGGAACGGCGGCGCCUUUAGAAAUGAAGAGGUGGUAGAACGGUUCUGAAGCCUUGAUGCAUCUCCGACACAUGGGGGUUUCAUGGAGCCCUAAUUCCCAAUUUCAAAUUUCAGAAAUGAGAAGGAUGUGAAAUCAGAAAAAAUGCGGAUGAGGCAAAUCCAGAAGAAGAAAGAAUGGAUGUAUGGGGGGAGAACGAAUCCCAGAUGUGAGAAAGAGAAACAAACCUGAAAAAUUGCAGAAAGCCUCACUCCCAAAUCUGUCAAUUUCGGACCCUCCAGAAUCUCCAUGACUCGCGCCUUCUUAGUCCUCCCAGUUCUGCAAAAGUUACGAAUCAGGCAAGUGCAAGCAAUAACAUCAGGUAUAUCGCCUUGGUAGGUCAUUCGCUGCAAAAUCUAAAACAUCCUACAAAAGAAUGUGAAUCCUUGACUGAAGCAGAUAUGGGCAGAUACAUGAAAUUCUCAGAGGAAGGUUUUAAAUGAUUUUGAAACCCUAGAGAAACGGCUCAAAGAAGGAGAAAAGGAACGAAGGUAAUGUGAAAGGGGAAGCGUUUCUAUUUUUUUUAAACUGAAAAGCGUUUCAAAUUGAAUGAAAGAAGGAGUCAAACUGAUACAAUUGUGAAUCAAUGGCUGAGAUCAAAUCUGAGUGAAAUAAAAUGUUUUUUUACAAAAAUAUCCAUGCUCAGCUUUCAUAGUUUUUGGAAUAAAUUGUUGAAGGACUUUUUUGCCCUCAAGGCUGCAGAAACUCUGCUUUUAUAUAUAUUAUAGAUAGAUAGAUUUUAGAUUAUAGAUAGAUUAUAGAUUAUAGAUAGAUAGAUAGAUUAUAUAAUUUAUUUAAUUUUUAAUUAAAUUCAUAAUUAUUUUGUAACAAAAAAAUCAUAAUGUUACUGUUUGUAGUUCAUUUCAAAGCUACACCAUUGUGUGUGUGUAUAUAUAUAUAUAUAUAUAUAUAAAAGUAGUGUUUGGCCUGAUUUACUUUGAACUUAAAAGUAACUUUUAAGCUAAAAAUAAAAAUAAGAUCUUUUUUAAAAACUUAAAAGUUGUUUGACAGUUUUGAUAUUUUUAUAACUUAAAAGAGGCUUUUAAGUUAAAAAAGUGUUUGGUAAAUAAUUUUUCAAAAAAAAAUUAUUUUAUUUAAAACGAGUAAAUAUGAAACAAUCUUCAUUAGUUUCUUUUAGCCCUAAUAGUGCGAACCAACAUGUAUCCUCUAUGCCUCUUAUUAGAAUUGAAAACCUCUCUUCCUGAUUUCAAAAUUUUAAAAUAAAACCUCUAUUCUUCUAGUUAGAAUUGAAAAAAUGAACUUCAAUUACAACAAGGACUUAAGAAAAAUCUAAAGAAACAAAAUCUAAAUUAAUGACAGCUUCAAUUGGAGCAUGUCAAGGUGGCAAUUCAUAAAAAACCCAGAAAAAUACAUUCAAAGGGAAGGGAGAGUGCGAGAAAUUGGAUUUCCCACUCCAAGUAUUAGAUUUGCCACCCAGCAUUUUUUAAAAAAUGCUAGGAGUACCCUUCGGACCAUAAUCUUCCGAAAUAUGUUAUGUUCGUAAGAUAAAUUUCCGAAACCCGCAAUAUUUCAGAACAUUAAUUCCCGAAACUAUUAUUCACAGCAAACGUUGGUUUUUUAAGAUUAUAAUCCAUAUUUCGGAUCAUUAAGAUCCGAAACCAAUCAAAAGUAGAUUUAACAGAUUUACCACCUCAUUUUCUUCAGUUUCGGUAGAUAAACUUCCGAACCUGUUUAACAGAUGCACACACAGUAGCAGAAACACGAACCAGAAACACCUCAAUGAGAAGCAAUGAAGAUACACAAAUAAAGCAAUUGAACCACAUUAUGAAUCAAAACACCUUAAAUUAAUAAUUAGAGGUCUUAAACAUAGUCUUGAACAUAGGAAAAUUUACAUAAAUCUCAUUCAUUGACACCAAUUUACAAACAUCAAUCAUUAGUCUAUUGUGAUGUCUAUGUAGUCAUUCACACUUGGAACACGAGGACCACCAAUAGCAGCCCUCCAAGCAGUGUGUUCAAGCGUAAAUCUGGCCAUACGGUCUUGAUACGGGUUAAUCCAUUCGGUCGUGGGUGGUAGGACGUUGUAUGGCCAUUGGGGAGCAAUAUACGGAAUAGGAUGUCCAUGCAACAACUUCAGCUACAUUUGAGAGAGUAUAACAAUAAAAUUAGAUAACUAACAUAAAUUAUCUAGCAAUAAAAAUAAAUUAGUGUACAUAACAAAAGAUAUACCUGUACAAAGUGGUUGGGCACAUGACCAACAGCUAUAACUGUGUGUACCUCUGGUGGGGCGCCUAUCAAUGGAAGGUAAGUGUAACUUGAUUUUUCCGAAAUGGAGAUAAAUACCACCUGAAACCUUGUAGCAAUGAGAUACCCCAUCUUCGGUAAGUGCAUCCAUUUGUCGUCAGUGGCCAUCUGAUCAUGAGGGAGGGUGAGACGAAAGUGUAAGGCCUGAACUAUAUCAAAACCCCACAUGCCCCCCCAACAACCGCACGCAGGUCUCAGCCAUCUCAAGUCUACUAAGGGCUGCCGGAGUAUAGAACCUCCCACUGGUCGGGAGAUGAAGAAGGGCCGACACGUCGUCCAGGGUGACAGUCAUCUCCCCGAACGACAUAUGGAAGCUGCUGGUCUCCUCGUGCCACCUCUCCACAAGGGCCGAGACAAGUCCAGAGUCUGUCUCCUGAUAACUGGACCUGACGAGAUGAAGCAGUCCGGUCGCCUCCACAAGUGUCAGUACAUCCCUAUGAGCAUCGCCCUCCAAUGGCAUAUUCGCCAGCUUUAACCCAACAUUGGACACCUUCAACUCAAGUCGGUCCUCAUAACGAUCGUCAGUGGUGCCUAAACUGGAAUGCCACGUCCACGACGCUAUGUGGUCCGGGUAACGGUGUAAGAGAGACAGCUCAAGCGGCCCGCCAGCAAACGGUGGCUGUUUGUGGAUCGUCAGCGUCGUCUUAACCUGGGGAGCCUCCACCUCUACAGCAACAUCCUCUGACUCGCUACCACUGUCAGACAUAGACUCACUGCCAGACCCAAACUCACUGCCUGACCUAGACUCAAUGCCGGACUCCUGCACGGCGGAGCGCUGAGAAGUCGGGAGAGGGGAAGGCUGAUCAGUCGGUUGAGGAGUCGGGUGAGUAGAAGGCUGAGGAGUCGGCACAGGAGGUGGCACAUGAGUAGGGAGGGGAGGAAUCUCAAUAGUUGGCUGUCGGGAAGGCUGAGGAGUAGGGAAGGGAGGAACCUCAUGAGUCUGCUGAGGAGAAGGCUGAGGAGUAGGGAGGGGAGGAACCUCAGGAGUCUGCUGAAUAGAAGGCUGAGGAGUAGGGAGGGGAGGAACCUCAAGAGUCUGCUGAGGAGAAGGCUGAGGAGUAAGGAGGGGAGGAACCUCCGGAGUCGGGUCUCCCCGCUGUGAAGCAGCCCUCUUAGCUCCCUUCUUAGAUCCCUUCGUAGCUCCCUUCCGAGGUCGCUUCCGAGAACUCGAAACAUCCUCAUCAUGCUCACCUCGCCUAUGAGAAGCGUGGAGAUAGGCAUGGCGAUCGACAACUUGUUGUUUCGUUACCCGGUUGCUCCCCUUCGUCCUCGGCAUCUAUUAAAACAAAAAGGACAUAAGGCAAAUAAGCGAUAUGUCAAAAUUAGAGCAAAUUUUAACUUGAAGACCAAAGAAAAAUAUGGACAAAUAUGGAGACAAUUAGUCAUUGUUUAAGCAUUAUGCGACAUUUAUGAGAAUCUUACUGCAUCAUGAACUCCUAAACAUGAAAGUUCAUCCAAUGCAAAGCAAAUUCAGAUUAAAACAAAUCCAAGUUUCAACCCAUGAGCUUCACCACAGACCAUUUAUGAGAAUCUGACAACUUAAAACUAGCCAAUUUCUCCCAUUGCCUCGGGCAAAUUUAAAACCAGCUCUCAAUUCAGUUCUGAAACUGAAAUUCCUUGAGCAUGACAAUAAGUGAUGGCCCAAAAUAAUGAAGAAACUGAGACAUUUAAAAGAACUUGACAGCAGCUAUCAGUUAUGUGUAAAAAGAAAAUGAAACACUUUUGAACUACUAUACAAAUGUGUUACUUUCAAAAUCAUAAAUUCUGACCAAUGAACAACACUUUUGAACUACUUACUAUACAAAUGUAUAACAGAAAAUGAAACAAAAGCAUGAAUUCUUCCUCAUGCAUUACAUAUUGCUACACCACACAAUUAGUAGGACCAAGAAAUGCACCUAUGCUAGUUUAUAUGAUUAUUGACUCAUUAAAGAUUCUAACCCUGAACUAGUCUUUAAUUAAGCAUUACGCAACAAUGCCUCAUGACAUGAUUUGAAACUUGCAAAUUUGAAAUUGCAUCCAGAAAACUCAGGCCUCAAUUCAACUAUACGUCUCCAACUAUACCUAACCCAAAUAACUAUGCGCUGUUGUUUUGUUUAUUUUUCUCUCAUUCUAUCCAUCCUAUGUUUCUACAAAUACAAUCUGGUUUUCCUUCCCAAAAAAAACUAUCAAAUAAGUAAGAAAUCAUGCCAUAUUCAAGCAAUUGAAGCUUAGGUAUAAUUUCAACAAUGAAAAUAUUAAAUAUACCACCAUCAGUUGAUAAUCCUACCAAACGCCUACCAAAGCAUUCACAUUUUUGACUCAACCAACAAAUCAAAAGAGAGUAGACAAGGAACAGUGGAAAUUUAAUCGAUUAACACAGCUUGAAUGGCUCAAUUCCAAUCUCUUUCAGUCAAUUCCCCUAUGCUUGAAUCCCUCUAACCCCACCCCACGAACGGUGAAUACCAAAAACCGAGUCUCGCAAGAACCCUAAUCUACAAAAUUUGAUGAAGGUAGGGUUCAACUCACCUCUACACUUGAUUUCUGACGAAGAUGAUGAGAAACCUCCCCGCUGAUGAUGAAAGUUGAAGAGGUGGAAUGGAAUUCGCCGGAAUCGCCUCCUUUCAAGGUCGGAAAGUCGAAGAGGGAGAGGAUGUCGAAGAGGGAGACGAUGGGAGUGAAAUGCAAGUGAUUGGUUUGGAACUGGGAAUUAUAAAAUCGAUAAGUUUCGAAACAUAAACUACCGAAAUCUUUCGAAUAUUUAUCUCCCAUAAAAUAACACGGAGGGACAUUUUAGUAAUUCCCCACUUUAAGUGGGGUGGCAAAUCUAAUACUUGGGGUGGGAAAUCUAGUUUUCGGAGAGUGCGGCCUUGCGCCACUAUGAUAGAGCCCCUCAAUAUCGAGGUUGAGAAGAAGAGGAGCGCCGCCACUGUGGAUGGGAAAGUAGGUGGCCUCGUACCACCGCAGAUCGGGGAAGACGUCGCCGACGUCUAUGGCGGCGAGCGGACUUGGGCUGUUUGUGAUGCAAAUUGGAGAAGAAGAUGCCACCGGCAUCUAUGGCGGCGAGUGGAGACUUGGUUGUUGUCGUAGUUGCUUGUGAUGCAAAUUGGGGAAGAAGACGUUGUUGGCAUCCAUAGCGAUGAGCAAAAACUUGGGUUGCUGCCGUAGUCGUUAGUGACGCAGGUCGGAGAAGAUGUCAACAUCGAUGGCGGUGAAGAAAGUGAAACAACGUUGAGAGGUUCAGGAAAUUACAGAAACAUAUAUAAAAGAAGCAUGGCUAUUUUUUUAUUUAAGUAAAUAACACAAAUAAGCUGCUUAAAAGUAAAAAGUUACUCUCCCUAACUUUUUCUUAAAAGUUACUUAUUUUCAUUUCGUGUUGUAAAAAAUAAGUUACUUAAAAAUUUUAAAACUUGUUUAAAAAUGUGUUUGGCCCAACUUUUACUUAAAAGUCUAAAAUAAGUUGGGCCAAACACUACAUAUAUAUAUGUAAAACAAUAAUUGAUUAAACAUUUUUAUUUUAAUUAAUUUAAAAAAUAUUAAUGUACGGGAUAAAAUACAAGUUAAAUCGUCUAACUUGUCUAUUGGAAAGAAUUCUCUCUUGCUCACGCUGAUGCGCACUUGUAGGGUUCUAAGCCCUAGUUGGUCCAAGACGGUUGAGUCCGCCCAACGCGGUGGCGACAACUUUUCUUCACCCUCUUUUUGCUCCAUACGAUCCUCUUCUUCGCAUUCUAGGUUUUUAUUUCCUGGUUUUUUAUUUACAAAUCGAUUUCAUGCUUGUUUCCCCUCUUUUAUUUUGGGAAAUCAUCUUUCCUCCUUUCCAGCUUCAUGGGCCACAAACCUUUUGUAGGCAGCGGCUCUUCGAACACUGGCGCAGACCAAGAAACAGGCGCGGGAAAUGGUCGUGGAUUUGAGGCUGGCAACAAUGAUUCAGUCCUAAGCAAGGAGAAAAACGCUUCUAUUGUCACGCUCUUUGUCGAUGCCAUCCAAGAGCAUGUUGGUUACCACCAAGUCUGAGGGUUUUUCGCCCAAAUUGGAAGGGUUGUAAGCGUUUUCGUUCAGAAGCAGUAGAGUUGAGUUCAUGCGGUUUGCUUCGAUGGAGAUGGUGUCUCGGGAGAUUAUCCUCCUCAAUGGGUUUCACUUAGGUGAAGUUCUUCUGAUGGCGCCCUUGGCGAGAUUUCACGUCACGAGUUUGUCGAUAUGGGUUUGGCUGUAAACAAAGUUCAGGAAGCACCAGGGUUUUUUGGGUUUUAUGCCGGAAAAGGGUUAAAGGGAAUUAACCCGUGGCGUCUUUCUUUGAGGAUGAGAAAAUGAUAUUUUCAAGCAUCUCUAGGGCAUGCUCGUCUUCCCCAAGGUUCCUUUCUCCUGUGCUUUUUCCUAUAAUCUCCUUUGCUGAUUGCAGGUUUGAUGUUUUCUUAGAGCCUAGAGAUGUGAGGUUGUUUUCAUUUGGUGGUGUUGAUAAUGAAGGAAGGUCCCAAAUCCUUCACGUAUCCUCGUGAUGGUCUAAAUCUUUCUCCCUACGGUGUUAUGCUUGUAAGGUCGUCUUGUGGGAAAGAUGAAGCUGAAGAGGGUGGUUGAGUGGGUGAAGCCGGCUGUGGGGAUCUUGAAGUUUAAUGUGGAUGGUUCAGCUAGGGGGCGCAUGGGGAUGGUGGAGUAGGAGGUGUUUUGAGGGACAGUGAUGGUGAAAUAAGGGGGGUUUUUUCUGUUGAUGUGGGUCAGGUUUGGGCUUUUGAGGCAAAAGUCUUGGCAAUCAGGCAUGCUUUGGAAUUUAGUCAAGAAUUUGAGGUAAACAACUUGAUCAUUGAGAGUUACUCAACCUUGGCAGUGGGUUGGGUUAACAUAAAGUCUAAUCGCCCUUGGAAGCUCAUAAGAGAGUUGAAUGUGAUAGAUCUUUUAUUUGAGCAGGUAGGGUGUUUGGGUGUUUCACAUAUUUUUUAGGGAGGCUAAUCCGAUUGCUGAUUUUUUGGCAAAAACCGGGUGUGAUAGAGAACUUCGAUUAUGGGAGUUUUGCCCUUAAUCUUGGAAAAUCGCAGAACUUGGGGUGGUGUCGGGCUAGCUGUUUUUGCAUAAUUGUGCUGCAUUUUUUUGCCUAGUUCUUGGAUGCGUGGUACAACUCGAGGACUUCAAAAUGCUGGCAAGUGAUGGUAUGGGAGAUUGAUUUAUUUAUGGCUGUGUUUUGGUGCCGGUUACUUGAGGACCAUGUCUGGUGCAAAGUUUUAGCAUCACGAGGCCAUAUCAAUGUUGCUUUUGUAUUUCAUAUUUUGUAGUAGCUUUGAAUUGCAGCUUAUAGCUUAUUUUGUUUAGGCUUUUUGGUUGCUCACUUAUGCUUUAAGUACUAUUUUUCCUUCUCUAGGGUUUUACCCAAUGGGUUUUUACUAUGAAGGUUUUAAUGAGGCAUAGGCAUAAGUUGCUUAAGCGCCAAAUUGAUCUUUUUGCUAUAAGGCCGGUGGAGGUUUCCCCCUAUUUCAUGAGUGGGUUGUUCUCAUGUAUUGUUUCUCGUGUUUCUCUUGUACUGUUCGAUUUUAGUAAUAAUAUAUCCAUUUUGUUGUAAAAAAAAAGGUCGUCUUGUGUUGACCUUUUUCUGUUCCUUUGGGGAUUUCUCAGGAUCUUGGGUUUGUGGAGGGCCCCUCUAAUUCUUCUUUGGAGGUUUAUCCUAGCGUUGCUUUAAUCCGGCUCCAGUGGGUUGUUGUAGCUUCUUUCGCUCCUCCCUUGCAGGGGCGGAGAACCUAUCACUAUCUCGGUUGUGCUACUGGAGGCUGGACUCAGAUGCUGAUUCGAGAGGGAGGGAGUUGAUGGUUUUGUUGAAGGAGUUUUCAGAGUUUUAUGACAUUCUGUCUAGGGAGAAGAAUGUCAUUUCGAUGGGGAAGCGACUUGGCAUGAAGUGUGACUGCACAAAUGAUGUUGCCUUCUACCAGAUUGCGACCCAUAUCAAUGAAAGUUUGGUCUUCUUUGGGGAAUUGAGAUAAAUUCUUGGGAGUUUGGUAGUUAUUUCCUUUGGCUAAUUUCUAGGCUUUUGGUUUGUUUUGGUACUUUGGGUGUUAAUAUUUUGACUUUGGGGGCCUACUUUUUAUUUGGGUCCCUUUGGUUUGCUUGCUCCCCUUUUCUUCAGCUGGGUUGUUGCCGGUUUUGCUAGUUUUUUUGUCUCUUUUGAGAAGGGUUGUAUAUCCUGAAUAUUUUUGCCUCAUAUAUUCAUCAUUUUCCCCAAUGUCGUGCUCUCUCUCUUCUUCCCUAACCUCUGUUAGGGUUUCAGAAUCGAUCUUUGACCUUCAACAGUUGGUGUCCUCAUCCGACAACGGCCCAACCCCGGGUGGAGACGAGAACGACGACGGUGAGGUAGAUGGGGAGAGCGACAGCGCAGAUCGAGGUUCCAGGAAAUGAGGGUGUGCCAAGUCGUCGACCUUCACGUUAUUUGUCGACCGAAUCUCAGAGGUGGCCGAUUACUACCAUAUAUGUGACCUCUUUGGUCAAAUUGGAGGCUUGGUGAACGUUUUCGUGUUGGGACCGCGGAGGAUCGGGAAGGCUUUUCACUUUGGUUUAGUGAGAUACCAAUCUCUAGAGCUGGCCUCUCUCGCAAUCCAUAUUUUUAGUUUUACUCUAUUGGCGACUCGGUGCUUUCGGUGGCUCUAGCCAGGUAUCCACGUUCAGUGAGUUCCCAGUGCCAUCACUUGGACGUCGUAUUCUAGAAUAUCACGCUAUACUUAGGAGUACAUCUAGUGUUUACACAUCAUACGAGCAAAUAUGAUGAAGAGGAUACUCAGACAGUUUCGACAUUUGCAAGGAAACUCUCAUGCUCCUUUACUUGCACAAGACUUGUGGUCGAGGAGUCAUAUGAGAGUUAGGCCACAUUUGUCACUCGAGUCAUUGAUCGAGGAGUUGGGCUGCGAUUUCGGGAGAGUGCGUACUAGAGUACUUGACAUGGUAUCUUCGGGGAUCACACGUCCACAGUUGGUACUUCCGAGUCAUUGAGAGCUUGAUAAUGUUUUAAUGACGGUUAGUUAUUUAUGUAUAUCUUACUUUCAUCUAUAAUACUUUCGCUAGUCCUCUUAGGGUGAGGUAAAUGUAAGUCUUCUGUAAGUACCAAAAAAUAAUACUUUCAUUCUUAUCUAAUAUGAAAUUAAGUUUUAUUUAGGCUAGGUACAUAGAUCCAAAAGUGGCUGACCAAAGAGCUUGAAGAAGAAAGUGGAGGACUCGCGCAAGACGCAAAAGAAAUGGAUUAUAUACAAAGGCUCUUGGACUUCACAACACGUAAUACACAUACCAACAUAACAUAUCAAAGGAAAAGGAAGACCACAUCCACACUCAUCUCUGCUUCAUAGAGCUUCUGUUAUGUUUGUACUUUGGUUUUGGAUGAUGUAUUUUGGAUGAUUUUAGACAAUAAUGUUUAGAUGAUGAUUUUGGACAAUGGUGUAUUUUGGAUGAUUCCUGUUAUUGAUGAUCUUAUUAUUUUGUAUGAUUCUUGUUAAACUUUGGUAUAUAUUAACGCAAAUCCUGAAAACUUAAGUUUAUGGAGUUAAAAAUGAAAACGAGUGUAUCUAAUAUUUUGAGAUUUAAACCCGGUAAAUAAAUAAACAAAGGGUGUCGCCAAGGGCGGACCCACAGCCAAGUCAGGGGGUUCAUCUGGGUUCAGAUGAACCCCCUGGAAAAAAAAACAUUCCUACUUACCUCCUACAAUGUUUUUUUUGAACCCCCUGAGAUUUUAAAAUUGCACCCAGACCCUAGUUACUCUUUUCUCUCUCUCACGCACUCACGUCAGACUCUCAAGAUUCACUCACGCCUCACCCUCUCGCACUCUCUAGUCCCACCUAGGUCUGUGGCCGUCAUCAUCAAGCACCCACGCACGAACCGGCCGCACCGCGCACCACCACCGGCCACCACCGUCCACCUCUACGACUACUUUCUCAAGCUUAAUUAACCCUAUGUAUGGCUGAUUAAGAUUUCCCUAAAUUGAUUUCCUUUUCUUCUCCUUUCUCAAGCUUGAUUAACCGUAGGUGUGGCUGAUUCAGAUUUCCCUAAAUUGAUUUCCUUUCUCUUCUCAUUUCACCCUAAUAAUUUAAUCAUUAUUCAACAUAGUAUAAGGUUUCUAUAUGUAAUUGUAAUGUAUAUAGUUUUGAACUCUAUAUCUUUUUCUGGUACAAGAAGAGGACUAUUUCUAUAAUGUUGAUUGCAUGAUUAAUUAUGAAUAGGGAAUUGUUAUUCAGACCAACCCCCCCCCCACAUCUAUUCAGACCCUUAAAAAUGUGUGAAAUGGUCAAUUACCCUCUUUUAAAAAAAACUUCCCACAACCCCGACUAACUACCCCACUUCUUCCCACUAAUUCAAAACUUCCCAACCCCCCCCCCCCCCCACAUUAAACCCAUUUCAUCACUCAUUCCCGCUCCUCAUCAAACCCAUUUCAUCCUCUCAUUCUCUCACUGCCACCAGCCCCUCCAAUGCCACCGAGCGGCCACUGCAGUCGAGUAGACCCGCAGCCCCCGCGAAACGCCACCCCAUCUUGCUCCGUCGCGUUUCGGUAUGAUUUUGACCCGACCCAUCUAUUUCUAUUUUUAGUCGCUUUUAGUAUGUGCAUCUGAGACGCUCCUUUAACGUGCGUUUGGUUUACACAUUGAAGGUUAGUGUCCAUAACAGACGCACCUCGAAGCAGCGACUCAGACGUUCCUUGAAGGUGCGUUUUAGACGCUCCCUGAAGGUGCAUUGUAGACGCUCCCUGAAAGUGCGAUUUAAUGAGUAUCUGAAAGUUUCUGUUUUGUGUCUUAUGUUUCAGAAAUGGCAAGAACAAAAAAUCAGGGCCGCUCCCCAAGUGUCCUCCCCCCCCCCAAGUAAAGCCCUAGCAAGAGAGGCAGAGCCCGCCCCCCAAGUAAACCCCCUAGAAAGAGCAACAGAGCCCCCCCCCCCCCCCCCACAAGAAGCAGAGCCCAGGCUAGCAAAGAAAGCAGAGUCCACUCCACGACAUCGAUACGUAGGGCAUGUCAAGACGCGGCCCGUAAAAAGCAAGAAGAUGGCCGUAAGAAGCGUGAAGAGGCAGCACGUAAAAGGCUAAAGCGAGUGCAGUACAAGAGCCUGAACCGGUGGUUGCUAAUGAACCUGAGGAAGAUGAUGAUGAUGAUAUGGUUGAUGGUAGCCUUGAUAAAGUGGAGGAGGGUUCUGGUGAGGAAGAGGAGGAGGGUUCUAGUGAGGAAGAGGAUGUCCAGCAAGAGGAUGAUGAUGAAAUAUUCUUUUCUGGGGGGGUCUUAUGACAAUAAAUUGCUGAAGACCUUCAAGGGACAUUUAGCGAUGUAGGUGUGGAAGCAUUACAAGAAACCGACUAUAGUGUUUGAUCGGGGUGUGUUGAAAACCUACCACCAUGGGACUGCUAUGCUAAGGAAGGACAAAAAGAAACAUAAAGAGGUGUUAAAAUUCUUUUUCUACAUAUGUUAAGGGAAGAGUUGAGGCUGCUGGUCUAUUGCUUUUGCUGACAUGCAACCUUCCCUCAGUGGACAAGACCAUGUUGUCGACGUUUGUUGAGAGAUGACAGCCGGAGACUUCAUAUUUUCAUAUGCCAUUUGGGGAGAUGACUAUCACACUUGAUGAUGUUAGCUCUUUGCUACACAUCCCUGUGGUGGGAAAAUUCUUCAGUCUCCCAACCCUGACUCGUGAGGAAGCAGCCAUUGUAUUGCAUAAGCAGCUUGGUGUUACGCAAGCAGAGGCUGAAGCGGAGAUUCGGAAAUCCUUAGGACCUUAUGCUCGGUAUACAUGGCUUCUGGAUAUAGCUGAGAAGAUGGCCAAGGACAGGAAGACCAAGAAAGCUGCUAGAGCCUUCUUGCUGCGUUUGGUGGGGAUGACGAUUUUCUGUGCCAAUACAAACAACAAGGUGGAGGUUUCAUAUUUGGGGCUGUUUAUGGACUUGGAGAAGGUUGGGGAGUAUACAUGGGGCGCCAUGACAUUGGCUUUCCUUUAUGACCAGCUUAAGGAGGCCACCAAAGUCAGCACCACUAGCCUUGGAGGGUACUUAAAUCUAUUUCAGGUAUGAGUCUAUAUCUCUUAUUUUAGUUCAUUUGUAAUUAAUGUCUAUGUUUGAGCAUGUGACAUUUUUGGUGCAAUUUGAUUGCAGGCAAGGAUAUUUGAGUAUUUUCCCGCCAAAUUGUUUGAAAAAAACCUGAACAAGAAAUAUGUUGAGGGAGAGCCAAGAGCUUGCAAAUGGGUCACAAAGAGGGGGAAUAUGGACCUGCAUGCGAAGAGGAUUGUCCUGGAUGACCUUAUAGGUAGCAGUGUCAUAUGGACACCAUAUGACGAGCAUCGAGUGCAUUGGCCCUUCCAGCAGGUGUGUCUUUUUAGCGGGUUGAUUCGGCAUUCAGGCAUGAUCCGGCCAUAUCUGCCCGAGCGUGUUAUGAGGCAGUUCCAAAUGAUGCAGGAUCAACCCAAUUUACCACCAGCCAGCAUUCCCCAUGUUGAGGAGAUUGAUGAUAGGUUUCUUAAUUUUACUCUUCACUGCGUGGCUGCUCAGUAUACUCUAAGUCCAAUGGUAACGCCUCGGUACUUCGACUAGUACAAGAAAAUCUCACACUGCCUUGUGGUCCCUUCUGAAACAAGAGGUCUGGUGGAAGUAACUCUUUUGGUAAGUAACUAUCAUUUCCCUCAAACUUGGUUUUCUUACAAUUUAUGCACUAAUGUUUAUUUUUGUUACACUUGUUGCUUUUAGGGUGUUCUCGAGCAAUUAAAAGAGUUAAGUGCUAUCACAGUAGACCCCAACGAGUCGCCAGAUCGGAUCCUCGUUGCAAACCAGCGUAUGCGGGCUAUCAUACUGCAGAAUUUGGAGCAAGGGGCUGAUGUUGAUGAUGACAGUGGCAGUGGAGAUGCAAUCCAUGGUGGAGGUGGCCCUAACAAGAAGAAGAAAGGAAAAGUGUCUGAUGUCUCUACCUCCAAGAGUAGUUAGGACUAGGGACCUAGGAUUGAUUUCAGGAUGCAUGUAAUUUAAGUACAAUUGUAUACUUGUGACUUAGUUUGUGUUUAAGACUAAUUAGCUAUGUAGCUUCAAAUUUUAGUACAUAUCUAAUGAUGUAUUUUAUAUGCACUGUUUCUGUUUAAGUAUGUUAAUUAGGAUGUGUUGCAAUGUACCUAUUUUCUUCUGUUCUGGUUUCUAUUUUGAGAGUGCAAAGUUACUGCUUCAGGUUUCUUAUUUCCAUAUAGGUGCGGGAAAGCUGUUGAAAGAUAUUUUACCUAACCACUUUCGAAUCUUUCAAGAUUCAAUUGUAGUACAACAAAGGGUUUUUAUCGUCCUCAAGGAAUUGGAAUACAAUUCCGUUCUCUAGCUAAAUCACUUAAGCAAAGAGUCAAGAAAGUUUUGGUUGAUUGUUUUGCGCUACGUUGCAAAAUUAAAAGAAAGCAGUAAUAAAUGAUUGGUAAACAAGCGGAGAAAACGGUUGGAAUUGGAGUUCGUCAAUUAACUCUUCGGUAUUCUUAUGAUUUCAUAUACAAAUUAUGUCCUAUAUCUGAUUUCAUUACACCACAUCUUAUCUUUUUCAUAGUUCCCUCAUGAGAAAGAUCAUCAACUUACUAACUAAUCAUCAAUUCCUUGAAUAACUAAGAAAGCAAGUAAUAUUAAACUUAGGUGUUAUUUGACUAUUGAACUAAUCCUAUUCCUAGGCCUUAGAUUCAAUUGAUGAUCCAAUCUAUUUCAGAUUCAAUUAAAUGGUUUCCACCAAUUUCUCAAAUCUAACAUCAAGUUCUAGUUGAUCACUCUAAAACUAGCAUUAAGAGCAAGAUAGAUCAUUGAAAUCAUCACAUAGAAACAUGAAUUUAUACAUGGAAAUCAAAGUAAAUACAUUCAAGUUAAAAGACUACAUCCAAUCCCAACACAAAAGGUAUAGCAAUCCAUUUCCAUGGAUGCUAUAAGCUUACAAUAAGGGAAAAUGAAGAAGAUGAUUCGUGCGGCGUCGGCGUGUUCCCAACUCGACGGAAGGUCACCCAGCCUCCAAGUUCCUAUUCUUUCUCUUCUAUUUGUGUUUCUUCUCUCAAAAGUUGGUUCUGAUGUUCCCAUUUCUGUUCUGAUUUAACUUUCCUUUUAAAUGACAAAUUUGGACACGACCGCUCAACCCCUUUUUUUUGGCCGCUCAGCGCCCUGUUACUUUAGGGAUGAGUUUUCCUUAACCGCCUUGAAACCGCUCAGCCCCUUUCCUGGCCGCUCAGCCAUUUUCUGACAUGAUAAAAGGGGCUCAGCUGGUUUCUAAAGGGCUCAGCUGAUUUUUCCCAAACCUUCCAAAACUCUUUAUUUCUUCACCAAAUCUUCAUUUCUUCACUAGAUUCAUGUCCCUACAACAACAAUUGAGAUUGGAUCUCCAUUUAAACACAUUCUAUCUCAAAAUUCACAUUUCUACAAGUUCUAAUCAAAAGAGAGUCGAUUUGCAAGAUCUCAUGAAUACAAAAGAUAAGUGUCAAAAUAACAAUUGAAAACAUGGUAAAUUAGACAUUUAUCAGACGCACGUUGGAUGUGCGACCGAGACGCAAGUUUACAUUGCGACAUAACUCUCGCUCAUUCAACAUGCGUUUGAGGCGCUCAUCCAACAUGCGUUUUAGACGCUAGUUGGACAUGCGAUUUAUUUCAGGAUUUCAGAAACAAGCACAGAUUUAAGCUUUUUCAAUGCCAAGGCGUGUAGUGGCACGCACAUAAGACGUGUGGCAUUGUCGCUCAUUGAGCAUGCGGCGUAGACGCUCCCAUAAGGUGCGGUGUAGACGCGCCCUUAAGGUGCGUUUUUUUGUUUAUUAACAAUGUGGGAUGAUACAUGAUACAUGAAAAUUUCAAUAAAACAUACAAGAACAAUGACCCCUAGACCCUAAGCCCUAAACUUAGUACUUGAAAAAUACAAGUACAGUGACCCCUAUGGGAUACAAUCAGGAGGAUUCCAAUCUUUAUCUUCUUCUGGUCCUCUUCCUUGUCUUCUCCUUCUUCUGGUCCAGCUCCUCUUCUGUCUUGUUGGGAAAACCAGCAGUGUCGCCAACUGAGCCUAGAUGUUUCCAUCAUCACCAAUUUUCUCCAAAAGGGAACUUUCCCCAGAAGAUUGGUGUAACACCCCGAUUUUUCGGUGUCACUUAAGUAACUUAAAAAUAAACUUUAAGCGGAAAACAUGUUUUUUUUUUCGUUUGUUCCUUUUGUUGAAAUGAAAACGUCAUAAAGAUAAAGACAUAAUCCCGCAAUUUAAACCUAACCGAUGUACAUCAUAUAAACAGGUACAGCCUCAGCUGCACUCCAACGUCACGCGCUCUCGCAGUGACUCCAAAGUAGUGUGCUCGUAGGCAAAUAUUUACAGAUCCAGAAACGUGAGUGAUAAUGUUAUAAAUACAAUCCUCUAGAAGAAAGUCGGCCCUCAAAAUGGCCUAAGCAAAGACCCCUACAGUCCGACUAACUCUCUGUGAUCCCUCAGCAAGAGAACCACACAAAAAGCUAUGUGUCGGGAACCUACCCUGUCCCAAAACAAAACGAAUCAGAGCUCUGCACAAAAUAUGGCGCCCACCUAACCUACCCUCCAGUACCGCUCAAAGCUCCUCCUCCUCCUCGUCGCUCCCGACGUAGUAGUCGACAUCAGUGUCAGAAUCAGAGUCCACCAUGAUGAUCUCCGCGUCCAAGUCCACGACCUCCCUCCUGACUGUCCUGCGUACGACCCCAGUCGAACCCAUCUCAACAUCUACCUCCUCAGAAAGGGCAUCCUCCUCCACCACACGCACCAUGGGUUCCACGCGGUAGCCGCGUGAUGAAGUAAACGGAAAACGGCGAGAGGCAGUCGAAACAACAGGCUCCCUCUUCGGCUCCACGAGCCUCAAGGACGACGCAACGUCGAUAGGAUCUACAACAGUAGCAGGAAGUGGCGCGACAGGUGCCUCAGUAUCAGCCUCGAUCUUAGAUGGAUCCUCGUCAUCGGAUGAAGAUGAAGGUGGUGAAGGUGGUCUCCGGCCAGUGCCCGGUCCACCGCGCACCGAAGGUGGUAAGUUGAAGCUCAGCUCCAUGCGUCGUAGAACUCCUCUCGUCAGACGUCCACGCUCAUUAGUCCGGUCCUCCAUGGCCCUUCCCCGAGACGUCGCCCGAUGAUCCACAGGAUCGAUCACCCAAGCGGUGGGGGCAUGUCGGUCAACCAGCUCAAACCUGAUCCCCCCCGAGGGAGAGACCAUCGAAAACCAAUCCGCCAUCGACAUCUGGCAGCAGGCCGACCGCCCAAACACAAACAUGAAACCAAAGCCAAGGCGUUAGGGUCAACUCACGGAAUAGAGUAAAUAUACAAACAACAUGUGAUUGGGGUAUAUAUAUAUAUAUAUAUAUAUAUAUGUUUAUAUAUAUUCCUAGCAUGUUAUCGGCUCUAACAAUAAUUCAAUAGACAAUAGCACACAAAUCCAGCCAGGGUGCAUGUAUGCUUGCAAUGUGUUUCAAAUGAUCCGGAUAACUCAAUUGGGAUGGGCACCAUCGAGUCAGUCCUAACACUGGCCUAGUGUUUAACCAUUUCCGCUCGGGUGUCACUUACAAACCCAUGCAUAGUCGGAUCAAUUCUAACCCCUCCAGGUUGAACCAUUUUGCCCGCUAUGCCGAAGAUAUACUCUUGGUGUUCUUCGAUGAAGGCCAAUCUUGAUACCAACACAAAGGUGUCCUACACUUUCGACCAUACAAAGCCUCAUACGGUGCCAUACCGAUGCUCGCAUGAAAACUGUUGUUGUAGGUGAAUUCGAUCAAUGGCAGAAGAUCAUCCCAGCUUCCUUUGUUGUCCAACACACAAGCACGUAGUAGAUCCUCUAACGACUGAAUAGUUCUCUUUGUCUGCCCGUCAGUUUGUGGAUGAUACGCCGAACUCAAUCUCAGCUUGGUUCCUAACGCCUCAUGAAGAGCUCCCCAAAAGUGCGAAGUAAAUUUCGGAUCUCGGUCAGAAACAAUACUCGUCGGCACUCCGUGUAGUCGAACAAUCUCGACCACAUAAAUCUCAGCCAACUUCUCCACGUUAUAGGUGGUUCUCACUGGUAGAAAAUGUGCAGACUUGGUCAAACAGUCCACAAUUACCCAAAUCGAAUCAUACCUCUUCUGUGUCCUUGGCAAAGCCACCACGAAAUCCAUGGAGAUACUAUCCCAUUUCCAUUCUGGCACGUCUAGACUCUGUAGCAUACCAGCAGGCCUCUGAUGCUCUACCUUAGCCUUCUGACAAGUCAUACAUGCAGUUACAUACUCGGCCACUUGUUUCUUCAUUCCCGGCCACCAGAAAUUCAGUUUCAAGUCUUGAUACAUCUUUGUCAUUCCAGGAUGAAUGCUCCACUUGCUCUUGUGUCCUUCAUCCAUGAUUAGCCUUCUUAAUUCUGGGUUGUUGGGUACACAUACUCUGUCUUUGCAUCGUAGGAUGUUGUCAGCUCCUACCCUGAACUCCGGGUCUUUCCCUUCAGUCACCAAGUUUCUCUUCUCUAGCAGAAACAUAUCUUGCAAUUGUUGCUCUCUAAUCUCUUCCAUCAGUCCACUGGCGAUUCUGAUCAUGCCGAACUUCAGCAUUCCCUCAGACGGUGUCACACCCAAACUCAUAUCUCGAAAUUGUUCCAGCAACUCCAGCUCUUUAACCAUCAUUGACGAGACAUGCAUCUUCCUACUCAAAUCAUCAGCAACUACAUUUUCCUUCGUAGGGUGAUAUUGCAACGUAAACUCGUAGUCCUUGAUGAACUCCAUCCAUCGUCGUUGUCUCAUGUUCAGCUCCUUCUGAUCAAACAAGUAUUUUAGACUCUUGUGAUCGCUAAAUAUCGUGAAAGUACAACCAUAGAGGUAAUGCCUCCAGAUUUUAAGAGAAAACACAAUAGCAUCUAACUCCAAAUCGUGCGUCGGGUAGUUCUUCUCAUGAGUCUUCAGUUGUCUCAAAGCAUAAGCCACCACUUUCCGAUAUUGCAUCAGUACACAUCCCAAGCCGUGAUGUGAAGCAUCACAGUAGACUUCAUAAGGUUCCUCCGGUUGUGGCAAAAUAAGCACAGGUGACGUCGUCAAACGUUCCUUCAUAGUCUGAAAACUUGUCUCACACGCUUCUGUCCAUGCAAAAGGUUGAUCCUUCCUCGUAAGUUGAGUCAAAGGUCCAACAAUCUUGGCAAAACCCUCAAUGAAACGUCUAUAAUAUCCAGCUAAGCCCACAAAACUUCUGAUUUCUGUCACUGUCUUCGGUUGUUCCCAAGCUAAAACAGUCUCCACCUUCAUUGGAUCCACAGCUAUGCCUUCCUUUGAGAUGACAUGGCCUAAGAAUUUGACUUCCUCAAGCCAAAACUCACACUUGGAAGGGUUCGCAUACAGCUUUUUCUCCGGCAACACUUGUAAAACUUGAUGCAGAUGUUCCUCAUGCUCCUUAGCGUCCUUCGAAUAGAUCAGAAUGUCGUCGAUGAACACCACCACAAACCGAUCCAAGAACUCAUGAAAGGUACGGUUCAUGUAGUUCAUGAAAACAACAGGUGCAUUCGUCACUCCAAACGGCAUCACUAGGUACUCGUAGUGUCCGUAGCGAGUUCUUAAAGCAGUCUUCGGUAUAUCCUCAGUCUUCACUCUGAUAUGAUGAUAGCCUGAUUUCAAAUCUAUCUUGGAAAAUACGGCAGCCCCUCGAAGUUGAUCCAUCAAAUCAUCUAUCCUUGGCAACGGGUAUCUGUUCUUGACCGUCGCCUUGUUGAGCUGUCGAUAGUCCACACACAAUCUAGACUUUCUAUCUUUCUUCUUGACCAAAAGCAUUGGCGCUCCCCAUGGUGAGACACUUGGUCGAAUAAAUCCUUUCGCCGAAAGAUCCUCCAACUGAGAUUUCAACUCCACUAGCUCUGUAGGUGCCAUACGGUAAGGUGCGAUCGAAAUCGGUCCGGUUCCGGGUACAAUGUCGAUUACAAACUCCACAUCGCAUACUAGCGGUAGUCCAGGUACAUCUCCAGGAAACAUUUCAGCAAAAUCUCGAACCACUGAAUACCAUGCACAUCUGAGUCUCUCCUACUCUCUAGAUUCUGACGUCUCCGAUUCGAAACUAAACGCCCUAAUAUCAUGUGUAUAGUAUCCAUAAGGAAUUUCCCUAAGAUCCUAGCUUCCUUAUCGAUGCAUCGGUAAAAUAACUUCCUAGCUCAGCGUGCUAUUCUAGACCUCGUAUAACUUCUAUAGUUAAAUCACGAGCAACUUCGAAUAAGGUCCUAGUAGGGAUAAUAAUCAUAAGGUCAAAGUUUAAGUAGUAAACGCAAACAAUUAGAGCGAAAAUCAUUCUGCAGACAAUCAAGUUUUUACUCUUUACAGAGUCACACAAUCUAGCACAGAAGACCUAUUCCCCAAAGACUCCCAAAAGACUCGACUAAGCUCUGAUACCACAAUGUAACACCCCGAUUUUCCGGUGUCACUUAAGUAACUUAAAAAUAAACUUUAAGCGGAAAACAGGUAUUUUUUUUUUCGUUUGUUUCUUUUGUUGAAAUGAAAACGUCAUAAAGAUAAAGACAUAAUCCCGCAAUUUAAACCUAACCGAUGUACAUCAUAUAAACAGGUACAGCCUCAGCCGCACUCCAACGUCACGCGCUCUCGCAGUGACUCCAAAGUAGUGUGCCCGUAGGCAAAUAUUUACAGAUCCAGAAACGUGAGUGAUAAAGUUAUAAAUUCAAUCCUCCAGAAGAAAGUCGGCCCUCAAAAUGGCCUAAGCAAAUACCCCUACAGUCCGACUAACGCUCUGUGAUCCAUCAGCAAGAGAACCACACAAAAAGCUAUGCGUCGGGAACCUACCCUGUCCCAAAACAAAACGAAUCAGAGCUCUGCACAAAAUAUGGCGCCCACCUAACCUACCCUCCAGUACCGCUCAAAGCUCCUCCUCCUCCUCCUCGUCGCUCCCGACGUAGUAGUCGACAUCAGUGUCAGAAUCAGAGUCCACCAUGAUGAUCUCCGCGUCCAAGUCCACGACCUCCCUCCUGACUGUCCAGCGUACGACCCUAGUCGAACCCAUCUCAACAUCUACCUCCUCAGAAAGGGCAUCCUCCUCCACCAUACGCACCAGGGGUUCCACGCGGUAGCCGCGUGAUGGAGUAAACGGAAAACGGCGAGAGGCAGACGGAACAACAGGCUCCCUCUUCGGCUCCACGAGCCUCGAGGACGAUGCAACGUCGGUAGGAUCAACAGCAGUAGCAGGAAGUGGCGCGACAUGUUCCUCAGUAUCAGCCUCGAUCUCAGAUGGAUCCUCGUCAUCGGAUGAAGAUGAAGGUGGUGAAGGUGGUCUCCGGCCAGUGCCUGGUCCACAGCGCACCGAAGGUGGUAAGUUGAAGCUCAGCUCCAUGCGUCAAAGAACUCCUCUCGUCAGACGACCACGCUCAUCAGUCCGGUCCUCCAUGACCAUUCCCCGAUACGUCGCCCGAUGAUCCACAGGAUCGAUCACCCAGCGGUGGGGGCAUGUUGGUCAACCAGCUCAAACCUGAUCCCCCCGAGGGAGAGACCAUCGAAAACCAAUCCGCCAUCGACAUCUGGCAGCAGGCCGACCGCCCAAACACAAACAUGAAACCAAAGCCAAGGCGCUAGGGUCAACUCAUAGAAUAGAGUAAAUAUACAAACAACAUGUGAUUGGGGUAUAUAUAUAUAUAUAUAUAUAUAUAUAUAUAUAUAUAUUCCUAGCAUGUUAUCGGCUCUAACAAUAAUUCAAUAGACAAUAGCACACAAUUCCAGUCAGGGUGCAUGUAUGCUUGCAAUGUGUGUCAAAAGAUCCGGAUAACUCAAUUGGGAUGGGCACCAUCGAGUCAGUCCUAACACUGGCCUAGUGUUUAACCAUUUCCGCUCGGGUGUCACUUACAAACCCAUGCAUAGUCGGAUCAAUUCUAACCCCUCCAGGUUGAACCAUUUUGCCCGCUAUGCCGAAGAUACACUCUUGGUGUUCUUCGAUGAAGGCCAAUCUUUCGACUGUCUCAAACCUUCGUGAAGCCGACUGAAGCCGUCUCAACUUCACCGAAGCCCGAUCCUCCGAUCGUCUCAAGCCCCGAAUGUAUGCAUGAUGCAAUAUGGUUAGCCAAACAUGGUAUCGUCCUCACCAUAUAAUGUUUAGCUACGACUCUUAAUCCAAUAAUGCCCGAAGGUCAAAGUCGACUCUACGACUAGGCUGUAAGAAGCCGAAGUACGCAUCGUACUCAGUGACGUAUCUCUGGUCACUGUGGUUCAUCCUCGUGACGACCAUCAAAUCUCAGCAGCUCCAAAACUUGUCGACAUUUCCCCGUCUUUCGCAAUCAUUUAUCCACUUAAGUUCCCUAUGGUUUUAUUCGUUAAUAAAAAUAUUUAAAGUUGAAUUAGUCAAGUUAUGAGUUUCAUUCUUGAAAACUAAGUUCCCUAAGAUCUCUAGUUCCAAAUUCUAAUCAUUCCAAGUUUGGCAAAAUACCUCCAAAUGUAAUCCCCCGGGGAAAGUCUAAGUGUUCCAAUCGGCUUAAUCUCAAACCUCGAGUUUGGACUUGCCUAGGGUUGUUCAUUCAACCCGAAAUAAUACAAGUAGGACGUUCCAUGAUUCCACACUCCGUAGUCGCGACAAGGCGCACAGUUCAAUAACAAUGUCAAUAUAACAAUAAUUCAGUGCGGAAAUCAUAAGACGGAAACCAGUAAACGACUGAAGCCUCUCAAAAAAUGGAGACACACGUCUCAUAUAAGUUUACUCGGCCGAAGCCUCCAAAAAACAUUUUCCAAUUCAAAGCGAUAAACAAUAUCCAAGCAAUAUUCAAUAUCAAACAAUAUUCAAGUCGAAUUUAUCGACGCCUACAAUACAAUAGCUAGUAAGUAAGUUGCCCUAACCUCGAGUUGCUCCAGCCUCGCGGUGUAGGUUUUCCUCACAAUCUAGCUCAGUAAUACCCAAAGUUCCCUCAACUGAACCUUUGAGAAAACAAAGCGAAAAUCAAUACGAAAUCGAUUAGCUCGAUCACAACAAAGUUAAUUAACGAUAGACAAAGCUUACGAAGCUUCAGAGUACAACAAUCGAGCACGAGAGGACGAGUUAUCGCGAAAAACGAAUUUCUCCCCCCCCCCCCCCUCAAAACAUGCUCUCGACCACUUAAGGAAAAAGGGUUCCGGCACUUUUUCUUCGAUCUAAUUUAAUUCCUAGGUAAUUUUAGGGUAAAACAAGGGCAAAGAAAUUGUCGGAAAAAUUUUAGAACGACCGGGUUGAAUUACGACUAGUUAGGGGCACUUUGGUCCAAAAUUAAAGCUCAAAAACUCAAAGUUGAAACUUCGGAAAACAAAUUUGAUGGGGUCGUUCACAACGACAUUUAUAUCAACUAAUCCUAAGGGCAUUAAGUCGGAUUGUGGCUUUUCAAAGAUAAAGUUUCAAUAUGUGCGUAAAUGGGUUUUUAUACAGUUUUUCAGAUCUUUGGCGACUCGAUCGAAAUCGGCGCGCAUCGGCGAGUGAUUUAGCUUGUUGGGCAACUAUAGAAGGUAGUUCAAAAGAAAAAUCGGGAAAAUCAAACAGUUUUACGAAAAGCUCAAUACUUUGAGCUCAUAAAGAGAUAAAGAAAUGCGAUAAAAAGAAUGAUCAGAGGUAAGAAGUGAGUAGAUUACCUCUGUGCCGUGAAGUAGAGACAAACAACUCGAAGAUCCGUCAAGAAACGAAGAAAAUCUCUCCUCUCCCUCUCCUCUUCUCACUCGCGGCCACACACUUGAAGAAUGGGUAGUUCCGAAAUGAAACACUGGUCGAGGGAAAAAUAAAGAGAACUUCUUAUUUUUCCAAGGAUUUAGAAUUUCGCUUAAAGAAUGCUUUAAGAGCGGAAUUAGCCUAUUCUGGACACUCUCGCCAUAAGGCGGGUGUGCAGACGACUCGUGUUAACUCCUAAAACGUCUAUGGUACUAUCCUCAACCAAUUCCUGAACUUUCUUCUUCAUUAAACUUUCCCAAACAGCAAACUCCUGUUACGCUUACACCGAUCCUACGCGUGAGUCGGAAAAAUAAUUAUUUAAUCCAGUUCUGAAAUCUGGGUCUUACACUUGGACCAUUCCAUUUAGCAAGUUUGGGUACUUUGAAUAACCAAGGAUGGUCACCCCUACAUUAGCAAGUUUGACACUCUGAAUCUGAAAUAUCACUCUCUAAGUACUCAAACUUGCUAAUGUUGAGGAUAAUAUCCACAUCACCCCAACCAUUGAGAACUCUAAACCAUAAGAGGUAUGAAUAAGAAAGAGGGUAAGAGGAAGAAGAGAGAGAAUUGUGUGAAAAUGAAGAAGGAAGAUACCCUAUUUAUAGUGCUCGACUAGCAUAGGUUAUAACGAAAAAAAAUAGGAUUUAACGGAAGCAAUUAAUAGUUUUUACCGGUUGUUGCGUUAUGGUCAAUGGCUGGUGCGUUUUAGACGCAUGUUCAAGGUGCGUAAACGACGCGCACUCCAGAAGCGUCACUGUCGCACUCACGAUAUGCGGCUUAUAGAGCGACAGAGACGCGCUUUGAGGGUGCGUUCGAUAGGGGUAAUUUCAGAUUUCACAAAUUUCAUUCGGUUUGGAUAGAUGUGGGGGGGGUCUGAAUAACAAUUCCCUUAUGAAUAUUAGGGUCUAAUAGCAUGAAUUUGAAGGUGUAUGUAUGUGAACUGUGAAGUCAUGGAAGAUUAAAUAAAUUUGAUCCCUUUUUGGUUGCACUGGUUUAUGGUGACUUGCAGUUUUCAGCACUGGUUUUGUGAAUGAUGCAUAGGAUAUGCUGCUUAUGCUGAGUUUGGGAACACCAAGGCCAUUGUAUCUGUGUGAAUGGUAAGUUUUAUCUCACAAAAUGUGUCAAUUCAAUCACCUUGUUGAAUCCUGUUUUUGUCUGUUAUGCUUCAUAAGUGCAUUAUUAAUCCUCUGCGGUUCCUUUUCUGCUCCAUUCUUUUAUGAUUUUAUCCUCUAAAUUUCUUACUUAAUUGACAGAUGUGUGUUGCACCUGCCGCCAUUAUAGACCCAAAGUGGUACUAAUAAAACCGCUUCAUUGAAAUUGAAACUCAACCUUAGUUGCUAUCAGAUUUAUUAUAAAAGAAAAGUAGAUCAAUUCCCUCGGUUGAUUUGUGUGGCCGAAUGAUAGCUCCUAAGUGAUAAGAGUUGGAGAUAUAUGAGUUGGAGGAAGAGUUCAGAUAUCUAUCCGGAAGACAAUAAUUUAUCUUUCGGAUGUAAAAGAAAAAUAAACAAAGGGUAUUCUUUGGAAAUUACUAUGUGAGUGGUUGGUGGGGGUGGCGGGAUUUAGGGUUAGGGGUGGUGUUUUGAACAUCCCCUCCAAAGUUUGAUUUGAAGUCUUGAAUUUUCCAGCAGCAAAACGAGGACGUUUGACUGUGUUAUGCAAAUUCAACAAAUACACAGUAGUGUCUCCGCUCCACAGUACUCUGUAUCUGAUCCAUUUAUUAGAGAUCUCUCUUUGCUUUUUCCGCUGCACAAAUUGUUCAAAUUUCUGAGUCUCGCUAUGGCCACCGGAGUCAACAGAAAAAUUUAUGCAGCGUCAGCCCGUUCUCACACCAGGAGGACAAAGAAAACCAGCUCGUUUCAGCUCCCUUCAGGUACCUCUUCGCUCUUCCACUCUCUUUUGCUCUUUCCUUAUAGCACUUUGCUCAUCCAAGUUCCGUUUAUGCUGCAACUUAUAAGGUUUCUUAGUCAUGCUGCAACUUUAGUUUCUUGUUGAUGUUUGCUGCAACUUUAUAAAGUGAAUUUAUAGCUAGUCCUAACUGUGCUGAAGAUAGGGUAAACGGUUAUUUAUGUUUUAAUACACUCUGGGGAGGAUGAAGAGCCUUAACUGUGACUAAAUCAUGAAUCUGACGGAAUCCAACGGGUGACCGGACACCGAAUAUUUAUAAAAAAAAAAACGGUUACUUAUGUUUUAAUUUCUAACUAUCUGUUCUUUUAAUUUCAUUUUUUUGAUUUGGUAAUACAAACUCAGGAAUUCUUAGAACAACACUAGCAGUGUUGUUUAUUGGGUUUGUAGCAUGGGCUUAUCAGGCUAAUCGACCUCCUCCUCCCAAGAUAUGUGGCUCUCCUGAUGGACCGCCUGUAACGACAGCAAGAAUCAAACUAAGAGAUGGGAGGUAUUUGGCAUACAGAGAGCAUGGUGUUCCUAAAGACGCAGCCAAGUAUAAAAUCAUCUUCGUCCAUGGUUUUGGUAGUAGCAGUCAUACUUCUCCAGUUGCAGAAAGCCUAUCACCUGUAAUUAUUUAUGUUACGUUUUUCUGUCUUUCCUAACAUUCUUUAAAAACUUUGUAGUUUUCAUAUCUAUAUCUGUUGUGGUCAUUUCCAGGCUGUUGUUGAGGACUUGGGGAUCUAUAUUGUAUCUUUUGACAGACCUGGUUACGGGGAAAGUGAUCCUGAUCCAAGUCGAACACUAAAGAGUAUUGCAUUUGAUAUAGAAGAGCUUGCUGAUAAGCUGGGACUAGGGUCCAAAUUUUAUGUAACUGGUCUCUCCAUGGGUGGACAGAUUGUUUGGAACUGCCUUAAGUACAUACCUCAUAGGUAUUAUUUACUCCGGUUAUUUGUAGUUCUGUUGACACCAAAUUUGAAGAAAAUAGAUUAUCUGUUAAAUUUCUGUUAGGAUCGGAAAAACCCUAACACCUUCGAAAGUGGAGGUUUCUCUUGGAUCAUAACAAUUUCUCUUUAGUAUUAUUUGCUCUAUUAUGCUUACAUGAUUACAUCUGCUUGCUUUUAUUUCAUACAGUGGUCAACCUCUGUAUUUCUCAGUACUCAAUUUUUACAAUGCUGACAGGCUGGCAGGUGCAGCUCUCUUGACCCCAGUUGUGAACUACUGGUGGCGUGGUCUUCCGGAAAACUUAACUACUGAAGCCUAUUACCAACAAAAACUACGAGACCAAUGGGCACUUCGUGUGGCUCACUACACACCAUGGCUAACUUACUGGUGGAACACUCAAAAAUGGUUCCCAGUCGCUAGUGCAAUUGGUGAUGUUCAAGGUGUCCUUUCAAAUCAAGACAAACUGCUUGUAUCUAAAGUAACUAAGAGAAAGAGUCAUGUGGUAAGUAUCCAGCAUUUAGGUGGUUACAACAUUGUGAAAUUCUUUUGCAUUCAAUACACUGAAUGAUUUAGCCUGAUAUUUUGUAUUGAUAAUCGGUUAAAUUCAUAUGAUUUGAUUUUGAAUUUUGUUGGGGAUUAUUUUGCCCAAGAUAAAAAAUCGCAUCAACUGCUGUGUGGAAUAUAUUGUUUAGAGUUAGACCGUAAUGGAUGAGUAGAUAUCUGCAUUUUUUGAAGUUUAUGUGAACAACUCUCACUAUUUAUUAUUCAUAUAUUUCUGAUUUCUCUGAAAUCAUACUCUAUUGUUGGUUUUUAAUUUUAAGCUGAGUAAAAAGCCGGUUAUAACUAUUGAAGUUAAUAGCAAAAUAUUCUAUCGUUAGUUAUGAAUAUUAAGGAUAUAUAAUAACAUAGAUAGACAGGAAAAUUGAAACUAUGAUCAUUAAUGCAUUUUAUCAAUACCAAUUUAGGAGUAGAUGCAACAUUUGUGGACAAAUAUUAGAUUGGUCUAUGCUAAAAUAAAUUUAAUAGUUUCCUCACCAACAUGCAAAAAUAGAAAACUUUCAAAAAGAUUAUUUGUAGGCUUUAGCAGUUUAGUGCCGACUAAGCUGGCACUAGAUUACUUUGUUCUUCAUUCAUCUCCAUUCAAUUCUAGUAGUAGUGAUUGCUGCUUUGAAAGGGAGCCUUAGCGCAACAGUUAAAAGUUGUUGCCAUGUGAUUGAGGUUAAGGGUUCAACUCAUGGAAACAAUCUCUUGUGUAAAUACAAGGUAAUGUUGCGUACAAUAGACCAUGUGGUUGGACCCUUCCCUGGACCUGCGCAUAGAGGGAGCUUUAAUGUUUAGGACUGCCCUCUUGAAGCAGUGACUGCUGCUUUGACAUGGAUAGCUGGGCAUAGCAUGCAAAUCAAUUAUCGUAAUUAGGGAUUUGGAAAUUCUAAAGUUUUGUGCAUGCUGCAUUCUUGUUGAAACACCACACAAUGGAUAUAGGUUAUCCCACUUAGUGAGAAAAGACCUCUAUUAUUGUUUUGUAUUCUUGUUGAAACAAGACGUUUAUUCUGAUACUUGUGCACUGUUUUAGUUGAUACUUGUUAGUGCUUGGUUAGCAUGUCCUUUUGGUAAUUGAUUUUAAAGCUAUCUGACUAUUGUAAAAGCCACUUUAACUUCUACAAGCACCCUUUUAGUAAUGAAUUUUUGUGAAUUUCUUCUACUGAUGAAUAAAUAUUAUGGUGAGAAUUGGGUUCAUUUGAGACCUGGUUGAUUAAAUUUUUUUUGGAAGGCGACCUGGUUGAUUAAUUGAGCCAUUGAAUUUCUAUUUAGCCUCGUUUUUAAGGAGUGUGCAUAAUAUUCUUCUGCUGUUUUGUCUUCGAUAAAUUUUUUUCCCAUGAUAUCUAAAUAACAUGCCUUGUUUCAGUUAGAAUAUUAACAAGGAUCUCUUUCAGCUCCUCCAAAACAUCAAUUUCUUUUUUCUUAUCUGAAAUUUCAACACAGAUUUAUAAUUUUUUUUUAUGUGGAUUCUGCACUGCAGGUGCAUGCAAGACAGCAAGGUGAAUUCGAAAGCCUCCACCGGGACAUAAAUAUUGGAUUUGGAAGCUGGGAAUAUAGUCCUUUGGAUCUUGAAAACCCUUUUCCAACUAAUGAAGGUUCUGUCCAUCUUUGGCAAGGAGAUGAGGACUUGUUGGUUCCUGUUACAGUGCAACGGCACAUUGCGCAAAACCUACCAUGGAUUCAAUAUCACGAACUUCCAGGUUCCGGUCACUUGUUCUGUCUUGGAGAUGGUAUUAGUGAUACUAUUAUUAAGUCCCUUUUAGGUGUGAAGUAAGCUUCUUUAUUGAUCACUUUCUGCUAUCUCAGAUCAGCUUCGACAUUUAAUAUCUUUGUUUUGGAGAAUUCAAACUGUUGUUGAUCUCGACAUGUAUGAUAAACCCAUUGAAUCACAUUGAGUACAUUUAACUGUACUUAAGAAUUAAAUUUGAGCUUUGCUGUUUUAUUUGUAAAUUUAUUUAACAGAAGAUGCAAAGUUUCUCUAUAGCCUCAUUUUGUUACUCUCAAAAUGACAUGAUGACUGUGAUGAUGGCCAUGUUCGGUUAUCUACGAUAUGAACUUCCUCAAACAUGUAAUUUAUAUGCAGCAAGGAUCAAGUUUUUGUAGGGUUAUAAAUAUGCAUAUUCUUGCUUUGAAUUUUCUCUUUAUGUAAUCAAAACCAUGUGCCCCACUUGGAAACGAAAUGGAAAAAAUGGUGGUUUUUUUAUAGUGAAUAUAUAGAUAUUUUAUUUUGAAGCUUAAUUUAUGUCAUGUUUGUUUUGGCUGUGCUGCUCAUGAUAUCUUUCAUUUGCUUUAUGAAUUCUGCUUCCCACAUCCUUUUCCCAUUUUCUUAAUUGGCAAUACCUUAUGAUUGCAACCAUCUCUUGCAAAACGCCUAUAAUGAAUUUUUAAGUUAGAUUAGUAAAAAAGAAAAAACGAAAAAAGAAAAUGUGUGCUGCACAUUUGGGGCCAGGUCUAUUCUUUGUCAUCAAUUAUAAUCAUCUGCUUAAACAUGUGCCAAAAAAGAACAUUCACAGCACCAUCACUUGAAUCUUAUCAUAUUUACUGCUUUUCUUUCUGUUGACCCCAAAGCAUAGUAAAGAAUUUUGAGAGAACACCACUCUCCCUUUCAUUGAUAUUCGUACCAAAUAUAUACAGAAGAUGAGUCAACUGUUACUCCUAAUAGACUCCUAUCAAAUCCCUAUGAUUAUGCAAAUUACAGCCUAAUACAUUCCUAAAUUAGAUGUACAAUAAUACAAGAACCUCUGACCAGAUUUGACAGCAAUUGUACAGCUAUAACAAUCCCAUAAUUAUCUCACUGCAUAAAUGACAGCAGCUGGACAGUGAUGAGAUAAUUCUAAAUUAUCUCAUUACCGUAAUUAUCUCAUUACCCCCCCUCAAGUUGGCGCAUGCAGAUUAUGAAUGCCCAACUUGGCCAUAAAAGAGGUAAAUUGUGAUCUUCCAAGUGCCUUUGUAAAUAUGUCAGCCAAUUGUGUAUGAGUGGAGACAUGAGUUGGUUGGAUGACCCCUUUAGCAAUCUCAUCUCGCACGAAGUGACAAUCAACUUCAAUGUGCUUCGUGCAUUCAUGAAAAACUGGGUUCUUGGCAAUAUGAAGAGCCGCUUGGCUAUCACAAUAGAUCUGUAUGGGUUGAGGAUGAUCAACACCAAGACAAGACAAAAUGCCCAGAAGCCACUUCAGCUCGCAAGUAGCGGUUGCCAUGGAACGGUACUCAGCUUCAGCUGAUGAGCGAGACACAGUAUGUUGCUUCUUAGUCUUCCAAGAAAUUGGUGACUGCCCCAAAAGCACAAACCAUCCAGUGAGAGACCUUCACGUUAAGGGACAGCCAGCCCAAUCUGAGUCGCACCAACCAUACAACUUUAAAUCACUAUCUUUUUGCAAAAGGAUUCCCUGCCCGGGACUCCCUUUCAGGAAGCGAACUACUCGCAAUGCUGCCUCCCAAUGCUCUUCUCGUGGCUUCUGCAUAAACUGAGAGAGAAUGUGCACACAAUAUGACAGUUCUGGCCGUGUAAAACACAGAUAGAUAAGUCUUCCUACCAAUCGUCGAUACUGGUCGGGGUUGGUAAUGAAACCACCAGUAGCAAGACCCAAGCGAUGAUUCUGUUCCAAAGGUGUGCUUGCUGGUUUUGCUCCAAGGAGUCCAGUUUCAGCAAUUAUAUCCAAUGCAUAUUUCCGUUGGCACAAAAAUAUACCAGUUGAGGAACGAGCUACCUCAACGCCGAGAAAGUACUUGAGAAUUCCCAAAUCCUUCAUAUGAAAGCAGGUGUUCAAAUAGCUCUUAAAUUGAGUGAUGGCUUCAUGAUUGUUCCCAGAGAUAAUAAGGUCAUCCACAUAUACUAGAACCACAAGUUGCAGUUCAGAUUUUUGCAACACGAACAAGGAGUAGUCGUAGAGGGAUUGUGUGAAUCCGUAGCUCUUGAGGGCAGUGGACAGUUUAGAGAACCAACACCGCGGAGCUUGUUUCAAUCCAUAUAAGGAUUUUCUCAGUUUGCACACCUUAUCAGAUUGCUGGACAGCAAAACCCGGUGGCAUUCUCAUGAACACCUCUUCCUGAAGCUCCCCAUGUAGAAAUGCAUUGUGUACAUCCAUUUGGUGAAGCUCCCAAUUUUUUGUUGCUGCAACAGCUAAUACUGUCCGAACUGUCACCAUUUUUGCAACAGGAGCGAAGGUAUCUGUGUAGUCUAUUCCUUCGACUUGAUGAUUUCCAAGAAUCACUAGCCGAGCUUUAAAUCUCUCCACUGUUCCAUCUGAUUUGUGCUUUAUCUUAUAGACCCACUUGCAACCAAGUGCUUUCUUUCCUAUGGGUAAGGAUGUCACUGUCCAAGUCCCAUUGGUUUCGAGAGCUUGGAUUUCACUACGCAUGGCUUCUCUCCAUCGACUAUCUUUUACAGCUUCAGCAUAGGUAUUGGGCUCUUGAUCUUGCAUGAUUGCUGCAAGAAAGGCACGAUGUGCAAAAUUGAAUCUGUUACAAUUUACAUAGUGUGUUAUAGAAUAAGGCGCACCUGAGGGAUGUGUUGGAGAGGAUGAACUUGAGAAUGGGCUCAACUUCUGGAUGGUGUUAGUUACAUAGUCACGCAGCCGUGUGGAAGGCAUUUUUAUUCUAUGUCCUCGCCCCAACGAACAAGACUGAUUGGGCACAACAUCUACUGCCGCGUGAGAGGUUCCAUUGCAUCCAUCACUUGGAUCUGUUGUGUUUGCAUCAAUUUCACCCCCCUGACUUCCACAUUUGGUUCAAUGUCUAAGGUGCUGUCCAAAACAUCUACACAGUCCUCAAGAUCCUCAACCAGUGCCUCAUUGUGCGAUGGUUUCUCUUGUGUAGGACCAUCAUUUUCAAAAGGAUAUUCUGACUCACAAAACUCAACAUCUCGUGAAACAAAAAAUUCCUUGGUUUCCAAAUCAAACAAUUUCCAACCCUUAUUACCAUAUGGGUAUCCAACAAACAAACACUUUCUACUCCUGCUAGCAAAUUUAUCUCCUUUCCUUCCUUGGUUAUGAGCAUAGCACAAUGAUCCAAACACCCUCAAGUGUUCCAAUUGAGGUGCUUGUUUGUGCAACACUUCAUACUGAGUUUUUCCUUCUAACAUAACAGAUGGUGUCCGGUUGAUCACAUAACCUGCAGUCAAUACACACUCACCCCAAAAAUCAAUAGGAAGAUUACUUUGAAAACGCAGUGCUCGUGCCACAUUCAAAAUAUGGCGAUGUUUUCUUUCAACCCUCCCAUUUUGUUGGGGUGUGCCCGUGCAGGAUGUUUGAAAAAUAAUUCCAUGAUCGAGAAAAUAUUUCUUCAUGCAAAUGAAUUCUGUUCCAUUGUCACUUCUAAAUGUCUUGACAUGUGUGUUAUAUUGCCUCUCUACCAAAGCAAAAAAAUUUAGUAGUGUUUGUGGAACUUCCCUUUUAUCAACAAGUGAAUAAAUCCAAACAGCGCGUGAGAAAUCAUCCACUAUUGUUAAGAAAUAAAAGGCACCACAUGAAGAAGGUGUUCUAUAUGGUCCCCACAAAUCACAAUGGAUUAAUUCAAAAGCUCCUGUGGCUCUGUGAUCACUCAAUGGAAACUUCUGUCUAGUUUGUUUGGCUCUAAGACAUACAUCACAAGCCUUAUUUGACAGCUCACAAUUCUUAAUUUUACUGACACUAGGAACUAGUUGCAUGAUUUUCCAAGAUGGAUGUCCCAAACGUCUAUGCCACAGUUCUGCGUGGUUCACCCCAUUAGUCUUGAAGGCCUUCACUCCUUGAAUUCCACGAAAGUAAUAAAGCCCAUUCCUUCGUUCACCCGCACCAAUCAGCAUCCUCGAAAUGCGGUCGUGCAUAACACACAAUUUUUUAGUAAUCAACAAGUUACAAUCUGUGUCGUCCACUAAUUGCGAUACUGAUAUCAAAUUGCAAUUCAGCUUGGGAGCAUAGAGAACAUGUGAGAGUUUUAAACCCCCAUCCAGCACCACGGUUCCUUCUCUGGUUGCAACAGUGUGCUUUCCGUCGGGAAGUCCUACGGGGCAAUCUUGAAUGUCAUGUAACUCACACAUGCUCUUCAAAUCCCCUGUCAUUAGAUGCUCCAGUGUCAAUUAUCCAUGGGUUGAUAUAAUGCUUACCUGUCAUCUUCUCACCGGUGUUUGCCUUUUGAGAAUUCAACAAUUCUACCAAUGUCUGCCAUUGUUCAGUGGUCAAUCCAGUAAUCCCAACUUUAUCUGCCUCUGUGAAGGAUGCACUUGCACUCCCUGCUGCACUAGUUACUGCAGCAUUAGCACGAACUGCUCCUCCUCUACCGCGUCCUAGUCCCAUCCGUUGAUCUGUCUUGGCUCGCGCAUCACCUUUUCCUCCAUUUUUUGGUCUGUCUCCCCACCAUUCAGGAUAUCCAAUCAACUGGAAACAGUUUGCAGCUUCAUGACCUGUUCUGUUGCAAACUUUGCAAGUCACAUUCUUGUCCUUUGUCUCUCCACGUCCUUUUCCUCUGUUGCUUGAUUGAACAGCCAGUCCCACGACCUCUCCUCUUUCUUCCUUGGCCCGAGUGAUUGUUCUCACCCUUUCUUCUUGUAUUAGAACUGAAUAUACCCUAUUCAGAGAAGGCAAUGGAUCUGUCGCCAAGAGAUUGGAACGCACAGUUCCAUAAGUUGCAUCAUCCAAACCCAUGAGAAACUGAUGCACCUUUUCAUCCUCCCUGCGUUUCUCCAACUUAGAUUUGAUAUUGCACUUGCAUCCUUUGCAUGUACAAAUCAGAAUCUGGUCAUAGUUGGCUAACUCGUCCCACAACAUCUUCAGUUUUCCAUAAUAGGCUACCAUUGACAUUCCUUCUUGCUUACAACUUGCCAAAUCAGAUUUCAGCUGCUGUAUUCUUGGACCAUUGAUGACUGCGAAUCGUUCCUUGAUGUCUUCCCAGAGAUCCUUAGCAUGUUCGCUAUAAGUCAUUGUAGAACGCAAGCUUGGUUCUACGGUGUUCAGGAUCCACGAUACCAACAUGGACUGAACUGUCCACCAGUCCUCCAGAUCUAUUGAUCCUUCCUCUGGUUGCUCUAUUGUUCCAUCUACAAAUCCCCAUUUUCUUCGAGCACGCAACGAAGUUCUCAUCGAACGUGCCCAUUCGUCAUAGUUUUCUCCACGAAGCUUCACCUGGGUGAUUAUGUUUCCAGGAUUAUCACUGGCGUUGAGAUCAUAUGGUGAGGGAAUUCUCUUCCCUUGGUCGACAGGUUGUUUGACACUUCCUGCCGCCUUUGGAUCUUCUUUUUCAGGCCCUGAGUUUUCUUGCUCUGAUGCCAUAAAGAAUUUUGAGAGAACACCACUCUCCCUUUCAUUGAUAUUCGUACCAAAUAUAUACAGAAGAUGAGUCAACUGUUACUCCUAAUAGACUCUUAUCAAAUCCCUAUGAUUAUGCAAAUUAUAGCCUAAUACAUUCCUAAAUUAGAUGUACAAUAAUACAAGAACCUCUGACCAGAUUUGACAGCAAUUGUACAGCUAUAACAAUCCCAUAAUUAUCUCACUGCAUAAAUGACAGCAGCUGGACAGUGAUGAGAUAAUUCUAAAUUAUCUCAUUACCGUAAUUAUCUCAUUACAUAGUUAGCUAAGUAGUGAGAGGUGAGAUAUUUGGAUGUGGGAGGUUUAUGCUGCAUAGUUAGCUAGAAUUCAUCUAUAAAUAGGGGAUGCGAUCAUUUGUGACAACAAUAACUCAAACCAUCAAUACACAAUAAAUUUUUAGCAUAUCUACGUUUACUCUGCUUUCCUUUGCUUUAUGCCUUUCAUUUCUGUUUCAACUUUAAAGUUCUUUUAUUCAUUUUCCUUUAGCAGUUUGCUUUACUUUCCUAGCCUUUUACCUUUUACCUUUUACCUUUUACCUUAGUUGUUUUUCUUCUCAGUUCACUUCCUACUUCUCAAUAGUGGCUAAUUAAGAGUUCUUUGGAAUAUCUUAAAAAUUUUCAUUAAGGAACAAAAUCUCUUCUUUAAACAACUAAUUAGGGAAUUAACCUAGUUAGUUAUUUGACCGAUCCACAUUAGCCAAAUUCCCUAUAAUAUUUAUUCAAACCAACACUUUCUUUGAUAUUGUUGAUUGCUGUUUUUUUUAUAAUUUUUUUAUAGGCAAAUGUUAGUUGUUAAUAAUAUUAGUAAAUUAUAUCUUUCACCAGGUUUGAACCCUGACCCGAACACCCUUCAUUCCCUCAUCCAUACCACUAAUGUUAAUUGACAAUUUUGAAACUCUGAUUUGUAUGUAGCUCAAGUCCCAGAGACUUAAGUUUACGGAGAAAAAUGAAAAAAAUAGUAUAUUAAAAUUUUAAUUUCUGGCACCUAUUUUGAGAUUCAAACCCGAUAAACAAUUAAAUCAAGGAUAUUCUUGGAAAUUACUAUAUGUGAGUGGAUGGUGGAUUUGGGUUGGGGGGUGGUGUUUUUAACAUCCCUUCCAAAGUUUGACUUGAUUGGAGAAGAAAAUAAUUGAGGACAUUUGACCAGCAAAGAAUCAAACGGGGGUAUCUACAAAAUAGUCUUCGCUCCACAAUACUCUCUAUCUGAUCCAUUUUGUAGAUCUGACUUCGUGGGGUGCAUCUGAAACAAAACUUCCUCGAUAUCCUCCAUAGUAAACGGAGCCGACAAAAGAGUAGAGUGACAAGCUAUCACUCUGUUCGCAACCAAUGAUACUACCUCAUCGAUCCCAGAAGUAAAGGUAGAAAAAAAUUCAUAAAAUAGCUCGAAAGAACACGAGGGAUAUCCAUAUCCUGCACAAACUCACGCCCUGCUCAUCCUUGAUCAUGCCUAUCAUAUUCCGCUUCCUCUUUCGAGAUACUUUUUGGUAGAAAAAUCUAGUGUUCUUAUCUCCAUGGCGCAACCAUGUAGCUCUUGACCUCUGACUCCAACCCACCUCCUCUUGCUCAAGAAGCUGAUUAAGCUCUCUCCCUCUCUCUCUCUCUCUCUGUAUCUUGGACAACUGAUAAAACCUGCUUAGACUACACCUGCCUCUGAUGAUUGUGAAGAAGAACCCUUGCAUCAGAGAACUUCUUUCAAAUUCCCAAAUUGUUGUUGUCCCCAGCUGAGCAACGCUGCACCAAGCUAAUCAAUUUUAGCAAUGACACUCGACCUAGACCCACACCAAGAGUCGACAAUGAUCUUUGCACAAGCCUCCCCUUCCUAGAGCCACAAUUCCUCAAACAGAAACAUUCUCUAACGCCUCGUCUCUGUCCUCAAACGGUUAGACCCACAAUUAAAGCAAAAUAGGAUUGUGGUCAAAGCGAUACCUGGGCAAGUGAGCAACCAAGGAUACCAACCACAAAACAUCCCACACAUCAUUAACCAGUACGUAGCCCAAACUCAUCAAUCAUCGCAGAGGCUUUUCGCUUAUUUGACCAAGUAAACAUGUAGCCCAAGUCAACAUCAUCAAGACCAUGGGUGCCUUGAGAAUUCAGUUUAUGAAACCAAGGGUAUUCUUGGAAAUUACUAUGUGUAAGUGGGUGGUGGGAUUCUCCAAGCAAAGCAACAAAACGAGGACGUUUGACCGUGAUAUUCAAAUUAAACAAAAGAAUCAAUUGUUGGAGUCUCUACACAGCACUGUCUUCACAGUUCUCUCACUCUGAUCCAUUUCUUAGACCUCUCUUUGAUUUGUGAGUCUCGCUAUGGCCACCGGAGUCAGCAGAAAAAUUUCUGCAGCAUCAGCCCGUUCUCACACCAGGAGGACAAAGAAAACCAGCUCGUUUCAGCUCCCUUCAGGUGAGUCAUGCUGCAACUUUAGAAAUGAGGUUACAAUCCAAAACAAGGAAACUUCGUAAAAAUCGAUGGAAUUUAUUAGUUGUUGUUAGAAAAAUUAUACAAAACCAUCAGAGCCUUUUACCCAACAGCUUAAGCUUUUGGGUAAUUGGUUCGUGACGUGGUAUCAGAGACUCUAUGACUGUUCGUGACGUGGUAUCGGACUGUGGUAUGAGUCAGGGUUGUUAAUGGCGGAUAGCGUAGUGUAGUGGCAAGCCAAAAAAACGCUAUUUUGAGGGCUAUUGCGGCUCUAUAGUGGCAAAUAGCGGUGAAUAGUGGAAUAACGGUGAACCCCUAGGGACGCUAUAGGCUAUGGCGCCGCUAUAGCGCGCUAUUAACAAGCCUGGUCCGAGCAGUUAAGGAUUGAGUUGUAUUAGCCGUUAGUUUGUUAAUAUAGAGAGCCAGCUGCUAUAGGAAGUUACAAGCUCGGGUAGUUAGUAGCAGAUCAGUUACUUUCCUAUAAGUAGGGGGAAUUCUGGGAAUAGAAUCUGGUGGGAGAGACCUGGCCUCAAUAACAGUGUUCUUCAAUAAGAGAAGUUUAUUCUCUCAUUUCUGUGUCUGUUCAUCUCUUACCUUCUCCCGGAUCCUGUUUCUAUCAGUCAGUUGGUUAAUUUGUUAGUUAGUUAGCAAAGCCAGUUUGCUUCCAUUACACGAGAUCCUACUCUAUAUAAACGAAACACCCCGCUCCUUAUUCACCGAUGAUAUUAUAUUAGAUCCAAUUUUCCUAUGCUAAAUUUCUAGUUGAUGGUAUGGUAUCCUAGCUCCAUCUUUGUUGCCUACUCAACUCAUGUCCCCAAGAAACUCCAAUCAACUAGUUUUGAGUGUCUCAGUCUUAUACUCAAUCCAUCGCGGAGUCCAACUUCCCCGUGCUAUCUCUAUCCUUGAGAAAAUCUACCUGUUGUAUUGGUUAGUCCCCCUCUCUCAGUUGAGAACUGUCAUGCAGGGAAAGAUCCAUGAAGAGAGAACUGAUUUCUAUGAAAUUCCAAUUUAUGGAUAGUAGGCAUUUGGUUCGUGAUAGAUUUGAUCCUAGUAUCGAUGCUUGGGAAAUGUGUAACAAUCUAGUUCAUUCACGACUAAUGUGGUUGCUCAAAGUUUACUCUAUAUAGAUAUAUCUUCUAAAGUGUGGAAUGAUUUAAGUGAAGGAUUUUCCCAAGGUGAUUUGGAUAGAGUUGCGGAAUUACAGCAAGAGUUGUAUAGUUUCAAGUAGAACUCUUUGUCAGUUACAAACUACAUUACUAAGCUCAAAACCCUCUAGGAAGAAUUGGAACAAUACAGGUCAACUCUUCCAUGUGUCUGUUCUGUUAAGUGUGGCUGAUUCUUGAUGGGAUUAACUGAGUAAUUUAGCGUUUUUGAUCUCAAGUAUUACUUAAGGAUCCUUUGCCUCCUUUAUAUCGUAUCUUUUCAAUGGUUAUACAACAUCAGAGGAAGCGUGAAGUGUGAACUUGUACCUGAAGAAGAUUCACAAGCUAUGAUCAAUGCAACUGAAGGAAGAAACUCAUAUGGCAGAAGGGAAGUCCUGCUGUUCUGGAGAGCGUGGCUUGGACUUGGAUAUGAAAAGCUAUAUAAUAUGAAAACAAUGUAGAUUGUGAAGGUUAUCAAAAAUGUCUCUCAUAUUUGUUCGGUAGUAUUAUUUAUUAGUAUUUUAUUUUGUUUUUCUUCGAUGGAUGGCGCUUAUGAUUUUUUCUGAAUUAUUUGUGUUGUGUGGGCAUUUUCUUUUGGGAAAAUCCUUAAGUAAAAACCAUUUUCUAAUGCUGCAUAGCUAAGGAUGUCUCUCUCAUUGGUAUGUGUAUAGACUCUCCUCGGCAAUUAAUCUCCUUGUCAUUUCAGUGUACUGCAGUUAAUCUCCUUCCCUUUGGUAUUGCAAAUGUUUCUUCUAUCUAUAUCAUUUUGAAUAACUUUUGAACGUUGGAGACCGAAACCCCCAACCCGUGAAGGGUCGACCCGGGUUUUACUUUUUUCUGGCUCACCUAAAAGUGAGCCGGGUUGACUUGACCCUUUCACCUCCAACCUGUGGUGAGCUGGAUCGGCCCACUUUGAUAACUCCACUACCUUACAUAGAAUUUUUCAAUUACAUCGGCACAUCCAUCAACUUAAUAUUAAUAAUGCCAUUUUACACGGGGAUCUUGAAGAGGAUGUCUACUGGGUGAUUCCCCCAGGAGUUUCUUGUGAUGCUCCCAAUAAGACUUGCAAGCUGCUUAAGUCAUUAUAUGGACUCAAACAAGCUAGCUGUAAGUGGUACCAGAAGCUCUCCUCUCUCUUACUUCAAUGUGGAUACCUCCAAGCUCUCUUAGAUUAUUCUUUAUUUGGUAAAGUGGCUUCUGGAAGUUUUACAGAUCUCGCCAUCUAUGUGGAUGAUAUCAUCCUUGUUGGAAAAUCAUGACAUGAGCUGCAAUCAAUCAAAUCUACUCUUCAUGUGCAGUUUGGCAUCAAGGAUCUUGGAGUUCCUAGUAUUCUUGGGCCUCGAGGCUGCCACACAACUCAGCCAGCUCCUUCAUUGUCCAACGAGAACUCAUUUCAAAGCUCCCCAGCAUGUUCUUCACUACUUGAAGGGUGGACACAGCGGGGGGCCCUUCCCCCACUCUUUGUAAAGUGUAGGACAAUUCUCACCUCUGAGCUAGCUUUUGGGGUAGAGUUAGCUCAAAUUCAAAGAUGAUAUUAGAGUCAAUCCUAGAUCCCUUGUUGGGGCCAUCCCUGAUGGGCCACUUGUUGAAGUUUAAAUUUCAAUAAUCCACUUGACCCGCAACUGUCAAAAAAAUCAAAUGAAUUCAAUCUGGCCCAUGAGCUAUUUCAGGAGAAUUUAUGUAAUUUAAUCUAGCCCCAUAGAUACCCCUUGAUGGAGAUGAUGGCAUUUUGAUAAAAAUAUGACGCUAGUGAUCUCCGCGCUCCACAUGUCCAACACUGGGCGUGGGGGGUGAGUUAAGACCCCGCAUUGACUAGAAAUACAGCUGAAGAAGUCCUUAUAAAAGGUAGGACAAUACUCACCCCUGACCUGAGCUAGCUUUUGAGGUAGAGUUUGGCCGAACCCGAAUUCUAAAAGUGGGUCUUCUUCUUUGGUGACUUUCUUAUAUAUUUGCUUUCCAAAAAGUAACAAACAGUAGCCAAAUUAUGUUAUGAAGGGGAGUAUCCUGCAUUGGCAGCAGCUACCAGUGAGCUCCUGUGGCUGUCAUAAAUCUUGCCAGAUCUUUCUGUCAUUUGUGCUAAGUAGACUGUUCUUUAUUGCGACAACCGCAAUGCACUCCUUAUCACGGUCAUCACCGUUUGUCAUGAGAGAACUAAGGGCCUUGACAUAUAUUACCAUACAGUUAUGUAAAAAUCCUUGUUACCAACAAAAUUUCAGCAUCUUUUUUCCAAGAUGGGGUUGGUGGAUAUCUACCCCCUCUAUCUUGUGGGGGCUGUUAUCAAGUUAGUCGUAAUGUUGGUUCAAUCAGUUAGUAUGUUAAUUCAGUCAUGUAGGUUGUUCAUUAGUUAGCCAAGCGGCUUCAGUUACACAAGACCCUACUCUAUAUAAAGAAAACACCCUGCUCCUUAUUCAGUAAAUGAAAUCCGAUCUGAUUUUCCUAUGUUUAGUUCCUUGUUGACGUUUGCUGGAAACAAACCUAGACCUUUUAAGUAAUUUCUUCGGUUCAUACCAACUGAAACCAACCCUAGUGGGCCUUAAUAUGAGGUUUAUAGCUAGUCCUACCUGUGCUGAGAAUAGGGUAAUCAGUAACUUGUUUUUUGAUAUUUUUGUGAUUGACUUGGACACUGCAAAUGGUUAUUUAUGUUUUAAUUUCUAAUUAUCUGCUUUUUUUUUUUUUUGAUUUGCUAAUACAAACUCAGGAAUUCUUAGAACAACACUAGCAGUGUUGUUUAUUGGGUUUCUAGCAUGGGCUUAUCAGGCUAUUCGACCUCCUCCUCCCAAGAUAUGUGGCUCUCCUGAUGGACCGCCUGUAACAGCACCAAGAAUCAAACUAAGAGAUGGAAGGCAUUUGGCUUACAAAGAGCAUGGCGUUCCUAAAGACACAGCCAAGUAUAAAAUCAUCUUCGUCCAUGGUUUGGGUAGUAGCAUACAUGCUUCACCAGUUGCUGAAACCCUAUCACCUGUAAUUAUUUAUGUUAUGUUUUUCUGUCUUUCAUAGAAUUCUUUGAUAUCUUUUUAGUUUUUAAUAUCUAUAUCUGUUGUCGGCAUUUCCAGCAUGUUGCUGAGGACUUGGGGAUCUAUAUUGUAUCUUUUGACAGACCUGGUUAUGGGGAAAGUGAUCCUGAUCCAAAUCGUACACCAAAGAGCAUUGCAUUUGAUAUAGAAGAUCUUGCUGAUAAGCUGGAGUUAGGGUCCAAAUUCUAUUUAACUGGUCUCUCCAUGGGUGGACAGAUUGUUUGGAGCUGCCUUAAGUACAUACCUCAUAGGUAUUAUUUAUUCCGGUUAUUUGUAGUUCUGUUGACACUAAAUUUGAAGAAAAUAGAUUAUCAGUUCUAUUUUUCUAUUGUAUUAUUUGCUCUUUUAUGCUUACAUGAUUACAUCUGCUUGCUUUUAUUUCAUAGUGGUCAACCCUCUGUAUUUUUCAGUACUCAAUUUUUACAAUGCUGACAGGCUGGCAGGUGCAGCUCUCUUGACCCCUGCUGUGAACUACUGGUGGCGUGGUCUUCCAGGAAACUUAACUACUGAAGCCUAUUACCAACUAAGACUACGAGACCAAUGGGGAUAUCGUGUGGCUCACUACACACCAUGGCUAACUUACUGGUGGAACACUCAAAAAUGGUUCCCAGUCCUCAGUGCAAUUGGUGAUGUUCAAAGUGUCCUUUCACAUCAAGACAAACUGCUUGUAUCUAAGAUAACUAAGAGAGAGAUUUAUGUGGUAAGUAUCCAGCAUUUAGGUGGUUACAAGAUUGUGAAAUUCUUUUGAAUUCAAUACACUGAAUGAUUUAGCUGAUAUUUUGUAUUGAUAAUUGGUAAAAUUCGCAUGAUUUGAUUUUGAAUUUUGUUAGUGAUUAAUUUGCCAAAGAUAAAAAACCGCGUCAACUGCUUUGUGGAAUAUAUUGUUUAGAGUAAGACCGUAAUGAAUGUGUAGAUGUAUGCACUUUUUGAAGUUUAUGUGAACAAGUCUCACUACUUAUUGUCAUAUAUUUCUGAUUUCUCUGAAAUCAUACUCAUUUGUUGUUUUUUAUUUUAAGCUGAGUAAAAAGCCAGUCUUAACUUUUGAAGUUAAUAGCGAAAUAGUCUAUUGUUAUUUAUGAAUAUUAAAGAUAUAUAAUAACAAACAUAGAAUAGACAGGAAUGUUGAAACUAUGAUCAUUAAUGCAUUAUAUCAAUACCAAUUUAGGAGUAGAUGCCACAUUUGUGGACAAAUAUUAGAUUGUUCUAUGCUAAAAUAAAUUUAGUAGUUUCCUCACCAACAUGCAAAAAUAAAAACAUUUCAAAAAGAUUAUCUGUAGUCUUAAGCAGUUUAUUGCUGAUUAAAUCGGCACUAGAUUACUUUGUUCUUCAUUCAUCUCCAUUCAAUUCAAGUAGUAGUGAUUGCUGCUUUGAAGGGGAGCCUUGGCGCAACAGUUAAAAGUUGUUGCCAUGUGAUUGAGGUUAAGGGUUCAACUCAUGGAAACAGCCUCUUGUGUAAAUACAAGGUAAGGUUGUGUACAAUAGACCAUGUGAUCGGACCCGUCCCUGGAACCUACGCAUAAGUGGGAACUUUAAUGUACCGGACUGCCCUCUUUGAAGUAGUGAGUGCUGCUUUGUUUCAGUUUCAGUUAUAAUAUUGACAAGGAACUCUUUUACCUCCUAUUAAACAUCAAUUUCUUAUCUCAAAUUUCGACAGAAAUUUACUAAUUUUUGUAAGUGGAUUCCGCAGGCGUAUGCAAAACAGCAAGGUGAAUUCGAAAGCCUCCACCGGGACAUAAAUAUUGGAUUUGGAAGCUGGGAAUAUAGUCCUUUGGAUCUUGAAAACCCAUUUCCAACCAAUGAAGGUUCUGUCCAUCUUUGGCAAGGAGAUGAGGAUUUGUUGGUCCCUGUUACACUGCAACGACACAUUGCGCAAAACCUACCAUGGAUUCAAUAUCACGAACUUCCAGGUUCCGGUCACAUGUUCUGUCUUGGUGAUGGUACAAGUGAUAUUAUUAUUAAGUCUCUUUUAGGUGUGAAGUAAGCUUUAUUGAUCACUUUCUGCUAUCUCAUAUCAGCUUCGACAUUUAAUAUCUUUAUUUUGGAGAAUUCAAAUUGUUGUCGAUCUCGACAUGUAUGAUAAACCCAUUGAAUCACAUUGAGUACAUUUAACUGUACUUAAGAAUUAAAUUUGAGCUUUGCUGUUUUAUUUGCAAAUUUAUUUAACAGAAGUAGCAAAGUUUCUCUAUAGCCUCAUUUUGUUACUCUCAAAAUGACAUGAUGAGUGUGAUGAUGGCCAUGUUCGGUUAUCUACGAUAUGAACUUCCUCAAACAUGCACUCCCUCCGUUCAUUUUGUUUUAGCAUAAAACUCUCUAACAAGAUAGUUGAUUGAUAGAGUUUUUUCUCAUUCUACCCUCUCACAUCUCAAUCAUAAAGUCAUAAAGCUCUCCAACCAAGAUAGUGGAUGGUUAGUUUUUUUUCCCACUCUCAUAUCAUUGAAGUAAUUGGAAUGAGAGUUAUUGAGAAAGGAGAAUUUUAUGGAAAAUGUAAAGUGGAGUUAUUGAAAAAGAGUAUAAUUAACAAAUUGUAACCUUAAAAUACCAAAAUUGACAGUUAAAUAGGAAUAAAAAAAUCUUCUAAAACGACAUUAAGAAAGGAAUGAAGGGAGUAAUUUGUAUGCGGCAUGCAAGGAUAAAUAUUUUGAAGGGUUAUUUUUUUUAGUUACAAAAAUGGUAGAACGGAGAAAAAGCACCUUCAGACUAUAGGCAAGCAGAAGCCCACUCCUAAAAGGAGCGCCGAGGAUUUCCCCGAGGAUUGUAGGGUUAUAAAUAUGCAUAUUCGUGCUUUGGAUUUUCUCUAUGUAAUCAAAACCAUGUGCCCCACUUGGAAACGAAAUGGAAAAAGUGGUGGUGUUUUGUAGUAAAUUUAUAGAUAUUUUACAAUAAUUAUUUAUUCACACCUCAAAAUGAGGUGGAAUGAGGUGGAGGAAGAGAGAGAUAGAAAGAAAAGAAAAAGUAAGAGUGAGAAAGUAUAAGAUGUGAUAGAUAAUAAGAGGAGAGAGAUAGAAAUAAAAAUAGGUGGAAAUGAAGUUGUUUACGGUGGUUUUUAGUAAACAAAUAUCCUCUUAGUUCGACUAAAGGAAGUUUAGAUUCAGGGUCCUUUUGAGAAAACGUUUUGCCAAAGUGUUGUGUGUGAGUUGAUAUUUUUCGACAACGAUGAACAAUUCAAAAGAAACUGGAUUUUAUUAAACACGGAUCAAUUACAUGAAGAUCAAAGUGUAACAAAGCAAAAUGAAAACUGCAAGAAACGUAAAUUUCAACAGGAAACUAAACGACAGGACUGGUAAAUGACAAGCUUAAAUGCAAGAAAGAUAAACAGCUGGUUCUGCAACGUACUCCUCCAUCAUCACGUCUUGCUCCUUGAGUCUCAUUGAUGCGGACAUUAGAGCUUUUUAGUGAGUUUUUCAUAGUUGAGUUGGGAACCCCUUUUUUUACUUGAAUUCUCCUAUUUAUAGAGCUCCAUGUCCCGCUUGUUCUUAGCGAUUUUCUUCUUCUUGGAUGGGUUAGUGGGUCUGAUUUUAUCUUCCCACGAUCUGAUGCUGGCUCUGGAAGUUCUUUGCGUAGUAGUGGAGAUCGUGUGCCUCAACUGCUUCAACCACUUCUUGGCCACAUACUCAGCCAUCGUGGUGAGAAACCGACUCGGUCAAUGCUGCACAUGUUAAAUGUGCCCGUGUUUAUAGCAACGGUUCCCUUUGUCGAAUUCGACUGCCUCUUUAUCUUAGCGCAUUUUUCCUUUCCUUUCUUUAGUCCAUGUUCGACUGCCUUGUGCGCUUUGGGCCGAAUGUCUUUGGGCCAAAAUAUUGGGCCAACAGAAGUGUAUAAAAAAAUAGGUGUGUAUAUAUUAUUACCCGAUAUUUUAUUAUGAAGCUUAGAAAUGUCAUGUUUGUUUUGGCUGUGCUGCUCAUGAUAUCUUUCACUUGCUUUCUGUAUUCUGCCUCCCACAUCCUUUUCCCAUUUUCUUAGUUUGCAAAACCUUUAUGAUUGCAACCAUCUCUUGCAAAAACGCCUAUAAUGACUUUUUAAAGUUAGAUUAUUAAAAAAUAAAAAAAUAUAAAAAAAGAAGUGCGGCACAUUAGGGGCCAGGUCUAUUCUUUGUCAUCAAUCAUCAUCUGCUUAAACACGAUCAGAACAUUCAAAGCACCAUCACUUGAAUCUUAUCAUGUUUACUGCUUUUCUUUCUGUUGACCCCAAAGCAUUUGAACGACUCAGCUGAACUUUGGUUAGCUGAAGAAGUUAUAGCCGUCAGCCGAUUUGAGAGCAAUGGUUUUGACAGCGAAAUAGCCGUAGUAGAAGAAAGCUUUGCACACAAUUGAACAAGUAUCAUUAUGAAAACUUAGGAUAAGGAUUAUCAUGAAUCCUUAGGUUUUUAUGAAUAGAAAUCAAAAUUGUUCUAUAAUGAUACUAUUUUUUAGUAUCAAAGCAACACUUUCUUUGAACCAUCACUUUCUUUGAUAUUACUAUUAUUGUUAUUCUUGGGAGAGUGGAAGGGAUUGAUUGUUGCUUUAGGUUCUCAAAGCAAGCUAAUGUGAACUAACUGCACUCCAUUCUUCAUUUAUAGUAGUAGUACAAUGGUAAUAACACAGUGGGAGAAGGGGUGGGAUUUUGAAAAAACUCAAAACAAAGAAAGAAGAAAGAAAACUUAAACCCCAAGAUAUAACUCAAACUCUGAGAGGAAAUGCAGAAGAGGACUAUCUUUUUUAGUGAUCUACCUACCUAGCUUGUUUGGGAUCAAAUUUCCUUCUCAUGGUUCCAAUCUGCUUAGAACUCAAUCCAAAAGCCUUUUGCAAAAGCUCCUCAUCAAUCCCGGAACCAAACACAGCAGAAGGUAUCUUCUGCAUACCAGGAUUCUGGCUAUUGAAACUUCCAAACAGCGUUGCAGGCUCAUCACCAACAUUCAUCAGAAAAUGCAUAAGCCCUCUGGGAAACACCAUAACCUCGCCUCGUUCGAGCAUUCUAUCAAACACCCUGUUGCUGGAAUCCACAAAACCUGCAUACACCUUCCCCUGCACCACAUGAACAAGUUCCGUGGCUCUUGGGUGAAAAUGCGGCGAGUUGAUGCCUCCAACUUCAAUAUCUGCUCUUGUGAACGACAUGCCAAGAGUGUUGAGACCUGGGAAAUUGGUGGGAGUUGCGGAUACCACAGCGAGUCCUAUGUCUGAGAAGUUCCCCGCGGCUUUCAUGCCGGAGAAGACAAAGUCAUCGGUGGGGGCCCAAGGGAGAAUGGUGUGGUGAGGAGUUUUUAUGGAGGCAAAAGUUGGGUUUGGUAUGCAGAAGUCUUGAACUGGAUCAGGGUCUGAGGCCAAUGUGAUUGUUACUUUGAGGGAGAGAAUAGCAAGGAAAAGCCAAAGGGUCUUUCUUGAGUACAUUUUUCUCUUGUCUUGCUUUCUUCCUUUUUGGGUGAGGGGCAACUUGUUUGUUGAAUGUGAGUUGAGUAGGCUUAUAUAGAAGUCAGAAUUGCUAUUUGGCUAUUGGUUUCAUGUGGUACUUGGUUCUCCUAGUAAAAGGUACCGCGUUCGAGUAUUGUCUAUGAAAAAACUCAUAGAGAGCUAAUCCCACGAUAAUGUGAAUAUGCAGCUCGUAUAUGAUUCCUUUAUGUGGAGGAUAUAACUGUGUUAGGUAAAAAAUUAUUGAAAUCAGAAUAAAAAAAAGAUUUAUAGCUAUUAUACAAACUUUCAGAAGGUAUCUUACAAGUUACAAGUUUGAAAUUAACUACAUCAGGCCAUUGAAAUGAUUACAUGGUGGUAUAAGAUACAAAAGCUUUAUUACAGGAUCUAAGGCACAUGUUCUGUAUAAUUAAUGUUUCUAAACCAAAAUUCUAGCAAAUACAGUCCUACUCAUGGUCAACUCUUAUAACAAGUACACUGUUUACCAUAUUAUGAUGAAAAGAAACCUUAUUUAGAUGAGCUAACAGUGAUUAAAUCAUAAGCUAUUCCACGCCUUGUAUAAAGCGGCGCUGACAAGAACCAUGAUUAAAAUGAUUAAUUAAGAAUCUGUGUUUCUUUAUUUAACAGGCAAUAUAUACACCCUGCUUGCACCACCACUAGCAUUAAGAUGUGUUGCCAAAUGCUGGUUCUUUAGAAAACCAUUCAUUUCAUAUGCUAUGCUCAUGCCAUACACUCAUCGAUUAUAUUGGGCUGUUUCCCAUUGCUUUGCUUGUUUCUGAAGCAAAGCAUGCGAUAGAGUUGGAAAAAUCAGAAAUGAUGAAUUUUAAUCCACGCAUUGGUGUGACGUGAUUAUAUGUCAGCAAUAGGCCAGAAAAUGAAAAACAAGGAUAAAAGGAAAAUGCUAUAAAAUAAUUGAGGAUAGGCCAGUGAGAAUAACGGUCUUUAUGUGCAUUCCAUACCUUUAUUAUUGUCUCUGGUGGAUGGUUCGGAAAUCCGAUUAUGACUUUGUUUGCCGAAAGGCCAGUGUACUGUGUAACUGAUUGAUAUACAAAACAAAAAUGCAAGUAUUCUUCCUCUUAUAAGUAGUGUUGGCUUUAAUACUAACUAGGAAAAAAUAGACGCAUCGUCGCAGCUAUCAUUAAAUGGUCUGAAGCUAAUUUUUAACUUCGGUUAUGAGGUUGACGCUCUGCUUCAACCUCAAUUUAGCAUAAUCUAAACCAACGCAACUUACUUAGCAUAAGAGCCGACACAAAUUCGUAAUAUUUAACUUCAGUCGUUUAUGCCCACUAUAAUAUUCUAAUGCUAACGACGGGAUCGAGUUCAUUUUAAUUCAUGUUGGCAUUCGGCUGUAUGUUGUUUUUUCACAAUUUUUUUCACAAGCCUAUAUAGUUGUAUGCUGGACCUCUUUUACAUAGGAGGAUGAGUUUCUCAUUUUAAUGGUCUUUCAUUUGUUGGGGUUGGCUUCAAUCACUCUAUGAGUGAGCAUGAAUCCUAGAAAUUUCUCUCAAUGUCCCCUAAAUGUGAACUUUUCAGGGUUUAACUUCAUAUUAUGCAUCGUGAGUUCGUCAAAGAUUUCCUGAAGAUCCUGUGUAAAGGAUGCCUCCUGGACCGACUUUACCACAAUCUCGUGCGCAUAUACCUCGAGGUUCCUUCCUAUUUGGUUUUGGAAGACCUUGUCCAUCAAGAACUAAUUAUUUCUCGUUAGAGAGCAUGACACGAUGAUAAUAAUUGGCCCUGUAAGUCAUAAACAUUGUCUUCUUUUCAUCCAAGGGGUACAUACAAAGAUGGUUGUAGUCUGAAUAAGAGUCUAUAAAGCUAGGUAAUUUAAAUCAUGAUGCCACACCCACUAACCUUUCAAUGCUUUGAAAAGGACAUGAGUCAUUGGGAUAUACUUUGUUCAGAUCGGUAAAGUUCACACACAUUCGCCACUUCCCAUUGGAUUUUUUGACCAUGGUUAUGUCUUCUAACUGAGAGGGGUACUUUAUUUCUUUCACAAAUUAUGCCUUCUUCAACCUUUUAGUCCCUGCCAUCAUUUCCUUUCAUUUCUUUUCUCCGAAACUACUCUUCCAUUGCCUAGUUGGUUUGACAUCCGAGUUGAGGUUUAACUUGUGACAAAUGAGAUUCGAGUUGAUUCUGUGAUAUCACUAGCCUUCCACGAGAAGAUAUUAAUGUGUUGCUUCAUGAACUAGAUGAGUUCCAUCUUGGUGGGCUCGUGUGGUUUGGAUCCGAUCUUUGUGGUUUGAUCGACCAAUCUGAACGGUCUUUAGUUUCUUUUAGGGUUUUGGCCUUUUCUCUACCAUGAAAUAGCUUCGGGGAUCAACAUGAAUUGGGACAUCUCUACAAGCCCACGUUCGGACUUACCCUUCAAGGAUUAUCUCUCUAUUGGUGUCUUCAAUUGUCCUAGUAACCCUUCCAAGCUGACUCUCGGUUUUCUUUUAGAGCACCUAUCUCAUCGUUCUUUAAAGGAUAUUUCAUGGUGAGGUGGAAGGUGGAAAUGAUGGUGCAAAAUAAACUCAAAGGAUCUCUCGUACUGAAAAUAUUGUAAGAAGACGACGCAUUCACCACAAAUUUUUUAUUUGCACCACCUUGGCCAAAUCUCCCACUCUAAAGGUUGUCUAAAGUUUAAUGUAGUCGUGGACCUUGGUUUCCUCCUCCCACUAGGACCCAUUUCUGGUUACAACUUCUCCUCAGGCAACUAGAAGGCCUCCUAAUACAUGAUGUCAAUAGAGACCCCUUGAUCUAUCAACACCCUAUUUCACAUUGAAACCGUUUAUUUUGAGGAUUACUGCCAUGGGGUAUCCUUUGUGAUGGGGCUGAGAGAUUCCCUCAAAUUCCUUUAGAGUGAAAAUAAUAGGGGAUGGUCAAACACAAAGCUCCCCAUGUUAAUCGAAAUAACCGAUUGAGCAUACUUUUCAUGUGCGGAGCUGCUUUCUCCUCCUUCUCCAAUGAAUCCUGCUGCAAUGGUGGCACCUUCCUCAUCCACGUCGGGGUCCAUACCACUUGGGUUCUUCUCCUAAAAUUUAUCCUCCCUUCCGGUUUUGCUUCCCUGGGUUGAGCAUUCAAUUUGUUUCCUUCCUAUGUAUUGCUUUAAAUGGACCUUGUUGAUGAGCCUUUCAAUCUCCCGUUGAAGAGUCUUGCAGUGGCUUAUGUCAUGACUGGAGGUUCGAUGGUAUAUAGGCACCAUUUCCAAACAUCAAAACCUAAAUUAUGCUUGUCCAAAGGGUUUCGAUUGACCAAACGCAUCUUGAAUGCUUCCUUAAAGAUCUAGGCCUUGCUCGUGAUCGAGGUAAUGGGAUCUUCUCUAUGCUUGGGAACCCUUUCCUUGUCUUGUCUACUUUCAACAGGUUAGCAAAUUCUAUGGUCCUAUGUUCGCCAUUGGCUCCACAUCAUUUUCUCCUUUCAUCUUUCGUUUUCGGCUGAUCCUUUCCUUUGUUUUGCGACUUCUUGGAAAUCUUUGUGCUUCUCCUUCUUCUUUUAUGAACGUGCAUGAUUGCUCUGUCAUGGAUUUCUUCCAUAGAGAUUGUCAAACUUCAAUAAGGCUUUUUAUUGAAGUCUCCUAAUCGUAGGCCACUUGCAACAUGUAGUCGAAGGGUCCUUCUUGACCAAAUGAUUUAUGCAUUUGUAAAUCUACCCAGAUAUUGUUUGAGGGAUUCCCUCAUUUUUCAUCCUCAUGUGAAAAAGUCCAUGCAUAAUCAUUCUCUCAGUCUUCUGUGUGGAAAAAUGCUCCAAAAAUUCACUGGAAAAAUCCCUAGAACUAGCUUUGGACCAAACCAACAGGAUAGUGAACUAGGUUCAACCACGUGGUCGUGGGCUCUUGGUGAGUGGAGGUAGGUAAGUUUUACCAUACCACCAUGAUGGGCGCCAUAUGUUCUCUCCAAAACUCCAGGGGUAAGAUUAAUGACAAGACCAUAACAUAGCUUCCAAUAUCAAUGCUAGAGUGAAGAUGCAUUGCUCUUUGUUAUCUUAGGUUGUUUUAUCGAAUUAAGAUUACCUUUUAUACUUUUAGGUGUUUUGGAGGUAUGUUACGUAAUUUAUUAGUCAUUAAAUAGCAUAAUGUUACACAUCCCUUUGGUUCAUGGAUGUUGUAUGUACAUGCUUUUAGUCUGACCUACCCACUUGCCAGGGUCGCUUGUGAAGGUUGCCAUUUAGGCCAAGCUACUGAGGAUGGUAUCUUAGUAGACACAACCCCGAAGCUGAUGCGCGUGAAAAAGAAAAGAAUUAUUCCUUGUUUUUGCCAUAGUUUUAUGGCUGAAUUUUGUAUUUUAUAAUCAGAACUCAUGUGUUUUAUAAUUUAUUUGUAAAAUGCAGGUGAAAAUAGGAAAAUCGAAAAUAUAAAGCAAAACAGGUAAAAUGGAGCAAAAAUGUGAAGAUUGACAUGCUGAAGAAGAAGCAUGAUCUUGGUGUCCGGUAGACACGACUGUGCUCAUUAAAAUAAAGUUUCACGACCUUGUCAACCUCAUGAAAGCCCGUAAAUGCUGAUCUAGUAGCUAAGACCAUGCUUCCUGAGCGGUAAGACCGUGCCUUCUUACGUAGUAGAGAGCCCGAAAUCAACCUAAUAAUUUUGUAUUUAAAGAGGGCUUGGGAAAAGGAUAGCAUGUGACAGAGAUCAUCAUCAUCAUCAUCAUCAUAUCAUCGAAAUGCCGCUACAAAGCUCUAGAGAAGAAGAAGUACAGAGAGGCAGAAGCAUUGAAGACUUAUUCUUUGUUUUUGUAAGAUGUUUAUCAACUAGGAAUUUUAUGAUUUCUAAUUGUAUUAUGAGUAGCUUAACUUCCUCUUUCAAGGUUUCAAUAUAGGGGAUGAUUUGAACCCGAAUAUGUUAUAUAUUUUAUUUCAAUGAAGUUAUAACUGUGUUUACUCUUUGCAUGCUUAAUUCUUUACGACAUCAAAUAGUAGGAAAGUUUACUCUUGGUUCUGUCAUGGAUUUCUUCCAUAGAGAUUGUCAAACUUCAAUAAGGCUUUUUAUUGAAGUCUCCUAAUCGUAGGCCACUUGCAACAUGUAGUCGAAGGGUCCUUCUUGACCAAAUGAUUUAUGCAUUUGUAAAUCUACCCAGAUAUUGUUUGAGGGAUUCCCUCAUUUUUCAUCCUCAUGUGAAAAAGUCCAUGCAUAAUCAUUCUCUCAGUCUUCUGUGUGGAAAAAUGCUCCAAAAAUUCACUGGAAAAAUCCCUAGAACUAGCUUUGGACCAAACCAACAGGAUAGUGAACUAGGUUCAACCACGUGGUCGUGGGCUCUUGGUGAGUGGAGGUAGGUAAGUUUUACCAUACCACCAUGAUGGGCGCCAUAUGUUCUCUCCAAAACUCCAGGGGUAAGAUUAAUGACAAGACCAUAACAUAGCUUCCAAUAUCAAUGCUAGAGUGAAGAUGCAUUGCUCUUUGUUAUCUUAGGUUGUUUUAUCGAAUUAAGAUUACCUUUUAUACUUUUAGGUGUUUUGGAGGUAUGUUACGUAAUUUAUUAGUCAUUAAAUAGCAUAAUGUUACACAUCCCUUUGGUUCAUGGAUGUUGUAUGUACAUGCUUUUAGUCUGACCUACCCACUUGCCAGGGUCGCUUGUGAAGGUUGCCAUUUAGGCCAAGCUACUGAGGAUGGUAUCUUAGUAGACACAACCCCGAAGCUGAUGCGCGUGAAAAAGAAAAGAAUUAUUCCUUGUUUUUGCCAUAGUUUUAUGGCUGAAUUUUGUAUUUUAUAAUCAGAACUCAUGUGUUUUAUAAUUUAUUUGUAAAAUGCAGGUGAAAAUAGGAAAAUCGAAAAUAUAAAGCAAAACAGGUAAAAUGGAGCAAAAAUGUGAAGAUUGACAUGCUGAAGAAGAAGCAUGAUCUUGGUGUCCGGUAGACACGACUGUGCUCAUUAAAAUAAAGUUUCACGACCUUGUCAACCUCAUGAAAGCCCGUAAAUGCUGAUCUAGUAGCUAAGACCAUGCUUCCUGAGCGGUAAGACCGUGCCUUCUUACGUAGUAGAGAGCCCGAAAUCAACCUAAUAAUUUUGUAUUUAAAGAGGGCUUGGGAAAAGGAUAGCAUGUGACAGAGAUCAUCAUCAUCAUCAUCAUCAUAUCAUCGAAAUGCCGCUACAAAGCUCUAGAGAAGAAGAAGUACAGAGAGGCAGAAGCAUUGAAGACUUAUUCUUUGUUUUUGUAAGAUGUUUAUCAACUAGGAAUUUUAUGAUUUCUAAUUGUAUUAUGAGUAGCUUAACUUCCUCUUUCAAGGUUUCAAUAUAGGGGAUGAUUUGAACCCGAAUAUGUUAUAUAUUUUAUUUCAAUGAAGUUAUAACUGUGUUUACUCUUUGCAUGCUUAAUUCUUUACGACAUCAAAUAGUAGGAAAGUUUACUCUUGGUGUAGGAAUUAGCCUAUGGAAAGGUAAACAGGAUUGAGUAAGUAUUAGGAUUAGUUAUUUUAUGCUUUUGAUUAUCCUAUGAUUGGUUAGUGAAAUAUCCAUUAUGUAGCUUCUCUGUUUUAAUCCUUAUUUAAGCAAUCACGCUUACAUGACAAUUGUGGUAGGCAUAACCUGACGGUUAAUCUAGCACAUUAGAAGUAUAGUGAACACAUAGGUUCUUAAGAUAACAUAUAUGAAAUCACGUUAGAUGACUCAAUUACUUUGCAAUCUCGAGGCAUUUCACCUUGUCUAAUCUCUAUCUUGAUAUUUGUUUGCUUGCAUGAUCACAACACCAAUUUUUUCAUUUAUAUUCGCCUAAACUAUGAAAACACGCUUAAAAUUAGUUUGUUUUUCUGGUAUAAUUGAGACUCACAAUCUUACCCCCUUUUGUUUUUCAUAGUUCUACUGAACUAUGAAAUCUUGUAUUUAAGUGCACUUGCAAUGAAAUACAAAUACAUGAAUCACAACUACCAAGGUGAUGUUCAUCACACAGAUCCUUUUCGUGGUUUGUCGUGGUAUCAGAUACCUUACAAUUAAGCUUUUGCAUGCACUCACUCAUCUAUCUAUCUAUUCUAUUAUAAUAAUAUAAGAAUUGUGAAGCACACGAUAUAACGUCGCCACCUCAUCAUUUAUACUCCUUGCAAUAGUGUGCAACUCAUUAUUUUUACUGACGUGUCACAUUAGAUUUUUACUUCGACGAUUGCUUCUCAUUGUCAUCCCUCUAAACAUCUUCUAAUCAAUUUUAAAAAAAAAACAUCUUCUAAUCUUAGAUCAUUUACAAUGGUUUUCAACCUUCAACACCACUUUUCCUCUUCUCAACACUCCACAUCAUUUUCUCUCUCUAAUUCAACACUCAUUCAACUUUUACCCACUCCAAUAGUUUUUCAUUCAACACCUGACCCCACUACUUUUUUAUUUCAUAUUUUUAUUUAAUUUUAUAUUUUUGUUUAUGAUUACAUAAAAUUACAAUAAUCAAUUUAAAUUAAAUUAAAACAAUAAACACUUAACAGUUUUUUUUUAAAAAUAUAGACAAUAAUUUAUUUUAUUUCGUAACUUAAAAUGCAAGACAACAAACUAAGCACACAAUAAUUUAUUUUUUCAAAACAAAGGCUAAUAGAAAGAUAAUAAUAUUAAGAUAGUGAAAAACUUGGUUUUUUUUUCGGUGUUCAAAUCAAACGAACCAAGUCUCUAUUUAUAGAGGAAAAGAAAUCAUGAAUUUUGGUUAAAAUUUUUUUUCCAAAAUAAUUUUUUUGCAAUGAAAUAAUUGAGUUUAAAAGAUUAAGAUGAGAAAAAUCAAAACAGCGAAUCGCAUGAUGCCAAGUGUCCCUCCCUUUUUAGGUUCAACAUGUUGAACUCCCUCAACACAUCUCUCAUCGACAUCAUCUUCAACAAAACUCAACAAACCACUACACUAUCUCAACAAAACUCAAUCUCUCUCUCAACACCCUCAUUGUGAAUGGUCUUACUAGUAAGGAUAUAAUUGACAAAAUGAACCUUAAAACAUCAAAACCACAGUUAAAUAGGAACAAAAAAAUUUCUUCUAAAACAAGGAACGGAGGGAGUACCAUAAUACAAAAGCCGGGAGUACCAUAAUACAAAAGCCGUUCUCACCCUUUCCUUUCGGGUAAAUGGUCACAUUGGUCCUCAAAAGUGUCCACCGACUUCACAUUCAUCUCUGAAAGAAUUUUAUCCAUCAUGCGGUCCCCCAAAGUGUUAAACGUCCGUCACUUUAGUCUUUCCGUUAAAAAAAGUAUGACGGACGUUAACAAUUUCCUUUUUUUUAAAGCUGAAAAAUCAUUAAAUUAAAUUAAAAUAACAAAUGAACUAAAUAUCUAAUUAAUUAAAACAGAAAAAAAAAAACUAAACUUGAUGAGAAUCACCAACAUCAUUCUCUGUCUUCUUUUUCUCAUCUUCUUCAUCAUCUUCACCAAUCCUUCCAUCAUAAUCAAACCCCACCACAAACCCCAUUCUCCACCCCCACCGAAAUGCAGUUCUCGCCAUCCUGAUGAGACUUUCAAACCCACGGAUUUGAAUCUAGAUUUACAAACCCACAUAAAAGCUUCAAUCUUUCCCUUUUUUGGUUUGAAGCUUCAAUCCAGAUUUCCAAUCCAAUAAAAUCUUUUACUGUGCACACGAACCUAGGUCAGAGUGGGUGAAGGGGAUGAUGACUCGAUCUGGGUGAAGGUGGCAGAAUCAACCUCGGGAUUACCAUGGAUGAAUAUGUUGUUGAAGAGAUAGUGUUUGUUGUUUUGCCUCAGAGAUUGGGACCAGAUGUUCAAGAAGAAGGAGAUGAUGAAGAAAAUGAGAAGAAGGAGAGAUUUUGUGUUUUUGAUUUGUAAUUGAGUUUUUUUAAUUAAUCAAUUUUUUAGUUAAUUUGUUUUUUUUAAUUUAAACUAAUGAUUUCCACCUAGGUAAAAAAAAUAUAAAAACGGAAAUUGUUAACGUCCGUUAUACUUUUUUUAACAGAAGGACCAAUUUGACUGGCAUUAGCCACUUUGGGGGACCGCGGGAUGGAUAAAAUUCAUUCAGGGACGAAUAUGAAGUCGGUGGACACUUUGAAGGACCAAAGUGACCAUUUACCCCUUUCCUUUCCUUUCCUUUUUCUCAUUCGGAAACGAUUGCGCAUCCAAGUGGAAUCCUCUAAAGAAAAACAUUUCUCAGUUGGUGCGACUGCUUCUUACAGGACUCCUUCCCACGACACAAAUACGAGGUCGGAUUCCAAUGUCUCCUUCACCAAACUCUAUGUCGUCGUUGACGCCAACAUUGACCUCCCUCCUCAUUAUACUCACAUUCUUUCAAUUGUUUGAUUAUAAGAGAAAUUCAUUUAAAGGGAUUUUCUUCCCUGAUUGGUUAGGUUACUGGAUCAGGUAUAUAUCCAAGUUUCAGAGGUUGGUAUUUUUUGCUUUCUCUGAAAAUGUGUUUUUAUUUUCUUUACUAUGAUUGAUUUCUGCACUUGCACUUGCAGGGCUUUUGGUUGCUGUUAUAGACACUGUGUGUAAGUGUUGCCACUGCUACUCUCAAGAAAAAACGCUCUUCUUCAUAUGAAGUCUCAAAUUAGUCUCUAAAAAUUGUUGUCUGAGGUACAAAAGGAAAUUGUAGCUUCAUUAGUAACUAGCAUUUGAGCUGAACAGAGAGAUUUCAGGUUUUUUUUUUUCUCUCUAGUCUUUAUAUAUUGCAAUUUGCUAUGAUGUAAUGCAAUCAUAGUUAUUCAUGUUUUAGUGGUUUAGUGCUCUAUCCUUUAAGCAAGUGGUUGAUAGUUGGAACUUGGAAUUUCAAUUCUUGUGAAUGAAAAAACUCCUUACUGCGCUUAGUGCGCUGAUAGUGGAGCGAGAGAUUAGUCUCAGUUGUGAGACACUUUGAUCAAGACCAAAGGUUUUAUCAGAUUAGUGUAACAUGGAUUUUAUGAGAUUAUAUAGACUUUUACAAGGCAAAGUGUGUAUAUAUUUCAGCCUUAAUUGUCAGUACUAUCAGCCAGCCAUAGCUGGUAGCUAAUUGUUUUGGUUUGAUUUUGUCGGAUUUCUCUUCAUUAUGAAUAAUGUUCAUGUAAAUUGUGCCAGCAUGAGGAUUUGGUUGUAACUACCUUUUUAUUUUGGUUGAGAUUGUAUUAGCUAAUUUUGUAUACCACAUUAGAAACUCUUCUAUUUUGUUUUGGGCAUUCCAUUUUCACAAUUCUAUGUUACACCAGGUUAAAAAUUGGUGCACCACCAGACAACUAUAUUGUUACUACUAUGGGUUUGCGAAUGAAGUGUGGUUAGGAUGUUGUAUGCUCCCACUGAGAGUCUUGUUCCGCUUCUUGUGUCAGAUAAGAGUUGUUGUGCUAUACAGGUAGUCUUUGUUUGUGUUUUAAUUUCGUUGCAAACCAAUAUUUCUUACUACUAUUAUUUAGUGUAUAUAUAUUAUAUACAAUAUGUUUAUUAUAAGUUAAUUUGUAGCAAUUCCUUUAAAGUUCAGUUUAGGAAAAUUACAGUAUAAUCUUCAUGACAAAGACUAACUCAGUACCUCUACUAUAUUUGGCACAAUAUUAAUGGAUAAGGAGGUCCAUACCAACUGCCAAGUGCACUGCACUUCUUUCAAUUUAUAGACUGAUGGUAGUGGUGCAGUUUCAACUUAGCAGAUACAGAUAAGGGUUUGAAUUUUGUUAGUCGAACUUAGUGUAGAGAAAGAACUUCACGUCAGUGGAACCAAAAAAUCAUUGAGACCUACGCAUAUGUAAAUCUAUCUUGAUCCAGUUUUGGAUAAUAUUAAAUAAUACAAAGAAUUUUAGAAAAUAUAUAUGGUUUGUUGCUACUAAACGAUGGGGAAAAAGGAGCUGCUGAUCCUGAGGGAAGCACAAAGCCCCCAUAAUCUAUUAUAUAGAAAAUUUAUUCUCUUAUUUCAAAGGCUUAUUUUUGUUUUAGCUAACUGAUCCAUUACUAAUUGUUGAUGUUGGUCAUCAACAUGCAGUGCAGUUUUGGUUCAUAACACUGCAUUAAGUGCCGGUUUGGAUAUGAGCUUAUUAGGAUUUACUUACUCACUAAAUAAAAUCUAAUAAUCUCAAAUAAGUUCUCUUCGUUUGUAUCAAAACAGGUACUAAUUCAACAAUUGUCUCUAAUGCAGGUUUCUAGUGCUUAUAGUUGGAUAAUAUCUGAAGUUCUUGUGCAUGACAGAAGCAAAUUGACUAUGUUGUCUCGAAGCAGCCCUCUAUUUUCACGCAUUGAAGUCGUGUACCUGCUAUUCUCGGAUUCCUCCCACGAAAAAGACAGAAGAAAGAAAUCAAAUAAAAAUUAAAAAAAUGAAACUAUUGUAACCAAUUUGCGUAUGGUUUGUCAUCUCGAAAAUCUUAGGCAGGUAAACAACUCAGAAUGGAGAAAAAUGAUAAAUUUCCCUUUAUUUGUAACAAUAAAAACAAGAGAAAAAUAUAUUUACCAUCCAUGUUCUUAAAUUAUUUUAACCUUAGCUUAAGUAGAGUUCUUAAGUGUUUGUUUGAGUCAUUGUAAAUGCAAUUGCGUUAAGUAAAAGUUCUACCCGUAACUGACUCAAGAAUAUAUUUAAAUUGGACGCUUCUGUUGCAGGACAAAGUAAAAGAGAAAAUGGUGGUGACGGGUUCCGAGAUGAACUCCCAAGGAGGUGACGGGGUGUCGAAUCAGCAAGAAGCAAACAAGAACCAUUCAUCAUUCUCAUCGCUGGGAAGACAAUCGUCCUCAAUCUACUCCCUCACGCUCGAUGAAUUCCAGCACACACUCUGCGAACCGGGCAGGAAUUUCGGCUCUAUGAACAUGGACGAGUUCAUCAACAGCAUUUGGAGCGCAGAAGAAAACCAAGCCACCAACAACAACAACCCUAACCAAAACAACAACAACAUCAACAACAACAACAACUUGUCUCUGAGCGAAACCUCGACGGAGAAAUUAGGCUUCAUAAGGAAGCAGCCAAGCCUCCCUCGACAUGGUUCUUUAACAAUCCCUGCACCUCUUUGUAGGAAAACAGUGGAUGAGGUUUGGUCUGAGAUUCACAAAGGGCAGCAAUCUCAGCAGCAGAACAACAACAACAACAACGGUCAGAAUACCGAGUCUGUCCCUCGCCAACCUACUUUUGGAGAGAUGACUCUGGAGGAUUUUCUAGUCAAGGCCGGGGUAGUUCGGGAACAAGGUGCAAAUUCAAAUGCAAUGCCUCUCCAGGUUCCUUCUUCACAACACCAGUUGCUGCAGCAGCAGUUUGGAAUGUACCCAAAUGUGGGGCCCUCAUUUAGGCCCACGAUGGCGAUUGGUGCUGGCGGUUGGGGAGGGAAUGCAAUUGCGGUCGCGGUUGCGCCACCUUAUCCAGUUGUGGCUCACAGUGGCAGUGGUGGUGCAAUUGUGGAGAGUAAAAGAGAUGGUGGGUAUUCGGUGCCAGGGGUUGGUUAUGGAGGGCAGGUGAUGAAUGGAGGUGGUGGAGGGUAUGGGGGUAAUAUGGGAAUUGGCGCGCCGGUGAGCCCAGUUUCGCCAGACGGGAUGGGUGGAGGUGAGAACAGUGGUGGUCAAUUUGGGAUGGAGAUGGGUGUGUUGAGGGGACGAAAAAGGGGUUUGGAUGGUCCUGUGGAGAAGGUGGUGGAGAGGAGGCAGAGGAGGAUGAUCAAGAACAGAGAAUCAGCAGCCAGAUCAAGAGCAAGAAAACAGGUACCUCAUUCAUUUCAUUUGAGCUUUUAAUUUCAAGCAAUUAUAUUGUUCUAUGUGUUUUCCUUUGGUGAAAUGAUCUUUUCUAUUUUUGUCUUGGUAGGCAUACACAAUUGAAUUGGAAGCAGAAUUGAAUCAAUUAAAAGAAGAGAAUGCACAGCUGAAACUAGCUCUGGUAUUAACACAGAAUGAUACUUUCAUUGAACAAUAUUGAAAUCUUUUUAUUAUGUUUUAUUUGUUGUGCUAUAUUGAAAAACUUUUUAUUGCAAUUUCUGACUUGGACAUCAUGCUUCUAUUCUUCAGGCCGAGCUUGAGAGGAGAAGAAAGCAACAGGUAACUACUACUCUGAUUUAAUUAAGAACACCAAUUUUCUUUAAAAUUUAGAAGAUCUUGAUUACUAGAGAUUCAGAUCCUUCAUCUCUAAAUGGUGUCUCAUUUCUCGUUUCAACCAAUGAAAUUAUGUCAUAUGACAUUUAUAACCUUACAUAGGUGGUUCUUAAUUAACAUGACACAAUCUCAUCGGUGGGAUAUGAAAUAAAACAUCAUUUGAGGACAUAGGAUCUUAAUUCAAUUAUUAGAGGAUUUUCUUUCCAUUUCCAUAAUGGUUUUAAAUCAAGGUCUACUGCCGUGAUCUCGGCUGUGAUUUAGGCCGCGAUUUGGGCCGUGACGUUAGGAUUUUGGAGCUUUCUGAAAUUGCGAUAUCGACCACAUACAGAUGUUUAUUCAUUAGUUUCUGCAAAAUUUGGAAGAUGACUAGGCAACUGUGACGCGUGAGGACGUUAGGAUUUUGGAGGUUUCCAAAAUCACGAUUUAGGCCACAUACAGAUGUUUAUUCAUUAUUUUUUACAAUAUGGAAGCUCACAAGGCAAUUGUGACGCCAUCACCGAAAUAGCUUAAUGGUAGAGCAUAGCCUUGACCACAACCCAAAACACUUAGAAAGGUUAAAAAGGAAGCAAUGAAUUACAUAUAGUUUUUGUCCUCCCCCUUUCUUUUAAACCAAAUAAUUUAAAAGCACUUUUAAAUGUUGAUGUUUUAAUGACCUGGUGCAGUAUUUAGAGGAAACGAAUGGGAUGGUUCAAACCAACGCUCAGAAGACCAAGAAGAAACUAAGUUCAUUGAGAAGGACUCUAAGUUGCCCUUUUUGAGAAAAUUAUUAUCUGCAUCUGCAACCAGUGAAGUUCUUGAAUUCUAGUACACAUAGGAAUUGGCUGUUGAGUAUCUUCAUGAGUGUCUUACAUGAAGGAGAUUCCAUGAAACCAAAGCAAGAAUGGAGGAACCAGACAACGAGAAAACUCAAGACUAGUGCAGAAACCAGCUUGAUGGAGAGGUGUGAAAUUUAUUUUGAGUAAGUUCUUGAUUAAUCAAGGAUAAAUUAGCUCUUUACAAAUGAUAAGUAGUUAUUUAUUGUGUAAAAAAGAUAAUUGUGUUAGUUAUUUAUGACAUUGACAAUGAUGUAACUACCUUAUUAAUAAUGCUCAUUGUUUUCACUAACAAGUCGAUUGAUUGCUUCGGUUUGGCCAUUAGUUUGAGGAUGAUUGACCAACAUGAAAACUGAUUAAGAAUUUCAUGAUGACCAUUAAAAUAAAGAUUCAUAACAUGAAUAACAUCUUUUGUUUUCCAACAUUGAAUAAAAUGUUCUAUUCUUUAUAAUAACCACCAUCUCCAGCAUGCUUUUAAUGAAGCAUCCUUUUAAUGAAGAAUGAGCUUGUACUUAUUCUUUACCUAUUGAUAUGUGAUGGACUUCUCCAAAUGAUAGGGAUUGCUUGUAGUUUAUUCUAUGUUUCUUUGCAUUUUGUUCCUAUCUUUGAUUGUUUACAUCAAAACCAAUAGUCAUUAGGUAUCCUCAUGACUUGCCAAUUACUAUGGAUUUUUGUCGUUAAAGUGUAGAGCAUAAUACCCGAAUGAGAAAUUGUACUGUUAUCUGAUUUGAUUUUCUCAGUAGCAUUAAUCGAUAAUUUCAGUUGCCAUGGAAGUUGAGGAUUUAAGGUCGAACCGUAAAUUGUAUGAUAUGGUUAUGUGAAAAACUAUUUUCUGUAAUCACAUUGAGAAAGAUUGCCUUAAUUAAAUUUCUGCUAUACCAACUAUAUCUGAAGUUUUGGAGUAGAGCAUAAAUUUUUCACUGUGUAUUCUUUGAGGCCAACAUAAUUCAUGAUGAUCAACCACCCCUGAGAUAUAAAAAAGAACACUUCGCGUGUCUAUUCGAACCAAACUUGACCCAUCUUAUUAUGUGAUGCUUUGAUUUAACCAUUAAAUUAUAUGUAUUUCAUCGUACUCCUUCGAUAGAGUUGUGUUUUAUAUUGUGUUGGUGCACCAAGUACAUUCUUAGAAUGCAUAAUUAUGGAAGAUGUUGAAGCAAGAGACCACAAGAUAACAAGAGACAUAUUUUGAAUUAGAAGAGAGAUUUCUAGGAAUGGCAGAUCAAUCAAUUUAGGGGCAUGUACACUGUGAGUAAAUGGUUGUAACUCAUCAUCAAUACUGCCUUGACAGUUAAUGUUUGCUUUGGCAUGGCUAACUCAAAGUUUUGUUGAUUUUCUUCAUCGUACAUAGUGAUGGCCAGAUUGAUGCUAACUAGAGUCGUUCUAUACGAUAGAAGCUAAUUUUAAUGAAUUUGGGUCAAUUGAAGUGACCAUGCUCUGGUAAAUGCAAUAUAUUUAUUACUAGAAUGUUUGCUCUAGGUAUUGAUAUGCAUCUAUUUUGCAUUAUAAUUCAUAUAUUUUAGUAUGAUUUUUAGCCUAAAUAUUGCAUUACUCUACAUCACAUGUGCAAUAGGAAGGUAACAUGUGGAAAAUGUAGAAAAUAGAAGGAAAACACGAAUGAGCGCUUGGUAAAUUUCACAAGUUAUCAAUUAUGAGCAUUUUCCGUAGAAUAGUUAUUGUAGAAUUGUUUACCAUUGAUUGAGAUGAAAUUUUGAUAUAGUAGUCACAACAUCUGAACUUGAAUCUGAGCGGUUAAAUCGUCGAUAAGCUGUACGUGCAAAGAGAAAAGUGCAAACAAGUAAGAACAAUCGUGUAGGACUUUAGCACCCAUGUGCUAUCUGUAAUUUAACUAAGCACGGUCGUAUUAAUGUUAAGCACGGCCACAGAUGUGUUAAAAACAUGAAAUAGUGUUUAGAACAGGUCAGGUCAGUUUUUAGAAAACCAAAUAUAUUGAUAAAGGAGUAUCAGGGUUUGUGGCUCUAAGCAGAGAAAUACAUGUCAGCUAUGCGCAAAACCAAGAAAGGAAAAUCCCCAACCCACCAUAGGAAAAACCACCCCACAAACCACCCUCUGAUGAGAAAACUGAAACACCCUUGAACCAGAAAAGCAAAGGCCGAAAAUCAGAACCAAAAAGGUUAAACCUGAGACCUUAACCUAAAACAAUGGUAAGAACAAGAGAAAACACAGCGCUCAAGGCGGCCACCACUCCUUCAUUUCCUUUUUAAGGUUGUGAGUAGGCUCCUCAUCACUUCUGUUGAACACCAACCCCACAAGCUAGCUUUCCGAUAAGACAAGCCUUCUUAGUGCGCGUAAAGUUAAAUGGAGCUGAACAGACUAUGGGUGAGGUUACAUCAGAAGCAGAACUCACAUCACCAACCGCAACCAAAACCUCACAAGUGGAAGUGGGCUUUGAACGGGGCUUGCGACCUCUCUUGACUUUUUCCGAACAACCUCGCCCAUGAGAUUUGAGGGCACGAGCUACUAAGAUCUGCUUAUUAAGAAGGCAUAGGUCUUCCUCAACACCAAAACCACCAAAAUCCAAACCACCAAGGGCAAGGGAGGCACCAAGAGAAGCAAAAAAUUGUUGCAAUCCAUUUAGACUAAAAAAUGGAGCCAACACUGGUUGCUUCACCUUAACCACACACACUUGCAAUAUCCACAACGACUUCAUCCAUGCAAAUUGCGCCAAUGUAACUCCCUGUAGAUAAGAAGGGGAAGCUAAAACCACUUGACUAUGCAUCGAAACACAGAUCAGGCAAGGAUCCCCCCAACAAAAUCCAUGAAACAUCCCUUCUCCUGCUGAAAAUCCCACCCUUAUAUGAGCCAAAGCCAGAAGCAAGCAGACGUAAAAAAAGGUCCAAUGAACCAAGAAAGGCUCCUUAAACUAAAGGGGCAUAUGAAAAAUCCAUAUUCAGAACAGCUCCAAUAGCACCAUUAAUAUGGAUCAGAAUGUCCUCCCCAAUAACAUAAUCCAACCUCACAAUGUGAGGAGAAUUGGUUCCUGCAGAAAUUCCAAUGAGUAUGAAUCCUUUACCAGUAUGUUUAAUAAAUGCAGAGUUAUAAAAUCCUAAAGCUUUCCCAAUCAACACUUGUUCAACUUCCUUUUUCCCAUUUUCCCUAGUUUUGCAAACUAAAAUCUCAAGGAAGAGAACCUCAUACGGAAACCCAACAAACAAAUCAUAGCACCAAUUUAGAGUAGUUGUCAUUGAUUCCUCCUCUAGUGAGAAAAAGUCCGAGAGGCCGCCUUUCGGAAAGCCUUGCACAGAGUCACACCAGGAACGAGAGACUGAAACAAGGGAGAUUUCUUUUCUCUUCUAGACCCUGUCCUUAGAACACACAAAAUCUAGAGGGCACCGAGCAAGUUGCUUGAGAUAUUUGGCCACCAAACUGAUAAGGGAGCAACGUUAGCCCUAUUGUUGUUAAGAUGACGAAUAGCCUCCUUCGUCUGAGAUCCAGAAACAAAUCAAACAAAACCAAAAUGAACUCUUCUUCCUAGAUUCCUUCUACUUUGGAUGGACAGAUGUGAAACCCUCCUGAGUUGAUCAAACAAGACCCUAAUUUGAAGAUAGCUCUAAUCAUCUAGUAUGCCAUGAAUGAAUAAGGAUGGAUAGCUCCUCUCACCAGAAUCUUCCUAACGGCCAUCAUCAGACACUUUCUCUCCCUUCGUAACUCCCUUAGCUGUCUUGGCCUCUUCACCAUCAUCUUCCUCUCUUAGCCCACCACCAACGAGAGCACCCCCAUGGCCAUGACCUGUUGAACCCUUGGAAGAGGCGGCUAUGAGUGAUGAAACCCUAGUAGAUCCAGAGAAACGCUUCAUUGUUUUUUAUUGAACUUCCCUUUUUUUCUUUACAAAUGGGGUCUAGAGCAGUUAUAAAUAUAGGGGAAGGACCUAAGUUCUAGAGGACUCAGUAGCUUGAUUCUUAGACUUGUUGUGAAGAAGAACUUAGAGUGCGAUGGAGGCACAAGAACAAGGAAAAGAACUUGGAGGAAGUCCAAAGGCGGAGAAGGUCCUUAUUAGUUCAUAUUUUCUUAUUUUAUCUGAGAUGUUAGCCAUGAUUAGUUUUCUUUUAUGAUUGAUAUUUCUUCUUUGUCUUUAUGUUGUUGUGAGGUAGCAAAUCUUAUGUUAGGGAGCCCUGGAUUUGGCACCUCAGGACUUAGAAAUGCCACCCCAGAUUUUUUAAAAANNNNNNNNNNNNNNNNNNNNNNNNNNNNNNNNNNNNNNNNNNNNNNNNNNNNNNNNNNNNNNNNNNNNNNNNNNNNNNNNNNNNNNNNNNNNNNNNNNNNNNNNNNNNNNNNNNNNNNNNNNNNNNNNNNNNNNNNNNNNNNNNNNNNNNNNNNNNNNNNNNNNNNNNNNNNNNNNNNNNNNNNNNNNNNNNNNNNNNNNNNNNNNNNNNNNNNNNNNNNNNNNNNNNNNNNNNNNNNNNNNNNNNNNNNNNNNNNNNNNNNNNNNNNNNNNNNNNNNNNNNNNNNNNNNNNNNNNNNNNNNNNNNNNNNNNNNNNNNNNNNNNNNNNNNNNNNNNNNNNNNNNNNNNNNNNNNNNNNNNNNNNNNNNNNNNNNNNNNNNNNNNNNNNNNNNNNNNNNNNNNNNNNNNNNNNNNNNNNNNNNNNNNNNNNNNNNNNNNNNNNNNNNNNNNNNNNNNNNNNNNNNNNNNNNNNNNNNNNNNNNNNNNNNNNNNNNNNNNNNNNNNNNNNNNNNNNNNNNNNNNNNNNNNNNNNNNNNNNNNNNNNNNNNNNNNNNNNNNNNNNNNNNNNNNNNNNNNNNNNNNNNNNNNNNNNNNNNNNNNNNNNNNNNNNNNNNNNNNNNNNNNNNNNNNNNNNNNNNNNNNNNNNNNNNNNNNNNNNNNNNNNNNNNNNNNNNNNNNNNNNNNNNNNNNNNNNNNNNNNNNNNNNNNNNNNNNNNNNNNNNNNNNNNNNNNNNNNNNNNNNNNNNNNNNNNNNNNNNNNNNNNNNNNNNNNNNNNNNNNNNNNNNNNNNNNNNNNNNNNNNNNNNNNNNNNNNNNNNNNNNNNNNNNNNNNNNNNNNNNNNNNNNNNNNNNNNNNNNNNNNNNNNNNNNNNNNNNNNNNNNNNNNNNNNNNNNNNNNNNNNNNNNNNNNNNNNNNNNNNNNNNNNNNNNNNNNNNNNNNNNNNNNNNNNNNNNNNNNNNNNNNNNNNNNNNNNNNNNNNNNNNNNNNNNNNNNNNNNNNUUCCUGCCUCUCGAUGUCCCACCCUUAUCCAUUGAUUCUUGGAGUAAUUAAAAAACUUACUCCAAAUCUUUGCUAUUGAUUCAUUAGAUAAUAAAGAGUGAGAUUAUAACAUUUUAAUCCCUCACGUGACCUAUCCUUACAUUGUAAUGUAUACACUGACCAGAACCAACCACAUACCUCAUGCGAGAAAUUGCUCACUUGUAAUGAAAACUUUACAAUUUGGAUAUGUUGAAUGUCUGAGGAAAUAUUUUAAGUGUUAAAUUCAAUACGUUCUAGUUGAACGAUUAACUUUAUAUUUUAAAUUGCUUAUUUCGUAAACUUCACUUAUUAUGUGAUUAACUUCAUUUAAUGUUAUUUAAACUUUUGUAUUGAAUAAGAUUUAGUUGCCUUAUCGCUUGUAUUGAAUUAUAUAUUUAAUUUCAUCUUUAUAACCUAACCUAAACUCUACCUUAAGCCAGUGCAGGGCUCAUAGAUGAAUUUUCCUGCACAUUUGAUGACUCUAUUUCUUGUGAAAACCCUAUGCUAGUUCCUCCAACUUCACUAUGGCCUUCAUUCUCAUCUUCAAACCGGUGACCUACCUUCUGAGCUGGACCUGAGCUGGACCUGGACUUUUGAAUGGCGUAGAACUUUGAAUAUUUUCACUUUUGAAACCCCCACUUAGCAGUUCUGUAUCAUGGAAGAGACACGGAUUUCUGCUGUUAUCAUUUGUUUUCAAGGCAGCAGCCUCCAAAGGAUGACCAUGAGAAAUGUCCAUGUUUGAUGCAUAUGAUGGAUCUUUGAAAGAAGGAGAUGGAUGUCCAUCAUGUUCAGACCUAGAUACAGAAAAAGGUGGAAGGAGGGAAGUAUAUUUUGAAGUAUGAGUAUGACUAUACUCUGCGUUCAUUAGGGGAGUUUGUAUCUGUAUACAUCCUAAAGAUUCAGAAUCAGUGUUUGGUCUGCGCUUGUGGAUGCUAUCCUGAGAAGUAACUCCACUGGAAGAGUCUCCAAAGGAUUGCUUCAGAUUUGCAUAUUGCUCUACAUGAGUAGAGGGGUGAUCAGAAUCACCAUUAUUUAGGUAGCCGUUUUUUCUCUUUCCUGUUGAUGGCUUUGACAGCUUCCUUUCAAUCUAUCAAUAAAGCGACAUACAAAUUAAGAGACAAUUCAUUUCAGUUUAUAAGUUCACCUGAAUUAAAUAGACCAGGCAGUCAAAUUAGUUCACCUUCAGUAUAAAGCAUUAGCCAGAUGAAUGCAACAAAACACCCAAAAGGUAAAACAGCCGUAAUUGAGUACAGCAAAAAAGGUCAAGCCCAAGCAUGGAUGGACAUGUUAAAAAAUUACUGCGCGCAUAUUUGGGCUGUACGCACAUGAAUUUUUUUACUACGCACCUAUAUGGAAAACAUUUCACAUAUUUGGGUUGUAUCUCAAAGUAAUUUAGAAUAUCUUCAAUUAUAUUUAGGAUAGGUUUCCACAUUUCUUUAUAUUUCAUGAUUUGUUUCUUUAUUUAAUUAGGAUUAAAAGUAUAAUAUAUUAGUAUAUGUAAAGGUCAGUACUUUGUCUCAUGUAAUGACAUCCAACAUAUCAUUAACAGCAAUUUCAAUUUAUUAUUCUGUGUAUUUCUUUCCCCCCAAUACCUAAAAGACUUGACCGUAUAACUUCUAAUUGGUAUCACAACCUACAACAUAACUUAUUGCUAUUUUACCCACGAGUUUCCAAAAAUCUAGACUUUUUAGCCUUGUCUAGACUAUUUCGUCACAUCUUUAGAGAAUGUGGGAUCUUAACAUUUUCAAAAUAUCAACUGAAUUGAAUUCUAAAACAUAUAAAUUUUGACAAUAUAGCAUUGAAAUGUCAAACACAAUCAGGUCUAGUGCAUAAAUCAUAGCAUACACAUGUAAUACCAUGCUUCAAUAAUUUAAUUCAAUGGCAUUAAGAAUUAACAAGGUUUGAGGCAAACUCAAAUUUAUUGUGUCAUAUGCCUUUGAGAGGUUCAUUUUGUGAAUGAAUAUAUGUCUCGACCCGUGUGGUUUGGUUAAAUAAUCCACACAGAAUUGUAGCUAUAUAAUCUGAAAUUGAGAAACUAGGAAUCCAAGUUGUAAAAUGAGUCUUUUUUGACAGUAAAAAAAGGAAAAGAAACGGUUCCAACCUUUGGUUUAUGCACCAAGCCAUCUUCAACACCGGACGUCAUGUCUGAUUCACUGAACAUUGAUAACGAAGCAGGAACAGCAUCAUGGUCGACAUUCAUCUGAGACUUCAGAUUUUUAUUAAUAGGAGAUGCCUUUCUGCUGCAAUCAUGAAUUGUCAGACCUUCAAUAUUUUCAUUUGGGUUGAUAUUAUUAUCUGAUAUACUUUUGAAUGGACUUGCUUCAGCAGAUGAAAACUUGAAGUCAGAUUUCAGUGCAUCAUCAGAUCCCUCAGUUCCAUGUGAAGAUGAGAGCCAGCAGAACUCCUCUUCAUUAUUGAGGCUCCCCAUUCCAAAAGUUAAGUCACAAUUUCUGCAAUUUUCAAAGUAAUAUGCAGAUAUUUAUGAAAAUCAUGAUCAUGAUGAAUUGAAUGGCAUUCAUACAAAGCAAAAGGCAAAUAAACUUUUGUCACACAGGAGAAUUUCUUACAGCAUCGUCCUAUCAAUAUCUUCAAAGUUUCCAAAAUCAAGCCACCCAUCAUUAUCAAGGAAGCUAAGUUCAUUAUCAGGUUGAGAUAUGUGACUGAUUGAAUAUUGAGACACAGUAUCAUCCUCCAUCAAACACUUGUCUCCUAAGAUAGUAUCAUCCGCACAAAGUUCACCACCAGUAGAAUCUAAAUUGCUGCUCUUGAAAUAAUGAUCAGACAUACUUCUAUUAUCUGAUGUUUCCCUUUUCUGUUCUUUGCAUGAAUCACCAACACAUGGAGAAAGCAGAUCUUCAGGUUUGUGAGACCAUGAACCUUUCUCCGACAUUCUUUCUUAUUUAUUCAGAUUUGUUGAGACAAUCCCUCUUUACCCUGAGUACAAUAGCUACUCACAUAAUCAGCAGUUCAUGAAGUGAUUUCUUACAGCUAUCACACUGUAUUGUGGACUGGUCCUUAUGCCUGUCACCGGCUGGAGGCACUAUCUGAUCAUCAGUUUCACCAAAUUCAUCUGACACAUAUCUAGAAGCUGCGACACCAAGACAGAUAUUCAGAAAACUACUUAUAACCUGGCAUCACAGAACAUCAUAAAUCCUCAUAAACAAAUCACUGAACCACAUAUAGACAGAAACAAAGGUCAGUACUAGGUGGCUCCCUGUCUCCCUCAACAUUAAUAUAUCCUAAUAGGCUAAUACUCACUGGGGAAAAAAAUUAUAUCAUUCCAGACAGCAUAAGUUCAACCUCUCUAAACUUGUGAAGUGACAAACACUAGAAAAUUUUACAUCUUUGUUGGCAAAUAAACCACAGCUUCUAAUGUUCAAUUGGCAAAUUAAACAUGCUCAGGUAGAUUAUUAAUUCCAAAGAAACUAAGAAGGAAACAAACUGCUCAUGAGUCUGCAAUUCUGGAAAAAUGUACUCUCUAAAGCUUUGUCUUUGAGUCAGAACAUUCAAUGUAGCUUUAAAAAAUGUAUAACAGGAUUGACAUUAAAGUUAUAGCAUGUAAAGAAGUGUGGAUACGUAUUUAAAUAUAUCAUCUGCAUCUCUUUGAAUCUAGAAUCCUAAGAUAUAUUAUUAUGCAUCAAUCUGUAAUCCUAAAUGGUGUAUGAAGGAGCAGAUGUCAGUGCAAUAAUGAUAAACCUAAGGAGAGGUCGGUGCAAUUUGCUAUUUUUUUAAAACAAAAUAUAAGCAGUUUUAAAGUGUUUGUUUCUCAUCCAACUACUUGAAUAAGGAAAUGUUUGAUGCUGAAUAAAUGUAUAAAAUGCCCUCCAUUGCACUAAGUGUUUUCAGCAUUUCUUCACUUGAGUACACUUUUGGUAGGUACUAAACAAACAUCACCAGACCAUUUUCAUUUUGAUAACUUCUCAUUUCAAGCACUGAAUUGAGUUUUCAAACAGCACCUGAAUGUUCCAAUUGCAUUCAUUAUCCAUAUAAACUUUCAGCAACGACAACCAGUGUUAUCAGAUAGCGGCGUAGUGUAGCAGAUUUAUGGCUAAUCGCGACGCCGCUAUUGCCCUCUACAGCGCGCUAUUCGCCGCUAAAUAGCGGCCGAAAUAGCGGAUUUUUGGCUCACCGCGAUGGUNNNNNNNNNNNNNNNNNNNNNNNNNNNNNNNNNNNNNNNNNNNNNNNNNNNNNNNNNNNNNNNNNNNNNNNNNNNNNNNNNNNNNNNNNNNNNNNNNNNNNNNNNNNNNNNNNNNNNNNNNNNNNNNNNNNNNNNNNNNNNNNNNNNNNNNNNNNNNNNNNNNNNNNNNNNNNNNNNNNNNNNNNNNNNNNNNNNNNNNNNNNNNNNNNNNNNNNNNNNNNNNNNNNNNNNNNNNNNNNNNNNNNNNNNNNNNNNNNNNNNNNNNNNNNNNNNNNNNNNNNNNNNNNNNNNNNNNNNNNNNNNNNNNNNNNNNNNNNNNNNNNNNNNNNNNNNNNNNNNNNNNNNNNNNNNNNNNNNNNNNNNNNNNNNNNNNNNNNNNNNNNNNNNNNNNNNNNNNNNNNNNNNNNNNNNNNNNNNNNNNNNNNNNNNNNNNNNNNNNNNNNNNNNNNNNNNNNNNNNNNNNNNNNNNNNNNNNNNNNNNNNNNNNNNNNNNNNNNNNNNNNNNNNNNNNNNNNNNNNNNNNNNNNNNNNNNNNNNNNNNNNNNNNNNNNNNNNNNNNNNNNNNNNNNNNNNNNNNNNNNNNNNNNNNNNNNNNNNNNNNNNNNNNNNNNNNNNNNNNNNNNNNNNNNNNNNNNNNNNNNNNNNNNNNNNNNNNNNNNNNNNNNNNNNNNNNNNNNNNNNNNNNNNNNNNNNNNNNNNNNNNNNNNNNNNNNNNNNNNNNNNNNNNNNNNNNNNNNNNNNNNNNNNNNNNNNNNNNNNNNNNNNNNNNNNNNNNNNNNNNNNNNNNNNNNNNNNNNNNNNNNNNNNNNNNNNNNNNNNNNNNNNNNNNNNNNNNNNNNNNNNNNNNNNNNNNNNNNNNNNNNNNNNNNNNNNNNNNNNNNNNNNNNNNNNNNNNNNNNNNNNNNNNNNNNNNNNNNNNNNNNNNNNNNNNNNNNNNNNNNNNNNNNNNNNNNNNNNNNNNNNNNNNNNNNNNNNNNNNNNNNNNNNNNNNNNNNNNNNNNNNNNNNNNNNNNNNNNNNNNNNNNNNNNNNNNNNNNNNNNNNNNNNNNNNNNNNNNNNNNNNNNNNNNNNNNNNNNNNNNNNNNNNNNNNNNNNNNNNNNNNNNNNNNNNNNNNNNNNNNNNNNNNNNNNNNNNNNNNNNNNNNNNNNNNNNNNNNNNNNNNNNNNNNNNNNNNNNNNNNNNNNNNNNNNNNNNNNNNNNNNNNNNNNNNNNNNNNNNNNNNNNNNNNNNNNNNNNNNNNNNNNNNNNNNNNNNNNNNNNNNNNNNNNNNNNNNNNNNNNNNNNNNNNNNNNNNNNNNNNNNNNNNNNNNNNNNNNNNNNNNNNNNNNNNNNNNNNNNNNNNNNNNNNNNNNNNNNNNNNNNNNNNNNNNNNNNNNNNNNNNNNNNNNNNNNNNNNNNNNNNNNNNNNNNNNNNNNNNNNNNNNNNNNNNNNNNNNNNNNNNNNNNNNNNNNNNNNNNNNNNNNNNNNNNNNNNNNNNNNNNNNNNNNNNNNNNNNNNNNNNNNNNNNNNNNNNNNNNNNNNNNNNNNNNNNNNNNNNNNNNNNNNNNNNNNNNNNNNNNNNNNNNNNNNNNNNNNNNNNNNNNNNNNNNNNNNNNNNNNNNNNNNNNNNNNNNNNNNNNNNNNNNNNNNNNNNNNNNNNNNNNNNNNNNNNNNNNNNNNNNNNNNNNNNNNNNNNNNNNNNNNNNNNNNNNNNNNNNNNNNNNNNNNNNNNNNNNNNNNNNNNNNNNNNGAGAAAACCGAGGAGAGAGAGUGUUUCUUACAUGCGUGGAGGCGGCGAAGAAUCAGGCACGGUGGUUGCCCGCCGCUACGGGAGAGGGGCUCGCGGAGGCUGGGUCGAUCUGCAGAUAAUUUAUUGCUUAGGGCGAGGAAAAUCAAUCAACACCCACUUGAGGCAAGAUGCAGAACUCAAAUGUUCAGUUAACGGAGGGAGUGAGGGAUACAGGGUUUACCUCGGCGGCGAAAACAGAGGAGACCGAGACGAACCGCACAGUUAGCGAGCGACAGGGAACGAACCAGAGAGGCGGAGGUGAAGGCGGCAACAGAGAGGGUGAUAUUAGGGUUUAAUUUCUUAUUGAAUUUUUUUUGGUACCGGUAGGUAACCGUUUUCCUUUUUUUUAUAUGAUAUUUUUUGUUUUAGAGUUAACUAACUAGAUUUUCCGAUGAAAAAAAAAAGAGUUAACUAAUUAAGCGGCAGGAGGAUGAACACUGAGUUUAUGGUAGGGCUAGACAAUAAGUCACAAUAGUGGAAUUUAGACGGUCGAUAAAUCACUACGUACGUCAACCCACUUUCUUAUUAUUUUAUUUAUAAAUUAUUGACUACAAUUUUGUUUAGAUCCAAGUGCAAGAAUCUCAGUAUGUUAAAACUUUUAUGCAAUCCUUGUCACCAGAAAAUAAAGGCUUCUCAUGGAGAUGAAAGAUAAUUACCCAUCAAGAGGAUUUACCAACCCAGGGUAAUGAUCACCAAAACUUAUUUUGUUGAUUUUAUGGCUUAUCUGCAUCACACACCAUACUUAGAAAAUUAAUCAAGAGAUUACAAGCAAAGGGAAAAACAUUGGAAAUUUAUCACAGGUUUCACAGUAUCAAAUGCCCCGGUAGCAAAAGGAAAAUUCCCAGCCACUUUAUUAACUUCAAGAGAUCCAUGGAUAUUGCAUCCUUCACCUUCUUCAUCCUUUACCUUUUGUACGAACCCCUCUCUUUCACACUAAAAGCAAAACUAAUUGUUAGAAAACUAUAGUCUAGCUCGACAAACAAUCUCAAACUGGAUGAUGAUUUCCACUUAGAAACCGCACACACACAAAUAAAAGGCCAAAAUGUGUCCUGUAUUUGGAUAAAAGAAGAAAUUCAUUAAGAUGAAAAAGAGAAAAAGAGAAUGGAGGAUAUGAGGAAUUCUCCUAAACAACUCCNNNNNNNNNNNNNNNNNNNNNNNNNNNNNNNNNNNNNNNNNNNNNNNNNNNNNNNNNNNNNNNNNNNNNNNNNNNNNNNNNNNNNNNNNNNNNNNNNNNNNNNNNNNNNNNNNNNNNNNNNNNNNNNNNNNNNNNNNNNNNNNNNNNNNNNNNNNNNNNNNNNNNNNNNNNNNNNNNNNNNNNNNNNNNNNNNNNNNNNNNNNNNNNNNNNNNNNNNNNNNNNNNNNNNNNNNNNNNNNNNNNNNNNNNNNNNNNNNNNNNNNNNNNNNNNNNNNNNNNNNNNNNNNNNNNNNNNNNNNNNNNNNNNNNNNNNNNNNNNNNNNNNNNNNNNNNNNNNNNNNNNNNNNNNNNNNNNNNNNNNNNNNNNNNNNNNNNNNNNNNNNNNNNNNNNNNNNNNNNNNNNNNNNNNNNNNNNNNNNNNNNNNNNNNNNNNNNNNNNNNNNNNNNNNNNNNNNNNNNNNNNNNNNNNNNNNNNNNNNNNNNNNNNNNNNNNNNNNNNNNNNNNNNNNNNNNNNNNNNNNNNNNNNNNNNNNNNNNNNNNNNNNNNNNNNNNNNNNNNNNNNNNNNNNNNNNNNNNNNNNNNNNNNNNNNNNNNNNNNNNNNNNNNNNNNNNNNNNNNNNNNNNNNNNNNNNNNNNNNNNNNNNNNNNNNNNNNNNNNNNNNNNNNNNNNNNNNNNNNNNNNNNNNNNNNNNNNNNNNNNNNNNNNNNNNNNNNNNNNNNNNNNNNNNNNNNNNNNNNNNNNNNNNNNNNNNNNNNNNNNNNNNNNNNNNNNNNNNNNNNNNNNNNNNNNNNNNNNNNNNNNNNNNNNNNNNNNNNNNNNNNNNNNNNNNNNNNNNNNNNNNNNNNNNNNNNNNNNNNNNNNNNNNNNNNNNNNNNNNNNNNNNNNNNNNNNNNNNNNNNNNNNNNNNNNNNNNNNNNNNNNNNNNNNNNNNNNNNNNNNNNNNNNNNNNNNNNNNNNNNNNNNNNNNNNNNNNNNNNNNNNNNNNNNNNNNNNNNNNNNNNNNNNNNNNNNNNNNNNNNNNNNNNNNNNNNNNNNNNNNNNNNNNNNNNNNNNNNNNNNNNNNNNNNNNNNNUUAUCAACAAAUUAAUAUUUUUAACCACUAUGUAGUUUUUGAAAAAUUGUAACCUAAUAUUAACCCAACGAUUUUUUUAAUGAAACCAUGAAUAUCUUUUAAAACACAUUCACUUAUUCCAUUAACUUUUUUAACAUAUUUCGUGAAUAAAAAAUACAUUUAGUUCAUACUUCUCUAUCAAAAGAUUGAAUUUCAAAUUCAAAUUCGUUCUUAAUUAAAGAUUGCUAUUUUUUUUAUCAAUUUUGAAUCUUAAUUUUACUUUGUAAUCUUUUACUUAUAUAUUAAAUAUUUAAAAAAAUCAAAUUCGAUAAUAUUUUAAAAUAGAAAAUUUCAGCGAUUUUAUUUUAUAAAAUUAAAUCUUUUUAUUAAUUUUUUAGUAAAUGAUAUAGUUAUAUUUUUUUCAAAUUUCUUCUUCUCCAAUUUGAUUAUUAAUUUUACUUCAAUCCCUUUCCUUAAUAAUUUAACUUUUAUAAAAAAUGUAUAUCAAAUGAAAUUCCUAAUUGUAAAACAUAAUUUAAUCCAUUCUAAUGCUUUGCCAAAAUAUAGGGGAAAUGAAACUGAUACAAGUUGCAUUAUAUUAGAAUUGAAAAACUUUGACUAGAAAUUAAACCCGUGCGUUGCACGGGUUUGUUAUUAAGUUAUGUGUCUAUUAUUUGUAAAAAUAAUUUAUGUAAUAUGAAAAAUUGUUGAAUUGUAGAUAUUUAAGAAUAUGAUAAACAUAUGUAAUGUAAUUAUAUUAAUGAAGCUCAGUAAAAAAAUUAUUGUACACUAAUUUUUUAGUGUUUUUUUUUGUAUAAACAUUUGGUACCGGUAAUCCUUUGGAUAUACAGACAAAUUCAAGAUUUAGUCACAAUUAAAACUCAUGAUCCCUCUCCCAUAGUGUAUUGUGUGGGGAUCGAAACCGAGAGCUCUUCACACACGCUCAGUCUGCGUUGCCACNNNNNNNNNNNNNNNNNNNNNNNNNNNNNNNNNNNNNNNNNNNNNNNNNNNNNNNNNNNNNNNNNNNNNNNNNNNNNNNNNNNNNNNNNNNNNNNNNNNNNNNNNNNNNNNNNNNNNNNNNNNNNNNNNNNNNNNNNNNNNNNNNNNNNNNNNNNNNNNNNNNNNNNNNNNNNNNNNNNNNNNNNNNNNNNNNNNNNNNNNNNNNNNNNNNNNNNNNNNNNNNNNNNNNNNNNNNNNNNNNNNNNNNNNNNNNNNNNNNNNNNNNNNNNNNNNNNNNNNNNNNNNNNNNNNNNNNNNNNNNNNNNNNNNNNNNNNNNNNNNNNNNNNNNNNNNNNNNNNNNNNNNNNNNNNNNNNNNNNNNNNNNNNNNNNNNNNNNNNNNNNNNNNNNNNNNNNNNNNNNNNNNNNNNNNNNNNNNNNNNNNNNNNNNNNNNNNNNNNNNNNNNNNNNNNNNNNNNNNNNNNNNNNNNNNNNNNNNNNNNNNNNNNNNNNNNNNNNNNNNNNNNNNNNNNNNNNNNNNNNNNNNNNNNNNNNNNNNNNNNNNNNNNNNNNNNNNNNNNNNNNNNNNNNNNNNNNNNNNNNNNNNNNNNNNNNNNNNNNNNNNNNNNNNNNNNNNNNNNNNNNNNNNNNNNNNNNNNNNNNNNNNNNNNNNNNNNNNNNNNNNNNNNNNNNNNNNNNNNNNNNNNNNNNNNNNNNNNNNNNNNNNNNNNNNNNNNNNNNNNNNNNNNNNNNNNNNNNNNNNNNNNNNNNNNNNNNNNNNNNNNNNNNNNNNNNNNNNNNNNNNNNNNNNNNNNNNNNNNNNNNNNNNNNNNNNNNNNNNNNNNNNNNNNNNNNNNNNNNNNNNNNNNNNNNNNNNNNNNNNNNNNNNNNNNNNNNNNNNNNNNNNNNNNNNNNNNNNNNNNNNNNNNNNNNNNNNNNNNNNNNNNNNNNNNNNNNNNNNNNNNNNNNNNNNNNNNNNNNNNNNNNNNNNNNNNNNNNNNNNNNNNNNNNNNNNNNNNNNNNNNNNNNNNNNNNNNNNNNNNNNNNNNNNNNNNNNNNNNNNNNNNNNNNNNNNNNNNNNNNNNNNNNNNNNNNNNNNNNNNNNNNNNNNNNNNNNNNNNNNNNNNNNNNNNNNNNNNNNNNNNNNNNNNNNNNNNNNNNNNNNNNNNNNNNNNNNNNNNNNNNNNNNNNNNNNNNNNNNNNNNNNNNNNNNNNNNNNNNNNNNNNNNNNNNNNNNNNNNNNNNNNNNNNNNNNNNNNNNNNNNNNNNNNNNNNNNNNNNNNNNNNNNNNNNNNNNNNNNNNNNNNNNNNNNNNNNNNNNNNNNNNNNNNNNNNNNNNNNNNNNNNNNNNNNNNNNNNNNNNNNNNNNNNNNNNNNNNNNNNNNNNNNNNNNNNNNNNNNNNNNNNNNNNNNNNNNNNNNNNNNNNNNNNNNNNNNNNNNNNNNNNNNNNNNNNNNNNNNNNNNNNNNNNNNNNNNNNNNNNNNNNNNNNNNNNNNNNNNNNNNNNNNNNNNNNNNNNNNNNNNNNNNNNNNNNNNNNNNNNNNNNNNNNNNNNNNNNNNNNNNNNNNNNNNNNNNNNNNNNNNNNNNNNNNNNNNNNNNNNNNNNNNNNNNNNNNNNNNNNNNNNNNNNNNNNNNNNNNNNNNNNNNNNNNNNNNNNNNNNNNNNNNNNNNNNNNNNNNNNNNNNNNNNNNNNNNNNNNNNNNNNNNNNNNNNNNNNNNNNNNNNNNNNNNNNNNNNNNNNNNNNNNNNNNNNNNNNNNNNNNNNNNNNNNNNNNNNNNNNNNNNNNNNNNNNNNNNNNNNNNNNNNNNNNNNNNNNNNNNNNNNNNNNNNNNNNNNNNNNNNNNNNNNNNNNNNNNNNNNNNNNNNNNNNNNNNNNNNNNNNNNNNNNNNNNNNNNNNNNNNNNNNNNNNNNNNNNNNNNNNNNNNNNNNNNNNNNNNNNNNNNNNNNNNAAUAAUGGUACACAAAUUUAAUAAUAAAGUCACUCGUGCAAUGCCCGGGUAUUCAACUAGUUUUUAUAUCAAUCGAAGGGAGAGAUACACAUACAAAAUGAAUGUAAACAAAUCAUUUUUCCGAUACAAAGAUAUCCAACCUGACACAAGCCAUGUAACUUUGCCACUCACCAUACCUAAAAAAAUUUGUUUGGUUGACACUUCAAACACAACUAUACCUAAUAAGAUAAGGUGAAUUCUGUGGUACCUAAAAAUUAUUUUGGGUAUGAUACCCGCAUUAAGUGAUUUAGUAGAUUAUUAUCAUGUGAAAUAAUAGAGUUUUAACCGUCAAGGUUUAUUGAUGAUAGAGAGGACGACAUCUGGAGAUCGUGACCGUGAAUGAUUGUACCCAACACCUUUGUUUUGAAACAGAUUUUUGGCAAUACAGGGGAGAAAAAGGGUUGUGAACUGUCUGGAGGAUUACUUUGCAAAUAAUGUGCUUAUAAAAAAAAAACUUUACAAAUAAUAAUAAGAAUAUUAACAUUUAAAAUUUAGAGCAUGUUUUUUUAUUUGUACGCAUCAUUUUUGUGAUUCAAUUAGAACAUGUCUAUUAUUGAUACACAUCAUUUUAGGUACCAUACCUUGAUCUGGUUUAAGCUACCAUAACAAGCACCGAUAAGGUAAUAAAGAAAUAAGAGAAAAAUGACAUAUAUGUUAGAUGAUAAAUAAGAAUAAAAGAGAAAUAUAGAGAGAAGGUGACCGAAAAUAUGAUAGAAGAGAAUUUUUAGUGUAAAUGAAUCUAAUACUCUAAAAAAUUAAGCAAAUGCAUUAUUCACACUUCAUCCACCUCACUUUAGAGAGAAAUAGGAAGUGAAGAAAGAAAAAUAAAUGAAACGAAAUGAAAGUGAUAGUUAGUGAGAAUAUAUGAAGGUUGGGAAAAAAAAAGAAAAAAAAAAGGAAGAAACUUUUUUGUGGGUGACGUGUGAACUAAUUUCCCACCCAUUUCCUCUGCCGUAUUCACCCACAGAAUACCACACACCAAAUCUUGCUUUCCACAGAAAAGAUUGUGACAGAGAAGCAAUCCACAGCACACAGAAACAACAACAAUACAACUUGAUCACUCUUCUACAUGCUCCACCUCUCAUCUGCAUGAAAGAAAAGAAACCCCCAUCAUCAAUGGCUCACCACCAAUCCUCUGCUGAUCAGAUUCCUCAUCAACCAUUGGAACUGCACCAACCCAAAGACAACACCACCACAGAGAAAGAACGACAAGAAAAAGAUGAUGCAUCUGCCUUAAAAACCCAUUUCAGUGAUGUUGAGGCAACUACAGAGUGCAGUAGUGGACGUGAGAGGUUGAAGAGGCAUAGAGUUGAAGUGGCUGGGAGGGUUUGGAUUCCUGAUAUUUGGGGACAUGAGAAGCUCUUGAAGGAUUGGAUAGAUUGUGCAGUGUUUGAUGCUCCUUUAGUUCCAACCAAACUCCUCAUGGCACGACAAGCUCUUGUUCAAGAGGGAAGAAGAAUGGAAAUAUAGGUGUUGAAUUUUAUUUAUUUCUGUGAUUUUUGUAAUAAUAUUAUUUAUUUCUGUGAUUUUUACUAUGAAUAUAUUGCAUAUCCGCCAUGUGAAUCUUAAUUUUAGAAGCUGUUGAUACUUGAUGCAUCAUAAAAUUAUGGUAUUCUGAAGAUUUAAAUCUGGAACUCUAAUUGAGUAUACAAAAUUCCUUAAAAAAACGAGUAUACAAAAUCACACUAUUUCACCAACAAGUCUAGAUUUGCUCAGUUUUUAAGCAUUUAGUUAAAAAUUCAAUUCCUUAACCAUGUGGAAGGAAGAAGAAUUUGUUGCGAGAAACUUAAGACCAUACAAAAUUCGCACCAUUAUAUUUAAGUCCAAGUUUUGUUUAAUUCUUUUUUCUUUUCCAUUAUUUGCUUUUCUGUGCGCUGAAUGAAUGAAUUCAAGUUGCAGUCCCGAUAUAUUUACACUUGCUACGGUGCUCCACUACAAUUGCACUCUAUACAUAAGCAUUUGUAGUAUAGGUGUUCAUGAAUUACAUUGAAUUGAAAGAAAAAAGUCAUCCGAUCCAAUCUCACAAGUUUCAUUAGUUUAUCAUCCAAUGAAUUUAUCUAUAAAUUCAAAUUUGAUGGGAUCUAAUAUAUAACAGUUUGGAUUGGAUUAGAUAUUGUUCAGUUUUUGUUUAAGAUUUUCAUUUAAGGUAGUAAUAUAUAAAUCUUAAAAAUAUGUAAUAUAUUACAAAUACAAUGAUAAAAAAUUUAUUGCAUUAAUAUAACAUUUUUUUAACUGAAUAUAGCAUUGAUAAGUACAUCAGUACAUGUAUAUGAUAAGAAAUAUAAGUAUGACUAUGUUAACAGAAACAACAGAGAAAAGGGAAAAACUGAAUGACUUUGAUUGAUAAUUGGUAAACAGUACAUAGAGGUGUUCUCCUUAUAUAGAGAAGAGAGUAGCUUACUAAGCAAGCUUUCUAGACUCAACUGAAUCAUAACUGACUCAUAACAGAAUGACAGCUCAGCAACUAACUAACUGACUACUCUAACAAACUGUUAUCCAGCUGGCAUACCAGCUGGCACAGCACAUGCGAUAUUCAUAUAUCACUAUAUAUUCAUAUACACUAAUAGACUAGUAUAUGUAUAAAUGAAAUUCUAUAUAUUUGCAGUGUUUUUUAAUUGGAUUGGUUCGGUUUUGAAAAUCAAAUCUGAUCCAAUAUAUACCGCUGAUCCUCCCCCAUCCCCAUUGCCAAUCUAACCCAAAACAUCACUAUUAAUUCCCACCGACGUUAAAGAUAAACAACUAUAGUAGUAAGGCAUGUUCAAUAGUUUUAGGCUCAGUGGACACAGUGGGCCGGGCUCAAAGUGAUUCUUUUCCUCGAAAGGUUCUCUCGAACAGGGAUAACAUGUGACUCACUUUUCAGAGAAAGCGUUUUAUCUUCUGUGAUAUAGGUAAACCCCAAAUGGUGUUCCAAAUUCUUUUAGGUAUUGUUGUGGAAGAACUGAGAGUGUUAAUGUUUGGUCUAGUAUGUUUCACUUCCUUUUUAGCUUUAUGGUAGCCCCUCUUGAUUGUAUCUCCUUCAUUAUUAGUUUAAGGACAAGUAAGAAUCAAUUCCCCUUGCGUGGUUCUAGUUGGAGUAUUCAGAAUUUAAGGGUUGAUGUAGGCAAGGACGGAUCCAUUCACAGCAUGUUGGGGUUAACUGCCCCACAAGAUUUUACAAUUCUUUUAACACGUUUGUUUUUGGAAAAACCAAAUUCAACUUUUCCAUCAAAAGUUUACUUACGAAGUUAUUCUAACUUAUUAAUCUCACUACAAGAAAUAAUGCUUUCAGUGAUAAGCAUUUUCGUCAUUAAAAGCUUAAAAUAUCGUCACUAUGAGUAUUUUAUGACGAAAUUUGUAAUCGUCACUAGUCGUCACUAGUACUUAAGUCACUAAUACAUAAAUUUCAUAUCACUCAUGCAUAAGAGUUUUUUUCCCCAAGGUAUCCCAACAACGGGUAUCCCAUAAGAGGUUCUUCUAAGACUCUAAGAUAACGUUAAAUGGGUAGAUUUCUCCCAAUAAAUGUAUAAAAUGUCUUUACAUACUUCUAAUUAGUGUUAUUAGAUUCAGCUCGGACCAACCGGUUGGGUCAGUCCGACCGAAAAACAGAUGGGUAAGUUAUUCGAGUCAAAUAUUGGAUCGGCCAUGCAUUCAACCUGGCGAGAAUCGGUAUGAAUUGCAACGAACCGGUCGGUUUCGUGAAAAAUCGGUAGCUUGAACCGGCUGAGUUUUGCCAUUUCAAAGAAAGAGAUGAGCUUCACUCAUCUAGAAAAGAAUCAAAGAUAAGGUUCUGAACAUGCAAUGGGGUGGAUUAAUGGAUGAAUGGAGAAGAAAUGCAGAUGAUUGAAAAUUUGAAAUAGCCCAAGAUUCCAGUCUCUCAGCCGUGUGGUAUCUCACUAGUCUCACAACAUAGAUGAUAGAUCUAGUCGCCGGUACAAGAAAAAUGAAAAAAGAAAUGGUGGGUAGAGGAUAAAAGAGGGAUGCAGGUGUAACUCCAAAAUGAAAUAUGAGGAAAAUGAUAUAUUAGAGUUUGAGUUAUUUGGGCUUUACUUUGCAAAGCCUAAAAUUAAACUAUUAAUUUUAAUAAAUAUUUUGGUCUUAAAUGGGCUUAAGCUGCUGCCCAAUACGUUAUAAAAGCUGCCCAAUAUAAAAAUUAAAACUUUCACAGGUGAAAAAAACAAGAGGAAUUUGUGCCCUUUGAAUUCGAACACAUGACCUGCAAAAGAAAGAAUUUAUGUCAACCAUUAUCACAAUAAGUAUAAUAUGUAUGUGUACUAGUUAUAUAUUAUUUGAUAUAUGUAUUUUCGGUUUAACAAGCUGAACUAGUGACUCAGCGGUUGAACCAUUGGCCCAUUGAACCGGUAUAUCAACCGAGUGAGUCACUGAAUCGAGUUUAAUUACACUGCUUCUAAUUACAUUAUUAUCCUGUUCCAUCCUAUUCUGUCAUGUUUCGUUCUGUUUUAUCCUGUUCCGUUCUGUCACCAAACGCUACCUAUGUAAUCUGGAACACGUUGGUCACAUGAGGCUAAAGACAAAUGGGGAAGAAAUAUCAAAUAUCACAUUAUGUACUUUGGUUAAUCUUUUAUGGACCCUUCAAAUUUGAUAUUAUUCAAUUUGAGUGUUUGGUAUUCAGCCAACUCAGAUGCAGUACCAAAUCACCAAUAGUGAAGUACCUGUCACUCUAUACAAUACAAUUGGCCAACACAUUACCAUCAAAGCAUUUGACAUUUUCCAAAACAAAACCAGAACACCAAUUCACACACACCAACCAGUUCAAAGUUCAAACUCCCAAUAACAGUGCUGCAAGGUUGGAAGAACCUCUCCAUCUUCCAAACUCAUCAUGGCUAUGGCAGCAGGAGGAACUCUGAGUCUCUCCCAUUUCUCAGUUCACAGACCAAUUUCAUUGCCCAGAAGAAGAUUACCCAGAAGCAAAGUGUGCAUUAGAGCCAUGUCAGAAACCUCUUCCACUUCCACCCAACAAGAACCAAUUUCAGAUGCUUCAUCUUCAUCUUCAUCUUCAUCAUCAUCAGUGUCAUUUGCUGCUCCCGUCGAUUUCAAGGCCCCUGAGCCCAAACCCUUUACAGUAAGCUCUGGCCAAACCGGUGAGGUGUUUAAAGCUGUACUUCCCUUGGUCUUUCGCUUUGCUACUGGAGUUUUCGUUUCUGGGUAACAACCAAAUUCUCCUCUCUCCAUAUUGGUUUGUAUGUUGGUAUUUUUUUCCUUCAGUUUUUACCACCAACAUACCUAAAUUCUAACGCUUUUGUGGUCUUUGAGAUCAGAAACUCAAAGGUUGACUCUUUCUUCAGUUGUUUAUAUUCUUUUACAUGUAUCAGAUUGAAUUCCUUGUCGUUUUAAGUUUUGGGGUACAAAAUGAGAGCAUGUUUACUGAUAAUAUGUUUUUGACAUUUUGUCCUGGUUAGAUUGAGCAGAGGUUGUGAGUUGAAGUAUCUAGGUAGACUGGUGGUAUUAUUGGCUUAAUGUUUACAUAUUUAAUAUUUGAUGUUAUUGCUGUUUCAAUAUGGUUGAUUCAUGUACUACUUGAGGCAUAUGUAGACUAGAGAUCAAUGAAUAUUCCCAACUCGCAAAUGAAUAUUUUCCGUGAAAGAUAUCUGUAGUCCUAGACGAAAAAAAAGAGGGAUCUGGCCUGAUAUUAUGACUUUUUUGCUAGAAGGAUCAUGAUACUGUGAGAGACUUAGUUUGGAUUGGCUUCCCAUUAAAGAUGAUUAUUAGAUGUUAUAUUUCAUAUGCUUUCCAUUAUGUGCAUAUUCUUUUUUAGUUGUGUUGAGGUUUUCCUAAAAGGACCAUGUAAUAGUUGAAAAUCUUGAAGAGACUGGCAGACCAGAUUCUAAUUUUUUGUGCUUUUGUUGUGCAAUGCCAGGUACUCUUUUUCAUUUGUUUCUAAGGAUGAAAUUCCACCGAAUGAAUACGCUUUGGAAGUUAAUGGUAGCAUCUACUGUCUAUUAUGUUUAAUGCUCAUGGUUGCAUGCUAGAUUUAUUUUUCCAAUUCUCAAAUACUCAUAGAUAUCUGGUUGACUUGCAACUGUGACUUAGAAGGUGGAAACAUAGAAAGUUGUAUGCCAAACUUUCAAUGAUUAUAAAUUAUUUGUGUCAUGAACCAACUAUCUUAAAUGCUUAAGUUGUUGGGUGAAGACACAUGAAUGGUUUUAUAGGUCCCCUAAUUCGCUAGUAAGUUGAGAGAGUUAGUUAGUUGUCCGGGAUGGAAUAUUAUAAAUAAGAGAGUUUAGGACGAUGAUCAUCUUUGGGAUCAUUUAGUAAUUAGGAAGUAGGGACAGGUGCUGGGACUCUUGAAUCACUUAGCAACCGUUAUAGUUCAUUUGAUAUUCUUGAAUAAUAGCAGAUCUGUUCUUCUUUUUGGCUGGUUCUUAUCACACGCCCCCUUAUGCAAGAGCCCAUUGCCCUUAAUCUGUUGGGAAACCAUAGCGCAACCUUCGUUACUGGCCCAAUUGGUUCAUGCGUCGACGAUGCGUAGGUCCAUCUACAGAGACUCUGAUAACAUGUCAUGAACUAGUUAUCUUGAAAGUUCAAGAUAUUGGGUGACAUAAAUGAUUUAUAUUAUAUUAGUAACAAUGUGGCUUACUAUUUUGUCUUUUGGUAGAUUUUUCCAUGGAAAAUUUCUACAAAAAUACUUGUUGUCUGUGCAUGAAAGGCUUCCAAAGAAAGAUCUCUUGAACUGCCUUAUAUAUAUAGUAUGUGUAUGUUGUGUGAUAGAGUAUUUGCAGUUUUCCAGUUGAACAUUCCUAUAUUUUCUGUGAUGUUCUGAAAAUACUUAUCUCAUAACAAAUACGCUCAACAAGUCAUGUUUUUUGUUUAUUUAUAUUUUAAUUAAUCAUCUAGUUCCUUUUUCUCCUGUUGACAAUUGACAUAAGGAAUAUGGUUUUCAGGCUCUAUGGUAAAAGAAACAUCAAAGGUAGGCCCUCGCCCUGAGAAGCCUAUUGAGAUAUAUGAGUUUGAGAGGUAAUCAAUAAUUCUGUGUCAAUAUUUUAAAAUUCCUUGACUAAAUACUUCUUGAAUCCUUCUUCUUCCAAAGCAAAGAUGGAUAACUAGCUUUUAAAUUUGCUUUGUACCUUUACAUUAAUCAUUGGAAUUUUACAUGCCACUCUAAGGAUUAUGGAAUAACCUAAUUUGGUAUGAUGUUUUGUUUUUUUACAUAUGUGCUGUCAUGGAUCGUGUGCAGCUGUCCAUUUUGUCGAAAGGUAUGCAUUUAAUUUUUUUUCUAGAUACUUUCUGCCAGCAUAUAUUUUUCAAGAAUUUGUGUUUCAUAUCUAUGUUCACGUGCGAAAUGUAAGUUACCAAAAUGGAUUUUUACCAUGACAGGAAUAAACUCUUAAAGUAUGCAAGUCAACUUCCAUUAUGCUAAUCUUUUUAUUUUAGGAAUUUGAGUUAGAAUAUCAGACAUGACUUUUCACCAGAACAGGCCAGGAUAAACUCUAAUCCUGCUAUCCAGUAUCAGGAUUAACUGCUGUUUCCUUUCCUUUUAUAUAUUGGGGAGAAUAUUAGGCUUAAUAACAAAGUUAGACCUUCAAAAUCUCCAUCAUUGAUUGUCUACUGUUGUCAUUCUUCUGUUAUUAUAUUAGCAGCCAUUCUUUUUUUAUAUUUUGGGGACUAAUAUUUUGUCUUUACACAGGUUAGAGAAAUUGUUGCUAUUUUGGACCUUGACGUUCUUUUCUAUCCUUGUCCAAGAAACGGACCAAAUUUCCGUGCGAAGGUUCUUGAGAUGGGUGGUAAACAGCAGUUCCCUUACAUGGUAUGAUUGAGUCCUUAAAAACUACCAGCGAAACAAAAUUGGUAGUCUUUUAUUACGAUUUUUGGGACAUUUUGAAAAUUAUGGGAAGUAUCCUAAACUACUACAGUGAAAUUCUUGCAAAAACUAUUCUGCAGUUCAUGAAUCCUUCUGGCAUCUUAUAACAUCAACUCUUGCUAAUUGGCUAAAAAGGUUUGAGUUUUAAAGAAAAGUGUAGCCUAUAAUGAGAUGCUGCUAUCAGAUACUCCUGGAAAGAAAAGAAUCUGCAUUCAAAUAGUUAUAUCUGAGAGAGAUAGAAUGUGGAAUUAUUCCUCUAUAAACUUGUAUUUUUGUUCUAUUCAUAUACAAAUCUUUUGACAUUGUGUACUGGCUCAAAUAAAACAGCACCAAAAGAACCGUCUAAAGGUGCAGUAUAAUUUUCCUCUUUUAUGAAGUUGCUUCUGAAAGCUUUGCCUUGCAAUUAUUUUACUAGUUAUCUAUUUAUCUAUCAUCACUUGCCUUUUCACGCCUCAUGUUAAUCGCUUAGUGUCUCUGAGUAAGAACAACUUUCUGAUUUUCUUGGUUACAGGUUGACCCAAACACUGGCGUUUCAAUGUAUGAAUCAGAUGAUAUAAUUCGGUAUUUGGUUGGCAAAUAUGGUUUGUUUCUUAUGUACCCUUUUCUUUUUCAUUCUUAUGUUUCAUAGUCUUUCUCAUUGCAUUUUCAAUCUUUAAAAUUGGGGGUGCAAUUUUUCAAAUAUGAUGAAAACUAAGUAUCUUCCUUCAAGAGCAAUAUAAUUUACUCAAGCAUUAAAAAAUAAAAGCUAUAGACAAGUCCUUAUUUUACAUACCUCUGAAACCAUCUACUGACAUUGCAGCAUAUACAUGAUUAAGCACCUUAACUUUUAAGAUCAUUAGUUUUACUGCAAGGUUCUAGGCUAAUACUAAUUUUGCAUGCUUUACCCAAAAAAUAUCCUAUUGUUGAGUGUUUACUAAUCAUUAGCUAUUCUGCAGGUGAUGGAAGUGUGCCUUUUACUUUGUCACUUGGAUUUUUAACGGUUAGAAACUGACACCACCUCCAGAAACUUGAAUUGUAUCAUUGAUGUUAGUAUUUAAACGCUAUAUUUUUUUCUGCAGAAUCUGACUUGUGGUCUUGCAAUGCUUAGUCGUAUUACAAAGGUAAUAUCACCUUUCUCAAGUGGGGUGUUUAACUAUGGCCCAGUUCAGAAGAACUUGUUUGAGCUUGCUUUGUAGCAUAAGCUGUAAGCACUUAUACAAGUAUUUGGAAGAACUUCUGUAAAUAGCUUAUGAGAUACCUAUAAGAUGUUUUGAGCUUAUUUUUAUAAGCUGCUCAGAUUAGCUUAUAAAUAAGAGCUUAUGCUUAUCUGUAACAUUUUUUUAGUUUAUUUCAGUAAGUUUCUCAAAUAAUCAAAUUAGCUUAUGAAUCAGUGCUUAAUUAAGUUAUUUAUUCAAACACCCAUUUUUUAUUGAGAAAUAAUCCUUUCUUCACAAUUAGUGAAGGAAUUACUAGCAAAAUGCGAAAGUAAUAUAUAUGAAUUUCAUUUUUGGUUGUCAUUGAGAUUUCACUAAUAAGUAUUCAAAUUUCUGUUUCCAGGGGACAACUUAUACUCCAGCAAAGUUACCUCCACAGCCUCUUAAGUUAUGGGCAUAUGAGGUUGGUGGAUAACAUGCAAACCAUGCAUCCUAAUGUUUAAUGAACUCAGGACUGCUAUCUCUAAAUUAUAAAUUGGCAUGCAUGAUAAUAAUGUAACCAUUAUCAGCGGCUAGAGAAUUUUUAAUUUGAAAUGUUUUCUUCCAUCAGGGGUCUCCUUUCUGCAAACUUGUACGUGAAGUACUAGUCGAAUUGGAGCUUCCGCACAUCCUUUACAGGUACAAUCCAUAUUUUCUGAGCUGCCAGCUGUUAGAUUUGAUGACCAAUAGAAAAAAAUGAAUGGUUUAUGACUAUAACUAGGGGUCUAACCGGCCAGGUUGGUUCAAGUUUGAGGUGUUUUAAAAUCCAAACCAAUAAAAUUGGGGAUUAGGUUGGUUCGGGUUGCUCAAUUUUUUAACAAGGAACUCGAACUGAACCAUCCUGAAACUGACUUGGUUGGUUCAGGUCGGUUGGUCGGGUCAGAUUAAAAUAAUAUUUUUAACUAAAUUUUUUAAAGGAAGCCAGAAAUCCCCUUUUUGACAAAAAAAAUCUGGUAACUAUAACCACUGAAUAUUCUGUCAUCCAAAAGUGAAGGUUAAUGCAGUAUACAGCUGAAUAUUCCGGUAAAGUUUAUUGUUUUUUUCUUUCUGUAUAUCCCUGUAAAUAGUUUUUUCUUUAUAUAUCACUUUUCUGUUGAAGUUCACUCCUUGUCUUAGUCUUGAUUGGUGCAUUAUAAAUUUAUAAUGCAUACUUAAGUUGUGUUUUUUCUUGUUACUUACAUUUAAUAUUUCAUUUUAGUUGUGCUAGGGGUAGCUCAAAACGACAUAUACUAUAUCAGAGAACUGGACAUUUCCAGGUACUGAUUUAUUCAUGUAGUGAUUCUUUCAAGCCUUUCCAAACACACACUUGUUACAAGCUUAAUGAGAUGGUGUUUGAUUAGUGCAUAUGAUGUCAACGUUUAUGGUUAUGGUUCACAGGCACCCUUUUUGGAGGAUCCAAACACGGGGAUAGAAAUGUUUGAGAGUGCAGACAUAAUAGAGUAUCUCAGAACAAUUUAUGCUCUUCAGUGAGUGAUGUUAUGAAGCUUCUAAGGGGUUUUAACCCAGUCUCGACCUUCAUGGCAUGGCAUAUUGUAAAAUUCAAAAUGAUUUCUAACAUUGAGGUAAGUUAAUUUGUUACUAUACAAUAAAUAUAAAAUAAUUGAAUCACAUACCUCAACACUAAGCAAUUGUUUGAGGAGGUUAAACUGUAGGUUGUAAAGUAGGAUUCUAUUUCGUUCUUCAUUAUUGUCCUACAAGGCCUUUAAGUAUAAGUAUAAUGCCUUUGAAGAUGAUCAUCCUCCGCAAGUUGCAUAAUAUAUUAUGAUAGUUUGCUAUGAGUGAAUUAUUAUUUAUUAGAGGAGGGAUCCUCAUGUGAUUUUUGCUAUUUCCAUUGUUGACUUAUACUUAUUUUUGCCCUCAAUGAUUUUAGUUAAAUUUAUUAACUUCUAAAUUGGAUUAGAAGUAUAGUUUUUACUUUUAUGUUACAAAAGUGUACAUGAUAUUAAGUUUUAAGUAUACUGAUAACGAAAUUGUCAUUAACCAAUUAUUAUAAUAACUUUAGCGUUAGAUGAAGAUACAUGAAUGAUUUUACCUAAUAUUUUCAGCAUACCUUUUCGUUUAAGAGUUCAUUGCCUAAUGUUUAGAUUCAAUUACUUUUAUCAGCAUAAAUAAUGCAACAAAUGUUGAACUCUAGACUAAAUGCAGAUAAAGGAUUUGAAAUUUGAUAUUGUACUCUCUUAGCCGGUCGGCUUGAAGCCCCUAAAGAAAGCAUACCUAUAACGGAAGUACUGGACAAAGGUUCGUUCAACUAAGUCUGGCUAGUUUACACUUUAGGACUCACCAAACAGUGCAACACUCUUAGAUAACUCACCAUUGCAAGGAAUGAGGAUCACAUGCGAUAAUAGUGUGGAAACAUAUCUUGUAAAUAUAGGAAAUAAGAGCGAAGUGAAGCAUUGAUUUCUUGGAUUGUCGGUAGAAGGAGGGUCUCAUAUGCCUAAAAGAAGAAAGGGAUAACAUUGCUAUAAGACAAAAUGAAUGAGAGAUUGGGCUGAAGCUAGGAAGACUCAAAUAGGGAAAUAAAAGGGGCUAAGAAAAAAAGAGAAAACAUGCCCACUAAGAAAAUGCAUAGGACCAUAGCAAUUGAGACUAUCUCUAUCUCUUAGCCUUUCAUUGUGUAUUGUUACUCUUGUAAGAGCAUAUACUAUGUUGUUAACCAAUUAUUCUAAAGGUGUGUUUGGUUCAACCAAUUAUUGUAAUUGCCCAUAAAGUUUUAACUUUUAAAACAUGAUAAGAAAUAUUUUUGUCCUCCUAGUAGAGGGGAGCCACAAUUGAAUAUAAUGUGUAACAAGUAACAACAUAAGAUAGGUGCAUGUAUGAAGGUAAAGGUGGGGACCGUGAUUCCAAUAUCUGACACAAGGCCUGUGUCCACACACUCAUCAAGUAUGGGUCUGUUUCCCUUCAUGUCUCCAGCUGGGGGAGGUUCAUUUGUGCUUUAGGCUAAAAAAGUAUUUAGAAAGACCAAACCAAAAGCGGAAACCAAAUUAUAAACUAUUUUUUAUUUGUUAAAGUAUUAUAAACGCAUUUCAAAAUGUUCAUUUAUUUAAAACCUCACGUUUAUCAUCAGAACACUGUUCACUUUGAACUUAGAUUUGGUGCGAUGGUGACAUACAAACUCAUCUUUUUUUAGUGGAGAGUUUAUAUCUCUUGUGAUGUAAGUGGGGAAGGUAUGAUCAGAAUCUAGGGACAAAAUCAGAAAAAAAAAAAUGUGUAACAAGGAAAAUAUUAUAUACAUUAAAUUUAAAACGAAUAAUUGAAUAACAUAUCAAAAAAGAAAAAUGCUAGUUAGUACAACAGGAAUUGCAAGAAUUGAAAAUCAACUAUCACCAUGCUCUCCGUUUUAUUUUUCACCCAAUACAAAUAUUUUGUUGCCACGUACUUUAUUCUUGCGUUUCUAGCUCAUGUUUCAUACUAAUUAGCCAUUGUCAUGUGAUUACUAAAACUUUGAGGGGACAAAUACAACAUUUGAAUACAUCCGGACAUCUACACAGAAUUCUGUUAGAUGUUUGAAAGUUCUUCCUAAUUGAUGUUAAAGUUAAAAUUUAAGGGUUUAUUUUUUGUCAUAAGAUUUCAAAUGACAACACUUUCAUUUUUGCCAGAUUUGCAAGUUUGUCAGACGUUUUAAUUUUUUUUAUUCUAAUGUCAGACUAUUUAUUAUCUAAAAUGCUUAGUGUUACAAAACAAUAUCACAACAUAUUUAUUUUUGGAUAAGCUAUAUGUAUAUAUAAAUAAAAAGAAAUGAAACGGCACCAACAGUGCCAUCCAUCCAGAAACAAUACAAGAGAGAGAGAGAGCCCAAAAGGGGCAAAGGGAAAGAAAAAACGAAAGACAGGCAGAAGAAUAAUACAGAGAUAUACAGGAACAUCACAACAUAUGAAAACAAAUACAUUUGAUUGGUUGAAGUUUGUUACGUUGUAUUAUGCAUGAUAAUAUAAGCUUAUACAAUACAUUGUAGAUAUAUGCAUUAUUUGGUUUUAACGUUGUAUUGUAUAAUUUUAUCUAUCAAUCCACUCUUAUAUAUACACAGUAAAAUGAUGGAUUAUUCAAUCCACUCUAUAAAUGAUGGAUAAGACAUGAUAAGAAUGUGACGUAUAAGCUACUUGAAAAUAUUUAAUCCCCUCCGCCUCCACCACCACCCUCCAUCAUUGUCACUGUCAUUGCCACCAUUGCAAUCGCCAUGCCGCGACCGCCGCCACCACCACCACUCGAACCGCCACAGCCACUGCAGCCUCCACCACUCUCCAUUGCUAUUGUCACCACCACUACAACUAACUACUGCCACAAUCCACCACUAUUAGACCGCCACAACCACCUACCUCCACCGUUGCCACCACUCAGUAUCACCAUUGUCACCUCUACUGCCACUGUCACUGCCACCACUAUCGUUGCAGCGUCGUCGCCACCAUUACCCAUCACCACCACCUACUCACACAAUCCUCAUUAUUAUAUUAUCUAUCAUUAUGCAAUAUUUUACAAAAUAUAUGAUUAUAUUAACUUAAAACAAUAUGAUAGGUUAUACAGUGUGAGUGUAUGACCAAAUGUUAUAUAGUAUUGAGUUUUUUAUCAUAUCUUAUCCUAUAUGGCUUUAUACAACAAAAAAUCCUUGUAAGUAACUUCUGAGUGCUAAAAUUAAUUAUGAAAGAAUAAAAAUUUAUCUAAACAUAUAUUUUCUUUAGCCUACAUUUUCCUCUCAUGAUUCGUUUCCCUUUUUUUCCUUGACAAACUUAUUCGGACACAUGUGGAGAAAUUAUAUGACAGUGUUAAAAAUUUAUGUGAUAAAACUUGCAGAAUCCAUAUGGUAUACUUAUAGAUAGGGAUGACAUCGAGUCAGGCCGGGUCUUGCCUAUCCCAAACUCAAACUCUCAUAUUAAACUCAAACCCACACUCGUUAGGUUUCGGGUUUACCCAAACCCGUUGUAGCCUCAAAUUCACGUCCUAACCUAAUUUGAUGUAUAAACGUUUUUUUGCAAAACAAAAUGCAACUUGUAUUAUUUUGUUGUGAAAAAACCUUUUAUAUCUUUUUUGCCAAAAAAUAUGAUACCUUGAUGUUCAAAUAUGAUCAAAUUGUUAACAAAUUAAGUUGUUAACAUGAUAUGUAAGAGUAGUUUUGCAAUUUCAUAUAUAUUGUUCGGGUUUAGGUGUGAGUUUCACUAAUACCAAACUCAAACCCAAACUCAAUCAUAUCGGGUUUUACCCGUAAAAUCGGGCUCGAGCGUGCCCCACGGGUUGAGAUUCCGUUGUUAUCCCUACUUAUAGACUGGUAAUAUAUCGCAUGGGAUGUCUAGCUUAUUAUUUCUACAGUUAUUAUAUUAGUCGAUUAAUAAAUUAAAACUAUUUAAUUACAUUGCCAUUCAGAGUCUAUCUACACAACAGAGAAAACUCACUCGAAUCUCACAUUGAUCGAGAAUGAUUAAGGAAGAAAUGAGAAAUAAAUAAGAGUUAUGAUAAGUAAUGUAAUAGAAAAAGAAGAGAGAAAUAAAUAAAAAAAUUAAGUGUGUGAUGAAAAUGAGAUAGAAAUAUAUAUUAGUGUUGUUCGGGUCUAAGGACUAACAAUGGAUAACUAGUACCCUUAAUAAACCCUAACAGAGCUAAGAGAAUAUAAAUGAUGUAAGAAUAAGGAAAUUAUCUCAUUAAUGAUCAAAAAGGUACCUAGUACAAGGUGAGAACACCCCCUUUUAUAGUGGGAGUGAUCCUUAUCUAGAAUAUUUAUAGAUUUGGACCUUACAUGCAAAACUCAAAUCCCAAUAUAAAAUAAGACAAAUACAUAUAUCAUUAAUAUGAUGAACAAGACAAAAUAAACUCAGGCCCACAUCUGCAUGCCGGGACCCAUGCCUUACUUCAAGGGUAUUACUCUUACUGGGCGGGUCUAUGGGCUUGUACUAGCCCGCCCAGUCCGCGUGUGAAUGAAUAAAACCCAUUACAACACCUGAUCAUAUUAAUUUUGUAGAUGUUAGUUACUCCGUGAUGUCAAAAUUUUACCAUGUAAAAGAAAAAGAAAAAAAAUAGAGCAGCGCUCAGGAAACCAUGUUAAAUUUUAAAAUCUUUCAAAAAGGGGUUAUUCCUGAAGUUAUGAAAGGGUACAAAAUAUCUUUUUAAAUCAUCCUUGUCUAUUUUAUUGAUAUUGCAUGUUUUAAUUAAAUUAUGUUUUAAAAGUUUAUUCCCACAUUGAUUGGUCAUGAGCUCUUGAAAGAGUCUAUAAGUCAAUGUGAUAUUGAGAUUGUACAAUUGCUAGUAAGUGAUCAUUUGAACUAUUGUUCAUGAGAUGAUUCACAGCCAAAGUGCCUCCAGAAAUUGUGGAUGACAGUGCUUGGGGUGAUAAAGUCGAAGAGUACGGCAGAAUAGUGUGAAUCUACAUUGGGAGAGGUGUCUUUGAAAGACACUCUGACGCUCAAGUUAGCUUAAGGUCAGAGAGAAUAUCUCAAAGACAAAAAAAAAAUAGUAUGUAGCAAAUGAAUAAUGUUUAAGUUAUGAAAUGAUCAAAACCUGUAUUUAGAGUUUGAUAUGACCAAUGAUGAAGGUGUUUAACCUUGGUUUAGUCAUUAUAAGUAGUUAAGUAGUUCAUGAGAUAACAACUUUUCUUGAGUGGUCUUUGAAUCAAUUAGCUUUACCUUUCCUUUUUUAGUUACUUAAAUGCGUUAAGGCUUCAUUUUAGUCGUCCUGGCUGACCAAUACGACGCUCACUUGGUCGUGAAACCUGUGGGCUGACUAUGGUGAUGAUAGGCUUAGUAGUCAUUUGGGUCGGCCAAAAAAUGAAUCUCUUAGCUUGACAUAUAAUGUGGAUACAAUGGCAAGAUGAUAAAGUAAUGCAAGAAUUUAUGAAGCAUGUAUCGAGGAGAAAUUAACUCGAGAUGCUUAUAAAAGCAAUUCGAGAUAAACAAUUUUAAAAUCAUUUUCGGGUUAAGAUAAAAAGUCUGCUUUUCCUUACAAAUGGUGGAGACAUGGCAUUCAAGUUCUCAUGCUUGAACAAUUCUUUUAUGUUUUCAACAUCGUUUGCUUCGACAUGGAGAGAACCGUGUCCAAGAGUCAAAUCCCUUUAUCCUGCUCUCUCAUGUAUUAGAACAUAAAGUAUAUUCUUAGAGUCAAAUCUCAUCUUUAAUACUAUAUAGUUCAUGAGCUUAAACUUCUCAACUAUCACUCUUGUAAAGAAGAGAUUUCAGUAGAAGCAAACGAUCUUGAGAAGUUUUGUAUAAUCCUGUAAGGAGAAGUCCUUAGAAUACUUGUAAGGAGAAGUUAUGCGAAUACUUGUUGGGAGAAGUCCCGAAGAAUACUUGUUGGGAGAAGUCCAGGAGAAUCCUUUUUUGGAGAAGUCCUCGAGAAUACUUGUUGGGAGAUGUUCUGGAGAAUAUCCUUUAUACUUGAUUAAUUAGUAAAAUUUUGGUAUAACCAAGGACUGGAUGUAGCCCUAUCGUUCUGGGGUGAACUAGGAUAAAAAUCUUGUGUGUCAACUGUUUAUUACUUUGCUUGAUUAUCUGCUGCACCAAACGAUAUUGAAGAACUAGAUGAAAUUGUCAAUCGUUUGGAAAACCAACAUUUUGGAUAUGACCAGGGCCGGCCCUGGGCCUGUGCAAGCAGGCCCACAGCCCAGGGCCUCCAAAAUGAAGGGGCCUCAAAAAAAAAUUCUCAAAGGCUACGGUUUCUAAAGUGUGGCCUAAAGUUUUUAUGCAACAGCUUUGAAACUGUUGCCUUUUCUUCUGCUGAUCAUAACCGACGCAGAUGCACCUUAUAGCUCCACUCUCCAGCUUUGUCUUGAGUUGCUUCCUAAAGUGUGGCCUAAAGUUUUUAUGCAACAGCUUAGAAACCGUUGCCUUUUUAGAUUUUUGGCCACGGUUUUUUGACUGGAGCACACGUCCGUUGCCUUUUCUCAAAAAACUACCCUACUUUACUAAAUAAUUUAAAUAGAUAAUGUUCCUUAAAAAAAUUAUUAAGGGUCCAUUUUUAUUAUUUGCCCAGUGCCUCCAAAAUGUCAGGACCGGCCCUGGAUAUGACACAAUUCAUCCCCUUUCUUGUGCUAGUUACUUCUGAAUAUCUCAAGGUUGUGCUGACCCUAUUCGAUCACUUAUAUUUAGCGUAGGCAUAUCCAACACUAACUUUUUAUUUCAAAAAGCAUUGGCCCCUCAACGCUAUGUUUAAUCUGUGGGAGUUGAAUCUUCUAUUAGCGUCAGAACAAGCCAAUGCCAGUUCAUAAAACAACGCAACUUCAUCCUUUAUGGUUUGUGAAGCGGGUUUGGCCGACGCUACUUUGCGGCAGAUUAUCCGACUAUUUUUUUUUAACUCUAAAAUGACCUAGUAAUGUAUGUAUAGCGCAUUAGAUUGUAAAUUUGGUAUUCAUCAUGAAUGAAUGAUACAUGUCGAGUGGAUUGGAUUCAAUAGGCAGGAUGGACUUUGAUGGCUUCCGCAUGACUUGGAUUCAACAAACACACCAUGUGUGGCUGUGGCAAAACGAGGAGUCUUUUCUUUGGGAAUAUAUAAGGAACAGUGGGGCUCUUCGGGUGACAACUGGAAUUUCUAGCUUUGUCCCUCACUUUAUGUGAUAGUGAAUUUAAGAUAAUUCUUAUCAUAGGGGCGUAUCUAGGUAGGGGCAGACAGGGGCCACCGCCCCUCCAAGAAUUUCGAAAUGUUCAUCGACUAUAGGUAUUUUUAUAUAGAAGAUGUUAUAACAUUUUGUGAUGCUCAUCAAGUUGAAGUUCCUGACAUGAAAACCUCUUAUUUUAUGAGUAAUGGUCGUAAUAAGAAAUAAGAUGGAGAUAUCAAACAUCAUUAUAGGAUAUAUGUAUUUUAUUGUGCAAUUGAUUUGCAACUAUAUGAAUUAAAUAAAAGAUUUAAUGUAGUGGCAUUGAAACUUUUCAUACUUAGUUCAGCUUUAAAUCCUAAGGAAAAAUUUAAAUCAGAUGAGAAAAUCUGUAAGUUUGUUGAGAAGUUUUAUGCAGAUGAUUUUUCCGAGCUAGAAAAGAGAAAUUUGUCAUUCCAACUAAGACAUUAUCAUUCAGAUGUUUUUCGAGAUCUUAAUUUAGGAAAAAAUUUCAUUUUAUCUGAGUUUUACCAGAAGUUAGUUGAAACUGGAAAAACAACAAUAUUUCCACUUGUUGAUAUAUUGUUACAUCUUGUUUUGACAUUCCUUGUUUCAACAGGAUCUACAGAACGAUCUUUUUAUGCAAUGAAAGUUGUUAAGACUUCGGCUUUGCAACAAAAUUGAAGAUGAUCUUCUUAGAAAUUUAUUAGUUAUAUAUAUCGAGAGAUAAAUUGUUGAAGAAAGAACGGAGUGAACUAAGAAAAAAUUGGUUCAUAAAUUGAAUUAAUUUUUCUACAAAUUAUUAUCACGUAAGGAGCCUACUAAAUAUUAGUAAAAAAUAUAUGACUCAUGCAUGAUGCAUGAACUAAUUUUUAAGAUGAUCUAUCCUAAAAUUUGCAGUCUUAAAAUCCAUGUACGUGUUCGACAAAAUGAAAAAUCCAUGUGAGUGGUGCCAUCUAAGAGCAUUGCUGUCAAACUAGCAACAAGAUCUUCGUUAUCUCAAUCAAAAUAUAAUUGUCCAGUAUUAAUUAAAAAAAACGUUUGUCUGCGAGUGAAAGCAUUAUAUUAGUCGAUACUGAAAGUGGUAAUAAACUUUCUAAUACACAUUUUUAAUUAGGUAAAUCCAUGUGAUGCCAUUGCAUAAAAGAAUAAUAGAAUCCCCAAAUAAGGAGUGAGACGCACAUAAUUUAAUGGGUUCACUACAAAUUUAUCCGAAUUACAAAACUUUACAAUCACAAUAAAAAAGUGUUUGAUGAUUAUUUUUGCUGGUAUAGUUCUCAAUUGGGUGUUAUUUUUCUUGUCGUGGUUCUUGUGUAAUUUUGUGAAGAAAAAAAACAUUAAAGUGGUGAGUUGCUUAUCUGUCAAGGAAAUUUUACUAUGUACAUUGUGGAUAUAAAACAAAUUGAAUCUGAAUUGAUGACACAAACAUUUAGCAGCUCUAUAUUGAAAGUCGGCGAGAAUAGGUGUAUUGGUAGCUAGCUGUACUAAUUAAGCUUUUUUACUCAAAAAUAUUAUAUAGGUGUUUUUCUUUCUAUCUCUUAAAUGAUGAUAAAUUGUUAGUAGUAUUUCAUAAACUUGCAGUGGUGUGGUUGAAUUUUCUUCUAUAUAAUAUCAAGAGUUCAAAUUAUAAAAAAUAAGAGUACAACAAUACUUGAUGAAAGUGUAUCAUAAGAAAUAGAAAAAGUAUGUUAUCAGCAUCAUCUUCUAUUCAUUUUUCUCUCAAGUGUAAUUAAGUAGAAAUGGGGAGGGGGGUAUGCAUUAUUUUCCUAUUAUCAUUUGUCUUCAUAAGUUCUAACACAAACACAAGGUCCCCCUCUUUCCUAGCCUCUUGCACUGCUUUUGUGCACCCCUAUCCAUGUUCCUCUUACUUCAAUCUGUGUCACCCAAAGUGGACACUUUUACCAUUUCAAAUUUUUGAUCAUGUGAAUGGUCAUAUUUAUAUCUGAAAAUGUUGGAUGCUAGCGAGUUUGUCCAUAGAAGAAGAAAAUCUCUCUCCAUGCUUUCUAAUUGCGUAAAAUGUUAUUAACUUGACCGAUGUUUUAUCUGAUUACAUGGUCUAACUUGACCGACAUUUUACAAAAUCAAGUGCUGUGGAAAUAUUUUCUCAAAUUAGGGAGAAACUUGCCGACGUCCAAACGAUUUUAGAGACCAAUUUGAUCAUUCAUGUUUUUUAAUCACUUCGGCUCUAAGACAUGGACUCUGACAACUUGAAAGACUUCAGAUUAGGCCUUUUGCAUAAAGGAAAAUAUAAAAUAAAUUACAUUAGAGUAUCUUAAUAAGGUGAAAAACAUUAGAUGGUAAUCCAAAGUAUUUUAUUACCAUGCAUAUAUGUUUCGCUCGUGGAAGAUCUCUUCUUAUAGAUUUACUACAUCGUACAUAAUGUUGGCCAAAUUGACGUUAUUUAGAGUUGACCUAUGUGACGACUGAUGUUAAUUUGUAUAAACUUGUGUCAGUCAAAAUGUUAAGUGAGUUGCGUCGGCUUAAAGUUGGCUAAUUUUUUUUAAAAAUUAAUCUGAAAUACUAUUAAGCGCCAACCGGCAAUUGAGUCAUUACAUCAGAAAAAACCAAAUGAAAAGCGGCUACAAGCACCUCCUCCACCCAUACUAAAUUAGCAUAGGUUUCAGCAUUCCUAGCUAGAAAAUCUGCAACGGUGUUGCCCGUGCGUCUAACAAAAGAAACACUAACAGAAUCAAAAGCAGAAAGUAAUAAACGACAAUCAUGGAUAAUCGAACUCAGAUAUGAACGCCCUUCCUGACUUGCUCGCCAAUGGUUGAAGAGUUGUAGACAGUCCGUUUCGAAGCACACCCGGCGGAAUCCUAAAUCAAUUGCCAAUUGCAUAGUCCAUCUCAUGCUCAUCGCCUCAGCCAAGAGGAGGGAGGGGGUAGUGAUAGGAAAAGAGCAAGCCGCAGCCAUUACCUCCCCAUUACUGUUCCGAGCCACCAUCCCCAAACCAGAAGGACCCCGAUCAUGAAAAGAAGCAUCAAAGUUGCAUUUAAUGGUACCUGGUGCUGGUUUCUGCCACCUCGCGGGCAAGGCUGCCAUAGGCCCUCGAUCACGGUCAUGCACAAUAGCCUCUUCCAUCGAGCUGCUCACACGUCGAAGAACCCCUGCCACCACAAACUCACGCUGCUUGAAACAGAUGUUGUUUCGUGCCUCCCAUAGUGCAUAAACCGUGGACUGAAUCGUGGCUAUCGCAUCAUCAUCAUCAAGCUCCACCGCUGCUAGCCAGAACUCCUUGAAGGACGAGAAAAGGUCCACCCGAACAGCUAGCUGGGACGCGAACCAGACCUGCUUCGCUGCUGGACAAUGCAGAAAUAAAUGGUCCUCAUCUUCCAACUCCGCUGCACAAAAGCUGCAGCUAGGAUCCACAUCAACGCGACGUCUGAAUAACCGCUCCUUCAACGACAAAUAACCCGAUAUAGCUCUCCAACAAGUCUCCUUGCAGCGAGGUAAAGCACGGGAAGCCCAGAAUUUUUUCCAAAACUUUGGAGCUAGAAUAACUGUGGUGGAUGAAGAAGCUUCAUCUCGGGCCAGCAACUUCCUCAAAAAACCGUAGCCUUCCUUGGAUGUGUAUUGACCAUCGCUAGUACCCGGCCAGUGUAACACGUCACUGCCUCCAUGCAUACUCAAGGGAAUAGAGAGAAUGCUAGCUUUUGUGCUUGGAUUGAAUACAAGUUCAAUCAAAUCUCUCCUCCAACAAUGACCAUCAUGGUUAAUGAGCAUAGACACCUUUGAGAGGCUUAGCUCAUCAAACAAACCCUGGCUAUAAAUCAAAGGCCCUCCUCCGGGCACCCAAUUAUCAGAACAAAUGUUAACUUGGGUACCAUCUCCAAUUUUCCACAUACCUCCUCGCUAAAAAAUCCAAAUAGUCUUCAAAAUGCUAGUCCAUGCAUAGCUGGGGCGAUACCCCUUCUUUGCCUCCCUCAUAGUGCAACUGUUAAAGUACACAACUUUAAAAACACGAGCCAAUAAGCUCUCAGGACGAGUAUAGAUACGCCACCAGUUCUUUCCCACAAGGGCCAAGUUGAAUGCCUUAAAGUCUCUGAAGCCUAGAUCACCUUCCUUUUUGCUCUUACAUAGGUUCUCCCACUUUGUCCAAUGCAUACUCCGGCGAGUUGGAUCUCUACCCCAAUAAAAUUUAGAGAUCAUAUGAUCAAUAUCUGCACAUAAACCAUCGGGUAAAAUAAAACAAGACAUGACAUAGGAAGGUAUGGCCUGAACCACAUAUUUAAUAAGAACCUCCCGGCCUGCCCUCGAUAAGAACUUUUCCUUCCAGCCUUUAAGCUUUUUCCAGACUCGAUCUUUGACAAAAUUAAAUACUUGAGUCUUAGACUUACCAAUGAUAGUCGGAAGACCCAAGUACUUGUCAUAGCUUUCAACCGCAUUUACUUCCAACAGCUCUUUAAGCUCAUUAAAACGAGUAUCAUGCACAUUUCGGCUCACGGAAAGCUUGGACUUGUCAAAAUUGAUCCUCUGACCUGAAGCCUGCUCAAAGGCGCCCAGAAUGUUCUUCAAACAUUGGGCCUCUUCCAUUGUCGCUCGUGCAAACAGCACACUAUCGUCUGCAAAAAGCAAGUGAGAUAUAACAGGCGCAUGCCGACUAAUUUUAAUACCACUUAUGUCACCAGAUGCCAAAGACUUUUCUAACAUGGCAGAAAAUACCUCGCCACAAAGGAUAAAUAAAUAUGGAGACAACGGGUCACCUUGUCUAAGCCCUCUCUGAGGAGCAAAGCUCGGCUGAGGGUUACCAUUCAAUAAAAUAGAGAAAGACACCGUUGUCACACAACUCAUAAUGAGAUUAACCCAACACACCGGGAAACCCAUCUUUUGUAACACUGAUUCAAGAAAAGACCAUUCAAUUCGGUCAUACGCUUUGGACAUUUCCAAUUUAAGCGCCAUAGUGCCAUUGCGGCCAGUAAUUCUCUUCUUCAUAAAAUGGAAACAUUCAUAUGCAAUCAGUGCAUUAUCAGUUAUCAAUCGCCCAGGAACAAAAGCACUCUGGCUUUCACAAAUUAAAUCAAGCAAAAUCUGUUUGAUUCUAUUGGCUAUUGUCUUAGUGACAAUCUUAAAGAUGACAUUACACAAACUUAUUGGUCUAAAUUGCGCAGCAUGCUCAGCUUUCUUAAUUUUUGGAAUAAGAACCAAUAGAGUGUGAUUAACCAUACAUGGGGAAAUCUCCCCCCUCAGAAUCUAAAUUGACAACAAAGAGUAAGCGUUAAUCAUACGACCAAUGCUAUUAGUUAGUUCAGGCCAUCUAGCAUGAGUGUCUCGACGUCAACGUUAAAUCGGCUGUAGCGUCAACUCUUGGCUAUUAAGUGUCGGCUCUUGACCAAGACUAAUCAACUUUCUUGUAGUUGAUAUCCUCUCAUUGUAAGUUGUGGUUCAUUAUUACAUAGCUACAUUCAACUACUUUUUGUUUCUUGUUAUUCUUGUUUCACUCCUGGCAAACAAAUUUCUCAACGUUGUGAAUAUUUGAAUCCUCUUCUCUAUGCGUUUGACGAAUUCAUCAAGUAUUGGAACAUGAUUUUCAAGUUGCCCUGAGGAGAAGGCUUCAGCAUAUUCUAAUUAAGGCAUUCCCAGGGGAUGCUAUUUUGGAGUGAAUCUUGAUGAGCAUGUUGUUUGUGUCUUGUUCCAUCCAUGAUAUAUGGAAUUGGUUUACAAGCUUUCACAUAGAUGGCGCCAAUUGUUCUUCCAGAAUCUGAGCACAGUGAUUCUCUGAUUUUGUAUGUCUUGGUGCACUGUGAAUAGAGAGAGUCCACAACAUGGAAAAUACAUGAUGCCCAAAUUAACAAUGGAGAUGAGAAGACAAUGGUUAACUUAUAGAGUUAACCAAAACUAUAUUUAGAGAGAUUCGAGUGAGUAGUAAAGAGAAUGUUUAACCUUUUUUAGGUUGCUGAUGACCCGAUGUUUAUUCUAUCUUUGUCGAGUCCUUCUUGUUUCUUUCUUUUACCUUUUUAGUCCUUUAUUGAGUUAUUAGUCAAGUUAAGUCCCUUUUUAGUUCAUAAAUGCAUUUGCAUUAGUUUAGUUUUUUUUAAUCUAUUUACUUAAUCUUUUUAUUAGUUUCUAUUAGUUUUAGUUUGGGGUUAAUUCUUUUGGUCAGACUUAAACUGAAACUUUGUGAGAUUAUGAGUGUUGAUGAGCUUUUGGGGGUUUUUGUUUGCUGGAUUGAAUGGGGGAUUGAUGAAAUAUUCAUUCAUGAGAUAUAUUCAGGAGUUACAUGGUUGUUCUCAUAGAGUUCUUGAGAUGCUUUUCAGGUUUGAUAGACUCUUGAUGGCUAAUGAUGAUGGUUGAAGGAAAAGUAAUGAGCAAUGAUAAUUGUGGGAAAGGGAGUUACAAAGCUGCUGAAAAAACUGGUGAAGACCACGCAUGUGCGUGGUGGAGACCCCGCACAUGCGUGGUGGUUCUGUAUGAGGAAGGGGCUGGAACGUGAAGACCACGCAUGUGCGCCGUUAUGGCCACGCACAUGCGUGGUAAACAGACUUAAAAGCUGACAAUUGACAGAUUGGCCACGCAUGUGCGUGGUGGAGACCCCGCACAUGCGUGGUGGCAAAAUCUGAUGCUGCGAAUUGUGCGAUUUUGAGCGUCUUGCCCACGCAUGUGCGUGGUGGAGACCCCACACAUGCGUGGAUUACCGCUGGAAACUCUAUAAAUAGGGAUUUUGUUAUUUCUUUUAGGGAUCUUGUACUUUUUUGAACAAAACUUAGAGUUUUAGUUCCUUGGAGCUUGUGGGAGGCUUCUUGGCCCUCUUCUUUCAGGUUUUUGUUCAUUUAGUUUGCAUUAUGAAUUCCCUAGCCAUGCUUGGCUAGUUUCUCUUUGUACUUUGGGUGAAGUGAACCUUAGUUCUGAUUAUGGUUUAAACUUCUUAUUUUCAUAUAUGAAUAAAGUUUCUUUUCCAUGUAUCUUUUCUCUGAAUCAAUAUUCUCUUGAGUGCACACAAGUGUUUUGCUUUCUUCUUGCACAAUGGAAGUUGGUGAGGAUUAAGGGACUUGGGAUGAGAUUGAUUUGUUUGCUAUCACUUAGGAAUAAGGGUAGAAAGUUAUUGUGUUGGCCUGAACUUAUAAACUUCAUUCUUCAAUUGAAUUGACUAGGCACUAAGGCAUUAGGUUUGGCAAAUGAAAUUGAAUGAUUUACUUGAUUAAGGAAUUAACAAGUAGAGGUAGAGGCUAUAACAUCAUGGAUAAGGAUUCUGAACUUCAUAUAAGAAUUUGAUUUGAGAACCAUAAUUGGACUAAGUGGAGCUUUGUCCAGGGUACUUCUUUAUCUGAAUUAUAAUUCUUGCUCUUCAUCACAAGUGUGUUAUUCACACAACAAACCCUCAAACUUAUAUUGCUUUCUUUUUCACAUUCUGAACACAAAACUCUUAGAAGCAAUUGAUGAACAACUAUCCUUGUGGUUCGACAAUCUUUUGUAUUACUUCGAUCAAUCCGUACACUUGCGGAAUCGCUAUCAAGUUUUUGGCGCCGUUGCCGGGGAUAGUUUUGUUUUGUUGAUUGAGUCUUGAGUUUUGCUGUUUGAAAAUUUUUUUACCAUUGCUUCAUUGAAUCGGUGCUACUAACUCGAAGGUAAAAAGCAAAACAUGCAAAAGACUCGAUGCAUUAACUACCUAAAAAGAAAAUGUUUUUUUUUUCAGAGAAACACAAAAUUAAAGCAAAAUCAAAUUAAAGAAAAACAAACCUGGACUUGGGAUUAGAUUGGUUUGUUUGCUAUCACUUAGGAAUAAGGGUAGAAACUUAUUGUGUUGGCCUGAACUUAUAAACUUCAUUCUUCAAUUGAAUUGACUAGGCACUAAGGAAUUAGGUUUGACAAAUGAAAUUGAAUUUUUUACUUGAUUAAGGAAUUAACAAGUAGAGGUAGAGGCUAUAACAUCAUGGAUAAGGAUUCUGAACUUCAUAUAAGAAUUUGAUUUGAGAACCAUAAUUGGACUAAGUGGAGCUUUGUCCAGGGUACUUCUUUAUCUGAAUUAUAAUUCUUGCUCUUCAUCACAAGUGUGUUAUUCACACAACAAACCCUCAAACUUAUAUUGCUUUCUUUUUCACAUUCUGAACACAAAACUCUUAGAAGCAAUUGAUGAACAACUAUCCUUGUGGUUCGACAUGUAUUACUUCGAUUAGGUUGCUAUAUAUGUAUUGGCUUUCAAGCUGUUAGCCAUUUAGUGGUCUUGAGUCAUUAACUCUAUUUUAGCCAUGUGGUCAAGAUUUUGUCUUGGUUGUUCGGGCUUACUAACAUGGUGUUCACUUGAUUGUGAUCCCGUCGGGACGGUCGGGUCAACUAAAAUGAUGGUAAGCUGGUAAGCUCGCUAGGUUGAAUUGUUGUUUGUGCCAACUAGAACAAAACAUAGUGUAAAAUUUAGAUAUAUAUAUCUUUGAACAUUAAGAAGGAAGCCUUAAGAAUUGCUCUUGAAAAUUAAAAUAAUUAAGAGUCUUGCAAGUAUCUGGGAACAUUGAGAACAGAACAUUGUUCCUUUUGAAAUAUAAAUAAUUCAAAAUCUUUAAAAUACUAUGGAGAAGGAAUCUUAAGAAUUCCUCUUUAAAACAUCUUAGUUAAAUCUUGAGAGGUUCCCUAGAAAAUAUCUCUUAAGAAAGUUGUGUUGUUAACAAUGAAAAAAAUAUUGUGCACCACACAACAGCAAAGUAUCACAACAUCACAUCACAUAUGUUAUAUAUAAAAAGCUUAGGCAUAAAACAAAGUCCCACAGAUCAAGGCAUACACAGCUAGCUAUCCACCAUGGCUCUCCGGAUUUACAUCUCAACCCUGUCCAUAGCAAUUUUCUCUCUAUGCACUUCUGCAUAUGACUGUAAGAUUUCAUUUUUCUUUGAGUUCAAAUUGCAUAUGACUGUUUUCUCAUUCUGAAAGCUGUUAUUAUUAUGGUAAAAUUUGAUGUAUGGUUACUUGUUAAUUAAGUUGUCACAUACAUGACUGAAUUAAUUGUUUUUUUUUUCUUGCACUAGAUUCUGCCAAUUUUAGUUAUACUGGUUCAAAUGGACCUGAGAAAUGGGGAACCUUAAGUCCAGAUUUCGCAGCAUGCUCAAAUGGGAAAGCUCAGAGUCCUGUUGAUAUUGCAUAUCCUGAUAUUGUUAUGAACAUGGAGUUGGAAUCCUUAGACAGAGACUACCUUUCUACAAACGCCACGCUUGUUAACAACAAGUUCAACAUUGGGGUUUGUUAUUCGAUCACUUGCCAAAUCAUAUCGAAAUUGUUUACUUUUCAAUUUACAUAUUUUCUAACGGUAAAUCAAACGGACUUCAAUAAAUUAGUCAUAAAGUGAUGGAGUUUUUCUUUUACAGGUGCAUUUUCAAGGACAAGUGGUGGGAGAUAUUAAUAUAAAUGGAAAAAAUUAUUCUUUGAAACAAUUGCACUGGCAUUCUCCAGCAGAACACCGGGCACAUGGUCGUGUGUAAGUUCAAUCUCUUCUCUUGCUUGCUCCCUAGUCCCUAUAUAUACCACCUCUUCUCCUCUUACAAAUAAUUUUGGAAAUCUCUGUUUGUUUAAUUCUGUAAAUGAAGAGUAAUGUUUCUUGAAAUGGCUUAACAACAAAUAAAAGUGAAAGAUAUUUUACACAUCACUUCUAUAUUUUACCAUUUUAUCUCUCCAUCAUAAUUGGUUGGAGAUCAUUUCUCAUAUGGAAAAGCUGUUUAUUCCAAAAUGAUUAGAAAUUCCUUCUGGAAAAGAGCCUAUAGCUAUACUCCAAUAGCCAGAGUUCGGCUCAGAUAGUGGGGCAAUAUGUUUGGUUGCUAUUGGCUGAUUGCUGCGUAACACAUCAUGUGUAUACUGAACUGACUAUUGAAAGCUACUACUACAUUUUUCACACGCAUUUUAUCUCUGUUGGUUCAUAAAUACUUUUUUAACAAUUAGGUAACCGUUUAAGCUAGCUGAAAAACCAACGUAGAGAUUUUUUAAUUAAGUGAUUAUUUAAGGAAUAAAUUUUGUUCCUCAAUGUAGGUGCCUAAGAUACUACAAAAAGGUCUUAGAGAUCGCUAUUGAAGAAUUUGUAUGAUAAAUUAAACUAAGGCCAGACGAAAAUGAAUAAAGAAAGAUUCAAAUGAAUUGAAAAUAAAGGGCAUAAAGUUGAAUAAAUAAAGUGUUUGAAAGGUAAAUGAUUGAAAUAAAGGCUAAAAAGUAAAGGCAUUAAAAUGUAAAGGAAAAAAUAAAUGCGGAAAAUUUGUAGUUUUGAUUAAUUGAUGACUUGUGUCUUUUGCAAAGGAUCAUUCCUCUAUUAAUAGAGACAAAUUUGGCUAAAUUACACUGGCUAAUAACUCCCGCCACUACCCGUGUUUCCGACAAUAAUUAUAUUCGUGGGGAUGUUGGAAGUUAUUCUCUUUGAUCAGCCUAGAAGCUUUUGGUUAACCCAAGCUUUCUGCUUCGGCUAGUUUUUCAAACUUUAACUGCUUUCCUGAUUUUCAAGGAAUGAACUACUGGAUGAUUUUGUGCACGUGCAUACCUUCUAGAAUCCAUGAAAAAUGUCUCCUUUGUGGACCUGAGGCCUGUGUACCUUGCACCCAAUUUUGUUCAAAUUCAUAUUCUCAACCAAUCCUAGCUUCAUUCAAUCGGUCACUUGCUUUUUUUGGCUAAAAUUUUUUGCGACUCACCUAUCACGCUGGCACACCCGAUCUCUAAUUGUUACGCAUUUUUAAAUGCUGACAUUCUCGCAUUUUUCACCCACUUUUACUUUUUAAUUUAUUUUCCUAUUACAUUAUACACAUAUUUUUUAUUACCCUGCUUUUUUUUUUCACCACUUCCUACCUAGGGGUGUGUAACAAUUCAGAUUGAUCCAAUAAAUUCACUCAUUCAAAUCAAAACCAAUAUAAUUAAUUCAUAUUCACUUAGAUAAUUAAAUUACUUUAUGCCUUUAAUAAACUCGAAAGUUUGUGGAACUUUUUUCAACCGCGACCAACCUCCUGUUUAAUUAUUUUUUUUACAUCAGAAAUAUAAAUUGCACUCUCUAGGGAUGGAUCCCUGAACCUUCCCUACUCAAUUCAUAUGUCUCCUAGCUCUUAUCACUUGAGUUAUCAUAGAACCUUCUGUUUAAUUUUAUUUUCAUGUUUAAUUUUUAUACUUAUAACUAUAUUAUAUUUUAUCAUUUUUUAAAUUAAAUUAUUUUGAAUUGUCUUCUUGGUUAUAUACCAAGUAUACUUAUCUAUAUAUAUUAGAGAAAAAGGAUGAUGCAAUAAUAGUGUAAUGUUUUUUUACACUGUCUACCAAUCAGGUUGUGAGGAUAUGUCGCGUCAAUUAAUGAAAUUAAAUAAAAAUAUAAAUUUUCUCACAUUCUUAAAAUCUUUAUACUGUCAGUGCAUAGAAAUUAAACUAUAAAUAUUAUCCAAUUUUACUAUCAUAUUUUAGAUAUAAAAAUAAAAUGUUAUGAAAAGUUAUAAUUACAAAAUAUAGAUAUUAAUUUAAAGUUAUAUUAGUAUUUUGAAUUGAUUUGUCUAUUGCAUAAAAUUAUUAAAAGAACAAGAAAAUAUUUAAUUCAAAACUUUACCCAUACAUUUUAUAUAGAAGUGUGUCUAUCUUUAAUUUUUGUGGAUUAAGAUUAAGAUAUUUUUAAAUUAAGAUACAUACAUACAUUUUAUGUCCUCAAAUGAUAGCUCAAGCAGGGGCGGAUCCAGACAUUAUAUAUUGGUGUGGCUAAAUAUAAAAGAAAUUUUAGGCUAAAAUACAAAGUAGAAAUUAUAUUAGGUAGCAAGCAAGAAGUAGCUAUAAUCUCACAUGAAAAACACAAAAGUUUAUUCAACCAUGAAAAGUUAAGACUAAUUUGUGCACUAAAAAGGACAAAUUUUGCUUUUUUAGGAGAAAACAUUACAAUGCUGCUGAUUUAACAUUCCAAAAUUUGCGGGCACGAAUCUACAAUCAAAACAGGAAAACCCAUCAGCAAAAACAAACGGAGGUAGCUCCAAACCCAACAUGGUUCCAUCAAAGAACUCAGAUCUGCUAAGUUGACAAGCAAAAAUUCUCACCGAAAAAGUAGAUCCAACUCAACGUGUGCAACAAGUUCAUAAACCAAAAAACUUCUUUGAAAAUUGAAAAUUAAAAAAAAAAUAGAAAUAGGAAAAGAUCAUCCAACAUGAAUUUUGUGUAGCAUAGUAAGGUGAAUUACAAAGUUUAUUUACCUGAGAGACAAUGAAUCAAUUGAAUUUCCUCUUGAAUUGUGGUUGAUUGGUGCGGUGAUCAGGGUUAUCCAUGCGAUUAGAAAUUUAGGAAGGUGAAGAUUGGUGGGUUUUCAAUUUUUGGGGAAAAAGGUUUUAAAAGUUGAUGAAUGCCGAAAGCAGCAAUGGAAGAAAGAAAUAAAAACCGCGUUCUAAUUUGAUGUUAAGCGUGAAUUUUGGUUUUUUACUUAUUAAGCUAUGGCGGCGCUUCGACCGUUUCCAUACAUUAACACAAAACUUUUAGUAGCGGAUGCCAAACCGCCGCUAUAUACAAUAUUUAAAAAAAAACUCAAAAUCUGGUGUGGCUAAAGCCACACAUAGCCUACACAUGGGUCCGCCCAUGAGCUCAAGUGAUAAGAGUUGGGGACAUAUGAGUUGGGGAGGAGAAGGUCCAGGGAUCAAUUCCUGGAGAAUGCAAUUUAUAUUUCCGAUAUAAAAAAAAAUGGAUUUUAUAGAUUUUUUUAUAGAUAAGCUCACAUAAAAAAAGGCUUCAUUAAGGCUGAGCUUUUACAAGAUUGUACUUGGCUUUUACCACUAUUAUUAAUCUUUAACGCAAAAAACUUCUGACCAUACAGACAUGAGGCUGAGCUCCAUCUAGUUCACUUGACCCCUGAUAACAAUGGCAUAGCAGUUGUGGCAGUUCUCUACAACUUGGGUGAUCCCGAUCCUAUCAUCUCCCAGGUAGAGUUGAACUCUCACAUUCACUUAAUUGUGUUCUAAUUAAGUCCAUUGGAUUCAAAUUAAAUUAUUGAUGGUACAAAGUGCUAAAAUAUAGUUCUUGAGUAUAGAUGGAAGACAAGUUUGUUGCGCUAGCCAAAGAAAACCGUGCAGGCAAUAAGGAUGCCCAAAUUCCUAUCGGCACUUUUGAUUUUGAGGAGAUAAAUGCAAGGACACACAGCAGGUAUUACAGAUAUGUUGGCUCUCUUACCACUCCUCCAUGCAAAGAGGGUGUUAUUUGGAACAUUCUUGGCAAGGUAAUUAACUUACCACAUCUCUCCAUCUGAUAAACAUUACUUACAGACACCUCACAUACACUUUUUUUUUUCAUCUUUAAUUUUUUGUCACAUCGCAACUAGUGGCAGAGGAAGGGGGAAAUGUUAAUGUUACAAACAUGAGGGCAUCCAAACUUUUCAAUUUUUGUUUUCUAACUUGUAAUACAUAUAUUACGUAUAUAAGCCGUAAAAAUUAUUGUAUGCAUGACAUAUUCUUUGAUCUCUGCGCCCUAUUUGAUGUUGGUUUUCUAGUCUCAAAUUCCUGCCUUCGUUAUUAAUCACAAUAUAUAUUAUUAAUAUCAUAUUCAUUAUUAAUCUCUCUGCUAUUUCUUUCACACAUUAAAUGUUUGCAUUCAUUUUUGUUUUUGAAAGAAUGUGUGCAUUCAUUAGCUGUACACCAAACAUUUUCCGAAUGUGUAUACUUGUAGGUUUUCUAGGGACAAUUUGUAUUGAUUUUGGAAACAAUUGUAAUUAAUCAAACAUUGUGAUGCAGGUAAGGACACUCUCAAAGAAACAAUUGGAGCUCCUAAAGGCACCAUUGAGCCAAGAAUACAUUCAUAACGCAAGGCCUCUUCAGCCACUGAAUGGCCGCAAAAUUGAGAUGUAUGACCAUUACAACCAUAGGCAGGGGAUUUGAGCAACCCCAACCAAACAUCAUCAACAAAUUUUCUCACGAUGAUUACUCGCUUCGUAUUGAAGAAGAUAGUGUCCUUUUUUUUUGUCAAUAAUAGAUAUAGUGUCCUACUCUGCUUGUUCUAAGAUUGAAGUUAGAGAGCACUUUGUUUUUUUGGGUCGAAGUAAGGCUGAAGGCCUAGUAGAAUAAAGGGCAAAAGCCCAGGUACAACAAUAAGAGUACUUUGCUUUUAGAUCAGAAUAAUGGGUUCAACUCACCUCUAGAAUUUGUUGCCCCAAGAAAUACUCACCACCAGAAUUACUGCACUCAAUUUUAUGCUUUUGGAUGCCAUUAAUCAUGUUCAUGGUGCGCAACAGAAUCAGUGUCGCUAGAUUACAAUAGCCAUUAUUUCUUGUUUCAUCAUUACUAGUGUUCUUUACCCGUGCGUUGCACGGCGAUUAAAUUUAUUGUAAAGAUGAAUCAGUAGUAAUGUGUUUUAACUUAGUUUAGACUCUUUUCAGUAAGUAUAAAAGAUAUGGAACCGAACAUAUAUUACAAACAUGUAGAUGAAUGAACCACAGUAAAUAUAUUAAUUUGAUGAGUUUGUAGAUACCUCACAUUGUCAACACUUGAAUAGUAAUAAAAACCAAGUUUUUAAGUAAUGCAUUACAUUAAAAUUGAAAUAAGAUAAACAUAACAAUGACAGCAACAUGAACCCUUAUUUGAAAUUGUAGUUCAUGAUUAAUGAUAAAGACUUCAUAACCGAGCUUGUUGUCAAUCAAGCAUAUUUGAGCUAUAGAACCUAGAAAGGAAAAAAAAAAUUACCAGUACCAAUACAAAUAUAAACUGUGUAUAAUUUAAAAGUGUUAAACUAACCUUAUAGAAACGUCAAUACACCUUCAAAUUAGAUGAUCAAUAAACUGCUUGUUAUAUUUUUUAUGCUGUCAACAAUAAAGAGAAUAACCAACGACUUCAGCAACAUACUUUCCAAAAAAGGCGCAUUCAACCCGAACCCUAUUAAGAAAAUUGAGAAAUUAUAAAACCUUACUCAUAAUAAUCAAAGAUGGAAAAAAUAUGAAUAAGCAUUGAACAUUGUGUGUGACCCAUCUUGGUCAAGUUCAACAGUAAUUCUUUUCUGCUUUGUUCCAUCUUUCUCAAACUCAGUUUCAGCACUUGCACCAGUGAGAAUUCCAAUCACAUCUGCAAAAUCAUAGAAACAUUAAUCCAAAACCCAGAAUAGUAAUUUAAAAAUCAAAAGACUAAAAAAGAGUAUAUACCUAUAAGAAAAGACGUAUAAAGGUCCUUAAACAUUAUAUCAGAUAUUGGCACAAAAUUGUAAGGGCUUAAGUUGAUGGCCUUGUUGGGAACCAAGCGCAAAAAUGUAUGAAUAUCAAAGUUGAUCUUGAAUGGGUGCGAGGUUGGACGGAAAUCACGACCGCUUUCACCAACACCAAAAAACAAAAUCUGAUAUACACGUCCUUCACUCAGCAAAGAUUGAAAUCGGUAUAUAAGAGUCUUCCUAACCGUAGCAUGAAUCUUACAACCCUGAAAUUCAAUAAAAUGAGGAAAUUUGAGAUUUAUAGUUUUAAAAAAAGAAUGUAAUACAUGAUUAUUAUGUGCAAAAGUGAUUUACCAUGUCAUCCAUAAGAAUCAUGUCCAUGGAAAAUGGAAGCUUGGAGCCAUAGAAGCUCGGACUAAGCCACAACUAGUUCACAUUUGCAACAUUAACAUACCAGUUCUCCUUUGAGGCAUCGAUGAUGGCGAGAUCGUCGAUAGCCAUUAGAACAAAGUAUAUUCCAAAGCUAAUAGUUGGUGGGAAGGGAUGGUGAAGUUAAAGAAUAGCAUGAGAUGAUUUAUAUAGGAAUUUGAGAAUUAGGGUUACUGAUCAAUGAAUGUUAAAAAAGGAAAGAAAAAAAAAAGGUUGGACGGUAAUAGGAAUCUGUUUGUAAGGAGGUAAAUUUUUUUUUCCAGGUCAAUUUUCACUAUUGAAAUCAAUUAUUAUCUACCAAAUAUCAUGCGUUACACGUGAAUUACUCAUUCUGAUGAGUAAUUAAAGGAAAAUAGGAAUUAAGAUUAACAUGGUGUCAUUACAGUACUUAAGGUUUGACUUUUAUUGCAAAUCAUAUUAAUUUCUUUCAAGAAUUAAUUUCUUUAUUUUCACACCAAAGAAAAAGCUGUGCGUAUUUCUUUCAAGAACGGGUCAUUAAUAUGGUUCUCAAAAUUAAGUUUUUAAGGUUUGACUUGUAAAGCAACAUUAACAUGGUGUGAAUGCUUGAAAGAAAUUAACCUGUGACUUGCUCAGCAGAAUUAACACCCUUUUAAUUCUUGACUUCUUUUCCUUAACAGAAUUAACACCAUUAAUUCUUCAUUCGGUGCAGGUGCUGAAUCUCAAAUUCAAGGCUGUGAAUAUCCGUUUUAAAAAUAGUUUGAAGAUUCAUACUCAAACAAAAAAGUUUAUGCAGCCUAAACGUUGAAUUUGAGAAUGUUUUCACCUUACUAAAUUACCUUUUUCAUGCCUGCUAAAAAUUCGAAUUUUUUUGAAAAAUGAUAAUCAAUGGUAUAAUGGUAUAUGUAUACAACUUUUAUGUUAACAAUUAAUUAGGGUUGUAAAACAAUAAAAACAAAAUCAUCAUUCAAAUGACUUUGAAUAAUGAGCCUCAAUAAAAAAACUGAAAUUAAAAUGGACUUCUACUAUUUUGGUCCAAAACAAUUAGAAUGUGACACUUGUCAUGCAAAGAGGGGGGUGAGUGAGAGUCAUUCUUGAAGUGUCAAAUCAUGGAGGUAGGGCUCACAACCUUCCUCUUUUCUAAAGUAUAUAGAUUAAGGUAAAAUAUGUUUCCUUCUCUUAAGGUCUGUUAAAACUUAAAACUACAUUCAGCCUCAUUCUUAGCUAAAAUAUAUAUUUCACCUCACCUUUCUAAGUGAACUCAAAUUAAAAAGUCCACCAAUGAAUAAUCAUGUCAUAAAUUUUACAAUGCCUUGAAUUCCUAAUAUCUUACUCUAAAAUCUGUAACAUUAUUGUCGCUUAUACAAACGAAAAAGAGUUCAAUAAAAUCAUAAUUACAAGUAAGCAAACGACAAUGAUUAACUAAAGUGUAGACAUACGACGACUUGGAAUUGGCCUUCCUUCAAAUCUCAAAGAGCUUUAGGCAGUUUGUCUCAAAGCAAACUGAAAUAAAGCAACGAUACAUAGCCAGGAAAGAGCGCACCGAAAACAAAGUCUCCGCUAUCAAAGGGGACAACAACUUGAUGGGGGAAGCAGUAGGUGCAGGUGGACCGGACCGAACCAAACACGAAAAAAUCGAGAUUUUUUAUUUGAAAUUAGGUUGGGCGGAUCAGUUGGCGGGUAAGACGGGUUAAAAACUAGUUUGUUGUAUAGUUUGGUUUGAUCAGUUUCAAUUUGGGCUAUGAACCGAUCGAAGUAGAGUUAAAAAAUGCUAGCCAAGCCCAUAACAACUUUUAUCUAAGGGAUAUAUGGUUAAAUAAAAAAUAAAACAAUCCUAGCCCAACCUUCUCUUUAAAGUUUACACACUCACUAGCUCAUUCCAAACCCUAGCCAUCACUCACUCAUCAUCACACGCUCUCUCUCUCACUCACACCUUCAUCUUCUUCGAUUCUCUUCUCUUUCCCCACUCAUAGACAAACCUAGUUGCCACUCAUCAAACCCUAGUCUCCGUCGCCGCUUCUCCUCCCUCUUUUGUCUGUUCUCACUGUUCUCACUUCUCACCCUCUUCUCUUCUUUCUUCCCCUCUCCUUCUAGCCUUCCCAUCCACGAAAUACUCUUUAUGAAAGCUCCAUCUCUCCAUUCACAACUAUAAUGGCGAGAUAAGAAGAAGAGAAAAACGAGGGUUAUAGAGAGACAUGAAUCUUGAACAUGAAAGUCAUGUACCGAGUACAACAGCUACCGCUCUUCCUUAACGUCGAUCUCUCGGAUCAUGAUGCCUCCUCAUCACUGUCAGCAGAUCCAGCAAGACCACCAAGGGUUUCUCUUCUUUUUUUUAUAAAAAUUUGUCUUCAAUAUGUUGUAUUAAGGUUGUUCUAGCUUUAUUGCUCUUCUAUUGUACUGCAUAGUGAAAUUUUAAUAAAAAAUCAUGUCUUCUUCCUUCUCUUCUCAUUUCUCUGUUGUAUUAAGGCGUACUCAUCUUUUUCUUUCAUCAGAUAUUGUUUAACCAACACGGUACACCCUUAACUCGUAAAGACUAAACCUAGAAAACACGCUCAUACUGAUGGAUGGUGGCGGUCCUGCUUGUAUGAUGGUUUCAACCGUUCGAAACUGACAAUAUUGACCCGAACCCGCUUGAAUCCGCCCGUUGGACCUAGUGCAGAACAAAAUCAGUGAAGUGACAUUAUUUCUUGUUUCAUUAUUAUUAGGGUAAAAUAUAUUUCCCUCCCUGAAAGUGUGUUAAAAUUACACUCAACCUCAUUCUUAGUUAAAAUAUACACUUCACCCACCUUUCAAACAAGUCAACUCAAACUAAAAAGUCCACCAAUGAAUAAUCAUGCUAUAAAUUUUUCAAUGCCUUGAAUUCCUGAUAUCUGACUCUAAAUCUGCUACAUUAUUUUCACUUUUACGAACGAAAGAGAGUUCAAUAAAAUCAAAAUUACAAGCAAGCAAACGACAAUGAUUAACUAAAGUGUAAACAAACGACGAGUUAGAAUUGGCCUUCCUUCAAAUCUCAAAGAGUUGUAGGCGGUUCCUCUCAUAGCAAACUGAAAUAAAGCAAAGAUCCAUAGCUAGAGAAAGAGCCCACCAAAAAAAGAGUGUAUACUAUCAAAGGGGCCAACACCUUGAUAGGGGAAACAAUAGUUGCAGCAAGAAACUCACCCUCAUGAUCACGAAAAUGAAGCCAAAACCUGCAGCUGAAGGCUCACUAACAAAUGCAUCAAGAUUAACUUUAAUGCAAGCACAAGUUGAUGCUAAGAGGCCACCAUCCAUUAGCAAAACAUAACACAAAUCAGGAGGAGCAAGCAAGAGUGAAGAGCGCUUGAUAUCCCUCGUCAAGUCAGGUUGUAAAUCCUUCAAGACAACAUUAUCUUCAUGCUCCCAUAUACAGUAUAACAAAGUCAGUAAUAAUGCAAGCACAUCAUUAUUUGAAUCCAUAAUGAAAUGUAGCGGAAAAUCAGUAAAACAAGUCACAGAAUCAGACCUAAAAUGUAAUCUAAGAGAAGAUCCAAACCAAAGCAUCUUAACAUGAAUGCAUCGCAGGAAAGCAUAAUCAAGCUUUUGCUUCGCAACCGCAUAGAGGGUACGAAUCAUCUAUGCCCAACACAAUCCUCCACACAAGCUCAUUGUAUCUACAAAGCGAAGGAGAUUUCCAAAUCUUCUUCCAAAUUAACCUUUGCUGGGGUCGACGUCUCCAAUAAUGAAGAGGCGGAAUCUUGCCUCCACCUCCAUAAAAAAUUAUAAUGUGAUUGUGCGGUGUAACUACCAUCCAUAAUAAGAGGCUAAACAAAAACAUAAACAUCAUAUUGUCGAAAGUUAGGCAAAAGAAUUGCAUGAUUACUAUGAGCAACCAUAAGAUGAACGAAAUCAUCAACCAAGUGUUUAGUCCAAUCAUGUAUGAUACGACAAAUAAGAAGAGAAACCAUCCGCAGCUCGGCCUCCUUAGCCACAUCUCGUUGACAAGCCAAAGGAAGGCCUUCGAAGGAGCCAAUUAAUUAACAUCCUAAAUUUAGACAUGAGUCUCAUCACCAAUAUUCCAAGUCCUUUUUUUUUCUCAAACAUCCAAACCGCUUUCAGAAUACUAAACCACAUAUAGCAUGGUCUAUAACCACACUUUACACCCACAAUAUAUAUCGCCAUUGGGAAAAUAUAUAGUUUUGUAGAAACAGCUAAGGAACGAAUGAGACAUAUCCUCCACCAAUUUUAAGAUGUACUAGAAAUAUUCAAAGAGUAAUACUUAUUAGUACGAAUAUGAAAGUUAAGAAUGAACGUGACUUCCCACUAUGAGUGUUCGUUUAAAUUUAUUUAUUAAUUACUCAAUAUUGAUUCUCAUAAAGAGGACGUGAUUGGUUGAAAUAUCAUUUCGAACAAUUCUUGUGUUACACCCUCGGAAGCAUCACUCAUAUUCAAAAUGAUAUUCUAUCUCUAAAAUAAUAUAAAUUAAAUAAGAAUUUUUCAUUUAACUUCACUGAAUUUUAAAGGUUGAUGUAGUUUUUUACUUGUCUCAUAGAAGCUUUACUUCUAUUGCACUUUUGGGCUAUUGGACCAACAAUUUCUCUUUUAUUAAAUUUUCUUUUAAUUUGGGUUAUAUUUUUAUUUUAUAAUAUUUAUAGGAGAUGAUGUCAAUUGUAUGGUUUUCCUUACUCUAAGAGGCAAUUAUAAAUUUUAAGUUUGACGAACGAGAAAGACUAGCACCCAAAAAAUUGAGUUGGAGUUCCAAGUUUUAUUUCUUCACGAGAUUUCUUAGUUUUCUCUUAGUAGUUCAUAGCUAAUUCAUCUUGAUAGGAAUUUUUCCUAUUAAUGGUGUGAAUUGUGUUUUUUCUUUAGUAAGCCAAUGAAAUAUAUAAGGGAGUACUAUAGGUACUCCAACUAAAUACAAAAGGAAGAAAAAAAACACAAGAGAGGUUGCCCCAAAGGGAGAAGCAGACCCCAGGAAAAGGGCAUAGCUAUACACUUAACAACAACCCAAAAGGAACACCAAAUUUAACUAAGCUCUGCUACUAAGAAAGAGAACGACCCCUGUCCUAUGUAGACACAAAAGUGCAGGUCCAAAACACAGCCAAGAGAGUUGGGAGGCAAGCACAAGGAUUACACGCAAAGCCUUAACACCACCCUGGGUAAGGAAACUCUGCACUGAACCAGAAGUGAAGCCGCAAUUAGGAAUUAUAGGUAGUCCAGAUAAAUUCUCGGUUCUGCAAUCCAAUCAUUGACAUAACAGCGAAAUUCCUUAAUUUUUUCAUUUAACUAGCUCCUGGCACGCACUUGGACCAAAUCAAACACUUGCACAACAUCCAAAUGUCCCUCGUUAAUACUAUUUGGUUUUGUUGUUUCCAAAUGAACCAAGUAACUUUUAACCACAUUGACAGUGCCCCUCUCCUCUGUUGUUUCUCUCUCAGUUCAGAUCCAUGUUGCAAGAAGUGCAUUCGAUCAUCUUCCAGAAGCAUAGUCAAGAAUCUCAGCCCUCUAUAACACUGGUUCCAGAUUUGGGAAGAGAAAGAGCAAGUAAAUAAUAAAUGUUCCAAAGACUCCUUUGCAUUUGAACAAAAGGACAUGCUAUUGAGUUUCUCUCUUGAAUAAUCCCUCUCCUGUGUAGAUUUUGCCUCGUUUGGAGCGCCCUUCCAAUACACGCCAACCGAAAGCAAUAACAUUUAAGGGCGCCACACUUUGCCACAGCAGAUCAAAUUCUUGAAUUGAAUCUUCCAUCCAAGUUUCUUGCAAGAACGAAUACGCCGAUUUCACUGUGUAAGGCGCUUUCCGGAAUCCAGCGCCAUUUUUCCUGCCUUCCUUCCACUAAAUUCACUUCAUUCGGGAGACCAAACAAGCUUUCUGCCGCAUUGUUCUCUUCACCAAACAGUGGUCUUCGCCACCUUCGAUUCCAAUGCCAAGCACCCCCAAUCCAAUUAUCCAUUUCUGAAAUAUUUCACUUUGAAGGGACGGGUUGUACAGCCUGCUAAACUUGUUUUGGAAACUCUUAGUGCCAAGCCAAAUGUGCUGCCAAAAGUUUAUGCUCCUACCAUUUCCUAUAACCCUUUGUGCACCUUGAUCAAACCACUCAUUUACUUGGUUUUGGAAACAAGUACGCAGGAAGUCUUUCCACCAAUUAGGCAUUCUUCCUUCCACCUCCGGUUGCUCCCCAAACUCCAGUAUAUCAUACUUAGCUUUAAAAACCUUUCCCCAAAGGCUUUCUUCCUCCACUAGCAAGCGUCAUUUCCAUUUACCGAGUAACUCUCCUUUAAAGAGGCCCCAGUCUUUGAGUCCCAACCCUCCAAGGUUCUUCGUCUUGCAAACCUCUUCCCAUCAUACCCAAGCCAACUUGUUAUGACCCUCAUUUCCACCCCACAAGAAAGCUCUCAUAAUUUUGUUGCAGACUUUGAUGACUCUCUAGGGCAUUCUAAAGAAGGACAAGUAGGAGAGCGGAAUCGAGGACAAGACACUCAAAAUCAAAGUUAUGCGGCCACCAAAGGAGAUUGAUUUUUUACGCCAACGAGUCAAUCUACCCUUCAGCUUAUUCACCAUUGAAUCCCAAAAAGAGAGCUUCCUAGGGUUUCCUCCCACCUGCAGGCCAAGGUAAGUGAAAGGGAACUUCAUGGUUCUACAGUUUAAGAUAUCAGCUAGUCUGAGAGUGGAAGCUCUAUCCAAAGCCACUCUACCGAGCUUACUCUUGUGAAAGUUCACCUUAAGUCCUGACACAAGCUCAAAACAUCGCAGUAUAGACUUUGAGCGUUAAUUUCCUUCCGAAUCGUAGGCUUUCUCAAAAUCUACCUUGAAUACCAUAGUUUCCUUGUCUUUAUUCUUUGCAUCAUGAACAAGUUUAUUUACUACCAAAAUGCUAUCAAGCAUACUUCUACCUUCAAGGAACGCUGAUUGUUCCUCUCCAAUCAAGCUAGGAAGGACUUUCUUCAACUGGUUCGCUAGAAUUUUUGCUACGAUCUUGUAAAUGCACCCAACUAGAGAGAUUGGCUUAUAGUCGUUCAACCCUUGAGGAGACUCCAUCUUCGGUAUUAAGGCAAUGAAAGAGCUAUUGCUCCCUCGCGACCAUAUCCCAUGAGAGUCAAAAUCAGUUAAAACACGAUGUACAUCAGCCUCCAAGAGGUGCCAAAACUCCUUGAUGAAGAGGAAUUUGUACCCGUUCGGACCCGGUGUAAGACCCUAAUAUUAUUAGGAUGACCUUAUGUAAUUGGAGAAUAUAUCUCUACUUGACUCUAGUGAAUGAAGUGAAUUUUGUGGAUUAUUGUGAAUUGUGCGAUAAAUAUUGAUUUGAAUCAAUUUGUGAAAUUUUAAUGAUUUAGUUGAAUGAUUAAUUAUUUAAUUAAUUAUUUAAUUAAAUUAGAGUAGUGGGAUUAAGAAAUGUGUGAGAAAAACCUAAUUGGGCCUAAGAGUGUCGUGGGGCCGCCGACCACAUUGGUGAUGGGAGGGGUUAUCUUGACUUGUUUACACUCUUUUAAUUAGUGAUUAAUGAUUUUAAUUGGUUGGGUUUGGGCUUGAAGGAGAAAAGAGAAAAAAAAAACAAAACCCUAGCCCAUGUGAGGGUGGAGCCGCCGGUUUUGUGUGUGGAAAAGGGGGGGAAAACCUUGUUUUUUUUUUCAAGCUGAAUUAGAAGGUCCCAUACACUACUCUUUCACGUAAACUUCAAAAGAAAAUAAAAGAGAAGAAAGAAGGGAGAAAGGAAGUGGACCGGGCGGGGGAUAAAGACCUCCAUGCCCUCCCAAAACAAGCAAUCAGCCGGACGAAGGAAGACAUGGCGGGAACUGGUGGAACACCAAGGAUUCUCGCCCUCCCCUUUAAGCGGACCCGCAAGCCAGCUGGAAGAUUCUUUUGGAUUUGUCUUAUGUGCAUAGGGAUUUGGGCCCUAGUUGUCAGGCCCAAAUGUAGGAAAAGUCCAUAUCAUGACCAUACCCUCUAUAAAAGGGAAGGUCAUCACCUUGUACUAAGAACUUUUUGACAAUUAAUGAGAAUAUACCCUUUUUAUUACAUCUUGACUACUUUAGUGCUCUGCUAGGGUUUGCUUUUUAUUCCUCUUCUCACGUAAGCUUACCUUAGGACAUAACAUUGGCGCCGUCUGUGGCUCUAACCUAGAUCUACCAGUGACGUAGAGGGUGAGAGUUACGAUUCAUGGAAACCCGUUCGUGCGGCGUGGGCCGCCGUGAUCAUCGCCGGAGAGGUGGUGGUCGUCAGGGUGGACGCGGCGGCGGUCGAGACAACAAUCGUGCAGUACUUCUAGAGCAAGAGUAGGAGGCUUCCUCGGAAGGUGUUCACUCGGUGGCGCAGUCACCAGCGUCGCUGGUAAACUUAGCUCCGGGAAAGCCCUCAGAUCUGAUAGCCAAAUCAGAUCCAGGUGUCAGGCGACGAUCAGCGCCGCCUGAGUACGUAAACUUAGAAGAUCUUAAAAACAGCGCUCCGAGGAAAACACAAGAAGUGAUAACGGGUAUCACACCCGCGGAUUUGAAGCAAAUGUUGGAUACCUUGCAAAAGGUACAAAACCAGAACGAGCAGUUACAAGCCCAGGUGGAAUAUUUAACUCAGAGGCAAGAUUUUAAGCAGGGACAACGUCUUGAGGCUGAGGAUGUCGUCGAAUUUCAACCUUUUGUUCCAGCCAUCACAAAGGUGGACAUACCAAAGCUUUUGCAAACAAUGACAUUAGACGCCUUUUCUGGCGAUUCUGAUCCCAUGGAACAUUUGAGGUACUUUAACACCAAAAUGGUUAUUGGUGGGGUGACGGACGAGGUGAAGUGCAGAUUGUUGCCUUCAACAUUCAAGGGAAUGGCGAUGCAGUGGUUCAUUAGACAACCGCCCUUCUCCAUUGACAAUUUUACGGAUUUGUCUACUAAAUUCUUAACUCAAUUCUCCGCCAACAAAACUACAAAAGCAACUAUGUUUGACUUUAUCAGCAUACAUCAACAGCCAGGAGAGAAGCUAAAGACCUACAUGGCGCGCUUCAGUAAGAUGGUUGUUCAACUGGAGGAGGACAACCCGGAUGUAUGCCUGGCGUCUUUCAAAAAUGGCCUUAGGGCGAGAGAUUUGAAUCGAGAUUUAACAAGACAACCAGCGAGGGACAUGAUGGAUCUUCGCGCUCGCGUUCAGGAAUUCAUCUUAAUUGAGCAAGACGAUCAGAAAAAGCAAGAAAGGGAGGAGGGGCGAAAACACGCCCAGCCCGGGGGAGUUUCGCAGGAAAAACCCAAGGCUGGAAAGGAAACAAGGAUAGCUCAAACUCCACGUAUACCAAGGCCUGGUCCAUAUCAAAACUCCAAACCCGGAUUCCAGAAUACAUGGCAUAGAAAUCCCCAAGGUACCACUACAGCCUCGGCUGGUCAACAUGGUGCCUCGCCAACUCCAGUUCCACUUACUAAACUGAAUGCCCCCCUAAGCACCAUAUUGAAAGCAUUUGGACAGACAAAUGUUGUGCAAUAUCCGCCGCCGCCUCGGCGACCACCAACUAAUGUGGAUACAAACAGAUGGUGUGAGUACCACAAAACGUUGGGGCACACCACAGAUAAUUGUUGGAACUUGCGGCGGGAGAUUGAUCGGCUAAUCAAGGCUGGCCAUCUGGCAAAUUUUGUUAAAGAGGCAGCAACACCGGAGGCCACUAAGGUAACUCAAGGGGACAAAGGAAAAGGAAAGGAGAUAGUAGAGGAAUUGGGCGACCCUGUUGGGGAAUGCUCAUCCAUUGCAGGGGGAUUUGGAGGGGGCACGAUUUCUAGCAAGGCCAGAAAGCGUUAUGUGGCGGCAGUACAUUCCGUGCACGAAGCAUACGAGGGCGAAUGUUGGUUGAAUCACUCUCCAAUUAUAUUCACCCCUCAGGAUUUUGCACAUGUAAUUCCUCAUGACAACGACCCGAUUGUUGUAACAAUCAGGGUUAACAACUACAUGACAAAAAAAGUGUUUUUAGAUCAGGGAUCUUCGGUGGACAUCAUUCAUGAAGAUGUCUUUGAUCGCCUGGGGUUAAAGGAGUCAGAUUUGAAACCAUAUAAAGGAACCCUGGUGGGAUUUACAGGGCAUCACGUCAAUGUGCGGGGAUACGUGGAAAUACCAACAGCCUUUGGUGAAGGAGAGUUCGUCAAGAAAUUUCAAGUGAAGUAUCUAGUAUUGGCGUGUAGAGCUAAUUACAACGUACUUUUGGGGUGGGACACUUUUAACAAGUUAUGCGCUGUAAUUUCAACCGCUCAUUUAACUAUCAAAUACCCAGCCUGCAAUGGGAAGAUCGGGGUCCUUCGCGUGGAUCAGAAUGCGGCGAGAGAAUGUUACCUAAGAAGUGUGGCGCUCUAUGGGCGAAAAGCCGCCAAGGAAAGCCACCGUAUCACGGAAAUUUUUCCACAAUAAGGGUUUAGUUUAGACCCAAGGGAUGAUGCUGAUGAUUUCCGCCCACAACCUUUGGAAGAAACUAAAUCAGCGCAAAUCAAGGAUAAGAUUUUGAAGAUUGGCAACAGUUUAACAAAAGAACAGGAGGACAGGUUGAUCACCCUUUUGGGCGAUAAUUUGGAUCUCUUUGCAUGGACAAUUAAUGAUGUACCAGGGAUUGACCCCAAUGUGAUCACUCAUAAACUGGCCAUAAGGCCAGGGGCGACGCCAGUCAUCCAGCCAAGGCGAAGGAUGAGUGAUGAAAAGAACAAGGCGGUGCAAGUAGAAACUGAAAAGUUAAUCAAGGCCCAAUUCAUUCGCGAGGUGCAGUACCCAACCUGGCUCGCCAACGUAGAGAUGGUCAAGAAAGCCAGUGGGAAGUGGAGAAUGUGCACGGAUUACACAAGUCUGAACAAAGUGUGUCCCAAAGAUUCAUAUCCUCUUCCCAAUGUUGAUAAAUUGGUGGAUGGGGCUUCCGGAAAUGAACUUUUAAGUCUCAUGGAUGCAUACUCUGGGUAUAAUCAAAUUAUGAUGCAUCCCUCGGACGAGGAAAGUACAACAUUCAUGACUAAUCAGGCGAAUUAUUGUUACAAAACUAUACCUUUUGGUUUGAAAAAUGCGGGAGCUACAUACCAACGCCUCAUGGAUAAAAAAAUUUCAAGACAAGUUGGAAGGAACAUGGAAGUAUAUGUGGAUGAUAUGAUUGUUAAGUCCGCCAAGUCCAGUGACCACGGCGAUGAUCUUAAGGAAGCAUUUGCUCAACUAAGAAAAUAUUGAAUGAAGUUAAAUCCCGAGAAAUGUUCAUUUGGGAUUCAAGGGGGAAAGUUUUUGGGAUUCAUGAUAACAUCAAGGAGGAUAGAAGUAAAUCCUGAUAAAGGCAAGGCGAUCUUGGAAAUGAAAAGCCCAACAAAUGUCAAGGAAGUACAACGAUUAACAGGACGCAUGGCUGCCUUAGCACGUUUCUUGCCAAUGGCGGGCGACAAAGCAGCUCCGUUCUUCACUUGUUUGAAAAAGAACUCGAAGUUUCAAUGGACCGAGGCAUGUGAACAAGCUUUUACUAAAUUGAAAGAAUCAUUAGCAACGUUACCGGUACUAUCCAAGCCCACGCUAGACGUUCCUUUGACGCUCUACUUGGCAGUCACGGAUAGGGCGGUCAGUACGGUGUUGCUUCAGGAAGAAGGGAAAAAGCAGAAGGUUAUAUAUUGUGUGAGUCAUACUCUGCAAGGUGCUGAAUUGCGAUACCAAAAAAUCGAGACGCCUUAGGCCAUACUUCCAAAGUUUCCUAAUCAGAGUUAAAACUGAUGUUCCCCUAAGACAGGUACUUCAGAAACCCGAUCUGUCAGGGCGAUUGGUCAGCUGGUCAGUCGAGUUGUCUGAAUAUGAUAUACAGUAUGAGCCAAGGGGACAAGUUACAAUCCAAAGCUUGAUUGACUUUGUGGCGGAAUUAACACCCACAGAAGGCGAGAAAACUCAGGGAGAGUUGGUCAUGUCUGUUGAUGGAUCCUCCAACGAUACAGGAAGUGGGGAAGGAAUAACUAUUGAAAGCCCGGAUAAGAUGGUCAUCGAGCAAUCUUUGAAAUUCGAGUUUAAGGCGAGCAACAAUCAAUCAAAAUACGAGGCACUAAUCGCCGGAUUAAGGCUCGCCAUUGAAUUAGGCGUUCAGAAAUUGUUCAUCAAAGGCGACUCGCAGCUGGUUGUUAAGCAGGUAAAAGGCGAGUAUCAAGUGUAAGAUCCACAACUUUCUAAAUACCUGGAAAUGGUACAUAGAUUAAUGAUGGAGAUAGAGAAGAUCAGGAUAGAACAUGUUCCAAGAAGUCAAAAUGAAAGGGCUGACGUGCUAGCAAAAUUGGCCAGUACGGGGCGAUUGGGCAAUUAUCAAACAGUCAUCCAGGAAACCCUUCCUCGCCCCAGUAUUGACUUGGUGGAAGUUAAGUUAAAAGCAGUAAAGUUAGUGAUCGAGGCGAGCCUUCGUGGAUGGAAUCAAUCAAGACUUUCCUCAAAAAUCCUCCGAAGGAUGAUGAUCUGAACACAAAAGAAAAGCGUAGGGAGGCUAGUUUUUACACGCUGGUAGACGGUGAGCUAUAUCGACGGGGAAUUAUGUCUCCUAUGCUCAAAUGUGUUGACAUAAGAGAUGCCCUGGGUAUCAUGGCGGAAGUUCACGAAGGAGUAUGCUCCAGUCACAUAGGUGGGCGAUCAUUGGCAGUAAAGGUAUUGAGGGCAGGAUUUUACUGGCCGACGAUGAAGAAAGACUGCCUGGAAUACGUCAAGAAGUGUGAAAAGUGUCAAGUUUUUUUUCUGACUUACAUAAAGCCCCGCCUGAAGAGUUAACAACCAUGAUGGCACCUUGGCCAUUUGCUAUGUGGGGUGAAGGUAUGAAAAACGGUAGAAAGGGGGGGUUUGAAUAACGUUUUCAAGAUAAAACUUCCACCUUAAAGAUUUUGGCAAAUCCUUCGAAACAAACUAUGUGCUAAAGAUAAGAAAUAGAAAAGCACACAAGGAUUUUAUCCUGGUUCACUUGAUAAAUCACUCAAGCUAAUCCAGUCCACCCGUUAAGGUGAUUUCUUCCUUCUUAGAAUGAAGGCAAUCCACUAAUCAGGUAUGUGUUACAACUGCACUUGAAAUCUACAAGUGACUAACAAUACACUGACUUAGCUCACACUAAGAUUCACUCUCUUAGUCUUCUCUAGGAUCCAAUCAACCUUGAUCUCCUAAAGGCAAACUAUACAACUGUAUAUGAAGUUCUUGUUUACAAAGAAAGUGCUUCUAAAAAGCUUAUAGUAAACACAAUGAAAUUCAAGAUGAAAGAAAGCUUAGAAGGAUUUGAAUAUUUCUUGCGCGUGUGUGAAUGCUUCUUUCCGCUUCUUUCAAUCUUCAGCCUCUAUUUAUACUCCAAGGAUUAGGGUUGAACGUUGCAUGGAAAUGCUACCGUUGGAGGGCAGUUCUGGAAAUUCCAGCUUCUGCUGUGGCUGAGGAUGUUAGGUAGGUCGUCAGGAUAGUACACUUUGCUUUUGUACUUUGGAUAGUGACUU